GGGGUCAAAGGGGAUCAAUGAACGCAGGCCUCCGCCGCCGCCUGCUGCUGGGAGGAGCGAGUGGGAGCGGUGGGUAGUUAUUGCCGGGGCUAGGGUUUUAUUCGGGCCUCCUCCUCCGACCGCCGCCACUUUGGGCUGCAACUUGGGCCACGCCCCAGCCCACGGCGAACCACCUCCCUAUUUUGUUCUCUUCAUUUAUUAUAUUAUAUCCCCCUCAAAAAAAUUAUUAUAUUAUAUAUGAUCCUCAAAAUAAUUAUUAUUAUAUUUAUUUCUCAAGAAGAAUAUUAUUAUAUAUAAGGAAAACAAAACAGUUUAACAUCAGCAGUAAUACCAGGCACUGUCCGCGCGGCAAGCAUGAUAGGCAAUCUUCAAACCGUUCAAAAAAUAAAAUAAGCAUCACUAGGUUCGUCGAUCAGCAAGCGUUUACCUUUUUUUUUUACUAGGACAAUGUCCGUGGUUGCCACGGGACAGCAUAAAAAUGUUGCACUGGUUGCUUUCGUCCCUGCAACUUCAUCGCUUCUUCCAUUUAUUCUAAUUUUUUUCGACAUGCAUCUUAUUUCUCCUACCCCACCAAGACAAAUUUUGAUCUACCUUCGCCCUCUUUUAUCAUCGCCUACUCAUUACUCUACCUUCGGUGUCAUCACUUCAUACAGUUUUACUUGCACAUGACAAGAUAGCUCUAGGCCUAGCUUCUCAACAAUGUAUAAGUCGGGGCUAGGGUUUUACUCGGGCCUCCACCUCCUCCUCCUCCUGACCGCCACCACUUUGGGCUGCAACUUGGGCCACGCCCCAGCCCACGGCGAAACAUCUCCCUAUUUUGUUUUCUUCAUUUAUUAUUAUGUAUAUAAUCCUCAAAAAAGUUAUUAUUAUUGUAACAUCCCAAAUUUUCAAUUUGGAAUGUUAUACAUAGUCAUUCAUGCAUAUCAUAUUUUUCUGCACAUUCGUUUUGCGAUCCUCGAAAAUCUAAUCAAUGAAGAUAGCUCUAGGCCUAGCUAUGACAAGAUAGCUCUAGGCCUAGCUUCUCAAUGUUGGAAAUAUGCCCUAGAGGCAAUAAUAAAUUGGUUAUUAUCAUAUUUCCUUCAUUGGUGCGCGUCGGUGCUAUAUAAACGGCUUUUAACCCCUUUCCGCGACGGAAUUUGGAACCGUCGUCAAGUGAGUGUGGGCGAUAGGGGGUCCUUCCCACACGACCCCGAAAUCGUCGGGGAUAGGCCCUCCUGGGACACAGGCUAGAGCCGUGUGCGAUCGGGCGAGGCAACGAAACUCAAUCAUUUCCGUAGGUAUGUACAUCUCACACGGUGAAUCUCAAAAAAACAUCGCGCGUCCAGUUAAUACCCUGCUCUCCUCUGAACAACAACGAAAACAUCGCUCUUGUCUAAAAAAACGAAAACAUCACUCAAGAAAAACUAUGUAGUGCUCACACCUCAAAAACACAAAUACUUCUCGAGCUGCUUGGUCCCAGCUGUCGGCCACUCCUUGCGCAAUUCUCUCGUUUAUUGACUACAUAGGUUGACAAUGGUGUGGGACCGUGAUGUCAGGAAACCAGGAGGAAGCAAAAAAAAUACAGUUGUAGUAUAUAAUAAGGAGGCACUUGCGUACGUGCGGCUAUGGCCCUGGUUGGUCCCCACUAUCAUCCUCUCCAAGUAAAGUCAUCUCCUCAUUACUCAUGUCUGUUGACCAUGUUGAUAACGCGAGAUGACGGCGCCACGGCGAGCGCAACAACUGGAAGGACGAUAGAGUGGGCCUCGGGGGCCCUACGGAUGGUCUGAUACAGCGCCCGCUGCUCAUUCGGGAAGCCAGGAUCAUAGGUCCACAUGUCCGCGACGGCAUUGUCGUUCGCUUGUUCACCGGUGCUCGUUGACGAGACGGAGGUUGCAACACAGGCCCUCCUGCGCUGAUAGCUCUUCCGCCAUUAGGGCGUCGAAGUGCGGCCGCACCUGCUCUAUGGUGAACACGGCAUGAACCGAUUUGGACAGUGGUGCCGGCUCCUGGUCGGAAGCUACGUUCAUCGUCUGAUUGUCGUCACUCAGCUCGGCGAGCUCGCUGGCGAGCCAACCUGUCUGGCUGCUGGAUCGACCUACUGUCAAGCAUGAGUCUGACUGCCCUGGCCCACCUAGACCGCCUCCCUCGCCCGCGCAUGCUUUCCGCCCGAAGCGGUCAGCGCCGCCCGUCUCGCUUCCCGGUGCAGGCGAUUGCUCCGCCUUCAAACGACACAAGUGUUGUCCGUCCUUCCGUCUGCCGCCCACAUUAAUGAUACGCGAUUGCCGAGGCGGCUACUCCGGUGCCACACGUCUGGCCCUCUGCCGCCCACCAUUGCUAUAUAAACUGCUGCGCCGACCAUAGCCGCAGUCAUCCGCAUCCGCUUCCUUUCUCCUGUCCACACCACUACUGCCCACCAUGGCUUCCUCGCGCUCCAGCGCUCUUCGGGACGGGCGGAUGACAAACCACAAGGAGAUGGCAGCCAUUGCUGCCGACUCCCUGGCCGGCAGGCAGCCGGAGGACGACGGCGUCCCAAUGGAGAACAUGGUAGUCGACGAUCCGACGCCAACCCCCUCCUCCGUGUCAUCCUUGCCGGUGCAUUGCACCAUGACCAUCGGCGAGGCCCGUGCCCAAUCCAUGGACACGCUGAGGCAGAAGCGUGAGGAGCAGUUCCGGGAGGUGCAAGCCGACGCCGCCUACAACCACCAUCUCCUCCAGGAGCACCUGCAGGCGGAGGAGCAGAUCGCCACAGAGCGGGCGGAGCAGGAGGUGCUGCUCGACUCGUACCGGUCCGCCCGCGAGGGCCGACUCGAGCGCUGGCGGUACCGCAUGCGGGUGGCGGAGGCUGCGGCCGUCUACAAAGAGGGCGAUGAAGCGGGCGAGGCGCUGUUUGGCGAGACCAAGGACGAGGCAGAGGACAAUGCUGGCUCUGACGAGUCCCCGCUCCGCUGGCGUCGACGAGGCCCUACUCCGCCGAGGCCCCGCGGCGCCAACAACGAGGCAGAGGACACCGCCGGCUCCGCUGAGGCCCCGGCCCGUCGGCACCGAGGCGGAGGCCCUACUCCGCCAAGGCCCCGUGGUGCCAACAACGAGGCAGAGGACACCGCCGACUCCGCCAAGGCCCCGCCCUGCCGGCACUGAGGCGGAGGCCCUACUCCGCCGAGGCCCCGCCCCGCCAACAACGAGGCAGAGGACAUCGCUGGCUCAGCCGAGGCCCGACCCUGCCGACAACGAGUGGGGGGAUUUCCCCCGCUCCGCCGAGGCGCCGCCCCGCCGGUAACGAGACCGAGGACAUCGCUGGCUCCAUCGAGGCCCCGCCCCGCUGCCAACGAGGUCGCGCCAUACAGAAAACGAGGAAGAGUAGAACACGGUAGGUCGCCGCCGCUCGGGUCCAAGUAAGGCCACCGCUGCUACCCUCCGGUUGAAGCCAAGGGUUGACCAUUGAUGGCGAUUAGCUUCUUGGCGGUGACAUGGAGUCGGAGAGCUAUGUUGGAGAAGGACGUUGCUUCUACUUAACUGCUGGUACAGUUGGCUCACUAACACGUGGGCCCAGCAAGCAUCUGGGCCACAUUUCAGUUACGCAACUGCACAUGUAGCUAAGUCACUGAAGCUCAGUCCGCUGGAGAAGAAGCUUUUGUUUGGCUCAGCCGGACACAGGUGGGUAGCUUCAGUUAAUUUAUUAUACCUCUAGUGCACCCCUUUUUAGUUGAAGAAUGUAUGAAAUGUAUUGAAAUCUGGCAUGUUCUGACCGUGCAUGAAUGAAUUUAGUUCGAUUAGUUCGAAUUCUUGUAUCACUGGCAUUGGAUGAACAUGCAAAACAAAACGUACUAGCAUUAUUCCCAGGGUGAUCACCUCAUUUGCAGCAGUUUCACAUGUACUCCCUCCGGUCCUUUUUAGUCUGCAUACAAGUUUUGUCUGUAGUCCAAGUAUCUCUACUUUGACCAGAGUACAAAGAGUUUGAGCAGCUUUUUAGUGUUCCUCUACAUUGCAAUCAAACACGCAGGCCUGGCAAUUCAUAGAGAACAUUCAAAACAAUCGAUGAUUAUGCAUCUGAGCGAUUCACAUGUCAGAGCCAAUAUUUACAUCACAACUAAAGAAUAAAGAAAAAUAGAUCGACGUUGCUGACAGCAAGGGCGUCCCAUUCAAAACUAUCAAACGCAUGUCUUCUUGCUAACAUCACUGAGCAAAAUUUGACAAGGUUGUCCCAUUCCAAAAUGUCAAAUGCGUGUUGUUUUGCGUACAUCAAUGAGCAAACUUGACAAGGGUUUCCCAUUCCAAAAUACCAAAUGCCUAUGAUUGUGGAAUGGGCAGGGUUUGCCAUCAGUUCAGACAUUGACAUGGCACCUCGUGCUAAACAAACCAGCUGUUCUUUUUGUGCAAUUCCACCAAAAUCAACCAAAUUCGUGCAUAGCUUGUAUGAUUUCGCCUUUAUAUGUUGCAACGCUUGAACAUAUCAGCACCUCCUUUCUUGUGGUGGAAAUGAAUGAUUCAAGAAUAUUCGAUGUAUUCGUGAACAUUUUGUGCAGUUCCCAUUGAAAUCAAGCUGAGCACCCCUGUUUGCAUAAAUAUAAAAAAGUGAUUAGUAUAAAGCAAAUUGUACUAUGAAUUGACAGUUUAAACAGUCAACCUACAUGAUCCAUGCAGAGCACACAUUUAAAAAAUGGAACUCACCGGAAGGAGUCGUAAAACAACAUUGUACUGACCAUCACCGCAACAAAGAUGGAGAUCCGUGAGUCCUUCUGAGCUGAAGUUAGUUUGUUCUUGUGGGUAAUAAUGUAACCAUCCUUCAACUGCUCCCUUCUUAAGAAGAGAGGCUUGGCUUCUUUUUCCUGGCAUAAUCGGAACUAGGCACUUCACAUACUCCAUAUUCUUCUUCAAAGGAGGAUGAUCAUGUUGUCAAAGACAAGAGGACAACUAAAUAGCAUCCCUGUUUGCUCGAAAAAAAGGAAAGGAAAUAUUUAAAACAACACGGAUGAAGCACUUCUCAAGGACAAUACCACUUUCUCAUGACAUUAUCUAAACAGUAGCACAACACCAAUAGAGAUGACAAAGCUCAAUCAUAUGGAUGAAAUCCGUGGGCGAGUACCAACCUUUGUCAGGAGGCUUAUUGUGUAGAGCAUACAGAUCAAGCACUUCUCCGGAACCAUCUGUAGUUAUCUACUGUAGUUGCCAUGCUUACUAUAUACUCCUCAAUUUAGUUUAAUGUUUCCAACAUCUUAUUGUGCAGUUCCACUAAAAUAUAUGAUAUCUUCAAAGAAGAUCCCUGUUUGCACAAGUAGAGAUAAUUACAUAUUACAUUAAGAGUGGCAUCAAAUCAGUUGCAAAACAAUUGCUCGUUCCAGCCAUAGCAAUAAAUUAAGAUGCAAAACUAUAUCAUUACUUGUGUCAUCAGAGUUCCAGUGCUUCAUUACAGCACUGGGAGUUGAUUUUUGUUUUUCUUCCGCCUGUUCUUCCCCUUCAUCACUUGGUUCAAUAACAGACAAGCUUCGCCUUCAAUGUAAGUCAAUUAGGGAGCACAAGUAUAGCACUAAACAACGACAUUAAUUUUCUGAUGAAAGUGGCAAAAUACAGGCUAAUAGUUGUGAAAUAUCCUUAUCUUACCUCAAUGGGAUAUUACGAUGCGCAUACAGAUUGGAAGUCUUGUCUCCAUUUGUGCAGUUCACUAAAAUCAAGUAACUUUAACGUACAAGUAGCACAACAUACGAAAGCACACUAACAAUCAUGUGAAAGAAAGCUAGUACUGACCUCUCAUGACGCGGAAUUCAAACGACUCACAAGAAGAAGAUCUGAACCAAAUUUGCCAACACGGAUAGGAAGUAAGAUCUCUUGUGCAGUUCCACUAAGAUCAAGCAAUGAAGCAACGUUGUCGGUAUGACAUUUUGGUUGAACUGCACAAAACACUCUUAAAAAAGGUGUUUUGUGCAGUGCAACAAAAGGUCACAAUAGCAACAAGGUGAAGUAGAUAACCCUGUUUCCACAGAGGUGCAAAGGAAACAACUAGUGGUCAAUAACGGUGGAUGACACCGAAGCCAACAAAAAGAAGCAUCUAACUUAUCUAAAUGGGAAAGAAAGCAAGACAGUGGCAUUUCUCAAAUGGUGGUAUUGAUUAAUAUUAACAGAGAUAUUAUAUUAACAAUAAAAUUCAUUAAACAUGUAAUUUGCUUUUAACUAUGGCAUUGCAUCAAUUUUCCAGCGACAUUAUUAGAGGGUGUUUGUUUACAUGGACUUUUUGGUGUAGGGACUAAAUAAAGUCCAUGUCAGUCCCAUCUAAACCAAACAUGAGGGACUUUUAGGGACUAAAAGUGGGAAUUUGGGACUAAAGAAAGAAGACCCCGAGGGAGAGUCUUUUUUGGGACAUUUUCCAACAGUUGCCCCUGCCCCGCAUCGCACCUUGUCUCUAUUAGUUCAUUACUAGGGGUAACAUGCUCUUUUAGCAUGUUAUUUAAUAACCUCCAGUCCAUGUUUAGUCCCUGGAACAAAGCAGGUAGGGACUAGGACUUUUUAACCAAACAGGGCCUUAGAUUAACAACAGCUAAAGAGUUGCACGGGACAGUAGACGCACCAACACCAUGUGCAUCUACCGAUGUAUGAAGAGGUGAUGCACAGUCUGUUGCAACAAAGAACAAACAACCAAGGAGCAUAUUUGUGUUGGUCCCAGUUUUGUUAUCUUUAGACAACUUUCCCUAUGUGAGCACAGCGAAUCUAGUCAUGCUCAAACUCUACAGCCUUGUCCCCGAAACAAAAAGAUCAGUUCGUUACAGAUAUGCGUACUUCGUUUGUCAUUGUUUUCCCUUUUCGACCAACGUAGGUGCUGGAUAACCAGUAUGUACUAGUACUUUCCCCCUUCCUUUCCUCUUUGAACCACGUCCCAGAUUCAUGCUAUACAACUUUCCCCACUACGUUCCCCCCAUUCCUUUCCUCUUUGAACCACGUCUUAGAUUCAUGCUAUACAACUUUCCCCACAACUUCCCCCCUUCCUUUCCUUUUUGAACCACGUCCUAGAUUCAUGUUAUACAACUUUCCCCACUACUUUCCCCCAUUCCUUUCCUCUUUGAACCACGUCCUAGAUUCAUGCUAUACAACUUUCCCCACUACUUUCCUGUUUGAUCCAACACCUAGAUUCGAGUGCAGAAGCAGAACAUGCCCACAUGCAGCUAGAGCAAUGCAUGUGGAAUAAGUAAAUUAUACCUUAAGGUUCUUGGGUUGUGGUUGUGGGCGACCGGAGGCCGUUCGGCCCACACUACAUAUGGCGGCGAGGAAGAAGGGGUCGGAGGCCCUCUCGUGCCGCCAUUGGGUGAAAGAGAACAGCUGCGCCGGUGGUGGAUUCCCUCCCUCACUUAAGGUGACAGCGUUAAGCCUCCUUCCCUUCCCGGCGGACGGAUCCUGCCGGCUCUUUGACCAGCAGUGAGGGGAGAGAGAGAGAGGCCAACAAAGUCUUGUUUAGAUCUAGAGAGGGUGAGAGAGUAUGAAGAGAGCAACUACAAACGUUGAGGCUCCAGUGUGUAUAUAUAUACUGGAGAGAGUGUGUGAAGAGUGCAAACCAUAGAAAAGCGCCAAGGCUGCAGCGUAUACGUGAUGAGGUGAUUAUACGGUCACUAUGAGAUCGUAUAGCUCUGUAUCCAUCCAUUUUGACAAGUCAAAGAAUCCUCCUGGCACCGCCCCAGAUCACUUUCUCUCUCUAUCAUGCGGGGCCUACCUGUCAUUGGGUGGAAGAAAGAAGUCGAACAAAAACAAAAAUAUGCUCAAGUGUAGUUAUCCAACCCGAGACCUCAAGUUUGAUGAGCGAACAGGCUAACCAGCUACACCACCCUCCCAUUAUGUUCAACAAGAGGAAAAUAACCUUUUAUACAUUCCUGCAUUCGUGUGACAAGCAUGCCGUGUUUUUUUUGCGGGCGAGUCAUUGGGAUUUAAAUCAUAAUCGUGUCAUGUGGCUUUGGUGGUAAGGUCUUUUGGGAUUUAAAGCAGUGUUGGUAGUACAGAAUUAAUGCAGCCUUAGUCAUCUUACCUCUCUCCACGUAGUAUGUUGGGUCCCACUAGUCAAAGGGUAAAACAAACAAAUUAAUAAAAAAAAUUCAAAGCGCCAACGGUGUAUCUUACCUCACACAUCUCGCUACUGCUCGUGAACACUGUUCAAUUGAUCCCUCUAUUUGCUCACGUACUAUUUUAAGUGAAUCCUUAUUAUAACAUGCACACAAUUUUGGGCACUUGUAUUCGACCUAAGUCAGUGUGCCACCGUAUCUCAUACUACUCCCUCCGUCUAGGUGUAAUAAGUCACAUUAGAAGGUGUAGCGGGACCAAGGUGCAAGUAGAUUGGAGGAGAAGGAGAAACUUGACCGGUCCUUCCUCCAAUCAAAGCCCUGAUUUCUAUCUCUAAACGCAACAAUUAAUCCCAACAACUAAGAGCAAGUAUAAUAAGCCUAGUCAGCUGGCUAUAACACAUGCCAGGUCAUUGAAAUCAGCUGGAAGGGUGAGAAAGAAGGAGAGAGAGCGCAGCGGGCGCUUGAUCUGUCGCCGGGCGUUAGCACAGGUUACUAGAAAAAGUGCUUGCAUGCAGCGUGUGAACAAGUGCAGUCUUCUUUCCUCCCAAUAAAGUAUGUUUCUUUACUUGUCUUCACAUGCAUAUAUUAAAUACUAUAGCCAACCUAUUAGCCGGCUUAUUAUAUGAGUAUACUUUUAGAAGGCUAUAUGUGACAUGGCGCCAAUAUAUAGCCAGCAGCAGGCUCUAUUAUUAGCCAUGCUCUAAGAGAUGUCGUUUUAAUUACCAUGCAGGGCCAUGUAUUAACUCGCAUGCAAGCCGACUUUGAUUUCUUGACUGAUCAACAUGCACUUGCGCUCCAUGCAUUGGGUUUUCGGGGGAGAGUAACAAGGCAAAGUAAGGCUGGUCAUAGUAGUGAGUAACUUGGACUAGUAACAUGCAUAUGUUACUAGUAUAUGUUACUACUAGUACCUUCGUCCUGAUUUAUAGGCCCCCUUUGUAGUUUGUGCCAAAUUUUGACCAAAGAUUUAACUAACAAAAUGUUAAUGCAUAUCAACAAAAAAUAUAUCGUUGGAUUCGUAUUUGAACAUAGUUUUCAAUGAUAUAUUUUUUUGUGACAUGCAUGAAUAUUUUUUUAGUUCAAUCUAUGGUCAAAAUUUGGCACGAAAUACAAUGGGGACCAAUAAACCAGGACGGAGGUAGUACGCGAAGUUUGCCGUCGAAAGCGUGCCGAUCUAGCUCUCAUGAGCUAGCAAGGUUUUUCUAGCCCGCCCAAGCUAGCUGGCCCAAAAAAGCCAACAUAUUUUAACAGUUGCAAACAACUAACCUUGCCCGGCUAGGCUAUAAACUGUUCUUGCUAAGGAUCCAAACGCUCCCUAGUAACUAGCAUGAUAUUCCUAUUCUAUGAACCUGUGUGUGCGUGUGCGUGUGUGUUUAACAACAUGUGUGUGUUAGAGAGAGCGACACAUCGACCUACUCCUACAAAGAGAUGGUGUGUAGUGUACGAUUUAGCCGCGAGAGUCGAUGCAUCCUCUUCCGGGCGUCCGGUCGGGACAGGCGGACCGCUGCCACACCCUCUCCUGACCAGCCUGGCCCACCCAAAGCCCCUCCAUCGCCCGCGCGCGCUUCCCGCUCGAAACGGUCAGCGCCUCUCCAAAGAAUCGGUGCCGCAUUCAUGCCCGGGCAGAGCGGACGCGACCUCUCACUGGCGCCUGCGUUGAAGAGAGAAGCGGAUUCAAGAGUGAUGGUUGCUUUGUCUGUCCAACUUACUGCUAGGUCUAUGUGAUUUGACGGCUCAUUGGUCAUUAUUACUGAGGUGGUAGGACUGUUGGAUGUUCCACGCUUUCGGCAAAAGGAGGUACUACUAGAUUACAAUUUUCUCCAUCCUUACAGCGGAGAGUGCGAGAGUAGUGAAAAAACGCAGGCCCAGUGAUUACAUGGACCACCUCACAUUAUCACCAUAUUCUCUGGACACCAUGCGACACCUAACUCUUUACAUAGUACUACUAGUAUAGUACGUACUGUAAUUUAUCAGCGAGAUAAAUUUGUACAAUGCUAUGAAGCUUCCAGCUUCUGUUUCAUGUAUCUUGCAUCCAACGUUGCCCAUUGCAACAUUUCAUCAAAUACAAAGGAGACUAACAUGCAUGCUAUUGCAUCUUAAUGAUUGACAGAUCAUAGCCAAUAUGUACUCCCUCCGUUCCAAAAUAAGUGUCUCAACUUUAUGCAAACUUUAGUAUAAAGUUGUACUACUACUAAAGUUGACACUUAUUUUGGAACAAAGAAAGCUAAUGAAAAAAAACGAUCCAUGCAGUCCCUAGCCCUUGAACCGUAAAACCCUUUUAACCAGGCUUUAAUUUGCUGGCAACAUUGGAGCUUCCGAAGAAAUGAAGUUUGCAACCCUUUGACCAUCGGAUCAUUUUGUGCAGUUUCACUAAAAUCGAGAUGAGCAUCCCUGUGGCAAAGAAAUUGAAGAAGCGUGAUUAGAAUAAGAUUACUGGGACUAGUUGAUGAGACAUAAACUCAUCACAAAUACAAUACAUAGAAGCCAUUAGAGGUAUGUGCGGGGCAAAGAAGUAGAGAAAUAUCCACAUGGAGUGAUGUGGGCAGCUGGAGCAGUGGUGCAAGCCGGCUGUAAAGGGAGUUGUACCUGAGGGAUGUCGGGACGUAGCUCAACCUAGACGAGGGCGGCAGGAGGCGGCAACUGCCCACGUCGCAGCAGUGAGAAAGGGACGAAGGCAACCUCACCGGCUUUGUGAGAGAGAACGGUGGGGACCCUUGAUCGGGACGUGCCGACAGUGGGUUUUCGCCGUCAGCGACGGCGACCGCAUCUACACUAAGCAUCUACCCCUUCCCCCGGCGGACGUGAUCCGCCGGGAUGUUAGAGAUGUGGCCACAGUCAUUUUGUGCGAGAGAGUGUGAAGAGAGCAACCCCAGCAAGCAACCGUGAAGGCUCGUCCUGCCUAUGUAUAUAGUGGAGCGGUUUCCUUUUCUCUCCACAUGAACCUAUUUAUAUUGCGUACGUUCCACUGAAGAAAAAAAACUUCAUUUAUAAAUGACGCGACACCUACUACUCGUUCUCCUAUAAACCUUGCGCUUUGCAUCUCCAAAAUAUUAACCUUGCGAUUGGCUCUCCACCUUUUUGGGAAGUCGAGCAAUAAUAGUACUCCCUCCGUCUAGGUGUGUAAGUCAUCUUAGAUUGUGCACCGUGAUCAAGGCGGAGUGGAAAACAGAAGAACUUAAUAUCUAUUUGCUAAUUAAUAGCAUUGCAUGCGAUGAACUAACCACUGCUUUGUCAUGUUUGUUAGUCUCAAAUCAUUAAAAGCAUGCAUGGACCACAUCUCUUACUGGUUGACAUGUCACAAAAUAAGAAACGACAAGGGAGUUAAUGUACCGUGCCUAAGUGUUUUGGGAUUAUUUGAUUUUCGUAAGGUGACUUACACACCUAGACGGAGGGAGUACUGCAGUAUAUAUCAUUCUGGCUGUAUGAGACCGAAUGAAUUACUGCACGUCCACCACGUGGGCGAGGGUCGAGGGGCGAGGGAGAGUGCGUACUAUUACGUCCGUUUCAAUAUGGACUACAUACGGGGCAAAAUGAGUGAAUCUACACUCUAAAAUACGUCUAUAUACAUCAGUGUUUGGAGUAUGUACUAGUAGUUCAUAUUGAAAUCUACUAAAGGACAUAUAUUCCAAACAAUAUGAUAAUCUCUCUAACCAAGGUAGGGACGAGGAGUAAACAGAGGGAGUAGUAAAAAUUUCUCCUCGUACUGCGAGCCACCACGCGCAUGGGCGAGGGAGCGGGCGUAAGGCAUAGUACUACUACCUCCGUCCUGGUUUAUAGGUCACCUUUGUAGUUCGUGCCAAAUUUUUUACCAAAUAUUAAGCUAACAAAAUGUUAAUGCAUGUCAACAAAAAUUAUAUCGUUGGAUUCGAAUUUCAACAUAGUUUUCAAUGAUAUAAUUUUCGGUAACAUGCAUGAACGUUUUGUUAGUUCAAUCUAUAGUAAAAUUUGACACAAUAUACAAUGGGGACCAAUAAACCAAUAUACAAUGAGUAGUAGUAAGCAAGCUUCACCUCGUCUUGUGAGCCACCGCGCCCGUGCGCGGGGGAAACGGCGUAGUAAGCAAGCUUCUCCUUGUUCUUCGAGUUGAUGGGACACAUCAAAAGUAAUACGUACAGAGCAUCUCGAGUGUAUAGAACCUUGCCUAUAAGGUAGGCCCCGCAUGGUUUGACUCUUUUCUAACAUAACGCGUCAAGUAGCAAUUUGUUUGUCCACCAGUGGUAAACGAUCCUCCAUCAAGUGGACAACCAGUACACGUGUCAAAUUAACAUGUGGGCCGCCUUUUCAUACAAAAAUGAGCUCCACCGUGUACCCGCGCGGGUGUGGUUGGGAAAGAGACGGGAGUACGUGCACCAUGUGUGCACCUUUUCUCUUCGUGCACGUCCCCCACCUACGUGGGUGUGUGUGAGAGAGAUACAAACCUAGACAGAUGGCGUGUGUGUUCGUGAGUCUUUUUUGUUUGGGGGGGGGGUGAUUUCGUGAAUGUAUCUGUGGGAAUAUGUGUCGAUGAUAUCUCAAACAAAAUUUUGCAUGCAAUGUGUGUGAAAUAGAGGCCUAUCCAUAUCAUAUAUAGAGGGGGCGAUCCACGAGAAGAGAGGAAGGGGUCAUAGAUAUCGAUAGAGUUGAAGAGAGGAUCAAGUGGGUGGGUGCGAGAUCGGUGAAGAGAGCCAUCGAAAUUGUGUGUGUGCAAGUCAAAGAUAUAGGGUGACUGACCUACCAGAAUGUCAGAGGGCACAGGGCAAGUUUGUGUGUGGCAGGGAGACAUGACUAGAGCACUUGAUGUAUCGGUGUGUUGAGAAGGAGAGACCCAGCUAUGUCUUGAGGGAGAGCGGUCGGAGAGAGAGAUAGAGAGAGAGAGGGGGAGAGAGAGAGAGGGAGAGAGGGGUAGAAUGCUGGAUGGGUGAUGGAGUUGCUUCUCGAAGAUGGUGGGAGAGGCCUACUAGAUAAACUGAGGGUAGAACUGCAAUAUUAUCACUAAGAGUGGCGAUGUGUUUCUGUGUGUGCCUGUGCGUGAUAGAUCUGUCGGGGCACAUGCAUGGAUGAAGAAGGGGAACCAUGUGUUUCGUAAGUAAACCUAACUAGAUCGGUAGAUCAAUUGUUGUUUGUUGGAGGAAGGGAGAGACAUAACUAAUGAGGUAGAUCGAUCGACGCGUGGGGAAAACGAGUUAUAAGGACCUAGCUAGCUAUAUGCAUAGCGGGAGAUCGGUCGGUGUACAUCCAUUUUGUAGAGGCUGCUACCUCUUGAGCUUGCGUCGGAUUUUUCCCUUGAAGAGGAAAGGGUGAUGCAACACACUAGCUUAAGUAUUUCCCUCAGUUUUUAAGAACCAAGGUAUCAACCCAGUAGGAGACUACGCACAAGUCGCCUCGCACCUACACAAAACAAAUAAGAACCUCGCAACCAAUGCGAUAAAGGGGUUGUCAAUCCCUUCACGGUCACUUACGAGAGUGAGAUCUGAUAAAGAUAAUAAGAUAAAUAUUUUUGGUAUUUUUAUGAUAUAGAUUAAAAGUAAAGAUUGCAAAAUAAAAGUAGAUCGGAAACUUACAUGAUGGAAAAUAGACCCGAGGGCCAUAGGUUUCACUAGUGGCUUCUGUCAAGAUAGCAUAAGUAUUACGGUGGGUGAACGAAUUGCUGUCGAGCAAUUCAUAGAAAAGCGAAUAAUUAUGAGAAUAUCUAGGCAUGAUCAUGUAUAUAGGCAUCACGUCCGAAACAAGUAGACCGAAACGAUUCUGCAUCUACACAUCGACCGCUAUCCAGCAUGCAUCUAGAGUAUUAAGUUCAUAAGAACGGAGUAACGCAUUAAGAAAGAUGACAUGAUGUAGAGUGAUAAACUCAAGCAAUAUGAUAUAAACCCCAUCUUUUUAUCCUCGAUGGCAACAAUACAAUACGUGCCUUGCUGCCCCUACUGUCACUGGGAAAGGACACCACAAGAUUGAACCCAAAGCUAAGCACUUCUCCUAUUGCAAGAAAGAUCAAUCUAGUAGGCCAAACCAAACCGAUAAUUUGAAGAGACUUGCAAAGAUAACCAAUCAUACAUAAAAGAAUUCAAAGAAGAUUUAAAUAUUGUUCAUAGAUAAACUUGAUCAUAAACCCACAAUUCAUUGGAUCUCGACAAACACACCACAAAAGAAGAUUACAUCGAAUAGAUCUCCAAGAGAAUCGAGGAGAACUUUGUAUUGAGAUCCAAAGAGAGAGAAGAAGCCAUCUAGCUAAUAACUAUCGACCCGAAGGUCUGAGGUAAACUACUCACACAUCAUCGGAGAGGCUAUGGUGUUGAUGUAGAAGCCCUCCGUGAUCGAUCCCCCCCCCCGGCGGAGCGCCAGAAAAGGCCCCAAGAUGGGAUCUCACGGGUACAGAAGGUUGCGGCGGUGGAAAUAGGGUUUCGUCGUGCUCCUCGAUGUUUUUAGGGUAUAAGAGUAUAUAUAGGCGAAGGAAGUCGGUCAGGAGAGGCACAAAGGGCCCACGAGGGUGGGGGGCGUGCCCACUGUCAGUGUCAAAACCGGUGGAUCUCGGGUAAGGAGUCCCGAACUGUGCGUCUAAGGUCGGUGGUAACAGGAGACGGGGGACACGAUGUUUACCCAGGUUCGGGCCCUCUCUAUGGAGGUAAUACCCUACGUCCUGCUUGAUUGAUCUUGAUGAAUAUGAGUAUUACAAGAGUUGAUCUACCACGAGAUCGUAAUGGCUAAACCCUAGAGGCCUAGCCUGUAUGACUAUGAUAAUGAGUAUCCGCCUAUCCUGACUACGCUCUCCGGUUUAUAUAGACACCGGAGAGAUCUAGGGUUACAUGGAGUCGGUUACAUAAAAAGGAAUCUACAUGAUUGAUCGCCAAGGCUUGCCUUCCACGCCAAGGAGAGUCCUGUUCGGACACGGGUGCAGUCUUCGGUCUUCGUAUCUUCACAGCCCAUCAAUCCGGCCCAUGGAUAAGACCCGAACCUGGCUUCAAUGACGAGGAGUCCGGCGCGCAGAUUUGUCCUCGGCAUUGCAAGGCGGGUUCCCUCCUUCCGAACUCCAGAAUAGUCUUUGGACGUAGUGAGUAUAUCCGGACCUAUGUAUACAAUUGCAAAGAAUACAAUAUUCCACGAGUCCAAUCUGCUGACAACUGUUUGUGACAUUACAUCACGCCUACCCAGAUAUUAUUUCGAACCGUUGGCUAGCCCGCCGUCCCACGUCUCGAGACACGGUUUUACUGGCACGUCUUGUCAAAGCAAAGAUCGUGUCCCCUUAUUCACGGGAUUUUCAUCAAUGCGGGCGUGGGUAACCUGAUGUCUACUACGCAACCUUCUCCUUGUAGACGUUGUUGGGCCUCCAAGUGCAGAGGUUUGUAGGACAGUAGCAAAUUUCCCUCAAGUGGAUGACCUAAGGUUUAUCAAUCCGUGGGAGGCGUAGGAUGAAGAUGGUCUCUCUGAAGCAACCCUACAACCAAAUAACAAAGAGUCUCUUGUGUCCCCAACACACCCAACACAAUGGUAAAUUGUAUAGGUGCACUAGUUCGGCGAAGAGAUGGUGAUACAAGUGCAAUAUGGAUGGUAGAUAUAGCUUUUUGUAAUCUGAAAAUAUAAAAACAGCAAGGUAACUAAUGAUAAAAGUGAGUGUAAACGGUAUUGCAAUGAUAGGAAACAAGGCCUAGGGUUCAUACUUUCACUAGUGCAAGUUCUCUCAACAAUAAUAACAUAAUUGGAUCAUAUAACUAUCCCUCAACAUGCAACAAAGAGUCACUCCAAAGUCACUAAUAGCGGAGAACAAGCGAAGAGAUUAUGGUAGGGUACGAAACCACCUCAAAGUUAUUCUUUCCAAUCAAUCCGUUGGGCUAUUCCUAUAAGUGUCACAAACAGCCCUAGAGUUCGUACUAGAAUAACACCUUAAGACACAAAUCAACCAAAACCCUAAUGUCACCUAGAUACUCCAAUGUCACCUCAAGUAUCCGUGGGUAUGAUUAUACGAUAUGCAUCACACAAUCUCAGAUUCAUCUAUUCAAACCAACACAAAGUACUUGAGUGCCCAAAAGUUUCUACCAGAGAAUCAAGACGAAAACGUGUGCCAACUCCUAUGCAUAGGUUCAUGGGUGGAACCCGCAAGUUGAUCACCAAAUCAUACAUCAAGUGAAUCACGUGAUAUCCCAUUGUCACCACAGAUACGCACGGCAAGACAUACGUCAAGUGUUCUCAAGUCAUUAAAGACUCAAUCCGAUAAGAUUACUUCAAAGGGGAAACUCAAUCCAUUACAAGAGAGUAGAGGGGGAGAAGAAACAUAAGACCCAACUAUAAUAGCAAAGCUCGCGAUACAUCAAGAUCGUGCCAAAUCAAGAACAUGAGAGAGAGAGAGAGAGAGAGAGAGAUCAAACACAUAGCUACUGGUACAUACCCUCAGCCCCGAGGGUGAACUACUCCCUCCUCGUCAUGGAGAGCGUCGGGAUGAUGAAGAUGGCCACCGGUGAGGGAUUCCCCCUCCGGCAGGGUGCCGGAACAGGGUCCCGAUUGGUUUUUGGUGGCUACAGAGGCUUGCGGCGGCGGAACUCCCGAUCUAUUCUGUUCCCCGAUCGUUUUAGGGUAUAUGGGUAUAUAUAGGAGGAAGAAGUACGUCAGGGGAGCCACGAGGGGCCCACAAGGGUGGAGGGCACGCCCUAGGGGGGUGGGCGCGCCCCUACCUCGUGGCUCCCUCGUUUCUUUCCUGACGUGCACUCCAAGUCUAUCAGGUUGCGUUCCUUCCAAAAAUAACUUCUCCAGAAGGUUUCAUUCCGUUUCGACUCCAUUUGAUAUUCCUUUUCUUCGAAACACUGAAACAAGGGAAAAAACAGGAACUGGCACUGGGCUCUAGGUCAAUAGGUUAGUCCCAAAAAUAAUAUAAAAGUGCAUAGUAAAGCCCAUAAACAUCCAAAACAUAUAAUAUAAUAGCAUGGAACUAUAAAAAAUUAUAGAUAUGUUGGAGACAUAUCAGCAUCCCCAAGCUUAAUUCCUGCUCGUUCUCGAGUAGGUAAAUGAUAAAAACAGAAUUUUUGAUGUGGAAUGCUACCUAACAUAUUUCUCAAUGUAAUAUUCUUUAUUGUGGCAUGAAUAUUCAGAUCCAUAAGCUUCAAAACAAAAGUUUAAUAUUGACAUGAAAACAAUAAUAUUUGAAGCAUACUAGCGAAGCAAUCAUGUCUUCUCAAAAUAACAUGGCCAAAAAAACUUAUCCCUACAAAAUCAUAUAGUCUGGCUAUGCUCUAUCUUCAUCACAUAAAGUAUUUAAUCAUGCACAACCCCGUUGACAAGCCAAGCAAUUGUUUCAUACUUUUGAUGUUCUCAAACUUUUUCAACUUUCACACAAUACAUGGGCGUGAGCCAUGGACAUAGCACUAUAGGUGGAAUAGAAUGGUAGUUGUGGAGAAGACAAAAAGGAGAUGAUAGUCUCACAUCAACUAGGCGUAUCAAUAGGCUAUGGAGAUACCCAUCAAUAGAUAUCAAUGUGAGUGAGUAGGGAUUGCCAUGAAACGGAUGCACUAGAGCUAUAAGUGUAUGAAAGCUCAACAAAAGAAACUAAGUGGGUGUGCAUCCAACUCGCUUGCUCAUGAAGACCUAGGGCAUUUUGAGGAAGCCCAUCAUUGGAAUAUACAAGCGAAGUUCUAUAAUGUAAAAUUCCCACUAGUAUAUGAAAGUGACAACAUAGGAGACUCUCUAUCAUGAAGAUCACGGUGCUACUUUGAAGCACAAGUGUGGUAAAAGGAUAGUAGCAUUGCCCCUUCUCUCUUUUUCUCUCAUUUUUUUGCCUUCUCUUUUUUCUGGCCUCUUUUUUCUCUGUUUUUUAUUUGGGCUUCUUUGGCCUCUUUUAUUUAUUUAUUUUUUCGUCCAGAGUCUCAUCCCGACUUGUGGGGGAAUCAUGGUCUCCAUCAUCCUUUCCUCACUGGCACAGUGCUCUAAUAAUGAUGAUCAUCACACUUUUAUUUACUUACAACUCAAGAAUUACAACUCAAUAGUUAGAACAAGAUAUGACUCUAUAUGAAUGCCUUUGACGGUGUACCGGGAUGUGCAAUGACUCAUGAGUGACAUGCAUGAAAGAAUUAUGAAUGGUGGCUUUGCCACAAAUACAAUGUCAACUACAUGAUCAUGCAAAGCAAUAUGACAAUGAUGGAGCGUGUCAUAAUAAACGGAACGGUGGUAAGUUGCAUGGCAAUAUAUCUCAGAAUGGCUAUGGAAAUGCCAUAAUAGGUAGGUAUGGUGGCUGUUUUGAGGAAGGUAUAUGGUGGGUGUAUGAUAUCGGUGAAAGGUGUGCGGUAUUAGAGAGGCUAGCAAUGGUGGAAGGAUGAGAGUGCGUAUAAUCCAUGGACUCAACAUUAGUCAUAAAGAACUCACAUACUUAUUGCAAAAUGUAUUAGUUAUCAAAAUGAAGUACUACGCGCAUGCUCCUAGGGGUAUAGGUUGGUAGGAAAAGACCAUCGCUCGUCCCCGACCGCCACUCAUAAGGAAGACAAUAAAUAAAUAAAUCAUGCUCCGACUUCAUCACAUAACGGUUCACCAUAUACGUGCAUGCUACGGGAAUCACAAACUUUAACACAAGUAUCUCUCAAAUUCACAACUACUCAGCUAGCAUGACCCUAAUAUCACCAUCUUCAUAUCUCAAAACAAUCAUAAAGAAUCAAACUUCUCAUAGUAUUCAAUGCACUUCAUAUGAAAGUUUUUAUUAUAUCCCUCUUGGAUGCCCAUCAUAUUAGGACUAGUUUCAUAACCCAAGCAAAUUACCAUGCUGUUUAGGACUCUCAAAAUAAUAUAAGUGAAGCAUGAGAGUUCAUAUAUUUCUUCAAAAUAAACCCACCGCUGUGCUCUAAAAGGAUAUAAGUGAAGCACUAGAGCAAACGACAAACUACUCUGAAAGAUAUAAGUGAAGAUCAAUGAGUAGUCGAAUAAGUAUGCAACUAUGUGAAGAAUCUCUAACAUUUAAGGAUUUCAGAUCUUGGUAUUUUAUUCAAACAGAAAGCAAAACAAAAUAAAAUGACAUGACGCUCCAAGCAAAACACAUAUAAUGUGGUGAAUAAAAAUAUAGCUCCAAGUAAAGUUACCGAUGAACGAAGACGAAAGAGGGGAUGCCAUCCGGGGCAUCCCCAAGCUUAGACACUUGGUUAUCCUUGAAUAUUACAUUGGGGUGCCUUGGGCAUCCCCAAGCUUAGGCUCUUUCCACUCUUUAUUCCAUAGUCCAUCGAAUCUUUACCCAAAACUUGAAAACUUCACAACACAAAACUUAACAGAAAACUCGUAAGCUCCUUUAGCGAAAGAAAACAAAACACCACUUCAAGGUACUUGUAAUGAACUCAUUAUUUAUUUAUAUUGGUGUUAAACCUACUGUAUUCCAACUUCUCUAUGGUUUAUAAACUACUUUACUAGCCAUAGAUUCAUCAAAAUAAGCAAGCAACACAAUAAAAAUAGAAUCUGUCAAAAACAGAACAAUCUGUAGUAAUCUGUAACUAACUCAAACUUCUGGAACUUAAAAAAAUUCUAAAAUAAAUUGGUGGACCUGAGGAAUUUGUCUAGUAAUCAUCUGCAAAAAGAAUCUCUCCAGUAAUUUUUUUAGCUAAUCUCGUGAGCGCUAAAGUUUCUGUUUUUUUACAGCAUGAUCAUAAAGACUUCACCCAAGUCUUCCCAAAGGUUCUACUUGGCACAAACACUAAUUAAAACAUAAAAACACAUCUAACCAGAGGAUAGAUGAAUUAUUUAUUCCUAAAUAGAAGCAAAAAGCAAAAAAAAAACUAAAAAUAAAAUUGGGUUGCCUCCCAACAAGCGCUAUCGUUUAACGCCCCUAGCUAGGCAUGAUGAUUUCAAUGAUGCUCACAUAAAAGAUAGGAAUUGAAACAUAAAUAGAGCAUCAUGAAGCAUAUGGCUAGCACAUUUAAGUCUAACCCACUUCCUAUGCAUAGGGACUUUGUGAGCAAACAACUUAUGGGAACAAGAAUCAACUUGCAUAGGAAGGUAAAACAAGCAUAACUUCAAGAUUUUAAGCACAUAGAGAGGAAACUUGAUAUUAUUGCAAUUUCUACAAGCAUAUAUUCCUCCCUCAUAAUAAUUUUCAGUAGCAUCAUGAAUGAAUUCAACAAUAUAACCAGCACCUAAAACAUUCUUUUCAUGAUCUACAAGCAUAGAAAAUUUACUACUCUCCACAUAAGCAAAAUUCUUCUCAUUCGGAAUAGUGGGAGCAAACUCAACAAAAUAACUAUCAUGUGAUUGAGAAUUAAGAUCAAGAUGACAAGUUUCAUGGUUAUCAUUAUUCUUUAAAUCAUACGUGUCAUCACAAUAAUCAUCAUAGAUAGGAGGCAUGCUUUCAUCAUAGUAAAUUUGCUCAUCAAAGCUUGGGGGACAAAAAAUACCAUCUUCAUCAAACAUAGCUUCCCCAAGCUUGUGGCUUUGCAUAUCAUUAGCAUCAUGGAUAUUCAAGGAAUUCAUACUAACAACAUUGCAAUCAUGCUCAUCAUUCACAUAUUUUAUGCCAAGCAUUCUAUGUAAUUCUUCUUCUAGCACUUGAGCACAAUUUUCCUUUCCAUCAUUCUCACGAAAGAUAUUAAAAAGAUGAAGCGUAUGACGUAAACUCAAUUCCAUUUUUUGUAGUUUUCUUUUAUAAAGUAAACUAGUGCUAAAACAAGAAACAAAAAGAUUCAAUUGCAAGAUCUAAAGAUAUACCUUCAAGCACUCACCUCCCCGGCAACGGCGCCAUAACCCAACCGUCCCCUGGGUACAACUCUUUGGAGAUAGGUAAGUUUCAAGACCCAGGAGGAGACGCUCAAUAUUCGGGGUCUUUAUAUAGGGACCCGAACCCGUCUUUUUUCCUUUGCGCUUGCUUCUUCCUCAACCCCAGCCACCUCGAGUUCCAACCCUCGUGUUCCAAUCGCCACCAGCCCCAAUCAUGUAUGGAUCCAGCCGUCAAGGCCGGUGGGUGGCUUCUUCUGUCACAGAGGAGGAUAUUGCAUAGGUCCACGCGGCGAGGUAUCUGACCCCAUAAAUCCUUCAUCGGCUUCCUGCAAAGGGGCAGGUUGUACCUACCCCCAGGUCCGGCGAGAGGGUAGUAUUUGUGUCCCACUUCCUCCACGGGUUAGGGUCCACGCUUAACCCCUUCGUCCUGGGGCUCAUGUUCUACUACGGGCUAGAUUUUCACGAUCAGGCCCCGACUCCAUUCUUCUCAUCUCGACAUUUAUCGUUUUGUGUGAGGCCUUCCUCCGGAUUCCUCCGCACUUUGGUUUGUGGCUCAAGACCUUUGACAUGAGGCCGCAGGUGAUAGAGGGGGAAUAGGCAGAGUGCGGCAGCGCCACAAUAGGCAAGCUUGCCAGCGCGGUUUGGUUCAAAGGAUCUUUCACCGAGUCUUCUGACCUAUGGCAGCAGGGGUGGUUCUAUAUCAACGGGCCGCGUGGCUCCAGGUGGGCGGCUAUGCCUGCGUUCCGACCCGGCCCUCCAAUUUAGCUUGCUUCAUGGAUCAAUAAGGGAUUGGACUGGGGAUCCAUCAAUGAAGUGCAGACUCUGCAGAGUCGCAUCCGAAGCCUUACCGAGAAGGGCAUCGAUCUUGUGAACAUCAUUCAAGUAAUGCUAGUCCGCCGGACCCUGCCAUGUCAGCGGCGGCCUCUCCGUAUGUGUGAGUUUAAUCCAGAAGGGCGGCAGACUCUUCAGCACUUCUUCGCCACCACGCACGAAGGAAUGUGGAAAUUAUAUUUCAGGGAACGAGGGCAAUGGCCGGACACCACCGAAGAUGUUGGCCUUGACUGCAAUCAUCCGGACACUUCGAUAAGUAUUCAAUCUCCGCACACCUUCCAUUCAAGCAUCUCUUGACAAGAUACUGAACAAUCCAUCCCUAUACAGGACUGGAUAAAGAAAGCGGUAUUAAUCUGGUGCUCGGCGCCCGUUCCCGAAGACUCAGCGAAUGCCCUGCUGACGGGAAUGCUGGCUUCGACACCGUACCAGGUGCCUGCAGAGGAGGGCAAGAACAGGGAGACCAGAGGUGAUCUCCGCCCCAAGGAUAGAUUAGAUGUUGUGUUCGGGGAAACCUAAACCCUUUUGCCCGAGGGCAAAGGUGCAGAGGAAGUCUUUCAUGGCAAGAAGAGGGCCGCUUCCGAAGAUCAGGAGGGGAAACUUUCCAAGAGAGGCAAAAUGCCAUCGUCGGGCAGCUUGGGCCGGGCAAGCGAUGUUGCCAUAGAGCUUUAUGAUGAGGACAAGCCUUUGGUCAAACCGUAAGUGAAGCAGGGUACUUUAAACAUACCUCAUUCUUUUCCUAUUACAGAAGUAAUCAUCCGAUAUAUGUACAUCUUCGCAGGUUAACGCCCGGUGUUUCUCAACCCUCCUCCUCCUCGGGACACCUUCUUCCGGAGAUGAUGGAGAGCGGUACGCCUUCUCCGGCCUUCUCGCCCAAUAGGGCAGAUGAUUUUGAGGUAUCAUCCUGGAGGGCCCCUACCGAUCGACAAGUAGUGCAGGGGACGAAGAAGGUGUUACCCAAAGGUGGUGCGCCUGGGUGACCGCUGUGGGAGGUUCUGCUCUCUUUUGGCUUGAUGCUUGGAAUGUGGGAGGUUCUUCCAGACUGUUGAACUUGAGGCUUCCAAGAUUAUUCUCUUUUGUUCUGGAUGACAAGCUCUCCGUCAGAGACUUCAUACAAAACCAGGACUUGUUUUCCAUGUUCCAUCUGCCAAUCUCACAAGAGGCAGCAGCAGAACUGGAAAUUUUGGAAGGAUGGUUAUUUAAUCUUCAGAGAGACCCCACCCUGCCUGAUGUAUGGCUCUGGCCUGGCAAAUCUGGACAGUUUUCGGCUAAGAGCUUCUAUGUGAUCAUGCACUCACACCUUCCAACUAUCCAACCUUGCAAGUGGCUGUGGCAGAGCAGGUGUACUAUGAAAAUUAAGGUCUUUGGCUGGCUCCUUUUCUUUGACAGGCUCAAUACUAAGGACAUGUUAGUCAGAAGGCACUAGAGGCCCCCUCUGGAUGAUAAUUUAUGUGUCAUCUGCAAUGCGUUUGUCUAUGAGGACAGAGCACAUCUUUUCUUUGAAUGCAAUUUCAGUUGCAGGGUUUGGAAUUAUUUGCAGCUAGAUUGGAAUCAUGGCUCAAAUAUUCAACAGUGCAUCUCCCACGCAAGGCAAAGUUUUGGCCACCCAUUCUUAUUUGAAGUGAUGCUCACGGCUGCUUGGAAUAUUUGGAUUCUGAGGAAUGGACGAACCUUCAGGGGGACGAGGGCUACUUUUGGUGCAUGGAGAUGUAAUUUUAUUCAUGAUAUCCUUCUAUUGUCUCAUAGACUCAAGGAUACCCUUAGGACUAGACUUGUUGACUGGGUUAACUCCCUCAUGUAAAGUAAGCUUUCUUUCUUUUAGCUUAGGCCUGUAAAUAUUGUAACCUCUGUACAGUUUGGUUUUGUUUGGUUGAGGCAAUAAAGGGCUGUGGGGUUUUUACCCUAGAUUAAAUAUUAAAAAAAAGAACGUUUUGAACAAGGCCUUCACGAGCCUUCUAAGAGGUUUCGAGGUUUGUGAUGUAAUUUUGCCAAUUGAAUUUUAUUGACAGAAUGCACCUGUUGUAUAUGCAGUAGCCCCUGAGACUCGGAUUGCCUUCCGAAGGAAGCAAUCGGAGGAUCAAAAAGAUAUGCUUAGGUACUAACCUUGAUUUAAUUCUGAAUACAGGCUGCCUCCCCCCGGCGGCUACCCGAAACAUGGAAGUGGCCAAACUGCAGCGAAAGCUGGAUGUUGCGGGGGAUGACAUUGCAUUGAUCAACAUGCGUCUUGAUGACUCUCGCAAGGUAUAUAUUUCGAGCAUUCCUUACACCAAUGUGCUUAUAAUUUAAGCCUGAUGCUGAAAAGAGUUUUAUAUGAAAUGUGCAUGAAUGCAGAUGGUGCUACCGCCAUUGAAGCUCUUCGGGCGGAGCUAGACCGGGCCAAGGAGCAGGCCCGGUGUAGUAAUGCGGCUGCCAAAAAGGCAUAAGAUGAUCUAAGAGCCGAACAAGCAGCUCAGCACCAAAAUGAGGAGAAAAUAUCCGCACUGGCGCUUGAAUCGAAGAAUGCUGCUAGCCGCUGUGAAUAUCUUGAGAAGGAGAAUAAAGCCAAAACGGCUGAACUUGAUAAGGCCUUACGAGAGGCGAGUGAAGCUCGGUCUGAAUCCAGGUCAGCUCGCGAAGAGAUUCGACAGGCUAAGGAGAUAGCGGCCGGUAAGCCCUUUUUUGCUUCAGACUAAGUUUGGCGAUCCGGACUAUGCUCAGCUGAACCAGGUCUGGAGUUCUCUGGCUGAAUUUUUGGACUUGCCGAAGAGUUCUUUCGAUGUGGCGUAGUUUUACCAAGCGCAAGAGGGGUAUGCAAUGGAGAAGCUUUUCUGGUCACAAUUUGGCGCAUCAAAGCGCACUCUGUUGCUGAAUGAACAGAUGUCCCAAUGGGUCGAGCUUCAUAGGAUAUCCGGCGACGCCAUGAAGAACGUCAUAAUCCGGUUGUGGCCAAAUGAGCCUAUUCUGAAGAGUUACUUUGGCUUGGUGCGGCAUCUUGUUGACGCGGUGCCACGUAUCGACACUGUGAAGCGAUCGACAUGCAUUGAAGGUGCACGGAUGGCCUUUGCCCGAGUCAACACAUUCUGGGGGAAGAUGAAGGCCAUCGAUGUUGCGGCGACGAGUCUGCCCAAGGGCAAGGACCGUAAUGAGACGGAGCAUUAUUUUUAAGACGUCCUGGAAGCCGCCCGCCUGAUAGAGGGUCAAUGCUCGAAGAACAUAAUGUUCAAGUCAGGUGUAUUAGAAUUGUAAAAGACAAUUUUAUAAUUAAUCUAUUUUGAUAUAUUGCUCAAAAGCUUGUGCUCCUCCUAUGCGGUCGUUUUAAUAUAAUCUGAAAGUUUUCUAGUCGUCGGCUUCAGCCCCCUCGUAGGAAGUACGGGGGUGUUCGAAAAAAGCAUGUAAUCUCUCUUGAUCAAACUCUUGGUCCAUAAAGGAGGUGACAAUGCGGCGAAUCAGGCAAUCGGACUAUAGGGCGUUAACACUUUCACUUAGCCAUAGGAGUUCUUUAGGUGGGGUUACGAUAUAGCCCUUGGUAUGUAUACGACUUAUUCCGAUGUGAUGUGUUACAUAUAUGACCUGAAAAGGAGGCCUUCGUGUUACAUGGAGGAAUUGCGACAGAUUCCGAUAAGUCAUCGAGUGGUUGACGAGCUCACGCAGCAUCAUGAUAGUCGGUUUUCAGCUUUCUCUACUGAGGUGCUUGACCAGAUGAACCGGAAGCACAAUCGCAGUAGUUCUCCCUUUACUACGCUAGCCGAUAGAGCGGAAUGUAAGGUAGCAAGCAUAGGAGCCAGGCAACCCAACCAUUGACCCAAGACAUGAUUCGGAGCUGAUGCAUAUAAGGCCAAAACUCGUGACGCCGAAGUAUGCUAUAAAGAUGUUCGGACUUUGCUGGCAACUCAUUUGUUCCCAUACCGAGCCCCUGGCAGGUUAUGCCGAGGUGCAUCUGUAAAGCAGCCAUUAAGGCCGUACUCAUUGUUGAAAGAGUAUGAAAGAUUAGUUCGGAUAAAGUUUACUGGGAGCGAAACGAUAUGCCAAUGAUAAAUUCAUAUUUAUAAAAACCACAAACCCGGCUAUUUGACAUGCUCGGGGUCGGGAACGAAGGAGAAAGGCAUAGUACAGGCUCAAAAUAAAGAGUGCGGUCUACAAAAAGUUAUUUUGGACCUCUUGUUGCACGUCUGCGCUGCCCGUCCUCGGGAGGGAGGGGGGGAAUCCUUAACUGAAGUUGCCCCUUAGGUGAGUGUACGGAUCCGAACUCCGAUAGUGUCCGUUAUAGAUGCUGUCCUUUUCGUCACCCGUUUUUAAGAGAUAAUAUUGAAAGAAAAAAAUAAAAUAGGUAAAAAACGUUACGUGAAUGCUUGCAGGGUUGUCCGUAUUGUGCUUCCGUCGACGCCCAUGGUAUCUUGAGUGCGUAGUGAUGUACGCGCGGUGUAAAUUUUGCCGGUAUAGGAGGUGGGUGGUGGAAGCCGAACAGCUAUUUCCGUUCCGGGAGUGGUCGAACUUCAGAGGGAAACUAUUUCUGGCCCCUGGUGUUUGGCUGGUGAGCCGCUCCGUCGUCUUUAUCGCCUGGCGGCCUCCUCCCCUUGUGCUCGCCGUUGAGCUUGCCGGCCUGCUUGAAGACCCAACAGUUUCUGUUGGUAUGAUUAGCUGGCUUAUCAGGGUGGCCGUGAAUCUGGCAAGGUCGGUCCAAUAUGUUGGGAAACGUAGUAAUUUCAAAAAAUUUCCUACGCACACGCAAGAUCAUGGUGAUGCAUAACAACGAGAGGGGAGAGUGUUGUCUACGUACCCUCGUAGACCGGCAACGGAAGCGUUGACACAACAUAGAGGAAGUAGUCGUACGUCUUCUCAAUCCGACCGAUCCAAGCACCGAACGUACGGCGACUCCGAGUUCUGCACACGUUCAGCUCGAUGACGUCCCUCGAACCCCGAUCCAGCCGAGUGUUGAGGGAGAGUUUCGUUAGCACGACGGCGUGGUGACGAUGAUGAUGUUCUACCGAUGCAGGGCUUUGCCUAAGCACCGCUACGAUAUGAUCGAGGUGGAAUAUGGUGGAGGGGGGCACCACACACGGCUAAGGAACGAUCACGAAGAUCAACUUGUGUGUUCUAGGGAGCCCCCUUGCCCCCGCAUAUAAAGGAGGGAGGGGGAGGCCGGCCGGCCCUCUAGGCGCGCCCCCAAGAGGGGAAUCCUACUAGGACUCCAAGUCCUAGUAGGUUUCCACCUAAAGGAAGAGAGGGGGAAGGAAGGAGAGGGAGAGGGAGAAGGAAAGGGGGCGCCGCCCCCCUUCUCCUAGUCCAAUUCGGACCAGAGGGGAGGGGGCGCGCGGCCCCUCCUGGCCGGCCCCUCUCUCUCUCCACUAAAGCCCAAUAAGGCCCAAUACUUCCCCGGGGGGUUCCGGUAACCCCUCCGGCACUCCGGUUUUAUCCGAAACUUCUCCGGAACACUUCCGGUGUCCGAAUAUAGUCGUCCAAUAUAUCAACCUUUAUGUCUCGAACAUUUCGAGACUCCUCGUCAUGUCCGUGAUCACAUCCGGGACUACGAACAACCUUUGGUACAUCAAAACAUAUAAACUCAUAAUAAAACUGUCAUCGUAACGUUAAGUGUGCGGACCCUACGGGUUCGAGAACAAUGUAGACAUGACCGAGACACGUCUCCAGUCAAUAACCAAUAGCGGGACCUGGAUGCCCAUAAUGGCUCCUACAUAUUCUAUGAAGAUCUUUAUCGGUCAGACCCCAUAACAACAUACGUUGUUCCCUUUGUCAUCGGUAUGUUACUUACCCGAGAUUCGAUCAUCAGUAUACCAAUACCUAGUUCAAUCUCGUUACCAGCAAGUCUCUUUACUCGUUCCAUAAUACAUCAUCUCGCAACCAACUCAUUAGUUGCAGUGCUUGCAAGGCUUAAGUGAUGUGCAUUACCGGGUGGGCCCAGAGAUACCUCUCCGACAAUCGGAGUGACAAAUCCUAAUCUCGAAAUACGCCAACCCAACAUGUACCUUUGGAGACACCUGUAAUGCUCCUUUAUAAUCACCCAGUUAUGUUGUGACGUUUGGUAGCACCCAAAGUGUUCCUCCAGCAAACGGGAGUUGCAUAAUCUCAUAGUCAUAGGAACAUGUAGAAGUCAUGAAGAAAGCAAUAGCAAUAUACUAAACGAUCAAGUGCUAAGCUAGUGGAAUGGGUCAAGUCAAUCACAUCAUUCUCCUAAUGAUGUGAUCCCAUUAAUCAAAUGACAACUCAUGUCUAUGGUCAGGAAACAUAACCAUCUUUGAUCAACGAGCUAGUCAAGUAGAGGCAUACUAGUGACAUUCUGUUUGUCUAUGUAUUCACACAUGUAUUAUGUUUCUGGUUAAUACAAUUCUAGCAUGAAUAAUAAACAUUUAUCAUGAGAAUAAGGAAAUAAAUAAUAACUUUAUUAUUGCCUCUAGGGCAUAUUUCCUUCAGUCUCCCACUUGCACUAGAGUCAAUAAUCUAGUUCACAUCACCAUGUGAUUUAACAUCGAUAGUUCAUAUCAUCAUGUGAUUAACACCCAUAGUUCACAUCGUCAUGUGACCAACACCCAAAGGGUUUACUAGAGUCAGCAAUCUAGUUCACAUCGCUAUGUGAUUAACACCCAAAGAGUACUAAGGUGUGAUCAUGUUUUGCUUGUGAGAUAAUUUUAGUCAAUGGGUCUGACACAUUCAUAUCCGUAUGUAUUUUGCAAAUUUCUAUGUCAACAAUGCUCUUGCACGGCGCUACUCUAGCUAAUUGCUCCCACUUUCAAUAUCUAUCUAGAUCGAGACUUAGAGUCAUCCAGAUCUGUAUCAAAACUUGCAUCGACGUAAUUCUUUAUGACGAACCUUUUGUCACCUCCAUAAUCGAGAAACAUAUCCUUAUUUCACUAAGGAUAAUUUUGACCGCUGUCCAGUGAUCUACUCCUAGAUCACUAUUGUACUCCCUUGCCAAAAUCAGUGUAGGGUAUACAAUAGAUCUGGUACACAGCAUGGCAUAAUUUAUAGAACCUAUGGCCGAGGCAUAGGGAAUGACUUUCAUUCUCUUUCUAUCUUCUGCCGUGGUCGGGCUUUGAGUCUUACUCAAUUUCACACCUUAUAACACAGGCAAGAACUCUUUCUUUGACUGUUCCAUUUUGAACUACUUCAAAAUCAUGUCAAGGUAUGUACUCAUUGAAAAAAAAACUUAUCAAGCGUCUUGAUCUAUCUCUAUAGAUCUUGAUGCUCAAUAUGUAAGCAGCUUUACCGAGGUCUUUCUUUGAAAAACUCCUUUCAAACACACCUUUAUGCUUUGCAGAAUAAUUCUACAUUAUUUCCGAUCAACAAUAUGUCAUACACAUAUACUUAUCAGAAAUGCUGUAGUGCUCCCACUCACUUUCUUGUAAAUACAGGCUUCACUGCAAGUCUGUAUAAAACUAUAUGCUUUGAUCAACUCAUCAAAGCGUAUAUUCCAACUCCGAGAUGCUUGCACCAGUCCAUUGAUGGAUCGCUGGAGCUUGCACACUUUGUUAGCAACUUUAGGAUCAACUAAACCUUCUGGUUGUAUCAUAUACAACUCUUCUUAAAUAAAUCCCUUAAGGAAUGCAGGUUCGACAUCCAUUUGCCAAAUUUCAUAAAAUGUGGCAAUUGCUAACAUGAUUCGGACAGACUUAAGCUUCAAUACGAGUGAGAAAAUCUCAUCGUAUUCAACUCUUUGAACUUUGUCGAAAACUUUUUGCGACAAUUCGAGCUUUGUAGAUAGUAACACUACUAUCAGCGUCUGUCUUCCUCUUGAAGAUCCAUUAGUUCUCUAUGGCUUGCCGAUCAUCGGGCAAGUCCACCAAAGUCCAUACUUUGUUCUCAUACAUGGAUCCUAUCUCAGAUUUCAUGGCCUCAAGCCAUUUUGCGGAAUCUGGGCUCAUCAUCGCUUCCUCAUAGUUCGUAGGUUCGUCAUGGUCAAGUAACAUGACCUCCAGAAUAGGAUUACCGACCCACUUUGGUGCGGAUCUUACUCUGGUUGACCUACAAGGUUUUUGUAGUAACUUGAUCUGAAUUUUCAUGAUCAUCAUCAUUAGCUUCCUCACUGAUUGGUGUAGACAUCACUGGAACUGAUCUCUGUGAUGAACUUCUUUCCAAUUCAAGAGAAGGUACAACUACCUUAUCAAGUUUCUACUUUCCUCCCACUCACUUCUUUCGAGAGAAACUCCUUCUCUAGAAAGGAUCCAUUAUAAGCAACGAAUGUCUUGCCUUAGGAUCUGUGAUAGAAGGUGUACCCAAACAUUUCCUUUGGGUAUCUAUGAAGACGCACUUCUCCGAUUUGGGUUUGAGCUUAUCAGGAUGAAACUUUUCACAUAAGCAUCGCAGCCCCAAACUUUAAGAAACGAUAGCUUAGGUUUCUUGUGAAACCAUAGUUCAUACGGUGUCAUCUCAACGGAUUUAGAUGGUGCCCUAUUUAAUGUGAAUGCAGCUGUCUCUAAUGCAUAAUCCCAAAAAGAUAGUGGUAAAUCAGUAAGAGACAUCAUAGAUCGCACUAUAUCUAAUAAAGUGCGUUUAUGACGUUCGGACACACCAUUAUGCUAUGGUGUUCCAGGUGGCAUGAGUUUGUGAAAAUAUUCCACAUUGUUUUAAUUGAAGGCCAAACUCGUAACUCAAAUAUUUGUCUCUACGAUCAGAUUGUAGAAACUUAAUUUUCUUGUUACGAUGAUUCUUCACUUCACUAUGAAAUUCUUUGAACGUUUCAACUGUUUCAGACUUGUGUUUCAUUAAGUAGAUAUACCUAUAUCUGCUCAAAUCAUCUGUGAAGUUCAGAAAAUAACGAUACUUGCCACGAGCCUCAACACUCAUUGGACCACAUACAUCAGUAUGUAUUAUUUCCAAUAAGUCAGUUGCUUGCUCCAUUGUUCUGGAGAAUGGUGUCUUAGUCAUCUUGCCCAUGAGGCAUGGUUCGCAAGCAUCAAGUUAUUCAUAAUCAAGUGAUUCCAAAAGCCCAUCAGCAUGGAGUUUCUUCAUGCGUUUUACACCAAUAUGACUUAAACGGCAGUGCCACAAAUCUGUUGCACUAUCAUUAUCAACUUUGCAUCUUUUGGCAUCAAUAUUAUGUGCAUCACUGUGAUCGAGAUUCAGUAAACCAUUUACAUUGGAUGUAUGACCAUAAAAGGCUUUAUUCAUGUAAACAGAACAACAAUUAUUCUCUGACUUAAAUGAAUAAUCGUAUUGCAAUAAACAUGAUCGAAUCAUAUUUAUGCUCAACGCAAACACCAAAUAACAUUUAUUUAGUUCCAAUAUUAAUCCCAAAGGUUGAGGGAGUAUGCGAUGGUGAUCUUAUCAACCUUGGAAACAUUUCCAACACACAUCAUCGCUUCGCCCAUAACUAGUCUCUGUUUAUUUUGCAACUCCCGUUUCGAGUUACUACACUUAGCAACUGAACUAGUAUCAAAUACUGAGGGGUUGCUAUAAACACUAGUAAAUUACACAUCAAUAAUAUGUAUAUCAAAUAUACUUUUGUUCACUUUGCCAUCCUUCUUAUCCACCAAUUAUUUGGGGUAGUUACGUUUCUAGUGACCAGUCCUUUUGCAGUAGAAGCACUUAGUCUCAGGCUUAGGUCCAGACUUGGGUUUCUUCACUUGAGCAGCAACUUGCUUGCCGUUCUUCUUGAAGUUCCUCUUCCUUCCCUUUGCCCCUUUUCUUGAAACUAGUGAUCUUUGUCAAACAUCAACACUUGAUGUUUUUCUUGGUUUCUACCUUCGCCGAUUUUAGCAUCGCGAAGAGCUUGGGAAUUGUUUUCGUCAUCCCUUGCAUACUAUAGUUCAUCACAAAGUUCUACUAACUUGGUGAUGGUGACUAGAGAAUUCUAUCAAUCGCUAUUUUAUCUGGAAGAUUAACUCCCACUUGAUUCAAGCGAUUGUAGUACCCAGACAAUCUGAGCACAUGCUCACUGCUUGAGCUAUUCUCCUCCAUCUUUUAGCUAUAGAACUUGUUGGAGACUUCAUAUCUCUCAACUCAGGUAUUUGCUUGAAAUAUUAACUUCAACUCCUAGAACAUCUCAUAUGGUCCAUGACGUUCAAAACGUCUUUGAAGUCCCGAUUCUAAGCUGUUAAGCAUGGUGCACGAAACUAUCAAGUAGUCAUCAUACCGAGCUUUGCCAAACGUUCAUAACGUCUGCAUCUGCUCCUGCAAUAGGUCUGUCACCUAGCGGUGCAUCAAGGACAUAAUUCUUCUGUGCAGCAUUGAGGAUAAUCCUCAGAUCACGGAUCCAAUCCGCAUCAUUGCUACUAACAUCUUUCAACAUAAUUUUUCUCUAGGAACAUAUCAAAAUAAACAUAGGGAAGCAACAAUGCGAGCUAUUGAUCUACAACAUAAUUAUGCAAAUACUAUCAGGACUAAGUUCAUGAUAAAUUAAAGUUUGAUUAAUCGUAUUAUUUAAGAACUCCCACUUAGAUAGACAUCCCUCUAAUCCUCUAAGUGAUCACGUGAUCCAUAUCAACUAAACCAUAAUCGAUCAUCACGUGAAAUGGAGUAGCUUUCAAUGGUGAACAUCAAUAUGUUGAUCAUAUCUACUAUAUGAUUCAUGCUCGACCUUUCGAUCUUCGUGUUUCGAGGCCAUAUCUGCAUAUGCUAGGCUCGCCAAGUUUAACCUGAGUAUUCCGCGUGUGCAAAACUGGCUUGCACCCGUUGUAGAUGGACGUAGAGCUUAUCACACCCGAUCAUCACGUGGUGUCUGGGCACGAUAAACUUUGGCAAUGGUGCAUACUCAGGGAGAACACUUCUUGAUAAUUAGUGAGAGAUCAUCUUAUAAAGCUACCGUCGAACUAAGCAUGAUAAGAUGUAUGAAAGAUAAACAUCAUAUGCAAUCAAAAUAUGUGACUUGAUAUGGCCAUCAUCAUCUUGUGCCUUUGAUCUCCAUCUCCAAAGCAUUGUCAUGAUUUCCAUCAUCACCGGCAUGACACCAUGAUCUCCAUCAUCUUGAUCUAUAUCAAUGUGUCGUCACAUGGUCGUCUCGCCAACUAUUGCUCUUGCAACUAUUUCUAUCGCAUAGCGAUAAAGUAAAGCAAUUAUUUGGCGCUUGCAUCUUAUGCAAUAGAGAGACAACCAUAAGGCUUUUGCCAGUUGCCGAUAACUUCAACAAAACAUGAUCAUCUCAUACAACAACUUAUAUCUCAUCCCGUCUUGACCAUAUCACAUCACAACAUGCCCUGCAAAAACAAGUUAGACGUCCUCUACUUUGUUGUUGCAAGUUUUACGUGGCUGCUACGGGCUUAGCAAGAACCGUUCUUACCUACACAUCAAAAACCACAACGAUAGUUUGUCAAGUUGGUGCUGUUUUAACCUUCGCAAGGACCGGGCGUAGCCACACUCGGUUCAACUAAAGUGAGAGAGACAGACACCCGCCAGUCACCUUUAAGCAACAAGUGCUCGUAACGGUGAAACCAGUCUCGCGUAAGCGUACGCGUAAUGUCGGUCCGGGCCGCUUCAUCUCACAAUACUGCUGAACCAAAGUAUGACAUGCUGGUAAGCAUUAUGACUUAUAUCACCCACAACUCACUUGUGUUCUACUCGUGCACAACAUCAACGCAUAAAACCAGGCUCGGAUGCCACUGUUGGGAAACGUAGUAAUUUCAAAAAAUUUCCUAUGCACACGCAAGAUCAUGGUGAUGCAUAGCAACGAGAGGGGAGAGUGUUGUCUACAUACCCUCGUAGACCGGCAACGGAAGCGUUGACACAACAUAGAGGAAGUAGUCGUACGUCUUCUCAAUCCGACCGAUCCAAGCACCGAACGUACGGCGACUCCGAGUUCUGCACACGUUCAGCUCGAUGACGUCCCUCGAACCCCGAUCCAGCCGAGUGUUGAGGGAGAGUUUCGUUAGCACGACGGCAUGGUGACGAUGAUGAUGUUCUACCGACGCAGGGCUUCGCCUAAGCACCGCUACGAUAUGAUCGAGGUGGAAUAUGCUGGAGGGGGGCACCGCACACGGCUAAGGAACGAUCACGAAGAUCAACUUGUGUGUUCUAGGGUGCCCCCUUGCCCCCGUAUAUAAAGGAGGGAGGGGGAGGCCGGCCGGCCCUCUAGGCGCGCCACCAAGAGGGGAAUCCUACUAGGACUCCAAGUCCUAGUAGAUUUCCACCUAAAGGAAGAUAGGGGGAAGGAAGGAGAGGGAGAGGGAGAAGGAAAGGGGGGCGCCGCCCCCCUUCUCCUAGUCCAAUUCAGACCAGAGGGGAGGGGGCGCGCGGCCCCUCCUGGCCGGCCCCUCUCUCUCUCCACUAAAGCCCAAUAAGGCCCAAUACUUCCCGGGGGGUUCCGGUAACCCCUCCGGCACUCCGGUUUUAUCCGAAACUUCUCCGGAACACUUUCGGUGUCCGAAUAUAGUCGUCCAAUAUAUCAACCUUUAUGUCUCGAACAUUUCGAGACUCCUCGUCAUGUCCGUGAUCACAUCCGGGACUCUGAACAACCUUCGGUACAUCAAAACAUAUAAACUCAUAAUAAAACUGUCAUCGUAACGUUAAGUGUGCGGACCCUACGGGUUCGAGAACAAUGUAGACAUGACCGAGACACGUCUCCGGUCAAUAACCAAUAGCGGGACCUGGAUGCCCAUAAUGGCUCCUACAUAUUCUACGAAGAUCUUUAUCGGUCAGACCGCAUAACAACAUACGUUGUUCCCUUUGUCAUCGGUAUGUUACUUACCCGAGAUUCGAUUGUCGGUAUACCAAUACCUAGUUCAAUCUCGUUACCAGCAAGUCUCUUGACUCGUUCUGUAAUACAUCAUCUCACAACCAACUCAUUAGUUGCAGUGCUUGCAAGGCCUAAGUGAUGUGCAUUACCGAGAGGGCCCAGAGAUACCUCUCCGACAAUCGGAGUGACAAAUCCUAAUCUCGAAAUACGCCAGCCCAACAUGUACCUUUGGAGACACCUGUAAUGCUCCUUUAUAAUCACCCAGUUAUGUUGUGACGUUUGGUAGCACCCAAAGUGUUCCUCCAGCAAACGGGAGUUGCAUAAUCUCAUAGUCAUAGGAACAUGUAGAAGUCAUGAAGAAAGCAAUAGCAAUAUACUAAACGAUCAACUGCUAAGCUAUUGGAAUGGGUCAAGUCAAUCACAUCAUUCUCCUAAUGAUGUGAUCCCAUUAAUCAAAUGACAACUCAUGUCUAUGGUCAGGAAACAUAACCAUCUUUGAUCAACGAGCUAGUCAAGUAGAGGCAUGCUAGUGACAUUCUGUUUGUCUAUGUAUUCACACAUGUAUUAUGUUUCCGGUUAAUACAAUUCUAGCAUGAAUAAUAAACAUUUAUCAUGAGAAUAAGGAAAUAAAUAAUAACUUUAUUAUUGCCUCUAGGGCAUAUUUCCUUCACAAUAUCCUGUCAAGGGUGGAUGGUCCGUCUUGGUUUUCCUUCAGUGGCUUCUUCCGUUGACCGGGUUUCGGAUUGUUAAAUCCGGCGUUGACCGCUGUGUCGCGUGAUCUUUCAUUGUUAUUGCAACUGGUGUGUUCGGUUCGUCGUGGCUUGCCGUUGCCGUCUCAGAUUUCGAAAGUGCCCGGGUCGCUGGCGUUGUUGCUUUUACGAGCGAGCCAAUUGUCUUCUCCUGCACAAAAGCGAAUCAUUAGAGCGGUAAGGGCUGUCAUGGAUUUGGGUCCUUCCUGGCCGAGGUGACGUGCUAGCCAUUCAUCCCGGGUGCUAUGUUUGAAGGCCGCAAGGGCUUCCGCAUCCGGGCAGUCGACAGUUUGGUCUUUUUGACUAAGAACCUAGUCCAGAGCUCCCUGGCUGACUCAUCGGGCUGCUGGACAAUAUGACUUAAGUCAUCGGCAUCCUGUGGCCGGACAUAUGUUCCUUGGAAGUUGUCUCGAAAGGCGUCUUCCAAAUCUUCCCAGCUGCCAAUAAAAUUUUCUGGCAGACUGUUUAGCCAGUACCGCGCUGGCCCUUUGAGCUUGAGAGGUAGGUAUCUAAUGGCAUGAAGGUCAUCUCCGCGACCCAUGUGAAUAUGAAGGAGGAAAUCCUCAAUCCAUACCGCAGGAUAUGUUGUUCCAUCAUAUGAUUCGAUGUUAAUGGGUUUGAACCCGUUUGGAAAUUCAUGCUCCAUUACCUCGUCAGUGAAGCAGAGAGGGUGUGCGGCUCCUUUAUGUUGGGCCCACGCUGUGAAGCACCUCCGGUGGAUUCCGUUUGCGGUUUUCAGACCGGACGUGGUCGGGUCUGUUGUGUCUGAAUAGGUAGCCAUCAUUGGCGGGCGCGGCACGUCUCCGCGAUCUGUACAUUGAUCUUGUGUGUCCUGCUCUGCCAUCCAGGUCUUGUUGGAUGUCGUGGGUAUUCCCCCGAACUGCUUUGUUUUUGAUUUGACGGCCGGGUGGGGUGGUAUGGUGUUCUGCUUGGGCUGCUACUUUAUCCGGACUGAACUGUGGUUGGCCUACCGCAUUAUGCGAUGGUGGUGCGGGCUCUAGCACCUCGCCAUCGUAUUGUGGGAGCCACCUACACUUGGGGUGGCUUUUGUCUGGCUGCUAAGGCCGUAUUCUUCGGUGGCCAGGACCUUGGUCCAUCUACCAUUGAGAAAAUCUUGGCUCGCUUGAAGUUGCAGCUGCUUCUUUCUUAGGCUCCUUGUAGUGGCUAUUAGCCGGCGUUUAAAGUGCUCCUGCUCGAGAGGUUCCUCAGGCAUGGUGAAAUCCUCGUUGCUGAGGCUCUCCUCUUCCUUGGAGAGUGGAAGAUAAUUACUAUCCUCCGAGUCUCCAUAUACGGCCUGUUCAUCAGGGCUAUCUUGCCCGCUUUCCUGUUCCUCCUGUUCGGAUCCUACCUCAACAGGGUCUUCAUUUUCCGGAGUGUUGUCUUCUCUGGUGCUAGUAUUGUUUUCUCUUGAGCGACGUGGCUUAGAGCGGCGCCGGGGGCGCCGGUGUUCGGACUGUGUCCCAGGAGGCUUAUCCUCAACUGGAUCCUCCUUGUCAUUGUCGAGAGCGUCGUUGGGUGUGCCUACCAUACACACGUCAUACCAGGAGGUGGCCGUCCCGCGUCUAGUGGAUGGUGAGUUCUAGCCUUGCCCCUCAUCGUCGUCCAUACCGUCGAUGUCUUUGGAGCCGGGGUCAAGCGUGUUGGUUGGGUCUUCGACAGUGGCUAUGAAGUGAGUGGCGGGUGGGAAGCAAGAUUCUCCAUCUUCCGCCGCAUGUUCGAACCGGACAUAGUUCGGCGGCCAAGGAUAGGUUUUUUAGUGAGUUCAGUACGUCGCCAUGGGCGAGUGUUGGAAGACGUCUACGGCGCUGAACUUGAAGAUCGAUAACCGAUUGAGUUCGUUAUCCGUGUACUCGCAGGGUUCGGAACUUAUCGCCGGAGACGAGUUCGGGGUUCCGUUGAUGCAGAUAUCAUAUGAAGUAGAGUCUGUGUGCGGCUCCAACACCGCGGAAUCGGCAGCCUCCGUGAUGGGGUUGAGCUUCCCAUCUUCGGAUGACUUGAUCUGCUCCAGAUCUAAGGCCAGAGUUGUUACAGGAGCUAUCUCCUAGAUGCAGCCCGAUGACAGGUUUAAGCCAUGCUUAUCGGGGCAAAGGGGAGUGGUUGCCGCGGUCUCAAAUCCGUCGAAGAUCGAGUCUCCACGGAUGUCCGCGACGUAGUUCAAGCUUCUGAAUCUAACCUGAAGGCCAGGGGCGUAGCUGUCGAUCUGCUCCAGAUGGCCAAGCGAGUUGGCCCGCAGUACGAAGCCGCCGAAUACGAAGAUCUGUCUGGGGAGGAAGGCUUCUCCCUAGACAACGUCAUUAUAGACGAUCGAAGGGGCCAUCGGACCCUUUGCCGACGGCACAGUGGAACUCUCAAUGAAAGCACCAAUGUCGGUGUCAAAACCGGCGGAUCUCGGGUAGGGGGUCCCGAACUGUGCGUCUAAGGUCGAUGGUAACAGGAGAUGGGGGACAUGAUGUCUACCCAGGUUCGGGCCCUCUCUAUGGAGGUAAUACCCUACUUCCUGCUUCAUUGAUCUUGAUGAAUAUGAGUAUUACAAGAGUUGAUCUACCACGAGAUCGUAAUGGCUAAACCCUAGAGGCCUAGCCUGUAUGACUAUGAUAAUGAGUAUCCGCCUAUCCGGACUACGCUCUCCGGUUUAUAUAGACACAGGAGAGAUCUAGGGUUACGUGGAGUUGGUUACAUAAAAAGGAAUCUACAUGAUUGAUCGCCAAGCUUGUCUUCCACGCUAUCUUCGGUCUUUGUAUCUUCACAGCCAUCAGUCCGGCCCAUGGCUAACAGGCCGGCCGCCCGAGGACCCCUUAGUCCAGGACUCCCUCACCCACCCCAUGGGGUGCGCCUCCCUGCCUCGUGGCCUCCUCACUUGUUUCUUGACGUCCACUCCAAGUCCCCUGGAUCACGUUUGUUCCAAAAAUCACGCUCCCGGAGGUUUCAUUCCGUUUGGACUUCGUUUGAUAUUCCUUUUCUGCGAAACACUGAAAUAGGCAAAAAAAACGACAAUUUGGGCUGGGCCUCCGGUUAAUAGGUUAGUCCCAAAAAUAAUAUAAAAGUGUAUAAAUAAGUCCAUUAAACAUCCAAAACAGAUAAUAUAAUAGCAUGGAACAAUAAAAAAUUAUAGAUACGUUGGAGACGUAUCAGAGGCAAAUAAGGCCCAGCGAGACAGAUAGACAGAGAGAAUGGAGCUAGGAGGUGGUGCGAGAGGCCGAGCUACUAGCUAGAUAGGGGGAGGAGUGUGCGGUUGUGAGAUCGAUGAAAAGAGGGGAGAGAGUUUACACGUGUGUGGGACCGUAUGAGAGACACGAGGCAUGGACACAGAAAGGAGGAGAUGGAAGGUGCGUGUGUAUGUUGUAGGCAGACAUCGCCGGAGAUGUUUAUCGAUCCGUGUGUGUCGGAAAGGAGUUGUGGAGACUGUGGGAGAACGACCUAAAGAAGAAAAAAAAUGUGCGCGAUGGAUGGAAUGCUGAGGGAGGGGGAGGGCGAGGAGGGCGUGUGUGUGCACGAGAGAAAGUUAGUGCUAGCUACAAAGGUUAGAGGAUUGUGUGGGUGUAAAAGACUAACAAAGAUCAUAAUUUGAUAUGAAAGUGGAUUCAUAUAUUUGAAUAGGAGAUCAUAGUGUUAUAAACAUAUGCAUGCAUGAAUAUAGCGGUGAUACGCGUGUUGUGGGUUUGCACAUGUUAUACCAUAAUGUGAUAAUGCAUGGCAUUUGCAACUCACAGCUAAAUGUUGAACAAUCUAAACCAUACUAUACAUCGAACAAUCUCACAUUUUAUUUGAAUUUGUGAUAAUGUGUGGUGUUUGUAGCUUACAACUAAAUAUCGAACAAUCUAAACAAUACUAUAUAUAUCGAACAAUCUCACAUUUUAUUUGAAUUUGUGGUAAUGUGUGGUGUUUGCAACUCACAUCUAAAUACUUGUAGGCGUAGGGGGCGGGGCACCAUACAUUAUGUGAUAAACACAUUAUACAUAUGAGACAUGGUUUAGAUUAUGAAGAUCUAGCUAGAGCUUGAAAUGUACUGUGAUUUGAAAACAGCAUAAAGUGGAUUCAAAAAAUUGUGUUCGAGUUCAUAUAGUACACAUAGUUCAUAUCUAACUCGAGAGUAAUCAUGUGGUGUGCUGUGAAGAUAAUACACGAACGAUGGUUUAACUUGACAAUAAUGAUGAUUGUAUAUCUUAUUAAAAUAGAGAAACAAAUUCAAAUGGGUUGACUUCACAGCAAUCAUUAUUGUAGAUCUUAUUCAAAUAGAGAAACAAAUUCAAAUUUAGUUCAUAUUUAAGCGGUAGUAUAUACCUUUGGAAUGCACUAAAACGUUCAUUUGAGUAGCAAGUUGCAUGCAUUAUACACGUAGCGAAGUAUUUUAAUUGAACAUAACAUGAAUUCAAAGUUUUGAAUGACAUUUUGUAGUGCGAAUUGAUUUGGUACAGUACACAGGACUAGACUCUCUUGUGUGCUGCGAAUUGAUUUUUUUUGUUUUUUCGUCGACGGAAGUGCGAAUUGAUUUGGUACAGUACACAUUAGGCUUGUCCGGAAAUUUCAACCCGCGCCUUGUUACCCCGAAAUAUUUAAGAUAUAUCUUUGUCUCGUUGUGCUCCGACAACUCCCUCCAUCUCAACCCGCGCCUUGCUAUUCCAAAAUUACAACACGCGCGAAAACUCCCACCUCCUGUGAAAUCCUGACACGCGAAAUGCCCGUGAUACCCCUGAACCGAAAGAACCGCCUAGGUCAAAUCGGUGGGGGUACUUUCAUAACUUACCCCACAUUUCGGACAAGCGCGUCCCUAAGCCAUGGUUCCCCACUCCCAUCCCAUCCGCCCACCCAUUCGUACACCGAGGCCGCGAAAACCCGCGAAGCCCCACACCCUCCUCCAUCCGCAACCCAACCGGAGCCUCUUCCCUGACGACGCCGUCCAGAUCAACACCUCAACGUCCCUCAUCCACCGUACCAGAUGAGGAUCCGUCGUCGAUCUCGUCGUCCCGCCGGUUCAGCCACCCCGUCCUCCACCUCCAAGGAGCUGCCCCGAUGUUCCCCUCGUCUUCCCCGCCACCUCCAUUCCCACACUGCCGUCUUCACCUGCACCACCGGAAGAGCAUCAUCAUCACCGUUUCCUCGGAUGAAGCUGAGGCCUAAUCGGUGCCACCAAAGAGGCUGUACACUAAUCACCACAUUUUCUUCUUGAUUCGACUCACGGUGCUGCCGGCGCUCGGUCCCGAGCCAACACGGCGUGGCUCCAUCCACGGCGACAUCGCCGGCCACUUCCUCCACGGCGUCGCUCCCUUGGCGGCGACAUCCACAUUAGUAGGAGCUGCUGCUGCUUUAGCUCUCGCUCGUGCUGCUGCUCUGCUCUUGCUCUCGGUCCCCUGCUUGGUUUGAUAUUGUUAUUGCUCUUGCUCUUGCUCUUGCUACUGCUCUCGCUCUUGCUCUUGCUUGCGAUGCUGCUCCGAUUUAGCUACACUUCAGUCGACUAAAUCGACUUUCGGGUCAGUCAAUUUUCAGGGGGUGGGGGGCUCACCGGAGUUAAGGAAUAACCAGCCGCAGCGGGGAGGGGGGCUCGCCGGAGAGGUACCGCACUAUCUAUCUUAGGGUUUAGGGUGGGGGCGNNNNNNNNNNNNNNNNNNNNNNNNNNNNNNNNNNNNNNNNNNNNNNNNNNNNNNNNNNNNNNNNNNNNNNNNNNNNNNNNNNNNNNNNNNNNNNNNNNNNNNNNNNNNNNNNNNNNNNNNNNNNNNNNNNNNNNNNNNNNNNNNNNNNNNNNNNNNNNNNNNNNNNNNNNNNNNNNNNNNNNNNNNNNNNNNNNNNNNNNNNNNNNNNNNNNNNNNNNNNNNNNNNNNNNNNNNNNNNNNNNNNNNNNNNNNNNNNNNNNNNNNNNNNNNNNNNNNNNNNNNNNNNNNNNNNNNNNNNNNNNNNNNNNNNNNNNNNNNNNNNNNNNNNNNNNNNNNNNNNNNNNNNNNNNNNNNNNNNNNNNNNNNNNNNNNNNNNNNNNNNNGGGGCUAGAGGGAUGGCCGGGGCGGCGGCGGACCGGCGGUGGGGAGUGGUUUCGGGGCGGUCGGGGCUGCGGGGGGCGGCUCUUUGGCCGGUGGUGGUUGGCGGCUCAGGGGGUGGAGGUUGAAGAUGAACUGCAGGCCCUUAAUUUUGUAUCCAACGGCUAGAAAAUCGACUGACCAAAGAUGAAAAAGUCAGUCGACUAACGUGUAGCCUCACCUGAUGCUGCUACACGACCAGCUGCCCCGGCUCUCGCACGCGCUGCUGCUGCUGCUACUACUUUUCUGCUACUAGUGCGUUCAGUUUCAACAGUACAAUUCAGUUACGACAGCAAAAUUCAGUUUCGACAGUUAAGUUCAGUUUCGACAGUUAAGUUCAGAGAUGAGCGGCUGAUGUAUUUUACAUCUAGCACUUUGUGGUUAUGUAUUUUAUGUCAUCUAUUGGAGAUGCUAUUAGAAUUCCACUCAGGUUAACGUUGUCUCUCCUGUCCUGCUUCAGCCUCGGCAUCGUACAACUCAUCGGAGCUGCUCCAACGACGAAACCCUCCAUCACAGCGGAGCAGUCCCCCGGGCUCCAUCUCAAGAUGCCUAAGAUCUUCUUCCCCUCCUCCGACAGCCAAGUCAGCCGGAUCAUCCUCACCGACCAAUCCAAUCACGCUGAGAUCGACAUGGCUUCGCCAAAGAGGUUGUACACUUGUUGCAUCUCUUUUUUACUCUACAUGUUAUAUAUAUUGUCCACUGAGCACACACAGUAACGUGAAAUAUGAUUAGUUUCUCCUACUAUAUGACAAGCAAUGAGGUACCAGGCAACUUAGCUAUCUGUGAUGGACUCUCUUGAAUGCCAUCAUUAUUUAUCUCUACGCGUUUGAGCUGUGCAUUUGUCGAUGGGCCUAGGAGUUGAGCUAGUAGGGCAGUGGCCUGGGUCCAAAGUAGUAGAAGUAGCACAAAAAUAUUUUUUGAGUGUAGGCUUUUCUUUGCUCAAGCCUGCCUGCUAGAAUUGCCAGUGCUUGAAAGGAAAAGUGAAGAAAAACAUAGGAAUUGGAAAGUUUCCUAUGGUACUACUAUUCAUGCAUUUGGUUCAAAGGAAUGCAACAAAGGAAAAUUGUAGGAUUUGUUCCUUUAGUGUCUCCUUGAAAGAAAAACCGUAGGAAUUUUAAUAUCCACUUGUCCUCCUUUUCAAAUUCCUAUUCAUGUAGCACAAGACUAAGAGAUAGUAGCAUAAUAGCAUUAUAACCGUACAUUUUCUUGUGGUUUGACUUAAUCUCACCCUGCUUCUUUGCAUCAUGUGAUCUUCCAAUUCUUGUGAACCAAACACUCAGAUUGGCAGAAAUCCUGUGUUUUUAAAUUCUCUGUUUUGCACGUGCAUUCCUAUCCUAUUACUGUGUAUUUCCUAUCCCUACAUUGUUAGAAUCCUCCAAUUCAAACAAGCCCUUACAGAAUUACUUCUCUUACAGAUAGUUGUCAAAGAAAACCUUGUGUGGUUUGUCCCGCUCCUACUGCGCCGUCGUCCACCCCAGCUCAGCGGCUCCAAUUACAGAAGGGUCCAGCACAGCAAGGAUCUGGCCUCUAGACCGUCUUUCGCCGCCUCAGAUCUUCUUCCCUGCUGCUGCCAGCCAUGACAACUGCAUUACCAUCAUCAACCGAGCAGAUGACCUCGAGGACUACACGGGUUCGCAAGAGAGGUCACACUCUUUCAUGUCUGCUUACGUUAUGCAUCGCUUAAUAUUACAUCGCUUAGAUGAUUCAGAGACAGAUGACCAGUCCUAUUUCCCCUCAAGGUGUAUGCUCUAACUUGGUAGGGUUAUGUUGCUCAUAUCGUGCGUAUGGUGUCUUGCAUUGCUAUGUCAUUUGAUUAGUUUAGACAUGCUUUGUGUGAAUGCCACCUGUUUAUUGUCUAAUUCCCAUAUAUGUGAAUUAUGCAUUGCCAUCUUGUUGCAAGACAUUAUAUAUGUGAAUUAUGUAAUGCUAUCUUGUUGUAAAGGCAUUAUAUAUGUGAAUUAUCCAAUGCCAUGCUGUUUAGCCAAUCAUCAUGUAUGUGAAUUAUAUCAUGCUAUAUAUUUUUUGUAUUACGUGUUCCAUUUGUCGACAACAUUUGUAUAUUCAACUACUCUUCCUGUGCAUCAGCCAUUUGAAGCGGUGAUGCAAGUAUCUGGAGUGAAAACAAGGUAUUCAGAGCAGACAAUGCUACGUGCUGAAGCAGACAUCUUGCUGGUCACAGAGAGCUCCUCAAAGGAGGAUUCAGAGACUGAUGACCAGUCCUAUUUCCCCCUAAGGUCUAUGCUCAAACUUGGCAGGGUUAUAUUACCCAUGUCAUGCAUGUUGUCUUGCAUUGCUUAGUUUUUACAUCAUAUAUGGAUUGCCAUCUGCUUACUUGCUUACUAUAUAAAUCAUAUAUUUGAAUUAUAUCAUGCCAUCAUGUUUACAUACACAACAUCUAUCUGAAUUAUGGCAUGGCAACCCAUUUAGUAGACAUCAUAUAGUUAUAUCAUCUCAUCCUGUUUAGUGUUUACAGUCAUCAUAUUUUGAAUUAUGUCAUUCUGUCCGUGAAUUAUAUCUUGCUAUCAUGUUUCCAUAGGCGGCAUGUAUGUGAAUUAUGGCAUGCCAACCUAUUUAAUAAAGACAUUGUAUAGUUAUAUCAUGCCAUCCUGUUUACAUAGUCAUCAUAUUUUGAACUAUGUCUUUCCAUCUUUUUUAGUUAGCCAUCAUAAUGUGAAAUUGUGUCAUGCUAUCCUAUUUAGUUAGCCAUCAUAUAUGUGAAAUUGUGUCAUGCUAUCCUGUUUGGUUAGACAGCAUAAAUGUGAAUUAUUUCAUGCCCUCUUUUAUUCCCCACUAUCCAUUGCACCUGUAUUAUCAUAAAAUGUCUACACAUUCAAUUACUUUUCUUGUUUAUAAGCCAUUUGAAUUGGAGAGGGUGAUGGCAGUUUCUAAGGGAGUAACAACACGGUCUUCAGAAAAGAUAGUGCUAACAGUUGAUGCAGAUAGAACCACUGUUGUACUUGCCCAAGAACCAACCCCACCAAACAUAACCCAGACUCUCGCAAACUGUACCCCUACCCAGUUGGACAGAGAACCAGCUACACCCCUUCUAACCCCAACCCCAAAAGAUAGUAACCCAGUUCCAGUCGACACAACACCGUCUCCACCACAGAGCACCCAAACACGAGCAAUUAGUAAGGGAACUGCAGUGCCCAAAGCACGAGGACCACCACUCCGAAUCCCAACUCAACGCGUAAAGGAGAAGAAGAAUUGUUCUCAUGUCAGGUUCUGUAGCUAUGGUUCAUACUCCUUUGCUCUUGCAUCACUGUAUUUACUCAUACCAACUAUUUUCAAAUUUGAAGGAUGGAAUUGAAACUCCAAUGGCGCAACAGGUAUGUUUUAAACCUGUUUCUUUAACUAGUUUGUUGUUGUAACUUGCUCUAUGUUGAUUCCGGUUUCAAUUGAAUAAACAUUUAUGUUCUCAUGUCAUGCACAUUACAAGUGUUGUUAUUGCUCUAUAGUUUCCCACACUUAUAUUCUGUCUAUUCUGCUUUGUCUUGAACCAUAAAGUGACCAUGGUACAUAGAUAUAUGUUUGUUUCAUGUUGUUAUCCUGUCCACUUUACAACUGAUCUGAUUUACCAAAAUGAGUUUCAUAUACAACAUGGUAACCCUGUGAUGUGUCUGCUUGUUUCUCUUUUAGAAUGCAGACAAAAUAUUGGAGAACAGUACCCCGUUAUGCAAUGGAAGUAAUGUAGAUAAGGUUUAAGAUAGUGAGACAUCCCUAUUGGUCUCCAAGAAAGCUGAUAAAAACUAUCUUAACGACAGUGAGAUAACCCAAAAGUCGUGUCUUGAUGUAGUGUUCGAGUUACUGGCCACUACUACUGGCACAAGCUCUUCGAACUCGCUGCUUGAAUCGGUUCGUCUUCUUGAGUCUCAACUUCAAGUUGAAAGACAUUGAUUAGAUGUGCUGCGGCAGGAAGCUGAAGGACCGAGGAAGUCCCUGCAGAAUUCAGAUGCAUACUUUCUGGUGCAACAGCAAGCGGUGGAGGAUUUAAGCACCCAAACAAGAGAAAGUUAAUAAGUGUAACAUCCCAAAUUUUCAAUUUGGAAUGUUAUACGUUAGGUCAUCAUGCAUAUCAUAUUUUCUCGCAUUUUUCUGAUCCUAGAAAUUUCACGCAACUCAAAGACCCUCGGAGAGAGUUGGAAGUUUCAUUAUUUUCAUAUUUGGGAUUUCUCAAAUUUUGAAAAUAGGAUCAUUGGAUUUAUUUAAUUAUCUUCAUAAAGUUUUUCCUAUAAAAAUAUUUUGAGAGGGAAUAAUAUGACUUUCCCAACAAUUAGGAAAAAUGAAGAUUUUAUAAAUAAAUCAAAUUCGGUUUUGGAAGAUUUAUUUUGCUUAGGCAAAAAUGAGCAUUUAAAAAAAAUUUAUGCAUGUUUGCCGUUUUUAAAGUUCAUUUUGUUUGACUCAUUUUUAGGAGUCGGGGAAAAUUCGUUUUAUUUAAUUUGGAGUUCAUUUGGUUUAAAUUUCAUUAAAAAAAAAUACGCGCCCCCCCCGGGCCGAGGCCCAGCCGCCCCAGCCCAGCGCCCCCCCGGCCCACCUCCCUCCUCCCUCGCGCGCUCGGCCGCCCGAGCGAGGUGCCCCGCCGCCGCACGCCAUCGCCCCGCCGCNNNNNNNNNNNNNNNNNNNNNNNNNNNNNNNNNNNNNNNNNNNNNNNNNNNNNNNNNNNNNNNNNNNNNNNNNNNNNNNNNNNNNNNNNNNNNNNNNNNNNNNNNNNNNNNNNNNNNNNNNNNNNNNNNNNNNNNNNNNNNNNNNNNNNNNNNNNNNNNNNNNNNNNNNNNNNNNNNNNNNNNNNNNNNNNNNNNNNNNNNNNNNNNNNNNNNNNNNNNNNNNNNNNNNNNNNNNNNNNNNNNNNNNNNNNNNNNNNNNNNNNNNNNNNNNNNNNNNNNNNNNNNNNNNNNNNNNNNNNNNNNNNNNNNNNGCCCCGCCGGAGCUCGCCGGCGAGAUCACCGGAGGUAGCCCCGCGCCUCGAUCCGGUUUUCCCCUAAUAAACCAAUCCGGUUUUUUAAAAAAAAAAAGAUGUUCGGUUUUUUUUAAAACCCUAGAUUGGUUUUAUUUUUUUUCGGUUUUCUUAUUUAACGAACGUUCACCGAACCGUUCGUUUCAAUGAACGCGUUCGUUGGAUUCGUUCUGUUAACGAACGUCCGUUAUUUAAACCGUUCGUCGUUUUUCUUUUAAUCGGAUUUAAUCCGUUAUUUUUCUGAUUUGAUUUCAGAUCCGAUUUUCAAAACUGUUUUAUUUCUCGCUCGUUUAUCGGAAUCAGGUGAUUCAAGCGCCUGGAGUUUCGUAACGAAACCGCCGUUCCGACUAACCUACUUUCACAGAGUUUUGCUACUGUGAAAUUUUGACCUAAUUUCAGAUUGCUAAACCGAGUCGUUCUCUCUCGAGUUUCGACUUUCGGAGUUUAUUUUGAUUCGAUUCUUUUGCAACCAGGGUUCUUAAGUUGAACUUUCUGGUUAGAUCUUUUAUUCGAGAUUUCCCCGUGCAUUAGAUGAGUACUUAUUGUAUGCUUGUUGUUUGUCUGCGUUAGAUCACCCGGAGUGCGCCGCUUGUUACUUCGAAUCUCUAGGUCUCGCGGAUCAUCAGCAAGGCAAGUAACACUUUGAUCAUACCCUUCUCAUACCCAGUUUUUAUGCAUUAGAUCUAUUCCUCAAACACUUGCAUGAUUAGGAUCUAAUUAAAUUGUGGGUUUGGGAAGUAGAUUGAGGUAGUACCUAUUACCUGUUUUACUUAUGAAACCUUGGGAGUUACUUCUACGUUUGCUUAUUAUGCUAUGCUAUGCUAGUAGACGUGGAUUGGGUGAGUGAAUAUCCAUGACAGAUGUGAGAUUGUUAAUUAAUGGUUUAUCUAAGGUGGCAACCUAAACACACAUCUGGGUGGAUUGAGGCACCUGGUUUCUAUCAGGACUUGCCUGUAUUUCUUCGGACCGCCACCCAGGCUCUAAGGGAUCAUAAGAUUAUUCAAACUGGAAACUUCCGUGUGCAGCCACAAGCCAAUUAUGGGCUCUGGCGUAGUUGACUAAGUCGUGCGAACUCUUACGGGUAGGCUAGCUGAUGUAGGGGAUGUAGGUUGGUACGGUCUACCCACAUGUAAGGUGCUAGCGCUUCUGAAAGACUAUGUCUCGAUCAUCCGUUUCUCAAACACCAUGUAGUGCGAGAACCAAGCGGAGGCGAUCGAGUCUUGUGGGGAAAAGUGCGCAAACCUCUGCAGAGUGUAUAAACUAAUCAUGAUUAGCCGUGUCCCCGGUUAUGGACAAUUUGAGUAUCCUGUAAUUGAAUAUCAUGUGAAUCUCAACAUGUUACUUCUAAUAAAAGUUAUUGGGUUUGAUGAGUACUUUUAAUUGGGAUUGAGGAUGCUGUCAACCAUUCUCAAUGUUUAACAACCAACAUGAUAGUUAAAUAAAACUAUUCCUUUGAUGUAGGGAAAAAUCAGCUUUAUGCAAAUGUAACCGUAGAGCCUUACCACCAGCCAUAUAUGCAUGUAGUAUAGGCUUAUUUCCUUCAUUGCUCUUUAUGUGUUACAUUGCCAGCAUAUUCCAUGUGCUGACCCGUUUUCGGGCUGCAACUUUCACGUUGCAGACUUUUCAGACGACGAGUAAGGUGUUAGGUCGUGGUUCUAUACUCAGUGAUGCCGUUGGAGUUGAUGGACUCGCUUAUCUUCCAAGCCUUCCGCUGUUAUUAUUAGAUGGCCUUAAGCCAUAUUAUUGUAAUAAGUUCCCUUGUGGACAACGAUGUAAUAAGUGUGUGAUUGCUACUCUGCAAUAAAUCCUUCGAAGUACUGUGCGGUGUCAGCAUUACUGAUCCAGGGAUGACACUGAGCACAGAGACUGGAUCCAUUCGGGUCUGGUCGCUAUAGAGAAUGGUAUCAGAGCACACGCUGACUGUAGGACACGACCACUAAGUUAAAGCCAUAGAUCACUACUCUCUUCCCAUUUUCUAACUCCUCAUCUUUUCUACUCUCUUUAGGAUGACGGACGCGAAGAUCAAGUACACCCAACCGGAUGAAGGCACACCUUUUGGAUUUCACUUGAAGGAAGUUACUAAGUACCUGAACAUUGGACUACCAAGCUUCACCGGGACUUUCAACGCCACUCUGCCUGAAGAGGAGCGCUGGAAGAUUCAUGCUCACGUUCCAGGAAGGACAUUCGCCCCAAUCACCAAGUCUAUAGAUAGUGUUUUCAGUGCACCAACUUGGAGUCUGGGAAAGAGCAUGGCAGCUCACAUCACCAUGGGACGCAUUGGAGAAGUUUAUCAAGAAGACCUCAAGGACACCAUCUACCAGAUUUGCGGACGCCGAGAUGACAACUGGGACGUCGUCAACACCAAGAAGGAUAGAUCCAUUGCAGCUUUCAUCCAGGAGUUAAAUCAGCACAUUCGACGCCAGGAGAACCAAAUGUGCAAUGACAUGUUGGAGUUGCAGAAGACAAAGGGAAGGAUCAUCGAACUGGAAGAAGAACUAAAGACUACACGCAAGGACUACAUGGACGAGAUCGUAGCUCUGGCAAGACACAAUAACGAUCUUAAGUACGAGAUCGAAGAACUCAAGAAGAAGUUGGCGCUCAGGAAUGAAGACUAGUAUGUCGAACACCCAAGCGACUACAUUAACAUCGACGACACCGAUUCGGAUCCAAGUGAACCCGACUUUGAAGACGAAGCUGGAGCAGACAUCAUGGAGUCUUCCACCGGUUCAAACUAGUAGAAGUCCCCCACAUAUUAGUAGUAUCUCCCUCCAUGUAAACAUUAUAGUACACGCACUUUUGCGAUAGUUAGAUCGUUGUAAGCCCUUGUUUGAUUGAAUGGAGUGAUUUUGUGUGUUUUUGCUCAUGUGCAUUUGGGUAGUGAUUCCCUUAGACCUCAUUCUAUUCUACAUUUCUCUCCUUUUCUAAACCCAUCAGAUGCCUCCGAGACGCGACCCCGGAUUCGUUUUCCCGCCAGAGAUCACCCAAUUGAUCCAGCAGCAGAAUACCCUGAUUCAAACAUUGGUGCAGAACAACAACAACAACAACCCACCGCCACCACCACCACCUGCGGAUCAUCUGACUCGUUUCCUUAGACUGAACCCGCCGGUGUAUUCCAGUAGCACCGAGCCGAUUGUAGCAGAUGACUGGCUCCGCAAGAUAGGAAGGGAGCUGACCACUGCAGGAUGCACAGAUGGUGAAAGAGUGAAGUUUGCAGCACAUCAGCUUGAAGGACCCGCAGCAACAUGGUGGGAGAAUUUCACAGCCACUUACCCCGUAGACACUGUCACAUGGGACCAGUUUCAGCAAGCUUUUCGCACUGCCCAUGUUUCAGCAGGAGCCAUGGCCAUGAAGAAGCGUGAGUUUCGCAACUUACGCCAAGGAGGAAGGACUGUUGGCCAGUAUGUGGAUGACUUUAGUAAAUUAGCACGUUAUGCCCCAGAUGACGUUGCUACAGAUGCGGCUAAACAGGAGAAGUUUCUAGAAGGACUGAAUGAUGAGUUCAGCAUGCCGUUGAUGGUAGCAAGUUUCAACAACUACCAGGAGUUAGUAGACCGAGCUCUCAUGAUCGAAGGAAAGCAGCAGCAAAUUGAGAACCGCAAGCGGAAGUAUGGACAAGGGAAGUAUAACUCUGGAUCCCAGCAGAAGCCUCGUUAUACCCCUAAAUCAGGAAUUCAGUUUCAGCAUACCCAUGGAGGAGGUAAUUCGCACAACCAUAAUGGCACCAAGAAUGGGAACAGGAAUGGAGGAAGCAACGGACAGAACCGCACCAACCCGUCAACACCAUCCAAGGUAGAUCUGAGUCAUAUUACUUGCUUUAAGUGCCGCAAGACUGGGCACUAUGCAAAUGACUGUCCAGAAGGCCAGAAUGGAAAUGGCAAUGGAAGCUCUGGAAAGAAGCCCAACCCUUUCAACAGGGGACAGGUGAACCACAUUGAUGUGGAGGAGGUUGAAGAUCAGUCCGAUGCAGUAAUCGGUAAGUUUUUGGUUAAGUCAUUUACUGCAAUUGUUCUUUUCGAUACUGGUGCAUCGCAUUCAUACAUAUCAAGGGGAUUUGUGGAUAAGUACAAGUUACCAACCCAAGCCCUUAGGUCACCCAUGCUAGUAACCUCACCCGGAGCAGAGUACAUGGCUAGUAAAUGGUGUGAUCGACUGCCACUACGGAUUGGACACUAUGUUUUCCCCUCAGACCUAAUAGUUCUGGAAUCCCAAGGAUUGGAUGUGAUAUUAGGAAUGGAUUGGUUAUCAAAGUAUGGAGGAAACAUAGAUUGUACCACAAGGUCAAUUUUGCUCACCACACCAGAAGGAAGAAGGAUCAAGUAUGUAUCACGGCACGAGCCGAGGAGAGCACAAGUUAAUUGUUUAUCAGGAGUGGUACAGGAAGAAGUACCAGUGGUGAAGGAUUAUCCUGAUGUAUUUCCGAAAGAGUUGCCAGGAAUGCCGCCGGAUAGAGACAUUGAGUUUUUGAUCGAGCUGUUGCCAGGAACAGGCCCGAUAUCGAAGCGACCGUACAGGAUGCCCGCAAAGGAUUUGGCGGAAAUCAAGAAGCAGAUUAAGGAACUAUUGGAUAAAGGUUUUAUUCGCCCAAGUUCUUCACCUUGGGGAUCACCCGUUUUGUUAGUGGAGAAGAAGGAUGGAUCGUUGAGAAUGGUUGUUGAUUACCGUGGAUUGAAUGAAGUAACAAUCAAGAACAAGUACCCACUACCUAUGAUUAAUGAUCUGUUUGAUCGCUUGCAAGGAGCCAAAGUGUUUUCUAAGAUCGACUUGCGAUCAGGGUACCAUCAGUUGAAGAUUCGGGAGCAAGACAUACCCAAGACCGCAUUUACCACGAGAUAUGGACUGUACGAGUAUACCGUUAUGUCAUUUGGACUGACUAACGCACCAGCCUAUUUCAUGAACCUGAUGAACAAAGUGUUUAUGGAGUUUUUGGAUAAGUUCGUCGUGGUGUUCAUUGAUGAUAUUUUGAUUUUCUCGAAGAAUGAAGAGGAACACAAGGAACAUUUGCGAUUGGUUUUGGAGAAACUGAGGGAACACCAGUUGUAUGCCAAGUUCAGCAAGUGUGAGUUUUGGCUAAAGGAAGUUGGAUUUCUCGGACAUGUUAUAUCCGGAGAAGGGAUAGCAGUUGACCCCACAAAGGUUGAGACCGUAACCAAAUGGGAAGCACCAACGACAGUUGGAGAGAUUCGGAGUUUCCUUGGACUCGCAGGAUACUACCGAAGAUUCAUUGAGAAUUUCUCAAGGAUUGCAAAGCCUAUGAUAGAAUUGUUGAAGAAGGAAAACAAAUUCAUAUGGACUGAGGACUGCGAGGCAAGUUUUCAGGAGUUGAAGAAAAGAUUGGUUACCUCACCCGUUUUGAUAUUGCCAGAUCAGACUAAGGAUUAUGAGGUGUAUUGCGACGCUUCACGUCGAGGACUUGGAGCAGUGCUUAUGCAGGAAGGAAGAGUUGUUUCGUAUGCUUCACGACAACUUAAGCCUCAUGAGUUGAAUUAUGCCACUCAUGAUUUGGAGUUAGCAGCCGUUGUGCAUGCCUUGAAGACGUGGAGACAUUUUCUCAUUGGAAAUCAUUGUGAAGUAUAUACGGAUCACAAGAGUUUGAAGUACAUCUUCACCCAGAAGGAAUUGAAUCUCAGACAAAGGAGAUGGUUGGAACUUAUUAAGGAUUAUGAUAUGAGAUUGCAUUAUAACCCCGGAAAGGCUAAUGUCGUAGCUGACGCAUUGAGCCGUAAGAGCCACGUCAAUACCCUAAUGAUGGGAGGAAUACCCAAUGAGUUAGCCGAGGACCUUCGAGAACUAUGUUUGGAAAUAGUUCCGAGAGGCUAUGUAGCAGCAUUGGAGAUUCAGUCGACACUAAUGGACAAAAUUAGAGAAGCCCAAAAGGCAGAUAAGGAAGUUGCCUCUAUAAAGGAGAAAAUGAGCAAAGGAAAAGCAAAAGGAUUUCGUGAGGAUGAGCACGAUACCCUAUGGUUUGAAGACCGUGUUUAUGUGCCCAAUGACCCAGAGAUCAGGAAGUUGAUUUUGCAAGAAGCCCAUGAUUCACCCUAUUCGAUUCACCCAGGAAAUACCAAGAUGUAUUUGGAUUUGAAGAAUAUUUUCUGGUGGACCGGAAUGAAGAAGGAUAUUGCGGAGUAUGUAGCAGUUUGCGACAUAUGUCAGAAAGUAAAGGCAGAGCAUCAGAAGCCAGCAGGAUUGUUACGACCGUUGCCGAUACCCGAAUGGAAGUGGGAUAAACUAGGCAUGGAUUUCAUCACAGGUUUGCCAAAGACCCGUUCAGGAUAUGACUCGAUUUGGGUCAUAGUCGAUCGUUUGACCAAGGUAGCUCAUUUCAUUCCAGUCAAGACUACCUAUAGCAGUGCUAAGUUGGCAAAGAUAUAUAUGACCGGAAUUGUGUGUUUACACGGAGUUCCGAGGAGCAUCGUACGGAUAGAGGAACCCAGUUCACUUCGAAAUUUUGGAACCAGUUGCACGAAACAUUGGGAACCCGAUUGGAAUUCAGUACAGCUUUCCACCCACAGACCGAUGGACAGACCGAGAGAGUCAAUCAGAUUUUGGAGGACAUGCUGAGAGCUUGUGCACUAGAUUAUGGAUCCAGUUGGGAUGAUAAUUUGCCGUAUGCAGAAUUUUCCUACAACAACAGUUACCAAACCAGCUUAAAGAUGGCACCUUUCGAGGCUCUGUAUGGAAGAAGGUGCAGGACACCGUUGUCAUGGGACGAAACUGGAGAUCGUCAGUUGUUUGGACCAGAUUUGAUUAAGGAGUCUGAACAGAAAGUUAAGUUGAUUCGAGACAGGCUCAAGGUAGCCCAGUCCAGACAGAAGAGCUAUGCCGAUUCAAAAUGCAAAGCGAUUGAGUAUGAAGUUGGAGACAGAGUAUAUCUCACAGUAUCCCCGCUUCGAGGAGUUAAGCGUUUUGGAGUGAAAGGAAAGUUAGCACCCCGUUUCGUUGGACCAUAUAAGAUUUUGCAAACGCAUGGGAGAAGUUGCGUAUAAAUUGGAAUUGCCAGAAGGACUGUCAGGAGUUCAUGAUGUAUUCCAUGUUUCUCAGUUGAAGAAAUGUCACCCCGAGAUAGCAGAGGUACCGUUAAGAGACGCAGUGCCACUGGAAGCAAUUCAGUUGAAGGAUGACUUGACAUAUGAGGAAAAACCAGUUAAGAUUCUCGAUUAUGCCAGCAGAGUUACCCGCAGCAAGGUUAUCAAGUCUUGCAAAGUUCAGUGGAGCCACCACACUAAGGAUGAAGCCACCUGGGAAAGAGAGGAAGUUUUGCUUAAGGACCACCCUCACCUAUUUUCUAGCCAACCAGAAUCUCGAGGGCGAGAUUCAUCUUAAGGGGGUAGGUUUGUAACAUCCCAAAUUUUCAAUUUGGAAUGUUAUACAUUAGGUCAUCAUGCAUAUCAUAUUUUCUCGCAUUUUUCUGAUCCUAGAAAUUUCACGCAACUCAAGGACCCUCGGAGAGAGUUGGAAGUUUCAUUAUUUUCAUAUUUGGGAUUUCUCAAAUUUUGAAAAUAGGAUCAUUGGAUUUAUUUAAUUAUCUUCAUAAAGUUUUUCCUAUAAAAAAUAUUUUGAGAGGGAAUAAUAUGACUUUCCCAACAAUUAGGAAAAAUGAAGAUUUUAUAAAUAAAUCAAAUUCGGUUUUGGAAUAUUUAUUUUGCUUAGGCAAAAAUGAGCAUUUUAAAAAAAUUUAUGCAUGUUUGCCGUUUUUAAAGUUCAUUUUGUUCGACUCAUUUUUAGGAGUCGGGGAAAAUUUGUUUUAUUUAAUUUGCAGUUCAUUUGGUAUUUUUUUAAUUCAUUUGGUUUAAAUUUCAUUUAAAAAAAAAUACGCGCGCCCCCCCUGGGCCGAGGCCCAGCCGCCCCAGCCCAGCGCCCCCCCGGCCCACCUCCCUCCUCCUUCGCGCGCUCGGCCGCCCGAGCGAGGUGCCCCGCNNNNNNNNNNNNNNNNNNNNNNNNNNNNNNNNNNNNNNNNNNNNNNNNNNNNNNNNNNNNNNNNNNNNNNNNNNNNNNNNNNNNNNNNNNNNNNNNNNNNNNNNNNNNNNNNNNNNNNNNNNNNNNNNNNNNNNNNNNNNNNNNNNNNNNNNNNNNNNNNNNNNNNNNNNNNNNNNNNNNNNNNNNNNNNNNNNNNNNNNNNNNNNNNNNNNNNNNNNNNNNNNNNNNNNNNNNNNNNNNNNNNNNNNNNNNNNNNNNNNNNNNNNNNNNNNNNNNNNNNNNNNNNNNNNNNNNNNNNNNNNNNNNNNNNNNNNNNNNNNNNNNNNNNNNNNNNNNNNNNNNNNNNNNCUCCCGCCCCGCCCGGAGCCCCGCCGGAGCUCGCCGGCGAGAUCACCGGAGGUAGCCCCGCGCCCCGAUCCGGUUUUCCCCUAAUAAACCGAUCCGGUUUUUUUUUUAAAAAAGAUGUUCGGUUUUUUUUAAACCCUAGAUUGGUUUUAUUUUUUUUCGGUUUUCUUAUUUAACGAACGUUCACCGAACCGUUCGGUUCAAUGAACGCGUUCGUUGGAUUCGUUCUGUUAACGAACAUCCGUUAUUUAAACCGUUCGUCGUUUUUCUUUUAAUCGGAUUUAAUCCGUUAUUUUUCUGAUUUGAUUUCAGAUCCGAUUUUCAAAACUGUUUUAUUUCUCGCUCGUUUAUCGGAAUCAGGUGAUUCAAGCGCCUGGAGUUUCGUAACGAAACCGCCGUUCCGACUAACCUACUUUCACAGAGUUUUGCUACUGUGAAAUUUUGACCUAAUUUCAGAUUGCUAAACCGAGUCGUUCUCUCUCGAGUUUCGACUUUCGGAGUUUAUUUUGAUUCGAUUCUUUUGCAACCAGGGUUCUUAAGUUGAACUUUCUGGUUAGAUCUUUUAUUCGAGAUUUCCCCGUGCAUUAGAUGAGUACUUAUUGUAUGCUUGUUGUUUGUCUGCGUUAGAUCACCCGGAGUGCGCCGCUUGUUACUUCGAAUCUCUAGGUCUCGCGGAUCAUCAGCAAGGCAAGUAACACUUUGAUCAUACCCUUCUCAUACCCAGUUUUUAUGCAUUAGAUCUAUUCCUCAAACACUUGCAUGAUUAGGAUCUAAUUAAAUUGUGGGUUUGGGAAGUAGAUUGAGGUAGUACCUAUUACCUGUUUUACUUAUGAAACCUUGGGAGUUACUUCUACGUUUGCUUAUUAUGCUAUGCUAUGCUAGUAGACGUGGAUUGGGUGAGUGAAUAUCCAUGACAGAUGUGAGAUUGUUAAUUAAUGGUUUAUCUAAGGUGGCAACCUAAACACACAUCUGGGUGGAUUGAGGCACCUGGUUUCUAUCAGGACUUGCCUGUAUUUCUUCGGACCGCCACCCAGGCUCUAAGGGAUCAUAAGAUUAUUCAAACUGGAAACUUCCGUGUGCAGCCACAAGCCAAUUAUGGGCUCUGGCGUAGUUGACUAAGUCGUGCGAACUCUUACGGGUAGGCUAGCUGAUGUAGGGGAUGUAGGUUGGUACGGUCUACCCACAUGUAAGGUGCUAGCGCUUCUGAAAGACUAUGUCUCGGUCAUCCGUUUCUCAAACACCAUGUAGUGCGAGAACCAAGCGGAGGCGAUCGAGUCUUGUGGGGAAAAGUGCGCAAACCUCUGCAGAGUGUAUAAACUAAUCAUGAUUAGCCGUGUCCCCGGUUAUGGACAAUUUGAGUAUCCUGUAAUUGAAUAUCAUGUGAAUCUCAACAUGUUACUUCUAAUAAAAGUUAUUGGGUUUGAUGAGUACUUUUAAUUGGGAUUGAGGAUGCUGUCAACCAUUCUCAAUGUUUAACAACCACCAUGAUAGUUAAAUAAAACUAUUCCUUUGAUGUAGGGAAAAAUCAGCUUUAUGCAAAUGUAACCGUAGAGCCUUACCACCAGCCAUAUAUGCAUGUAGUAUAGGCUUAUUUCCUUCAUUGCUCUUUAUGUGUUACAUUGCCAGCAUAUUCCAUGUGCUGACCCGUUUUCGGGCUGCAACUUUCACGUUGCAGACUUUUCAGACGACGAGUAAGGUGUUAGGUCGUGGUUCUAUACUCAGUGAUGCCGUUGGAGUUGAUGGACUCGCUUAUCUUCCAAGCCUUCCGCUGUUAUUAUUAGAUGGCCUUAAGCCAUAUUAUUGUAAUAAGUUCCCUUGUGGACAACGAUGUAAUAAGUGUGUGAUUGCUACUCUGCAAUAAAUCCUUCGAAGUACUGUGUGGUGUCAGCAUUACUGAUCCAGGGAUGACACUGAGCACAGAGACUGGAUCCAUUCGGGUCUGGUCGCUACAAUAAGCUUGCUAAGCAUCUUUCCAGCAUUAUGGGUACCCAGGAUAUUGUUUCUUGAGAUCUUAUGAAGUAGUUUCAGUUCUGGACUUGUUUUGCUACGGCGUUAUUUGCACUGGUCGCCAACUUUGACAACCAGUGUAUAUGAUAUGCUGCUUUGUUCCGUAUAUUUGCACUGGUGGCAAACUUUCAUGCCCAGUGGAUGUAAUAUGUGUAAUAGCUGUGAUAGCCUAGCGUAAGUUGCUUGCUUAUUUAUUUCCUUGUUUGUCUUGUUUAUUUGUUUGCUUGUAGUCAGUGCAGUUCUUUUUCCGCGGUUUGGCCGCAAUAACCUAUUUUUUAAAACUACGCCACAAUAACCAUGGGCUACAUAUUUAUUGUAGUUACCAUGGGCCCCUACGGGACGUAGAAACAAUGGGCCUUCUACGGAUCGUAGAAACAAUGGGCCUUGUAAGGGCUAUAGCAUCAAUGGGCCUUCUACGGGUCGUAGCAUCAAUGGGCCUUCUACGGGCCGUAUGAACGAUCGACCAAACAUGGGCCAAUAACAGACCGCAUUAUGGGCUGUAAACGGGCUAGAUUUGGAAUCAUCCAUUCAUGGGCCGACAAUAACGGGUCGUCGUUAAUCGGCCGUAUUUGAUGAGGCUAUGAAAAUGGCCCAAUGGAUUAACGGGCCGCAAACGGGCCGAUUGUUACCACGGGCUGAAUUUGGCCCACAAGCAGAAAAGGCCAGUAACAUGCUGUAAGUAACCGAAUGCUGGAAAUAAGCCCAGGAAUAAAUGGGCCCUAAGAAGGCCGAAAGAUAACACGGGUUGGAAACGGCCCAAUGGAAUAAUGGGCCGUUAGUGGGUACGAAGCGAUACACUCUUCAUUGUGGGCCAGAUUCACUACGGGCUGUUAAUGGGCCAAGAGUUACAAAUGGCCUCGUAUGGGCCGAAAGACAUCAUGGGCCAUACAUGGGCCGGAAGUUACAAUGGGUUGGAAUCAUAUUGGAUGCCCCAAAUGAAGCUACUGAGCUUAAUUCCGAUAGGCCGUAACGGGCCGUGAGUUAGCGGUCCGUAAAUGGGCUAUAUAGGAACAUGAUUUCCGUGGGCCGGCCCGUUACCUUUUGACCAAGUCAAACUGGCCGGCCUUUUCACCGGAAUGGGCCUCUGUUGGGCCGUGCCAUGUGUCGACCUAUCAUAGGCGCCUCCUGUCCAAUGAAUGGAUGACAUCUGUCCCAACGGUGAGCCAACACGUGUUUCCUCUGGCCAAUGACAAUUUUACACGUGGAAAAUCCUCAUUGGUCCGGGCUUUAACGGGUUAUCAGAUCCAAAACCGGACCCGAUAGCUUAACGGCGGCCCAUUACAUUGGAUGCCACAUGUCGGUCACCCUUGACGAAAGCACUUCCAUGAUGCGCGAUUUAUCGCCAUGGAAGUGGACACUUCCGUAAUGAUAAUUUUGGUAAUGUCAUGGAACACUUCUACUGCAGCACAGGUAUGACUAUCUUGAUUCUGUCAUAAAGUUGUCAUGGAUGUACAUGCAUGACAGAAAACGUGACCUACUAUGACAAACACGUAUCAUCACGGAAGUGUAUUUUUUUGUAGUGAAUUCCCUUAAACCUGCAUACCUUGCGUUUCAUCAAAACGCUUGUUGAUGCGGUCGAGCUCUUUGUCAGCUAGUUUAAGCUUCCGAUUUAACUCGGAAACCUCUGCGGCUCGGACAGAUGCCGCAACCAAAGAAGCCUGUUCAAGCACAAAGUACACAGUUCAACUCCAUCAGGCACUACUGUAUAUAUAUAUAUAUAUAUAUAUAUAUAUAUAUAUAUAUAUAUAUAUAUAUAGGGUUCUCUUUAAAGAAUAUUACAUCGCAUACCUCAAAGUUUGUUGGUAGGCUGUUGAAAGCUUCGUUCAGUCCGCCUUUGACGGACUGAAUUUUCUCCAUGACUGCACUCAUCAGAGUGCGGUGUUCCUCUAUGAUGGAAGCACUUUGCAGUGCUCCCUCCAGAGUGUUCGGCACCUCCGGAUGGACGGUGGGCACCGUGGGACCAGUCUCUCCCUCCCCCAUCACGGGGGGCUGAUCUCCUGAUUUCGGAGCCGCACUGGGCCCCGACACAGUGUUCGGUGGGGCCCCAGAUUGCAUGGCCCCCCAUCCCUGGUCACCAUGGGGAUUGCUCCCCCUUGGUCGACAGCGGCCGAGGGAUUGACCUCGGGCGCCCUUUCGUCCACCCCACUCCCACCUGCUGGAGCAGGGGGAGUCUGUAGAGCGGAUACCUCGGUAUCCCCCAUAGUGGGCGACGAGCCCCGCGGAGGCGUAUCACUCUCCACCAUCCCCAGCGAUAGGGAGUUCCCCGAUGACAGUGAAGCCACGGGGAUGUCAUGUGGAGGACUAUAUAAAGGCAAAGUAAAUAUUAGAUGCUAAAAAGGAAAAUUAUCCGAACAUAAGCUAUUAUCAUCAAAAUACUUACGAUUCGUCCAGGGGCUUAAUCUUGGGCUGAACUCGAUACCUGUGUUCGAACAUUGAGUCCGAACUAUCUGGAAGAUUCAAUUUCUUCCUGGGCACGGCAUUGCCUGCGUCAGCUGGGGCCGCCCUUUUCCUCCCCGUCACUUGGAUAGGGGAGUCAUCUUCUUUUUCCUCCUCCUCUUCUUCUUCAGGAGAGAGGAGGGUGCCAGUUUCCCCGAACCUUGUGUCCGCGAGACCUAUAGGGUGGGGGUCGCUCUUGACUUCCUUGCCCUUCUUCUUGGCCUUCUUCUCUGGCACCUUGUACGGCACCGGAACCAACAUCGCCGUCAACUGAGGCGUCUCUGGGUCUUCUGGCAAGGGAGCCGGACACUUGAUCCGCUCUGCCUUUUUCGUCCAGGCCUGGAUAGAGCGCAGAAACUUCAACUCCUGUUAUAAUUGAAGUAUGAAUGGAGUGUGUAUUCGAUGGAAAUCUUUAUUACCUCUGAAGCAGUGAGCACGCUGCUGAAGCCCUUGUCUUCGGUCCCCUCUGGCCACCCCUUCUGGGUCUUGAAGAGGUACUUCCAUAUGUCUUCGUGCGUAGUGCCGAAGAGACGCUUCAAUGACCGGGGCCCUUCCGGAUUGAACUCCCACAGAUGGGAGUCUCGGUGUUGGCAGGGAAGGGGGAGACGGAAGAGCAUUACCUAAAUUACAUUUGUGAGGAGGGUGCCCUUGGUGAUCAUGUCGGCGAUGCGGCUUUGGAGCGCCAGCACCUCCGCCUGAGACCCCCAUCCGGACCCUUGUCGGUCCAAGAGGUUAGCCUCUCCUGGGAGUCCAGAUCUAAAUGCGGGCGCCGCCGCCCACUUGGUGUCGCAGGGCUCGGUGAUGUAGUAUCACUCCUGCUGCCAGGCCUUGUUCGUCUCCACAAAGGCCCCCUUGGGCCAAGUGGCGUCGGGGAGCUUGCUCACCAUGGCACCUCCGCACUCCACGUGCUGCCCGUCGACCACCUUCGGCUUCAAAUUGAAGGUUUUGAGCCAAAGGCCAAAGUGUGGGGGGACACGGAGGAAUGCCUCACAUACCACUAUAAAAGCGGAUAUGUGGGAAUUGAGUUCAGGGCAAGAUCAUGGAAAUCUAGCCCACAGAAAAAUAAGAGGCCCCCUACAAAGGGGUGGAGAGAGGAAAUCCCAGCCCCCGAAUAAAGUGCGAGAGGAAGAUGACCCUCUCCCCCGCCUUAGGGACAGGGAUCACUUGGUCCUUUUCGGGGACCCGGUGCGCGACAUCGUCAGUGAGAUAGCCCGCACUCCGAAGAUUAUUCACGACCUUCUCUCUGACCAUGGAAGCUUCCUACUUGCCCUUGGAACCGGAUCCGUCCAUGGCUGGGAAGGGGGGCGGUGGUUGAGGAGUCGAGAGUUGCGGGCGCAAGAGCUGAGGACGCUGGGGCUAGGGAGAUUGGAGAGCUAGGGCUUAAGGAAGGCGUGGGGCUGGUGAAAGGGGGAUUUGUGUCCUUUUAUAAGCGGUGAAUGCUAAACGCCCCCCCCCACUUUAGUCGUGAACCUCGCCGGUUCCCAACGUAGUCAUGCGUAAGGCAUGGUUAAGAUGCUCACGUCACAUUGAUAAGGAUCCCGUAAUAAGCGGGCACGAUCUCUAUUUUGACAAGACGUGACAAUGGGGCUAUACCUCAAAGCACGACACUGGAGACAAGAAAACGGUUUGAUAUAUUAAAGGGACAGACGUGACGCUUCGCUGAAAAAAGUUGUCAGUAAAGACGCAAUAUCCCUUUUUUGAUACCUUGCCUUCGAGGCGAAGGGUUGUACUAACCAUGCAGAGCCGGACGUAGUACCUUUUUGUAGGGAAUAUUGCUUCAAUGUGUUCGGGAGGAGGAACCCGCCUUGCAAUGCCGAAGACAGUACGCGAGCCGAACUCAUCGUCAUGAAAGACUGGUUCAGGGGCUACUAAGGGAGUCCUGGAUUAAGGGGUCCUCAGGUGGCCGGAUCGCUCGUCAUGGGCCGGACUGAUGGGCCGUGAAGAUUAUUGAUGAAGACUAUCUCCCGUACCCGGAUUGGACUCCCAUAUGUGUAAAAUAGCAAGUUUAGAGUUCGAGUGUAAAACAUUCCUUCCUCUGCAAGAUGGUCAUGUACAAACCCUAGGUCCCUCCGGUGCAUAUAUAAACCGGAGGAUUUUAGUCCGUAGAGACAGAAGAAUCGUAGCAAUUACAUAGGCUAGACUUUUAGGGUUUAGCCAUUACGAUCUCGUGGUAGAUCAACUCUUGUAACCCUAUAUUCAUCAAGGUUAAUCAAGCAGGAAGUAGGGUAUUACCUCGAUUGAGAGGGCAUGAACCUGGGUAAACAUCGUGUCCCCAGCCUCCUGUUACCAUCAAUCCUCAGACGCAUAGUUCGGGACCCCCUACCCGACAUCCGCCGGUUUUCACACCGACAGUGAUGACACCGAAGGUAGAGUAAUGAGUAGACGGUGAUAAAAGAGGGCGAAGGUAGAUCAAAUUUUGUCUUGGUGGGGUGAUGUCUACUACGCAACCUUCUUCUUGUAGACGUUGUUGGGCCUCCAAGUGCAAAGGUUUGUAGGACAGUAGCAAAUUUCCCUCAAGUGGAUGACCUAAGGUUUAUCAAUCCGUGGGAGGCAUAGGAUGAAGAUGGUCUCUCUCAAGCAACCCUGCAACCAAAAAACAAAGAGUCUCUUGUGUCCCCAACACACCCAAUACAAUGAUAAAUUGUAUAGGUGCACUAGUUCGGCAAAGAGAUGGUGAUACAAGUGCAAUAUGGAUGGUAGAUAUAUGUUUUUGUAAUCUGAAAAUAUAAAAACAGCAACGUAGCAAGCGAUAAAAGUGAGCGUAAACGGUAUUGCAGUGCUAGGAAACAAGGCCUAGGGUUCAUACUUUCACUAGUGCAAGUUCUCUCAACAAUAAUAACAUAAUUGGAUCAUAUAACUAUCCCUCAACAUUCAACAAAGAGUCACUCCAAAGUCACUAAUAGCGGAGAACAAACGAAGAGAUUAUUGUAGGGUACGAAACCACCUCAAAGUUAUUCUUUCUGAUCAAUCCAUUGGGCUAUUCCUAUAAGUGUCACAAACAGCCCUAGAGUUCGUAGUAAAAUAACACCUUAAGACACACAUCAACCAAAACCCUAAUGUCACCUAGAUACUCCAAUGUCACCUCAAGUAUCCGUGGGUAUGAUUAUACGAUAUGCAUCACACAAUCUCAAAUUCAUCUAUUCAACCAACACAUAGAACCUCAAAGAGUGCCCCAAAGUUCCUACCGGAGAGUCAAGACGAAAACGUGUGCCAACCCCUAUGCAUAGGUUCAUGGGCGGAAACCGCAAGUUGAACACCAAAAUAUGCAUCAAGUGAAUCACGUGAUAUCCCAUUGUCACCACAGAUACGCAAGGCAAGACAUACAUCAAGUGUUCUCAAAUCAUUAAAGACUCAAUCUGAUAAGAUUACUUCAAAGGGAAAACUCAAUCCAUUACAAGAGAGUAGAGGGGGAGAAGCAACAUAAGAUCCAACUAUAAUAGCAACGCUCGCGAUACAUCAAGAUCGUAUCACCUCAAGAACACGAGAGAGAGAUCAAACACAUAGCUACUGGUACAUACCCUCAGCCCGGAGGGUGAACUACUCCCUCCUUGUCGUGGAGAGCGUCGGGAUGAUGAAGAUGGCCACCGGUGAGGUUUCCCCCCUCCGGCAGGGUGCCGGAACAGGGUCCCGAUUGGUUUUUGGUGGCUACAAAGCGUUGCGGCGGCGGAACUCCCGAUCUAUUCUGUUCCCCGAUGUUUUUAGGGUAUAUGGAUAUAUAUAGGUGAAAGAAGUCGGUCAGGGGAGCCACGAGGGGCCCACGAGGGUGGAGGGCGCACCCAGGGGGGUGGGCGCGCCCCCCUGCCUCGUGCCUUCCUCGUUGCUUUCUUGACGUGGACUCCAAGUCCCCCGGAUUGCUUUCUUUCCAAAAAUAACUUCUCUAGAAGGUUUCAUUCCGUUUCGACUCCGUUUGAUAUUCCUUUUCAUCGAAACACUGAAACAAGGGAAAAAACAGGAACUGGCACUGGGCUCUGGUUUAAUAGGUUAGUCCCAAAAAUAAUAUAAAGUGCAUAAUAAAGCCCAUAAACAUCCAAAACAGAUAAUAUAAUAGCAUGGAACAAUCAAAAAUUAUAGAUACGUUGGAGACGUAUCAGCAUCCCCAAGCUUAAUUCCUGCUCGUCCUCGAGUAGAUAAAUGAUAAAAACCGAAUUUUUGAUGUGGAAUGCUACCUAACAUAUCUAUCCAUGCAAUUAUCUUUAUUGUGGCAAGAAUAUUCAUAUCCAUAAGAUUCAAGACAAAAGUUUAAUAUUGACAUAAAAAUAAUAAUACUUCAAGCAUAGUAACUAAGCAAUCAUGUCUUCUCAAAAUAACAUGGCCAAAGAAAGUUCAUCCCUACAAAAUCAUAUAGUUUAGUCAUGCUCCAUUUUCGUCACACAAGAAUGAUCUCAUCAUGCACAACCCCGAUGACAAGCCAAGCAAUUGUUUCAUACUUUAGUAAUCUCAAACUUUUUCAACCUUCACGCAAUACAUGAGCGUGAGCCAUGGAUAUAGCACUAUGAGUGGAAUAGAAUAUGAUGAUGGGGGUUAUGUGGAGAAGACAAAAAAGGAGAAAGUCUCACAUCAACGAGGAUAAUCAAUGAGCUAUGGAGAUGCCCAUCAAUUGAUGUUAAUGCAAGGUGUAGGGAUUGCCAUGCAACGUAUGCACUAGAGCUAUAAAUAUAUGAAAGCUCAACAAAAGAAACUAAGUGGGUGUGCAUCCAACUUGCUUGCUCACGAAGACCUAGGGCACUUGAGGAGGCCCAUUGUUGGAAUGUACAAGCGAAGUCCUAUAAUGAAAAAUUCCCACUAGUAUAUGAAAGUGACAAAACAAGAGACUCUCUAUCAUGAAGAUUAUGGUGCUACUUUGAAGCACAAGUGUGGUAAAAGGAUAGUAACAUUGCCCCUUCUCUCAUUUUCUCUCAUUUUUUGGGCCUUCUCUUUUUUAUGGCCUUUCUUUUUUUAUUCCUCACUUGGGACAAUGCUCUAGAAAAUGAUGAUCAUCACACUUCUAUUUAUUUACAACUCAAUGAUUACAGCUCGAUACUAGAACAAAGUAUGACCCUAUAUGAAUGCCUCCGGCGGUGUACCGAGAUAUGCAAUGAACCAAUAGUGACAUGUAUGAAAGAAUUACGAAUGGUGGCUUUGCCACAAAUACUAUGUCAACUACAUGAUCAUGAAAAGCAAUAUGACAGUGAUGAACGUGUCAUGAUAAACGGAACAGUGGAAAGUUGCAUGGCAAUAUAUCUCGGAAUGGCUAUGGAAAUGCCAUAAUAGGUAGGUAUGGUGGCUGUUUUGAGGAAGAUAUAAGGAGGUUUAUGUGUGAUAGAGCGUAUCAUAUCACGGGGUUUGGAUGCACCGGCGAAGUUUGCACCAACUCUCAUUGUGAGUUAGGGCAAUGCACGGUACCGAAGAGGCUAGCAAUGAUGGAAAGGUGAGAGUGCGUAUAAUCCAUGGACUCAACAUUAGUCAUAAAGAACACACAUACUUAUUGCAAAAAUCUACAAGUCAUCAAAAACCAAGCACUACGCGCAUGCUCCUAGGGGGAUAGAUUGGUAGGAAAAGACCAUCGCUCGUCCCCGACUGCCACUCAUAAGGAGGACAAUCAAGGAACACCUCACAUUUCAAAUUUGUUAAACAACGUUUACCAUACGUGCAUACCAACAUUACACAAGUUAUUUUUGGAAAUAAUAAAAAAUACUGAGCGAAGAAAAUACCAGAGGGGGCCCACACCCUGACCAUGAGGGUGGGGGCGCGCCCCCUGCCUCGUGGGUCCCCUGGCAGGCCUCCGGUGUCCAUCUUCUGCUAUAUGAAGUCUUUUACCCUGGAAAAAAAUUAGAAGAAAGCUUUCGGGACGAGACUCCGCCGCCACGAGGCGGAACCUUGGCGGAACCAAUCUAGGGCUCCGGCGGAGCUGUUCUGCUGGGGAAAUUUCCAUCCGGGAGGGGGAAAUCAUCGCCAUCGUCAUCAUCAACUAUCCUCUCUUUGGGAGGGGGUCCAUCUUCAUCAACAUCUUCACCAACACCAUCUCCUCUCAAACCCUAGUUCAUCUCUUGUAUCCAAUCUUUGUCUCAUAGCUUGAGAUUGGUACCUGUAGGUUGCUAGUAGUGUUGAUUACUCCUUGUAGUUGAUACUAGUCGGUUUAUUUGGUGGAAGAUCAUAUGUUCAGAUCCAUUACGCAUAUUAAUACCCCUCUGAUUAUGAACAUGAAUAUGGUUUGUGAGUAGUUACUUUUGUUCCUGAGGACAUGGGAGAAGUCUUGCUAUUAGUAGUCAUGUGAAUUUGGCAUUCGUUCGAUAUUUUGAUGAGAUGUAUGUUGUCUUUCCUCUAGUGGUGUCAUGUGAACGUCGACUACAUGACACUUCACCAUUGUUUGGGCCUAGAGGAAGGCAUUGGGAAGUAAUAAGUAGAUGAUGGGUUGCUAGAGUGACAGAAGCUUAAACCCUAGUUUAUGCGUUGCUUCGUAAGGGGCUGAUUUGGAUCCAUAUGUUUCAUGCUAUGGUUAGGUUUACCUUAAUACUUCUUUUGCAGUUGCGGAUGCUUGCAAUAGGAGUUAAUCAUAAGUGGGAUGCUUGUCCAAGUAAGGAAAGCACCCAAGCACCGGUCCACCCACAUAUAAAAUUAUCAAAGUAACGAACGUGAAUCUUAUGAACGUGAUGAAAACUAGCUUGACGAUAAUUCCCAUGUGUCCUCGGGAGCAUUUUCCUUUGUAUAAGAAAUUGUCCAGGUUGUCCUUUUCUAAAAAAGGGAUUGGGCCAUCUUGCUGCACCUUAUUUACUUUCAUUACUUGUUACUCCUUACAAAUUACCUUAUCACAAAACUAUCUGUUACCGAUAAUUUUAGUGCUUGUAGAGAAUACCUUGCUGAAAGCCGCUUAUCAUUUCCUUCUGCUCCUCGUUGGGUUCGACACUCUUACUUAUUCAAAGUACUACGUUAGAUCCGCUAUACUUGUGGGUCAUCAAGACUCUUUUCUGGCACCGUUUCCGGGGAGUGAAGCGCCUUUGGUAAGUGGAAUUUGGUAAGGAAAAAUUUCUAUAGUGUGCUGAAAUUUACUGUCACUUGUUACUAUGGAAAGUAAUCCUCUGAGGGGCUUGUUCGGGGUAUCUUCACCCCGACCAGUAGAGCAAAUAGUUUCUCCUCAACCUACUGAACCUACUGAAAAUGUCUACUUUGAAAUUCCUUCAGGUAUGAUAGAGAAACUGCUAGCUAAUCCUUUUGCACGAGACGGAACAUUACAUCCUGAUGAGCACCUAAUCUAUGUGGAUGAAGUUUGUGGAUUAUUUAAGCUUGCAGGUAUGCCCGAUGAUGUUAUCAAGAAGAAGGUCUUCCCUUUCUCUUUGAAGGGAGAUGCAUUGACAUGGUAUAGGCUAUGUGAUGAUAUGGGAUCAUGGAACUACAAGCGAUUGAAAUUGGAAUUUCGUCAGAAGUUCUAUCCUAUGCAUCUUGUUCAUCGUGAUCAUAAUUAUAUAUAUAAUUUUUGACCUCGCGAAGGAGAAAGCAUCACUCAAUCUUGGGGGAGGCUUAAUUCAAUGUUAUAUUCAUGCCCCAAUCAUGAGCUCUCGAGAGAAAUGAUUAUUCAAAAAUUUUAUGCUCGGCUUUCUGACAACAAUCGCACCAUGCUCGAUACUUCUUGUACCGGUUCUUUUAUGACGAAGACUAUUGAAUUCAAAUGGAAUUUAUUGGAGAGAAUUAAAUGCAACUCUGAAGUUUGGGACCUCGACAAAGGUAAAGAGUCAGGUAUAACACCUAAGUUUGAUUGUGUUAAAUCUUUUAUGGAUAACGAUGUUUUCUGUAAAUUUAGCACUAAAUAUGGACUUGACUCUCAGAUAGUAGCUUCUUUCUGUGAAUCCUUUGCUACUCAUGUUGAUCUCCCUAAGGAGAAGUGGUCUAAAUAUAAUCCUCCCACUGAAGUUAAAGUAGUUGCACCUAUUAAAGUUGAAGAAAAGACUAUCACUUAUAAUGAUCCUAUUGUUCCUACUACUUAUGUGGAGAAAUCACCUUUCCCUGUUAGGAUUAAGAAUCAUGCUAAAGCUUCAACUGUGGUCCGUAAGAGUAAUACUAGAACUUAUACACCUCCUGAGCAAGUUAAAGUUGAACCUAAUAUUGCUAUGGUUAAAGAUCUCUUGGCUGAUAAUAUCGAUGGGCAUGUUAUUUACUUCUGUGAUGAAACUGCUAGGAUUGCUAAACCCGGUGCUAAAGAUAAACAUAGACCUAUUGUGGGCAUGCCUGUUAUUUCUGUUAAAAUAGGAGAUCAUUGUUAUCAUGGCUUAUGUGAUAUGGGUGAUAGUGCAAGUGCAAUACCUCAUUCUUUAUAUCAAGAAAUUAUGCAUGAUAUUGCACCUGCUGAGUUAGAAGAAAUUGAUGUCACCAUUAAGCUUGCCAAUAGAGAUACUAUUUCACCAAUUGGGAUUGUUAGAGAUGUUGAAGUCUUGUGUGGGAAGGUUAAAUAUCCUGCUGAUUUUCUUGUUCUUGGUUCCCCACAAGAUAGCUUUUUUCCCAUUAUAUUUGGUAGACCCUUCUUGAAUACUGUUAAUGCUAAGAUAGACUGCAAGAAGGAUGUUGUUACUAUCGGUUUGGAUGAUAUGUCUCAUGAGUUUAGUUUCUCUAAAUUUCGUAGACAACCUCGUGAUGAGGAAUUGCCUAGUAAAGAUGAAAUUCACUAGUGUAGAACCGGGCUUUAGUCCCGGUUCGUAAAGGCCUUUAGUGUCGGUUCCGUAACCGGCACUAAAGGGUGGGCACUAAAGGGGCCCCCCUUUAGUACCGGUUCGGCACGAACCGGCGCUAAAGUGCCACCACGUGGCACGAGCCAGGCCACGGGUGCGGUAGAUCAUUAGUACCGGUUGGUAACACCAACCGGUACUAUAUGUUUGUGGGUUUUGGUUUUAUUUUUUAUAUUUCCUUUAAAUUUGUGUUUUCAAUUUAAUUUAGGAUUGUUUUACGUUAUAAUGAGUUGUUAAAUCAUUAGGUGCUAGUUAAUUAUAUAUAGCUAGCUAAGUGAUCAAGUAUAUGCCAUAGCCAUAUUAUAUAUACUUGAUCACCUAAAGUGAUCAAGCAGUAAUAUGGGUAUGGCAUAUAUUUGAUCACUUAGCUAGCUAGCUAUCUAGGAUCCACAUGCAUGCACUAACACUAGCUUAAGGCAGAAACAUUCACUUAAGUAUACCAGAAGCAAAGAUAUCAUCGAGUUCAACAUGGUCAUGAUAUUAUAAGCGCGUUCAUAUAACACCACAAAAGCAAAUCACUCUUAGAUUAAGUUCAGGACGAAGAAUGACAUGAGAGGAAGUACUAAGAGCAUGAACUAGCUAAAUCACCCCUGCUGCUCCCUCUGAGGUAAAAUAACAUAGAACAUGUAUAGCUCUCCCGAUUGAUCAAACUGGAGCAUGCAGAUGAACCUGUCACCUAUGCGUGGCCUGCGCUUCUCAUCGCUGCCCCCUAGUACUUCUCUGGGAUCGUAAACAAUUUUGCUCCAAUCUUUCACUAUUAAGCAAUCAUCGCUUUCAGAAAUCCUGAAUUCACUCGUGUUCCAUGUAGGAUAUCUUGGCCAUAAGCUAACCAUUGAUAUGAGACCUUUAGUCUCGAUCCACUGAGGCACAACUGUCAUCGGGAGUCCCUGUUGAAGAACAUCGUAUAGUAAUUAAUAAACUUAGCAAUGAAAGUUUAGCUUUAAAAAUAAUGUAUGCAAAAGAUGCACUAAGGACAAAUAGUAAAAAUCUUAUCAUCUUUCCAUUAUAGAUGUGACCGUAGUUCAAUACGAUCACUAUUGGUCGGACGUUUUGAGUACUAACAUUUCUAAGUGCAGGAAGAAAAUUUGUCUUGACAGUAUGAAGAUCCUCAAGCCAUGAAACAUAAUGACUUAUCUCCUCGCAGUUUAAUUCAUCCCUGGGGCAGUAGUAGGUCCUGUCUACCAAGCGUCAAACAUGUUUGCUUGAACCGAAAUAAGCUGACGAUACAAAUUAGUUGUCAACUAUUUUUGAAUAAACAGUAUGAAAGACAUAAACAUAUGCAUGCAUGUGGUUGAGAAAAACUCACAUAAUGGUAGAACUGGAGGCGUUUGCACAUCGACCCAGAUGUCUCUAUUACCUUCAAUAUCAUCUUCCGGACGAAUAUCAAAGGUGAUAACCAUAUCAGGCUCAAAUGCAUAAGCCUUGCAUAGUGCUUGCAAGUUUCGCAUUCAAAAUGGGUGUAUGUGUCUCCAUUGUAUAAUUUGACGUUGAAAGUAUACCCAUGCUCGGUCUUCAAGUAAACUCUCUUUACCUCCAUAUCAUCUAUAGCACUAAAACCUACCUUAUCCAAGACAAAAAUUCGAGCAUGGCAGGGGAUGCGCUAGUAGAAUAGUGAAAAUUUAAAAUUAUAAGUUCAAGCAAAUGAUGCAUAAGUCAUGCUUUAUUAGGAAAAAAAUACUUGCCGGUGUGACUUACUGUAUCCACUUUGAAUGUCUCAUCCAGCUUGAUGCUGAAGCUCCUAUUGUCAUCAAGGAAAUUUCUAUCGCACAGGCCGCGUUGGUCUUCACAGUGUUCGCACAUAAUGAAAUCUUUUUCAUCGUCAGACGACAUUUCCUAUGUUCAUAUAAGUGAAACAUUAAACACUUACUAUCUAACAUUAAUUAAUAUCUAACUAAUUCUAAUAUUCAUCUAACAUUUGACAUUAAUAUCUAACAUAUAUUUCUAUCUAAUUCAUCUAACAUUUGACAUUAAUCUAACAUUUAUAUAAACUAAAUAUAUAUAUAAAAAUAAAAAACAGAAAAAAUAAACUAGUUAAGUUCUAUAUAUAUAGGUGAAACAUUACUAGUUCUAUUAUUUCAACUAAUACAACUAGUUAUAUUAAUUCAACAAGUUCUAUUAAUUAAUUCAAUUACUAAUUAAUUCAACUAAGCAUUUACUAAAAAUAAACUAGUUAUAUUAAUUCAAUUAGUUCAAAUCUCAUGCAUAUANNNNNNNNNNNNNNNNNNNNNNNNNNNNNNNNNNNNNNNNNNNNNNNNNNNNNNNNNNNNNNNNNNNNNNNNNNNNNNNNNNNNNNNNNNNNNNNNNNNNNNNNNNNNNNNNNNNNNNNNNNNNNNNNNNNNNNNNNNNNNNNNNNNNNNNNNNNNNNNNNNNNNNNNNNNNNNNNNNNNNNNNNNNNNNNNNNNNNNNNNNNNNNNNNNNNNNNNNNNNNNNNNNNNNNNNNNNNNNNNNNNNNNNNNNNNNNNNNNNNNNNNNNNNNNNNNNNNNNNNNNNNNNNNNNNNNNNNNNNNNNNNNNNNNNNNNNNNNNNNNNNNNNNNNNNNNNNNNNNNNNNNNNNNNNNNNNNNNNNNNNNNNNNNNNNNNNNNNNNNNNNNNNNNNNNNNNNNNNNNNNNNNNNNNNNNNNNNNNNNNNNNNNNNNNNNNNNNNNNNNNNNNNNNNNNNNNNNNNNNNNNNNNNNNNNNNNNNNNNNNNNNNNNNNNNNNNNNNNNNNNNNNNNNNNNNNNNNNNNNNNNNNNNNNNNNNNNNNNNNNNNNNNNNNNNNNNNNNNNNNNNNNNNNNNNNNNNNNNNNNNNNNNNNNNNNNNNNNNNNNNNNNNNNNGGCGCGACGACGGCGACGGGGACGGGACGCGCGGCGACGAAGACGGAACAGAGAGGAACUAACUGAAAAUUUUCGUAAGUGAUGUAUAUAUAGGAGAGGCCUUUAGUACCGGUUGGAUCCACCAACCGGUACUAAAGGCCAACUUUGGCCCGGCCAAGAGGCGGGAAGAGCAGGCCUUUAGUACCGGUUGGUGGCUUCGACCGGUACUAAAGGUCACCCUUUAGUACCGGGUGGAGCCACCAACCGGUACUAAAGGUGGUGCGCUGCCUGCACAAAGUUUAGUCCCACCUCACCGGGCGAAGGGCAGCCGCACUGGUUUAUAAACCCAGCCGCGGCUGCCCUUUCGAACUCCUAUAUAAAGCAGGCUUCUGGGCCUAAAUACGGCGCGCUGCCCUGUGAGUCUGCUGGGCCUUGUGAGCCUGAAAUUGCACGCCCGUGGUCUAGCAGGCCCCAGGGCAGCGCCCUAAAUUUUUUGAUAUAGAUUUUUUCUUUUCUGCUUUAUUUUUUCUUCUAUUUAUUUCUGAGUAGUUUUUUCUUUUCUGCUAUUUAUUUUCUUCUAUUUAUUUCUGAGUAGUUUUUUUAUAUAGUUUUUUUCUUUUGUGCUAUAUUUUUUUUCUUUUCUGCUAUUUUUUCUUUUCUACUUUAUUUAUUUUCUUCUAUUCAUUUAUUUUUAUAUACCAUGCCAAGUUGAUGGUUAAAACUUUAUGGUUUAUUUCUGAGUAGUUUUAAUAAGUUAUUAAAAAUAAAAAAGAGGUGCAAUGCUCGUUGAUUAGCUUCAAGCCUUUCAGAAUAGUGUAAACUGCACUACACAUAGCUCCGUGCAGUCUACCAUAUUCCUCAAGGCUUGAAGCUAAGCAACGUGAGCAUUGAGCCUCUUCUUCAUCGUCUCUGCACUCAGGGCUUAUAAACCGCUCCUAGUCCCUCUCUCUUCGCGAGGUGGGACUAAAAAACAGCUUACUAAGAAACUGUAGUACUGGUUCAUGCCAUGAACCGGUACUAAAGGUGCUCGUGGGGCCCCAGCCUUACCUGACACAACCUCAUUAGUACCAGUUCGUCGCACGAACCGGUGCUAAAUGUUCGCCACGAACCGGUACUAAAGAGCUCCUCCCGCCUACCAGUUGGAACCGGCACUAAUGGACACAUUAGUGCUGGCUCAAAUUCAAACCGCGACUAAUGUAUCUCAUUUUGUAGUGCUUUUCAAUUUCAGGGUCAUUUAGCUCAAAACAAAUCAUUAAAUGCAUGAAAAAUAGCAAAUGAAGGCAGAAAUGGUUGAAAGUUGAUGGCGUCGCUUUGAAUGGUGCAUACUGAAUGCACAAAAAGUGUGGAGUUGUAAUAAGUUAAAAAAAUGAAAUGCCUUUGUAACACAUGAGUUUAAUUUCGUCAGAAACCCGAAUACUUUCGAAAGAGAUUGUCCAGUUUUUGCCGUAACCCUCUCUACUUUUUUGAACAUGCUAUGUGGGUGAAAUGAUGAUACCAUGCCAAGUUUCAACUUUUUCAGAGAUCAUUUGUAGUGCUUUUCAAUUUCCAGGUCAUUUAGUUCUCAAAACAAACCAUUAAAUGCAUGAAAAAUAGCAAAUGAAGGCAGAAAUGGUUGACAGUUGAUGGCGUCGCUUUGAGUGGUGCAUACUGAACGCAAAAAAUAUAAGAGCAUUUAGAUCAUUAUCUUAUAUUUCUUUACAGUAUGAAUUGUCAAUAUGAUCUUAUACAUCAAAAAUACUUUGAUCAUCAAUGAUCUUUUUGUAUACAAUCUGAAUUGUCAAUAUGAGUCCUCAACGAUUUAUAAACCAGUGAAGACUCAUAUUGCGGCCACAAAUUCUACACAUAGAGUUCAAUGAAGACCAAGUGCUUGUGAUAGUUUGAGAAGUAACAUAUUUAAGGUGGUAAAAGCCUUGUUAGGGGAGCGAGGUGGGACUAAAAACAGCUUGCCAUAACCUCAUUAGUACCGGUUCGUCGUACGAACCGGCACUAAAUGGUGAUGGUGGGGCCAUAGCCUGACCGCAGGCUUCCACAGCCUCUUUAGUACCGGUUCGUGCGAUGAACCGGCACUAAAGGUUCGCCAUGAACCGGUACUAUUGAUCGCCGCCACAAACCGGUACUAUUGAUCUCAUUAGUGCCGGUUUUUUUACAAACCGGCACUAAUGUGCUUCACAUUUGAACGUUUUUCUACUAGUGAUUAUUGGUCUUGCUUCUAUUGUCGUGCCUCCUAGUGAUCCUUUAGAACAAUAUUUGCUAGACCAUGAAAAUGAUAUGUUUAUGAAUGAAAGAAGGGAAAUAGAUGAAGUAUUCUUUAAGCAGGGACCUAUUCUAAAACACAACUUGCCUGUUGAAAUCCUAGGGGAUCCUCCUCCACCCAAGGGAGAUCCCGUGUUUGAGCUUAAACCAUUACCUGAUACUCUUAAAUAUGCUUAUCUUGAUGAAAAGAAGAUAUAUCCUUUUAUUAUUAGUGCUAACCUUUCAGAGCAUGAAGAAGAGAAAUUAUUGAAAACUCCGAAGAAGUACCGCGCUGCUAUUGGAUAUACUCUGGAUGAUCUUAAGGGCAUUAGUCCCACUCUAUGUCAACACAAAAUAAAUUUGGAGAAAGACGCCAAACCAGUUAUUGAUCAUCAACGACAGCUAAAUCCUAAGAUGAAAGAAGUGGUAAGAAAGGAAAUACUAAAGCUCCUUGAGGCAAGUGUCAUUUAUCCCAUUGCUAAUAGUCAGUGGGUAAGUCCUAUCCAUUGUGUCCCUAAGAAGGGAGAGAUUACUGUCGUUCCUAACGAUAAAGAUGAAUUGAUCCUACAAAGAAUUAUUACAUGUUAUAGAAUGGUAAUUGAUUUCCGCAAAUUAAAUAAGGCUACUAAAAAAGAUCAUUACCCGUUACCUUUUAUUGAUCAAAUGCUAGAAAGAUUAUCCAAACAUACACAUUUUUGCUUUCUAGACCACUUUUACUUGCCCUUUCGGUACUUUUGCUUAUAGACGUAUGCCUUUUGGUUUAUGUAAUGCACCUGCUACCUUUCAAAGAUGCAUGAUGGCUAUAUUCUAUGACUUUUGUUAAAGGAUAUGUGAGGUUUUCAUGGAUGAUUUCUCCGUUUAUUGAUCCUCUUUUGAUGAUUGCUUGAGCAACCUUGAUUGAGUUUUGCAGAGAUGUGAAGAAACUAAUCUUGUCUUGAAUUGGGAGAAGUGCCACUUUAUGGUUAAUGAAGGUACUGUCUUGGGGCAGAAAAUUUCUGAAAGAGGUAUUGAAGUUGAUAAAGCUAAAGUUGAUGCUAUUGAAAAGAUGCCAUGUCCCAAGGACAUCAAAGGUAUAAGAAGUUUUUUGGGUCACGCCGAUUUCUAUAGGAGGUUCAUUAAGGACUUCUCAAAAAUUUCUCGGCCUCUUUCUAAUCUAUUACAAAAAGAUAUACCUUUUGUCUUUGAUGAUGAUUGUGUAGAAGCAUUUGAAAUACUUAAGAAAGCAUUAAUUUCUGCACCUAUUGUUCAGCCACCUGAUUGGAAUUUACCCUUUGAAAUUAUGUGUGAUGCUAGUGAUUAUGUUGUAGGUGCUGUUCUAGGGCAAAGAGUUGAUAAAAAAAUUAAAUGUUAUUCAAUAUGCUAGUAAAACCCUAGACAAUGCCCAGAGAAAUUAUGCUACUAUCGAAAAAGAAUUUUUAGCAGUUGUAUUUGCCUGUGAUAAGUUCAGACCUUAUAUUGUUGAUUCUAAAGUAACUAUUCACACUAAUCAUGUUGCUAUUAAAUAUCUUAUGGAAAAGAAAGAUGCUAAACCUAGACUUAUUAGAUGGGUUCUCUUGCUACAAGAAUUUGAUUUGCAUAUUAUUGAUAGAAAGGGAGCUGAGAACCCCGUUGCAGACAACUUGUCUAGGUUAGAAAAUGUUCUUGAUGACCCACUACCUAUUGAUGAUAGCUUUCCCGAUGAACAAUUAAAUGUCAUAAAUGCUUCUUGUACUGCUCCAUGGUAUGCUGAUUAUGCUAAUUACAUUGUUGCUAAAUUUAUACCACCUAGUUUCACAUACCAACAAAAGAAAAAGUUUUUCUAUUAAGACAUUACUUCUGGGAUGACCCACAUCUUUAUAAAGGAGUAGAUGGUGUUAUUAGACGUUGUGUACCUGAGCAUGAACAGGAACAUAUCCUGGGCAAGUGUCACUCCGAAGCUUAUGGGGGACACCAAGCUGGAGAUAGAACUGCACAUGAGGUAUUCCAAUCUGGUUUUUAUUGGCCUACUCUCUUCAAGGAUGCUCGUAAGUCUGUCUUGUCUUGUGAUGAAUGUCAAAGAAUUGGUAAUAUUAGUAGACGUCAAGAAAUUCCUAUGAAUUAUUAACUUGUUAUUGAACCAUUUGACGUUUGGAGCUUUGAUUAUAUGGGACCAUUUCCUGCCUCUAAUGGAUAUACACAUAUUUUAGUUGCUGUUGAUUAUGUUACUAAGUGGGUAGAAGCUAUUCCAACUAGUAGCGCUGAUCAUAACACCUGUAUUAAGACGCUUAAAGAAGUUAUUUUUCCGAGGUUUGGAGUCCCUAGAUAUUUAAUGACUGAUGGUGGUUCACAUUUUAUUCAUGGUGCCUUUCGUAAAAUGCUUGCUAAGUAUGAUGUUAAUCAUUGAAUUGCAUCUCCAUAUCAUCCACAGUCUAGCGGUCAAGUAGAAUUGAGUAAUAGAGAGCUUAAAUUAAUUUUGCAAAAGACUGUUAAUAGGUCUAGAAAGAAUUGGUCCAGGAAACUUGAUGAUGCAUUAUGGGCCUAUAGAACUGGAUAUAAAAAUCCUAUGGGUAUGUCUCCGUAUAAAAUGGUUUAUGGAAAAGCAUGUCACUUACCUCUCGAACUAGAACAUAAGGCAUAUUGGGCCAUUAAAGAGCUCAAUUAUGAUUUCAAACUUGCCGGCGAGAAGAGGUUAUUUGACAUUAGCUCACUUGAUGAAUGGAGAACCCAAGCCUAUGAAAAUGCCAAGUUUUUUAAAGAAAAAGUUAAAAGAUGGCAUGACAAAAGGAUACAAAAGCGUGAGUUUAAUAUAGGUGAUUAUGUGUUGCUAUACAACUCUCGUUUAAGAUUUUUUUCAGGAAAACUUCUCUCUAAAUGGGAAGGCCUUUACGUUAUCGAGGAGGUCUAUCGUUCCGGUGCCAUAAAAAUCAACAACUUCAAAGGCACAAAUCCAAAGGUGGUGAACGGUCAAAGAAUCAAACAUUAAAUCUCAGGUAAUCCUAUAAAUGUUGAAACUAAUAUUAUUGAAACCGUAACCCCGGAGGAAUACAUAAGGGACACUUUUCGGAACGUUUCAGACUCCAAAAAGGAAUAGGUACGUGGUACGGUAAGUAAACCGACUCCAAAACAGUUCUAAAGGCAAUUUUUCUCCGUUUUGGAAUAUUUAGAAAAAUAGGAAAAUAAAAAGCAGUACGGGAAGGACACGAGGCUUCCACGAGGGUGGGAGGCGCGCCCUAACCCCCUACGCGCGCGCCCUGCCUCGUGGGCACCUCGUGCGCUCUCCAGACUCUAUUUUCUUACACGAUACAUAUUUUGGUCGGUAAAAAUUCAUUAGAUAAUCUCCCGAAGGUUUUGACUCUCGUAUCACACAAAUAUCCUCUGUUCUCGUUUCGAGCUGUUUUUCUGACAGAUCUAGGCCACCAUGACGUCUCCAAGUGCCCCCAAGGACAAGUUCUUUGAGAAGGUCAUCAAUCCCUUCCUUGCGGAGGUGCUGCAACACCCUCAAACCAUUGAGAUGCAUGAGGGGGUGCUGCACAUCCGCGAUGUUGAGGGACCAAGGAGGACCGGAAGUGUGGAUACAAGGCUGGAAACAAUGGAGCAACAAGUCUUCAAGUGUCAGGAGAUGGUGGAGCGGGGACUCGGUACCACAUAAUGAUCACAGAGUUCACCAACAACCACAAGUUGGAUGUCAAGGACAUUGGGGAGGCCAUCUUAAAGCUUCACGAGAAAAUCAAGCACCUCCAAGCCCAGAUCUACGACCUGCAAAACAAAAACUAUGAGUAUGAAUAUAGAUUCAAGAGGAUGAGUUUGCCUGCAGAUUUGAGGAUCCCGGAGACUCGAUCAUCCUUCUAUGAUGGUGAGCCCAUGCCUUGGAAGAUGGAUGACAAGCCUACAUCAUCAAGAACUCCAUCUCCUUCACCAUCAAAAGAGACAUGAUCACAUGGGUAUGGGCACUCCCCUUGGCAACUGCCAAGCUUGGGGGAGGUGCCCCGGUAUCGUAUCACCAUCACACUCCUAUCUUUACUGUUUUUCUUAGUUCGAUCCUUUUGGUAAUAUCUUGAUUUAGUAGAAUAAAGUUUUUAGUAUGAUUCCCCUAUGUAAUCGAGUCCGUGAGCUAUCUAUAAUAAAGAUUAGUGUUGAGUCAAGGGCUUGAUUAUCUUGCUAUGAUCUUGAGUGAAAAAAGAGAGAAAAGGAAAGAAUAAAAAGAAAUAAAGAGAUCAUAUUGAUCUUAUGGAGAGUAAUGACUUCACAUAGAGAGAGUAUGAUGAUUAAAAGUUAUUGUGAGUUGACAAACAUAGUUUUGGUCAUCGUUGCAAUUAAUAGGAAGUAAAAUGAAAGAGAUGUUUCACAUAUAAAUAUACUAUCUUGGACAUCUUUUAUGAUUGUGAGAACUCAUUAAAAUAUGACAUGCUAAAGAGUUGAUAUUGGACAAGGAAGACAAUGUAAUGGGUUAUGUUUUCUUAUAUCCGAGAUAAAGUAUAUUGUUAUGGAUCAUCCAACAUGUUGAGCUUGCCUUUCCCCCUCAUGCUAGCCAAAUUCUUUGCACCAAGUAGAGAUACUACUUGUGCUUCCAAAUACUCUUAAACCCAGUUGUGCCAUGAGAGUCCACCAUAUCUAUGAAGGAAAUUGUUGGGGAACGUAGUAAUUUCAAAAUUUUCCUACGCACACGCAAGAUCAUGGUGAUGCAUAGCAACGAGAGGGGAGAGUGUUGUCUACGUACCCUCGUAGACCGAAGCGGAAGCGAUCACAACGUAGAGGAAGUAGUCGUACGUUCUCCUCGCGAUCCAACCGAUCCCAGCGCCGUUACUCCGGCGCCUCCGAGUUCUUGACACACGUACAGCUCGGUGACGCUCCUCGGGCUCCGAUCCAGCAAAGCUCCGGGGAGAGAGAGUUCCGUCAGCACGACGGCGUGGUGACGAUCUUGAUGUUCUACCGACGCAGGGCUUCGCCUAAGCACCGCUACGGUAUGACCGAGGUGGUAUAUGGUGGAGGGGGGCACCGCACACGGCUAAGGAACGAUCUCAAGGAUCAACUUGUGUGUUCUAGGGUGCCCCCUGCCCCCGUAUAUAAAGGAGCCAAGGGGGAGGGGGCCGGCCGGCCAAGAGGAGGCGCGCCAGGGAGUCCUACUCCCUCCGGGAGUAGGAUUCCCCCUCCAAUCCUAGUUGGAAUAGGAUUCACCGGAGGGGGGAAAGAGAGAGAGGGGGCCGGCCCACCUUUCCUAGUCCUAGUAGGACUAGGGGAAGGGGGGAGGCGCGCGGCCACCUAGGGCUGGUCCUUUCUCCUUUCCACCAAGGCCCACUAUGGCCCAUAUAGUUCCCGGGGGGUUCCGGUAACCUCCCGGUACUCCGGUAAAUUCCCGAUUUCACUCGGAACAUUUCCGAUGUCCAAAUGUAGGCUUCCAAUAUAUCAAUCUUUACGUCUCGACCAUUUCGAGACUCCUCGUCAUGUCCGUGAUCACAUCCGGGACUCCGAACUCCUUCGGUACAUCAAAAUACACAAACUCAUAAUAUAACCGUCAUCGAAACCUUAAGCGUGCGGACCCUACGGUUCGAGAACAAUGUAGACAUGACCGAGACACGUCUCUGGUCAAUAACCAAUAGCGGAACCUGGAUGCCCAUAUUGGUUCCUACAUAUUCUACGAAGGUCUUUAUCGGUCAAACCGCAUAACAACAUACGUUGUUCCCUUUGUCAUCGGUAUGUUACUUGCCCGAGAUUCGAUCGUCGGUAUCCAAUACCUAGUUCAAUCUCGUUACCGGCAAGUCUCUUUACUCGUUUCGUGAUACAUCAUCUCACAGCUAACUCAUUAGUUGUUAUGCUUGCAAGGCUUAGUGAUGUGCAUUACCGAGAGGGCCCAGAGAUACCUCUCCGACAAUUGGAGUGACAAAUCCUAAUCUCGAAAUACGCCAACCCAACAUCUGCCUUUGGAGACACCUGUAGUACUCCUUUAUAAUCACCCAGUUACGUUGUGACGUUUGGUAGUACCCAAAUUGUUCCUCCGGUAAACGGGAGUUGCAUAAUCUCAUAGUUAUAGGAACAUGUAUAAGUCAUGGAUAAAAGCAAUAGCAACAUACUAAACGAUCGGGUGCUAAGCUAAUGGAAUGGGUCAUGUCAAUCAGAUCAUUCAACUAAUGAUGUGACCUUGUUAAUCAAAUGACAACUCCUUUGUCUAUGGUUAGGAAACUUAACCAUCUUUGAUUAACAAGCUAGUCUAGUAGAGGCAUACUAGUGACACUCUUGUUUGUCUAUGUAUUCACACAUGUAUUAUGUUUCCGGUUAAUACAAUUCUAGCAUGAAUAAUAAACAUUUAUCAUGAAAUAAGGAAAUAAAUAAUAACUUUAUUAUUGCCUCUAGGGCAUAUUUCCUUCAGUCUCCCACUUGCACUAGAGUCAAUAAUCUAGAUCACAUCACCAUGUGAUUCACAUCGAUAGUUCACAUCAUCAUGUGAUUAACACCCAUAGUUCACAUUGCCAUGUGACCAACAUCCAAAGGGUUUACUAGAUUUAGUAAUCUAGUUCACAUCACUAUGUGAUUAACACCCAAAGAGUACUUAGGUGUGAUCAUGUUUUGCUUGUGAGAGAAUCUUAGUCAACGGGUCUUUCACAUUCAGAUCCGUUAUGUAUUUUGCAAUUUUUUUUAUGUCUACAAUGCUCUGCACGGAGCUACUCUAGCUAAUUGCUCCCACUUUCAAUAUGUAUCUAGAUCGAGACUUAAAGCCAUCCAGAUCGGUGUCAAAACUUGCAUCGACGUAACCCUUUACGACGAACCUUUUAUCACUUCCAUAAUCGAGAAACAUAUCCUUAUUCCAUUAAGGAUAAUUUUGACCGCUGUCCAGUGAUCUAUUCCUAGAUCACUAUUGUACUCCCUUGCCAAACUCAGUGCAGGGUAUACAAUAGAUCUGGUACACAGCAUGGCAUACUUUAUAGAACCUAUGGCCAAGGCAUAGGGAAUGACUUUCAUUCUCUUUCUAUCUUCUGCCGUGGCCGGGUUUUGAGUCUUACUCAAUUUCACACCUUUGUAACACAGGCAAGAACUCUUUCUUUGACUGUUCCAUUUUGAACUACUUCAAAAUCUUGUCAAGGUAUGUACUCAUUGAAAAAACUUAUCAAGCGUCUUGAUCUAUCUCUAUAGAUCUUAAUGCUCAAUAUGUAAGCAGCUUCACCGAGGUCUUUCUUUGAAAAACUCCUUUUAAACACUCCUUUAUGCUUUGCAGAAUAAUUCUACAUUAUUUCCGAUCUACAAUAUGUCAUUCACAUAUACUUAUCAGAAAUAUUGUAGUGCUCCCACUCACUUUCUAGUAAAUACAGGCUUCACUGCAAGUCUGUAUAAACUAUAUGCUUUGAUCAACUUAUCAAAGCGUAUAUUCCAACUCCGAGAUGCUUGCACCAGUCCAUAGAUGGAUCGCUGGAGCUUGCACACUUUGUUAGCUCCCUUUGGAUCGAUAAAACCUUCUGGUUGCAUCAUAUACAACUCUUCCUCCAGAAACCCAUUCAGGAAUGCAGUUUUUACAUCCAUUUGCCAAAUUUCAUAAAUUGUGGCAAUUGCUAACAUGAUUCGGACAGACUUAAGCAUCGCUACAGUUGAGAAAAUCUCAUUGUAGUCAACACCUUGAACUUGUCAAAAACCUUUUUGCGACAAGUCGAGCUUUGUAGAUAGUAACACUACUAUCAACGUCCGUCUUCCUCUUGAAGAUCCAUUUAUUUUCUAUUGCUUGCCGACCCUCGGGCAAGUCAACCAAAGUCCACACUUUGUUUUCAUACAUGGAUCCCAUCUCAGAUUUCAUGGCUUCUAGCCAUUUAGCGGAAUCUGGGCUCACCAUCGCUUCUUCAUAGUUCGUAGGUUCGUCAUGAUCUAGUAGCAUGACUUCCAGAACAGGAUUGCCGUACCACUCUGGUGCGGAUCUCACUCUGGUUUACCUACGAGAUUCGGUAGUGACUUGAUCUGAAGUUACAUGAUCAUCAUCAUUAGCUUCCUCACUAAUUGGUGUAGGAAUCACUGGAACUGAUUUCUGUGAUGAAAUACUUUCCAAUUCGGGAGAAGGUAUAAAUUACCUUAUCAAGCUCCACUUUCCUCCCACUCACUUCUUUCAAGAGAAACUCCUUCUCUAGAAAGGAUCCAUUUAUAAGCAACGAAUGUUUUGCCUUCGGAUCUGUGAUAGAAGGUAUACCCAACAAUUUCCUUUGGGUAUUCUAUGAAGACGCACUUCUCCGAUUUGGGUUUGAGCUUAUCAGGAUGAAACUUUUUCACAUAAGCAUCGCAGCCCCAAACUUUAAGAAACGACAACUUUGGUUUCUUGCUAAACCACAGUUCAUAUAGUGUCGUCUCAACGGAUUUAGAUGGUGCCCUAUUUAACGUGAAUGCAGCUGUCUCUAAUGCAUGAUCCCAAAACGAUAUUGGUAAAUCGGUAAGAAACAUCAUAGAUUGUACUAUAUCCAAUAAAGUACGGUUAUGACGUUCGGACACACCAUUAUGAUGUGGUGUUCCAGGUGGCAUGAAUUUGUGAAACUAUUUCACGUUGUUUUAAUUGAAGACCAAACUCGUAACUCAAAUAUUUGUCUCCACGAUCAGAUCGUAGAAACCUUUAUUUUCUUGUCAUGAUGAUUUUUUCACUUCACUCUGAAAUUCUUUGAACCUUUCAACUAUUUCAGACUUAUGUUUCAUCAAGUAGAUAUACCCAUAUCUGCUCAAAUCAUCUGUGAAGGUCAGAAAAUAACGAUACCUGCCGCGAACCUUAACACUCAUUGGAUCGCAUACAUCAGUAUGUAUUAUUUCUAAUAAGUCAGUUGCUCGCUCCACUGUUCCGGAGAACAGAGUCUUAGUCAUCUUGCCCAUGAGGCAUGGUUCGCAAGCAUCAAGUGAUUCAUAAUCAAGUGAUUCCGAAAUCCCAUCAGCAUGGAGUUUCUUCAUGCGCUUUACACCAAUAUGACCUAAACGGCAGUGCCACAAAUAAGUUGCACUAUCAUUAUUAACUUUGCAUCUUUUGGUUUCAAUAUUAUGAAUAUGUGUAUCACUACGAUCGAGAUCCAAUAAACCAUUUUCAUUGGGUGUGUAACCAUAUAAGGUUUUAUUCAUGUAAACAGAACAACAGUUUAUUCUCUUACUUAAAUGAAUAACCGUAUUGCAAUAAACAUGAUCAAAUCAUAUUCAUGCUCAACGCAAACACCAAAUAACAUUUAUUUGGGUUCAACACUAAUCCCGAAAGUAUAGGGAGUGUGCGAUGAUGAUCAUAUCAAUCUUGAAACUACUUUCAACACACAUCGUCACUUCACCCUUAACUAGUUUCUGUUUAUUCUACAACUCCCGUUUCGAGUUACUACUCUUAGUAACUGAACCAGUACCAAAUACCGAGGGGUUGCUAUAAACACUAGUAAAGUACACAUCAAUAACAUGUAUAUCAAAUAUACCUUUGUUUACUUUGCCAUCCUUCUUAUCCGCCAAAUACUUGGGGUAGUUCUGCUUCCAGUAACCAGUCCCUUUGCAGUAAAAGCACUUAGUCUCAGGCUUAGGUCUAGACUUGGGAUUCUUCACUUGAGCAGCAACUUGCUUGCCGUUCUUCUUGAAGUUCCCUUCUAUCCCUUUGCCCUUUUCUUGAAACUAGUGGUCUUGUUAACCAUCAACACUUGAUGUUCUUUCUUGAUUUCUACCUUCAUCGAUCUCAUCAUCAUGAAAAACUCGGGAAUUAUUUUCAUCAUCCCUUGCAUACUAUAGUUCAUCACGAAGUUCUACUAACUUGGUGAUGGUGACUAGAGAAUUCUGUCAAUCACUAUCUUAUCUGGAAGAUUAACUCCCACUUGAUUCAAGCGAUUGUAGUACCCAGACAAUCUGAGCACAUGCUCACUAGUCGAGCGAUUCUCCUCCAUCUUUUAGCUAUAGAACUUGUUGGAGACUUCAUAUCUCUUAACUCGGGUAUUUGCUUGAAAUAUUAACUUCAACUCCUGGAACAUCUCAUAUGGUCCAUGAUGUUCAAAACAUCUUUGAAGUCCCGAUUCUAAGCCAUAAAGCAUGGUGCACAAAACUAUCAAGUAGUCAUCAUAUUGAGCUAGCCAAACGUUCAUAACGUCUGCAUCUGCUCCUGCAAUAGGUCUGUCACCUAGCGGUGCAUUAAGGACAUAAUUCUUCUGUGCAACAUUGAGGAUAAACCUCAGAUCGCGGAUCCAAUCCGCAUCAUUGCUACUAACAUUUUUCAACACAAUUUUCUCUAGGAACAUAUGAAAAUAAACAUAUGAAAGCAACAACGCGAGCUAUUGAUCUACAACAUAAUUUGCAAAAUACUACCAGGACUAAGUUCAUGAUAAAUUUAAGUUCAAUUAAUCAUAUUACUUAAGAACUCCCACUUAGACAGACAUCUCUCUAGUCAUCUAAGUGAUCACGUGAUCCAAAUCAACUAAACCAUAACCGAUCAUCACGUGAGAUGGAGUAGUUUUCAAUGGUGAACAUCUUAUGUUGAUCAUAUCUAGUAUAUGAUUCACGCUCGACCUUUCGGUCUCCGUGUUCCGAGGCCAUAUCUGCAUAUGCUAGGCUCGUCAAGUAUAACCUGAGUAUUCUGCGUGUGCAAAACUGGCUUGCACCCGUUGUAGAUGGACGUAGAGCUUAUCACACCCGAUCAUCACGUGGUGUCUCGGCACGACGAACUUUGGCAACGGUGCAUACUCAGGGAGAACACUACUUGAUAAUUUUAGUGAGAGAUCAUCUUAAAAUGCUACCGUCAAUCAAAGCAAAAUAAGAUGCAUAAAGGAUAAACAUCACAUGCAAUCAAUAUAAGUGAUAUGAUAUGGCCAUCAUCAUCUUGUGCUUGUGAUCUCCAUCUCCGAAGCACCGUCGUGAUCACCAUCGUCACCGGCGCGACACCUUGAUCUCCAUCGUAGCAUCGUUGUCGUUUACGCCAUCUAUUGUAGCGACCUGACCCAAAAUCGGUCAAAUCUCUGUGUCUGUACCAUCCCAAGAUCAUGCUGGUACUCACAGUACAUCGAUAAAGUAAUCAAAGUUCAAUCACACCUGAAUAUCAUUAAACGAUUCUCAUAUAGAGUCUUUAUUACAAGGGAAUAAAUUCGGCUCAAGGCCAACUCAUGAGAAAUAAACUACAAAUGCUGCGGAAGCGUCGAAGGUAAGCGAGUCCAUCCGACUCCAAAGGGCAAUCGCCAAGCGCAGAGCGUAGCCUCACUCCUGAUCGGAAUAUAUCUCUGCAACAUAAUACGUUGCAGCCAUGUAGGUCAGCUUUUGGAAUAAGCUGGCAAGUCAUGAAGAAUAACAAUAAUAAAGUUACUAACUCUAUAUGCAUUUUGGCUGUGGAGCUCUAAGUUUCAUCAUUUUGCGAAAAGCAAAUUUUAUCCUACUACAGUGGACUUGCUUGCAAAUUACUACAAUUGUUGGUAGUUAUUGAGAUGGUUCCGCCAACCAAUAUCUCGUUCCCAAUUAUUAAGUCAUAUAAACCCUCAAAUUUAUUCAUUUGUUUUAGUGUUGAGAUAUCCGAAUACUUCCAAGUUCCAGAGGCUCAAAUGUCCGUAACCGGGGACACGGCUAAUCGAUUAGAUCUUUAACUCUGCAGAGGGUUGCGCACUUUCCCCGCAAGAAUCAUUCCCUCCUUUAAAGUCUUCGCACUUCAUGGUGUUUGAAGACGGGACGAAUGAAACAGGGUCUUCCAAAGAGUUCUUCUGGCCACUGCCGGUACCCAUCCAAUCCUACCGUUCGUCUACUUCUCGUAGUACCGUCCAGCCAGCGUCACUACUAGGGUCAACCCAGCCAGAGCCCAUAAUGGCUUGCGGCUGCACAGGUAAGCUUCCGGUCAUGGGGCAUCCAUCCUUCUCUUUGUGGCUGGGUGAAGCUUUCCGCAGGAUGUCAUGGCGCUUCUCCAUGCAUCCCGGCCACCACUGGGUGCUCCAGGGUGCCCGUCAACCGUCCUCCACCCAGUAGUGAUUUUCCGAAGUCCAUCUUGAUCAUUGUAGUCCAUGGGGUUGUCAUCAUCAUUGACUCUCACAUCUUGCUUAUGAAUUUCACUCAUCCCAAAUCCCGUCUACGAGCAUAGCAAAAUAACUACUACGUCCCGGGGUCAUGGUAACAAGGGGGUUGGUUCAUCCUACCACAUGAUACUACUCAAGUUUAAUGACUUCAAGAUUUCACUACUGCAUGCAUGGUGGGGUGGUGACAACUACUAAUGCACAAAACAUAGGUAUAGAAAUAACAUGAUCAAAACUUGCCUUGUUGUUGAUCCUCGUAAGCUAAAGAGUCGUAGUAGCAAGCUUCGCACUCCGGAAACUCUACCGAGACAAACAAUAGCACAAUAAGCACAAAGCAAUAGGAUCACACAACAUAACAAAAGUAACAUAACACAACAAAACAAUCAAAACCAAAUCCAAAAGGAAAACUCAAAGAAACCAAUUCAAGUUUUUCCCUACCCCAAACAAUAACUAAAAUAGUUUUUAUAUAACAAAAAUUCCUUAAUAUAACCUAAUCAUGGUUUUAAGUUAACUUAACAGAAAAGGUUUCACUAAGCAACUAGGAGCAAAAAGAAUUAAUUAAAAAGCUAUUAUAAAACUCAUUUUAGGCCUAAUCCAAUUUCUAUUAAGAAAAAUAAUUUAAAACUUUUAAUUAUAAAUAAAAGUUCAUCUACUAAAGUGACAGAAACUAACCUAGAAUAACUAAUCACAAGUUAAAAACAAAUUCAUUUACUAAUUUAAACAUUAGGAAAACAGGAACUAGUUAAUUAAUUAGGUUUAAUAGGAUUCUGUCUAAAACUAAUUAUUUAUUAAUCCUAAAAUACCCAAGUUAAUUUCUAGGGUUUGGCAAUGUCAAAAUAAAGUGGUGACAAAAAAGAAUCAUGCAAAAAUAAUUUUUCUAACUAAAGUUAUAGCAGAUUUACUAUUCUGACCAAAACUAAAAUAAAGCAAUUUUAAUUAUUUUUAACAUAGCUAAAUAUAUAUUCUACAGAAACUACAUAAAAUUUGCAAUACAACAAAAAAAUAAUCAUCUAAAAAUAUUAAACAGAAUAAAAGAUAUAAAUUUUUGAAAACAGAAACUAUUCGGCUAAAACAGAAAAUCAAAAUAAAAGAAAAAGGCCUAAUGGGCCUAUACUGUGCCCUGUGCGUUAGAUAGCCUAACGGGUUCUAGGGUUAACUAAAACGAACCGGCCUAAAAAAAUAAACCUAACCUAAAAAUAAACCGAUUGGACCGGCCGGUUUUAUAAUAAAAACUUACCCCUUCGGGGGUUCUAAUCCUAGUCGUUGAUCUAGGAUCGGACGGGGGAGGGUGAUGCCGGUGGCUUACCGGACUCCGGCGACGGCGGCGGCGGCGGCGAGAGUGCGUCGGGGCUUCCGGGCGUCGGGGAGCUCCGGCGAGUCGUCGGGAGGAUGCGGGGGAGCNNNNNNNNNNNNNNNNNNNNNNNNNNNNNNNNNNNNNNNNNNNNNNNNNNNNNNNNNNNNNNNNNNNNNNNNNNNNNNNNNNNNNNNNNNNNNNNNNNNNNNNNNNNNNNNNNNNNNNNNNNNNNNNNNNNNNNNNNNNNNNNNNNNNNNNNNNNNNNNNNNNNNNNNNNNNNNNNNNNNNNNNNNNNNNNNNNNNNNNNNNNNNNNNNNNNNNNNNNNNNNNNNNNNNNNNNNNNNNNNNNNNNNNNNNNNNNNNNNNNNNNNNNNNNNNNNNNNNNNNNNNNNNNNNNNNNNNNNNNNNNNNNNNNNNNNNNNNNNNNNNNNNNNNNNNNNNNNNNNNNNNNNNNNNNNNNNNNNNNNNNNNNNNNNNNNNNNNNNNNNNNNNNNNNNNNNNNNNNNNNNNNNNNNNNNNNNNNNNNNNNNNNNNNNNNNNNNNNNNNNNNNNNNNNNNNNNNNNNNNNNNNNNNNNNNNNNNNNNNNNNNNNNNNNNNNNNNNNNNNNNNNNNNNNNNNNNNNNNNNNNNNNNNNNNNNNNNNNNNNNNNNNNNNNNNNNNNNNNNNNNNNNNNNNNNNNNNNNNNNNNNNNNNNNNNNNNNNNNNNNNNNNNNNNNNNNNNNNNNNNNNNNNNNNNNNNNNNNNNNNNNNNNNNNNNNNNNNNNNNNNNNNNNNNNNNNNNNNNNNNNNNNNNNNNNNNNNNNNNNNNNNNNNNNNNNNNNNNNNNNNNNNNNNNNNNNNNNNNNNNNNNNNNNNNNNNNNNNNNNNNNNNNNNNNNNNNNNNNNNNNNNNNNNNNNNNNNNNNNNNNNNNNNNNNNNNNNNNNNNNNNNNNNNNNNCUUCGGGAUCCGGCGAUCCUCCGGCGAGUGGCGUUGCAUGGGCGAGGGGGGAAGAAGAGGGGGCGGGGCCCACGGGUCAGAGAGAGAGAGAGGGAGGGGUGAGGCGAGCGGUCGACCGAAGCCUAGGGGAUUCGGGCGAGGGGCGAGGCCGGUCGGGCGCUGGGCUGGCCUGUUGGCCUAGUGGGCCGGCUGGCUUGGGCCAGGCGCAGGGUGCGGCACUGGCUGGGCCUGGGGUGGCCUGGCUGGCGCCCCGGGGGGGUUUUUCUUUAUUUUUUUAAAUAAAACGAAAACAAAAAUAUAACAAUAUCUAUAAAUAUUUUAUAUAGGGUAUAUAUAUACCAAAAUGAUCAGGGGAAUAUUCCCUUUCAUUUGAACAUUUUUCCAAAGGCAAAAUCCAAACUUCAUAAAAAUCUAUUUUUUUCAAAUUCAAAUAAAAUUCAGAUUUGAAUUCCAAAACUUUUGGCAUUGUUUCCUCUGAUAUUUUUGGAGUGUCAUGUUUGCUCCUCUCAUACUUUUGAUCAAGUAUUUAUCAGGCUUAGUUUUUUUUGAAAUGAUUCCCACAUGCCAAAGUUUGAAAUUCAAAUUCAAAACUCAAAAUUCUCUGAAACUUCAAAUGGCAUUCAAAUUCAAACAGGAUGCAUAGGAUGCUUAGCUAUAAUUGUAAAACAUUCCAAAUAGGAAAUUUGGGAUGUUACAAACCUACCCACCUUAAGAUGAAUCUCGCCCUCGAGAUUCGGGUUGGCUAGCAAAUAGGUGCGGAUGGUCUCGAAGAAGAUCUUCUUCGCGUUCCCAGGUGGCUUCUUCCUUGGUGUGGUGACUCCACAGCACCUUGCAAAAUUUGAUGACCUUGCUGCGGGUGACUCUGCUUGCAGUCUCGAGAAUUCGGACGGGUUUCUCCUUGUAAGUCAGAUCACUGUCAAGCUGUAUGGCCUCUAGGGGCACUGUAUCUCUCAACGGAACAUCGGCCAUGUCGGCAUGGCACUUCUUCAGCUGAGAAACGUGGAAGACAUCAUGAACUCCGGACAAUCCUUCCGGCAAUUCCAACUUGUACGCAACCUCUCCACGACGUUCGAGGAUUUUGUAGGGGCCAAUGAAUCGGGGUGCUAACUUUCCCUUGACACCAAACCUCUUGAUUCCACGAAGUGGUGACACACGAAGAUAUGCUCGGUCUCCCACUUCGUAAGUCACAUCUUUGCGCUUACUGUCGGCAUAACUCUUCUGUCUUGACUGUGCUAUCUUGAGCCUGUCUCGAAUUAGCUUGACUUUCUCUUCGGAAUCCUUGAUAAGAUCGGAACCGAAAAAUGAUCGAUCUCCAACAUUAUCCCACAGCAAUGGUGUUCUACACCUUCUUCCGUAUAGAGCUUCGAAAGGGGCCAUCUUCAGACUGGAUUGAUAACUGUUGUUGUAUGAGAACUCUGCGUAUGGCAAAUUAUCAUCCCAGCUAGACCCAUAGUCUAGCACACAAGCUCUCAACAUGUCUUCCAGAAUCUGGUUGACUCUCUCGGUCUGUCCAUCUGUCUGCGGAUGAAAAGCUGUACUGAAUUCCAGCCUCGUACCCAAAGUUUCAUGCAGCUGCUUCCAAAACUUUGAGGUAAACUGCGUUCCUCUAUCUGACACGAUUUUCCUCGGAACUCCAUGCAGACAUACGAUCCUGGUCAUGUAUAUCUUGGCCAGCUUGGCACUGGUAUAGGUAGUCUUCACGGGAAUGAAGUGAGCUACCUUAGUCAAACGAUCAACUACUACCCAGAUAGAAUCAUAACCUGAACGGGUCCUGGGUAAUCCUGUGAUGAAAUCCAUACCAAGUUUCUCCCAUUUCCAAUCUGGAAUCGGCAAAGGUUGAAGUAACCCUGCUGGCUUCUGAUGUUCUGCCUUUACACGUUGACAAACAUCACAUACUGUUACGUACUCGGCAAUGUCCUUCUUCAUACCUGUCCACCAGAAACUUUGCUUCAAAUCCAGGUACAUCUUGGUGUUGCCGGGGUGAAUCGAGUACGGUGAAUCAUGAGCCUCCUGAAGAAUUAGCUUCCUGAGCUCGGGAUCAUUGGGCACAUAAAUACGAUCCUCAAACCAUAUAGUUCCGUUUUCAUCCUUACGGAAUCCUUUAGCUUUUCCUUCAUCCAUCUUUUGCUUAAUUUCAUCAAUUUCCUUGUCCGACUUCUGGGCUUCACGAAUCCUUUCGGUCAAGGUGGACUGAACUUCCAAAGUUGCAACAAAUCCUUUCGGAACUAUCUCCAGUCGGAGGUCUCUGAGGUCAUCGACUAACUCCUGGGGUAAUCCUCCUGCUGUAAGAGUAUUCACAUAACUCUUACGGCUCAAAGCAUCUGCUACAACAUUAGCUUUACCGGGGUGGUAAUGCAGUCUCAUGUCGUAGUCCUUUAUCAACUCUAGCCAUCUCCUCUGCCUGAGGUUCAAUUCCUUCUGCGUGAAGAUAUAUUUCAAACUCUUGUGAUCUGUGUAGACAUCACAACGAUUUCCGAUGAGGAAAUGUCUCCAGGUCUUGAGUGCAUGCACUACAGCUGCUAACUCCAAAUCAUGCGUGGCAUAGUUCAUCUCAUGAGGCCGUAGCUGUCUGGAGGCAUAAGCUACAACCUUACCUUCCUGCAUCAAUACUCCUCCGAGUCCUUGACGAGAAGCGUCACAAUAAACCUGGUAUUCCUUGUGCAUGUCCGGCAAAAUCAACACUGGAGCGGUGACCAACCGUUUCUUCAAUUCCUGAAAACUGGCUUCACAUUCCUCGGUCCAGACAUACUUGGCUUCCUUCUUCAACAGCUCAGUCAUGGGCUUGGCAAUCUUCGAGAAGUUCUCAAUGAACCUCCGAUAAUAUCCUGCGAGUCCGAGAAAACUGCGGAUCUCCUUGACUGAGGUGGGUGACUGCCAAUCGGUGACUGAUUCAACCUUGGCGGGAUCAACUGCUAUUCCUUCUCCUGAAAUAACAUGUCCGAGGAAUCCAACUUCCUUCAACCAAAAUUCACAUUUGCUGAAUUUGGCAUACAGCUGAUGUUCUCGAAGCUUCUCCAGAACUAGACGCAAAUGUUCCUUAUGCUCUUCCUCGCUCUUGGAGAAAAUCAAUAUAUCAUCGAUGAACACCACGACAAACUUGUCCAAAUACUCCAUGAACACCUUGUUCAUCAAAUUCAUGAAGUAUGCAGGAGCAUUAGUCAAUCCAAAUGACAUGACGGUAUACUCAUAUAAACCAUACCUGGUAGUGAAUGCUGUUUUGGGUAUAUCCUUUUCACGAAUUUUCAACUGAUGAUACCCUGAUCGAAGAUCGAUCUUAGAGAAUACCUUGGCUCCAACUAGCUGAUCAAACAAGUCAUUGAUCAUGGGCAGGGGGUACUUGUUCUUGAUGGUUACUUCGUUCAAUGCACGAUAAUCCACAACCAUCCUCAAGCUUCCAUCCUUCUUCUCUACCAAAAGAAAUGGGGCUCCCCAAGGUGAUGAGCUUGGACGAAUAUAUCCUUUCUCUAAUAACUCAUUUAUUUGAUCCUUGAUCUCUUUCAACUCAUUCAGUGGCAUCCGAUAAGGUCUCUUGGAUAUUGGGGCUGUGCCGGGCAAUAACUCAAUCAGAAAUUCAAUGUCCCUGUCCGGUGGCAUUCCUGGUAAUUCCUCCGGGAACACAUCGGGAAAUUCUUGCACUACUGGCACUUCCUCCUGAACAACUCCCGUGAGGGAAUGCACCUGAUUCUUCAUCUGGCUGUGCCUGGCUACAUACUUGAUCCUCUUCUGCUCCGGGGUGGUGAGCAGAAUAGACUUGCGGGCACAGUCAAUGUUCCCUUCAAACUUUGACAGCCAAUCCAUGCCUAGGAUUACAUCCAAGGUCUGGGUUUCCAACACUAUGAGGUCCACGGGAAAUUUGUGGUUCCCGAUAUUGAGGGUUGCAGGACAGCCUACACCUGCCAUCAUUUCUCCUCCUGCGGAACUGACGCGAAGGGGGCUUCUAAGGGUUCUAGUGCGCAACCCGUACUUUUCCACAACUACCCUUGAUAUGAAUGAAUGCGUUGCACCAGAAUCAAAGAGAACCAAAACUGAACGUGAAUUCAAUAAAAACUUACCAACCACAGUGUCUGGCUGAUCAUAGACGUCCUCCACGUCGAUGUGGUUCACCUGAGCACGAGGGAACGGAUUUGGCUUCUUCACUGAGCCUCCAUUGCCAUUGCCAUUCCUCUGCUUGGCCUCCGGGCAGUCGGUGGCAUAGUGCCCUGUCUUCUGGCACUUGAAGCAGGUGAUGUGGCUCAGAUCCUUCGGAGCCGGGGCAGAACGGUGCUGAUUGCCAUUACCAUUUCCAUUGCCAUUGCCAUGGCCUGACUUGUUGUCCUGGCUGCGGUUGUUCCCAUUUCCUCCAUGGUUAUGACCUCCAUGGUUAUGAUGGGUGUGCCCUCCUGAGUACGGUGCAUAACGGGGCUUCUGCUGAGCUCCUGAGUUGUGCUUCCCCUGGCUGUACUUCCGCUUGCGGCUUUCUAUCUGCUGCUGCUUGCCUUCAAGAAUGGUGGCCUUGUCUACCAGCUCCUGGUAGUUGUUGAAGGUAGCCACAAUAAGCUGCAUGCUCAGUUCAUCAUUGAGUCCCUCAAGGAACUUCUCCUGCUUGGCGGCAUCUGUGGCCACAUCAUCAGGGGCAUAGCGAGCGAGCUUGCUAAAUUCAUCCACGUACUGUGCCACAGUACGGUUCCCCUGGCGUAAGUUGCGGAACUCACGCUUCUUCAGACUCAUGGCUCCAGCUGAGACAUGAGCGGUGCGGAAGGCCUGCUGGAAUUGGUCCCAAGUGAUGGCACCAAUGGGAAAAGUGGCGGUGUAAUUCUCCCACCAAGAAGCUGCAGGUCCAUCCAGUUGAUGCGCGGCAAAGCGCACCUUCUCAGCAUCAGUGCAUCCAACGGUGACUAGCUCUCUUCCGAUCUUGCGGAGCCAAUCAUCGGCCACAAUCGGCUCAGUGCUACUAGAGAACACUGGCGGAUUCAACCUCAGAAAUCGAGUCAAGUUGUCCACAGUGGGUGGUGGCGGUGGCGGUGGAUUGUUGGCGGUGUUGUUCUGAUUCUGAAUAAGGAGCUGCAUCAGUGCAUUCUGCUAUUGGAGCAGCUGGGUGAGCUCCGGCGGGAAACCAGUGUCACGUCUCGGAGGCAUCUGGUGUUUUGGAGGGGAUGAGAAGUUUAGAAUAGAACAAUGGUCUAUGAGAAAUACACUACCCAUAUGAAUGCGCAAUCAUAACACACCAAUCAUUUAUUCAUUCCAUUCAAACAUGGUUCAAACUCGAUUACAAUAGCUCAUGACUAAUCGAAGGGAAAACAUCGGCCUAACUGAUCGACGAAAAAGUAAAAGAUAACAUGGUGGUCGACUAAAAAGUCUUCAUCAGUGGCGCCUCCUCUUGGGGUUUCCUUCAGUGGUACUCCCUUCGAAAUCCUGAUCAUUGCUCACGAGGGGUGCUUCAUCUCCACUCGGGUAAAGGUCCUCUCCCAAGUCCAUCUUUUCCUCUAUCGCGGCAAGCUUCAUCUUCAGAUCGUCGACUAUCUCCAUGAAGUCCGUGAUUUCUUCCUCAUGGCCAAGGAAGUCUGCGCGUGCCUUCUCCUCCAGUUCCAGUUCGCGGAACAAAAGCUUCCGGUGUGUCUUCGAGUUACGGCGAGUCUGAAUCUCCCGUUUCCUGAGAAGACACUCCAAGUCCUGGAUGUACGAGAGAGUGGAAUCGUCCUCAAUGGUACGGAUGAUAUCUCCAUUCCUUGCCCUGCGAGAAACCAUGGCGAGGUCUGAGUGAUCGAGCUCGGCCAUGUACUCCUCUCGGAGAUGUCCAAGUGCUCGAUAGAUCGCCACAUCCCUUCCGAUGAUCCAGUUGAACUCGGUGAACUCAAAGUUGAUAGGCUCCGUGUGUCCUCCAAAGGUUCUCCCUGGGAUAUGCACUUCAAUCCUGUAUCGGGUGUCCGUUGGAAGUGCAUUAGUGGGCUUCCCGGUGAUCGAGGGUAGAGCUAUCUUCAGCUGCUUCACCAUCUGGACCAGCUUUCUUCCGAAGGGCAUCGUCUCAUCGGGCUGGCAGAACUCCGAUAGCAAAACUGGGGUGAACUCGGCGGCCAUCUAGAAUGUUGCAAAGGGGAGAAGAGUCAGAAUUGAACAGGGGAGAAUUAUGGAAUGAAAAGGAUGAAAGUAAAUGGUCUCUGCUUAUGGCUUUCCGAUCCUAGGGGUUACGAUCCUACGGUCAGCGUGUGCUCUGAUACCAUCUCUGUAGCGACCUGACCCAAAAUCGGUCAAAUCUCUGUGUCUGUACCAUCCCAAGAUCAUGCUGGUACUCACAAUACAUCGAUAAAGUAAUCAAAGUUCAAUCACACCUGAAUAUCAUUAAACGAUUCUCAUAUAGAGUCUUUAUUACAAGGGAAUAAAUUCGGCUCAAGGCCAACUCAUGAGAAAUAAACUACAAAUGCUGCGGAAGCGUCGAAGGUAAGCGAGUCCAUCCGACUCCAAAGGGCAAUCGCCAAGCGCGGAGCGUAGCCUCACUCCUGAUCGGAAUAUAUCUCUGCAACAUAAUACGUUGCAGCCAUGUAGGUCAGCUUUUGGAAUAAGCUGGCAAGUCAUGAAGAAUAACAAUAAUAAAGUUACUAACUCUAUAUGCAUUUUGGCUGUGGAGCUCUAAGUUUCAUCAUUUUGCGAAAAGCAAAUUUUAUCCUACUACAGUGGACUUGCUUGCAAAUUACUACAAUUGUUGGUAGUUAUUGAGAUGGUUCCGCCAACCAAUAUCUCGUUCCCAAUUAUUAAGUCAUAUAAACCCUCAAAUUUAUUCAUUUGUUUUAGUGUUGAGAUAUCCGAAUACUUCCAAGUUCCAGAGGCUCAAAUGUCCGUAACCGGGGACACGGCUAAUCGAUUAGAUCUUUAACUCUGCAGAGGGUUGCGCACUUUCCCCGCAAGAAUCAUUCCCUCCUUUAAAGUCUUCGCACUUCAAGGUGUUUGAAGACGGGACGAAUGAAACAGGGUCUUCCAAAGAGUUCUUCUGGCCACUGCCGGUACCCAUCCAAUCCUACCGUUCGUCUACUUCUCGUAGUACCGUCCAGCCAGCGUCACUACUAGGGUCAACCCAGCCAGAGCCCAUAGUGGCUUGCGGCUGCACAGGUAAGCUUCCGGUCAUGGGGCAUCCAUCCUUCUCUUUGUGGCUGGGUGAAGCUUUCCGCAGGAUGUCAUGGCGCUUCUCCAUGCAUCCCGGCCACCACUGGGUGCUCCAGGGUGCCCGUCAACCGUCCUCCACCCAGUAGUGAUUUUCCGAAGUCCAUCUUGAUCAUUGUAGUCCAUGGGGUUGUCAUCAUCAUUGACUCUCACAUCUUGCUUAUGAAUUUCACUCAUCCCAAAUCCCGUCUACGAGCAUAGCAAAAUAACUACUACAUCCCGGGGUCAUGGUAAUAAGGGGGUUGGUUCAUCCUACCACAUGAUACUACUCAAGUUUAAUGACUUCAAGAUUUCACUACUGCAUGCAUGGUGGGGUGGUGACAACUACUAAUGCACAAAACAUAGGUAUAGAAAUAACAUGAUCAAAACUUGCCUUGCUGUUGAUCCUCGUAAGCUAAAGAGUCGUAGUAGCAAGCUUCGCACUCCGGAAACUCUACCGAGACAAACAAUAGCACAAUAAGCACAAAGCAAUAGGAUCACACAACAUAACAAAAGUAACAUAACACAACAAAACAAUCAAAACCAAAUCCAAAAGGAAAACUCAAAGAAACCAAUUCAAGUUUUUCCCUACCCCAAACAAUAACUAAAAUAGUUUUUAUAUAACAAAAAUUCCUUAAUAUAACCUAAUCAUGGUUUUAAGUUAACUUAACAGAAAAGGUUUCACUAAGCAACUAGGAGCAAAAAGAAUUAAUUAAAAAGCUAUUAUAAAACUCAUUUUAGGCCUAAUCCAAUUUCUAUUAAGAAAAAUAAUUUAAAACUUUUAUUAAUUAUAAAUAAAAGUUCAUCUACUAAAGUGACAGAAACUAACCUAGAAUAACUAAUCACAAGUUAAAAACAAAUUCAUUUACUAAUUUAAACAUUAGGAAAACAGGAACUAGUUAAUUAAUUAGGUUUAAUAGGAUUCUGUCUAAAACUAAUUAUUUAUUAAUCCUAAAAUACCCAAGUUAAUUUCUAGGGUUUGGCAAUGUCAAAAUAAAGUGGUGACAAAAAAGAAUCAUGCAAAAAUAAUUUUUCUAACUAAAGUUAUAGCAGAUUUACUAUUCUGACCAAAACUAAAAUAAAGCAAUUUUAAUUAUUUUUAACAUAGCUAAAUAUAUAUUCUACAGAAACUACAUAAAAUUUGCAAUACAACAAAAAAAGAAUCAUCUAAAAAUAUUAAACAGAAUAAAAGAUAUAAAUUUUUGAAAACAGAAACUAUUCGGCUAAAACAGAAAAUCAAAAUAAAAGAAAAAGGCCAGGGGGUCGGGCGGCUUCGGGGGGUCGAUCGGGGGCGAUCGGGGAUCCCGGAUUCUUCGGGAUCCGGCGAUCCUCCGGCGAGUGGCGUUGCGUGGGCGAGGGGGGAAGAAGAGGGGGCGGGGCCCACGGGUCAGAGAGAGAGAGGGAGGGGUGAGGCGAGCGGUCGACCGAAGCCUAGGGGAUUCGGGCGAGGGGCGAGGCCGGUCGGGCGCUGGGCUGGCCUGUUGGCCUAGUGGGCCGGCUGGCUUGGGCCAGGCGCGGGGUGCGGCGCUGGCUGGGCCUGGGGUGGCCGGGCUGGCGCCCCGGGGGGGUUUUUCUUUAUUUUUUUAAAUAAAACAAAAACAAAAAUAAAACAAUAUCUAUAAAUAUUUUAUAUAGGGUAUAUAUAUACCAAAAUGAUCAGGGGAAUAUUCCCUUUCAUUUGAACAUUUUUCCAAAGGCAAAAUCCAAACUUCAUAAAAAUCUAUUUUUUUUCAAAUUCAAAUAAAAUUCAGAUUUGAAUUCCAAAACUUUUGGCAUUGUUUCCUCUGAUAUUUUUGGAGUGUCAUGUUUGCUCCUCUCAUACUUUUGAUCAAGUAUUUAUCAGACUUAGUUUUUUUUGAAAUGAUUCCCACAUGCCAAAGUUUGAAAUUCAAAUUCAAAACUCAAAAUUCUCUGAAACUUCAAAUGGCAUUCAAAUUCAAACAGGAUGCAUAGGAUGCUUAGCUAUAAUUGUAAAACAUUCCAAAUAGGAAAUUUGGGAUGUUACAUCUAUUGCUUCUACGACUAUCGCUACCGCUUAGUGAUAAAGUAAAGCAAUUACAGGGCGUUUGCAUUUCAUACAAUAAAGCGACAACCAUAUGGCUCCAGCCAGUUGCCGAUAACUUCGGUUACAAAACAUGAUCAUCUCAUACAAUAAAAUAUAGCAUCACGUCUUGACCAUAUCACAUCACAACAUGCCCUGCAAAAACAAGUUAGACGUCCUCUACUUUGUUGUUGCAAAUUUUACGUGGCUGCUACGGGCUUAAGCAAGAACCAAUCUCACCUACGCAUCAAAACCACAACGAUACUUCGUCAAAUAGACUCCGUUUUAACCUUCUCAAGGACCGGGCGUAGCCACACUCGGUUCAACUAAAGUGAGAGAGACAGACACCCGCCAGCCACCUUUAAGCACGAGUGCUCGUAACGGUGAAACCAGUCUCGCGUAAGCGUACGCGUAAUCUCGGUCCGGGCCGCUUCAUCUCACAAUACCGCUGAACCAAAGUAUGACAUGCUGGUAGGCAGUAUGACUUGUAUCGCCCACAACUCACUUGUGUUCUACUCGUGCAAAACAUCAAACCAUAAAAACCUAGGCUCGGAUGCCACUGUUGGGGAACGUAGUAAUUUCAAAAUUUUCCUACGCACACGCAAGAUCAUGGUGAUGCAUAGCAACGAGAGGGGAGAGUGUUGUCUACGUACCCUCGUAGACCGAAGCGGAAGCGAUCACAACGUAGAGGAAGUAGUCGUACAUUCUCCUCGCGAUCCAACCGAUCCCAGCGCCGUUACUCCGGCGCCUCCGAGUUCUUGACACACGUACAGCUCGGUGACGCUCCUCGGGCUCCGAUCCAGCAAAGCUCCGGGGAGAGAGAGUUCCGUCAGCACGACGGCGUGGUGACGAUCUUGAUGUUCUACCGACGCAGGGCUUCGCCUAAGCACCGCUACGGUAUGACCGAGGUGGAAUAUGGUGGAGGGGGGCACCGCACACGGCUAAGGAACGAUCUCAAGGAUCAACUUGUGUGUUCUAGGGUGCCCCCUGCCCCCGUAUAUAAAGGAGCCAAGGGGGAGGGGGCCGGCCGGCCAAGAGGAGGCGCGCCAGGGAGUCCUACUCCCUCCGGGAGUAGGAUUCCCCCUCCAAUCCUAGUUGGAAUAGGAUUCACCGGAGGGGGGAAGAGAGAGAGGGGGCCGGCCCACCUUUCCUAGUCCUAGUAGGACUAGGGGAAGGGGGGAGGCGCGCGGCCACCUAGGGCUGGUCCUUUCUCCUUUCCACCAAGGCCCACUAUGGCCCAUAUAGUUCCCGGGGGGUUCCGGUAACCUCCCGGUACUCCGGUAAAUUCCCGAUUUCACUCGGAACAUUUCCGAUGUCCAAAUGUAGGCUUCCAAUAUAUCAAUCUUUAUGUCUCGACCAUUUCGAGACUCCUCGUCAUGUCCGUGAUCACAUCCGGGACUCCGAACUCCUUCGGUACAUCAAAAUACACAAACUCAUAAUAUAACCGUCAUCGAAACCUUAAGCGUGCGGACCCUACGGUUCGAGAACAAUGUAGACAUGACCGAGACACGUCUCUGGUCAAUAACCAAUAGCGGAACCUGGAUGCCCAUAUUGGUUCCUACAUAUUCUACGAAGAUCUUUAUCGGUCAGACCGCAUAACAACAUACGUUGUUCCCUUUGUCAUCGGUAUGUUACUUGCCCGAGAUUCGAUCAUCGGUAUCCAAUACCUAGUUCAAUCUCGUUACCGGCAAGUCUCUUUACUCGUUCCGUAAUACAUCAUCUCACAGCUAACUCAUUAGUUGUUAUGCUUGCAAGGCUUAGUGAUGUGCAUUACCGAGAGGGCCCAGAGAUACCUCUCCGACAAUUGGAGUGACAAAUCUAAUCUCGAAAUACGCCAACCCAACAUCUGCCUUUGGAGACACCUGUAGUACUCCUUUAUAAUCACCCAAUUACGUUGUGACGUUUGGUAGUACCCAAAGUGUUCCUCCGGUAAACGGGAGUUGCAUAAUCUCAUAGUUAUAGGAACAUGUAUAAGUCAUGGAUAAAAGCAAUAGCAACAUACUAAACGAUCGGGUGCUAAGCUAAUGGAAUGGGUCAUGUCAAUCAGAUCAUUCAACUAAUGAUGUGACCUUGUUAAUCAAAUGACAACUCCUUUGUCUAUGGUUAGGAAACUUAACCAUCUUUGAUUAACAAGCUAGUCUAGUAGAGGCAUACUAGUGACACUCUUGUUUGUCUAUGUAUUCACACAUGUAUUAUGUUUCCGGUUAAUACAAUUCUAGCAUGAAUAAUAAACAUUUAUCAUGAAAUAAGGAAAUAAAUAAUAACUUUAUUAUUGCCUCUAGGGCAUAUUUCCUUCAGAAAUAUGCCCUAGAGGCAAUAAUAAAGUUAUUAUUUAUUUCCUUAUAUCAUGAUAAAUGUUUUCAUGCUAGAAUUGUAUUAACCGGAAACAUAGUACUUGUGUGAAUACAUAGACAAAGUGUCACUAGUAUGCCUCUACUUGACUAGCUCGUUGAUCAAAGAUGGUUAUGUUUCCUAGCCAUAGACAUGAGUUGUCAUUUGAUUAACGGGAUCACAUCAUUAGAAGAAUGAUGUGAUUGACUCGACCAUUCCGUUAGCUUAGCACUCGAUCAUUUAGUAUAUUGCUAAUGCUUUCUUCAUAACUUAUACAUGUUCCUAUGACUAUGAGAUUAUGCAACUUCCGUUUACCGAAGGAACACUUUGUGUGCUACCAAACGUCACAACGUAACUGGGUGAUUAUAAAUGUGCACUACAUGUGUCUCCAAAGGUACUUGUUGGGUUGGCGUAUUUCGAGAUUAGGAUUUUUCACUCCGAUUGUCGGAGAGGUAUCUCUGGGCCCUCUCGGUAAUGCACAUCACAUAAGCCUUGCAAGCAUUGCAACUAAUGAGUUAGUUGUGAGAUGAUGUAUUACGGAACGAGUAAAGAGACUUGACGGUAACGAGAUUGAACUAGGUAUUGAGAUACCGAUGAUCGAAUCUCGGGCAAGUAACAUACCGAUGACAAAGGGAACAACGUAUGUUGUUAUGUGGUCUGAUCGAUAAAGAUCUUUGUAGAAUAUGUGGGAGCCAAUAUGAGCAUCCAGGUUCCGCUAUUGGUUAUUGACCGGAGACGUGUCUCGGUCAUGUCUACAUAGUUCUCGAACCCGUAGGGUCAGCACGCUUAAAGUUCGGUGACGAUCGUAAUUAGGGUUUUUGUGUUUUUAUGUACCGAAGGUUGUUCGGAGUCUCAAAAUGGUCGAGACAUAAAGAUUGAUAUAUUGGAAGCCUAUGUUUGGAUAUCGGAAGUGUUCCGGUUGAAAUCGGGAUUUUACCGGAGUACCGAGAGGUUACCGGACCCCCCGGGAGGUAAAAUGGGCCUUAGUGGGCCUAUACGGAGAAGAGGAGAGGCGGCCAGGGCUGGGCCGCACGCCCCUCCCCCUAGUCCGAAUAGGACAAGGAGAGGGGGGGCGCCCCCCUUCCUUCUCUCUUUCCUCUUUCCCCCUUUCGAAUCCUAUUCUAACUAGGAAAGGGGGGGGGGGGUCCUACUCCCGAUGGGAGUAGGACUCCUGGCGCGCCCCCUCUGGCCGGCCGCACCUCCGCCCUCCCUCCUUUAUAUACGGGGGCAGGGGGGCACCUCUAGACACACAAGUUGAUCAUCGUGAUCGUUCCUUAGCCGUGUGCGGUGCCCCCCUCCACCAUAUUCCACCUCGGUCAUAUCGUAGCGGUGCUUAGGCGAAGCCCUGCGUCGGUAGCAACAUCAUCAUCGUCAUCACACCAUCGUGCUGACGAAACUCUCCUUUGACGCUCGGCUGGAUCAGAGCCAGAAGGACGUCAUCGAGGUGAACGUGUGCAGAACUCGGAGGUGCCGUGCGUUCGGUGCUUGGAUCGGUCGGAUCGGGAAGACGUACGACUACUUCCUCUACGUUGCGUCAACGCUUCCGUUGCCGGUCUACGAGGGUACAUAGACAAUACUCUCCCCUCUCGUUGCUAUGCAUCACCAUGAUCUUGCGUGUGCGUAGGAAUUUUUUUGAAAUUACUACGUUCCCCAACAGUGGCAUCCGAGCCUGGUUUUAUGCGUUGAUGUUAUAUGCACGAGUAGAACACAAGUGAGUUGUGGGCGAUAUAAGUCAUACUGCUUACCAGCAUGUCAUACUUUGGUUCGGCGGUAUUGUUGGAUGAAGCGGCCCGGACCGACAUUACGCGUACGCUUACGCGAGACCGGUUCUCCCGACGUACUUUGUGCAAAGGUGGCUAGCGGGUGUCAGUUUCUCCAACUUUAGUUGAACCGAGUGUGGCUACGCCCGGUCCUUCAGAAGGUUAAAACAUCACCAACUUGACAAACUAUCGUUGUGGUUUUGAUGCUUAGGUAAGAACGGUUCUUGCUAAGCCCGUAGCAGCCACGUAAAACUUGCAACAACAAAGUAGAGGACGUCUAACUUGUUUUUGCAGGGCAUGUUGUGAUGUGAUAUGGUCAAGACAUUAUGAUAUAUUUUAUUGUAUGCGAUGAUCAUGUUUUGUAACUGAGUUAUCGGCAACUGGCAGGAGCCAUAUGGUUGUCGCUUUAUUGUAUGCAAUGCAAUCGCCCUGUAAUGCUUUACUUUAUCACUAAGUGGUAGCGAUAAUCGUUGAAGCAUAUGAUUGGAGAGAUGACAACGAUGCUACGAUGGAGAUCAAGGUGUCGCGCCGGUGACGAUGGUGAUCAUGACAGUGCUUCGGAAAUGGAGAUCACAAGCACAAGAUGAUGAUGGCCAUAUCAUAUCACUUAUAUUGAUUGCAUGUGAUGUUUAUCUUUUAUGCAUCUUAUCUUGCUUUGAUUGACGGUAGCAUUAUAAGAUGAUCUCUCACUAAAUUAUCAAGAUAAGUGUUCUUCGUGAGUAUGCACCGUUGUGAAAGUUCUUCGUGCUGAGACACCACAUGAUGAUCGGGUGUGAUAGGCUCUAUGUCAAAUACAACGGGUGCAAAACAGUUGCACACGCAGAAUACUCAGGUUAAACUUGACGAGCCUAGCAUAUAACAGAUAUGGCCUCGGAACACAGAGACUGAAAGGUCGAGCGUGAAUCAUAUAGUAGAUAUGAUUAACAUAGUGAUGUUCACCAUUGAAACUACUCCAUCUCACGUGAUGAUCGGACAUGGUUUAGUUGAUUUGGAUCACGUGAUCACUUUGAGGAUUAGAGGGAUAUCUUUCUAAGUGGGAGUUCUUAAGUAAUAUGAUUAAUUGAACUUAAAUUGAUCAUGAACUUAGUACCUGAUAGUAUCUUGCUUGUCUAUGUUGUUGUAGAUAGAUGGCCCGUGCUGUUGUUCCAUUGAAUUUUAAUGCGUUCCUUGAGAAAGCUAAGUUGAAAGAUGAUGGUAGAAAUUACACGGACUGGGUCCGUAACUUGAGGAUUAUCCUCAUUGCUGCACAGAAGAAUUACGUCCUAGAAGCACCGCUGGAGGACAAACCUGCUGCAGGGGCUGAACCAGAUGUUAUGAACGUCUGGCAAAGCAAAGCUGAUGACUACUCGAUAGUUCAGUGUGCCAUGCUUUACGGCUUAGAACCGGGACUUCAAUGACGUUUUGAACAUCAUGGAUCAUAUGAGAUGUUCCAGGAGUUGAAGUUAAUAUUUCAAGCAAAUGCCCGGAUUGAGAGAUAUGAAGUCUCCAAUAAGUUCUAUAACUGCAAGAUGGAGGAGAAUAGUUCUGUCAGUGAGCAUAUACUCACGAUGUCUGGGUAUAAUAAUCACUUGAUUCAACUAGGAGUUAAUCUUCCAGAUGAUAGCGUCAUUGACAGAAUUCCCCAAUCACUGCCACCAAGCUACAAGAGCGUCGUGAUGAACUAUAAUGUGCAAGGGAUGGAUAAGACAAUUCCCGAGCUCUUCGCAAUGCUAAAGGCUGCGGAGGUAGAAAUAAAAAAGGAGCAUCAAGUGUUGUUGGUCAACAAGACCACCAGUUUCAAGAAGGGUAAAGGGAAGAAGAAGGGGAACUUCAAGAAGAACAGCAAGCAAGUUGCUACUCAGGAGAAGAAACCCAAGUCUGGACCUAAGCCUAAGACUGAGUGUUUCUACUGCAAGCAGGCUGGUCACUGGAAGCGGAACUGCCCCAAGUAUUUGGUGGGUAAGAAGGAUGGCAAGGUGAACAAAGGUAUAUGUUAUAUACAUGUUAUUGAUGUGUACCUUACUAAUGCUCGCAGUAGCACCUGGGUAUUUGAUAUUGGUUCUGUUGCUAAUAUUUGCAACUCGAAACAGGGGCUACGGAUCAAGCGAAGAUUGGCUACGGACGAGGUGACAAUGUGCGUGGGAAAUGGUUCCAAAGUCGAUGUGAUCGCAGUCGGCACGAUACCUCUACAUCUACCUUCGGGAUUAGUAUUAGACCUAAAUAAUUGUUAAUUGGUGCCAGCGUUAAGCAUGAACAUUAUAUCUGGAUCUUGUUUGAUGCGAGAUGGUUAUUCAUUUAAAUUGGGGAAUAAUGGUUGUUCUAUAUAUAUGAGUAAUAUCUUUUAUGGUCAUGCACCCUUGAAGAGUGGUCUGUUCAUAUUAAAUCUCGAUAGUGACGAUACACAUAUUCAUAAUAUUGAUGCAGAGUUGAUAAUGAUAAUGCUACUUAUUUGUGGCACUGCCGUUUAGGUCAUAUCGGUAUAAAGCGCAUGAAGAAACUCCAUACUGAUGGACUUUUGGAAUCACUUGAUUAUGAAUUACUUGGUACUUGCGAACCGUGCCUUAUGGGCAAGAUGACUAAAACACCGUUCUCUGGAACUAUGGAGCGAGCAACUGAUCUGUUGGAAAUUAUACAUACUGAUGUAUGUGGUCCAAUGAAUGUUGAGGCUCACGGCGGGUAUCGUUAUUUUCUCACCUUCACAGAUUAUUUAAGCAGAUAUGGGUAUAUCUACUUGAUGAAGCAUAAGUCAGAAACAUUUGAAAAGUUCAAAGAAUUUCAGAGUGAAGUGGAAAAUCAUCGUAACAAGAAAAUAAAGUUUCUACGAUCUGAUCGUGGAGGAGAAUAUUUGAGUUACGAGUUUGGUCUUCAUUUGAAACAAUGCGGAAUAGUUUCUCAACUCACGCCACCCGGAACACCACAGCGUAAUGGUGUGUCCGAAUGUCGUAAUCAUACUUUACUGGAUAUGGUACGUUCUAUGAUGUCUCUUACUGAUAUACCGCUAUCGUUUUGGGGUUAUGCUUUAGAGACGGUUGCAUUCACAUUAAAUAGGGCACCAUCUAAAUCCGUUGAGACGACGCCUUAUGAACUGUCGUUUGGCAAGAAACCAAAGUUGUCGUUUCUUAAAGUUUGGGGCUGCGAUGCUUAUGUGAAAAAGCUUCAACCUGAUAAGCUCAAACCAAAAUCGGAGAAAUGUGUCUUCAUAGGAUACCCAAAGGAGACUGUUGGGUACACCUUCUAUCACAGAUCCGAAGGCAAGAAUUUUUUUUGCUAAAUUUGGAUCCUUUCUAGAGAAGGAGUUUCUCUUGAAAGAAGUGAGUGGGAGGAAAGUAGAACUUGAUGAGGUAACGGUAAUUGCUCCCUUAUUGGAAAAUAGUUCUUCACAGAAACCGGUUCCUGUGACGACUACACCAAUUAGUGAGGAAGUUAAUGAUGAUGAUCAUGAAACUUCAGAUCAACUUGUUACUGAACCUCGUAGAUCAACCAGAGUAAGAUCCGCACCAGAGUGGUACGGUAAUCCGGUUCUGGAAGUUAUGUCACUAGACCAUGACGAACCUACGAACUAUGAAGAAGCGAUGGUGAGCCCAGAUUCCGCAAAAUGGCUUGAAGCCAUGAAAUCUGAGUUGGGAUCCAUGUAUGAGAACAAAGUGUGGACUUUGGUUGACUUGUCCAUUGAUCGGCAAGCCAUUGAGAAUAAAUGGAUCUUCAAGAAGAAGACUGACGUUGACGGUAAUGUUACUGUCUAUAAAGCUCGACUUGUCGCAAAAGGUUUUCGACAAGUUCAAGGGAUUGACUACGAUGAGACCUUCUCACCUGUAGCGAUGCUUAAGUCUGUCCGAAUCAUGUUAGCAAUUGCUGCAUUUUAUGAUUAUGAAAUUUGGCAAAUGGAUGUCAAAACUGCAUUCCUGAAUGGAUUUUUGGAAUAAGAGUUGUAUAUGAUGCAACCAAAAGGUUUUGUCGAUCCAAAGGGUGCUAACAAAGUGUGCAAGCUCCAGCGAUCCAUUUAUGGACUGGUGCAAGCCUCUCGGAGUUGGAAUAAACGCUUUGAUAGUGUGAUCAAAGCAUUUGGGUUUAUACAGACUUUUGGAGAAGCCUAUAUUUACAAGAAAGUGAGUGGGAGAUAUGUAGCAUUUCUGAUAUUAUAUGUAGAUGACAUAUUACUAAUUGGAAAUGAUAUAGAAUUUCUGGAUAGCAUAAAGGGAUCUUUGAACAAGAGUUUUUUUUAUGAAAGAUCUUGGUGAAGCUGCUUAUAUAUUGGGCAUCAAGGUCUAUAGAGAUAGAUCAAGACGCUUAAUUGGACUUUCACAAAGCACAUACCUUGACAAAGUUUUGAAGAAGUUCAAAAUGGAUCAAGCAAAGAAAGGGUUCUUGCCUGUGUUACAAGGUGUGAAGUUGAGUAAGACUCAAUGCCUGACCACUGCAAAGGAUAGAGAGAAAAUGAAAGAUGUUCCCUAUGCUUCAGCCAUAGACUCUAUCAUGUAUGCAAUGUUGUGUACCAGACCAGAUGUCUGUCUUGCUAUUAGUUUAGCAGGAAGGUACCAAAGUAAUCCAGGAGUGGGUCUUCGUGAGCAAGCGAGUUGGAUGCACACCCACUUAGUUUCUUUUGAUGAGCUUUCAUAUACUUAUAGCUCUAGUGCAUCCGUUGCAUGGCAAUCCCUACUCACUCACAUUGAUAUCUAUUGAUGGGCAUCUCCAUAGCCCGUUGAUACGGCUAGUUGAUGUGAGACUAUCUUCUCCUUUUUUGUCUUCUCCACAACCACCAUUCUAUUCCACAUAUAGUGCUAUGUCCAUGGCUCGCGCUCAUGUAUUGCGUGAAGAUUGAAAAAGUUUGAAAAUUCUAAAGUAUGAAACAAUUGCUUGGCUUGUCAUCGGGGUUGUGCAUGAUUUAAAUACUUUGUGUGGUGAAGAUAGAGCAUAGCCAGACUAUAUGAUUUUGUAGGAAUAACUUUCUUUGGCCAUGUUAUUUUGAGAAGACAUGAUUGCUUUGUUAGUAUGCUUGAAGUAUUAUUAUUAUUAUGUCAAUAUGAACUUUUAUAUUGAAUCUUACGGAUCUGAAUAUUCAUACCACAAUUAGGAAGAAUUACAUUGAAAUUAUGCCAAGUAGCACUCCGCAUCAAAAAUUCUUUUUUAUCAUUUACCAACUCGAGGACGAGCAGGAAUUAAGCUUGGGGAUGCUUGAUAUGUCUCCAACAUAUCUAUAAUUUUUUAUUGCUCCAUGCUAUAUUAUCUACUGGUUUGGGCAAUAUUGGGCUUUAUUAUCCACUUUUAUAUUAUUUUUGGGACUAACCUAUUAACCGGAGGCCCAGUCCAGAUUUGCUGCUUUUUGCCUAUUUUAGUGUUUCGAAGAAAAGGAAUAUCAGACGGAGUCGAAAAGGAACGAAAUCAACUAGAGAAGUUAUUUUUGGAAGGAAACCCACCUGAUGGAAUUGGACCCCAUGUCAGAAGAAACGGGAGCUGCCCAUGAGGGUGGGGGCGCUCCCACCCCCCUAGGGUGCGCGCCCUUGCCUCGUGGGGCCCCCGUGGCUCCCCGACGUACUUCCGGCUCCUAUAUAUUCCCAUAUACCCUAAAAACAUCAACAGAGAACCUAGAUCGGGAGUUCCGCCGCCGCAAACCUCUGUAGCCACCAAAAGUCAAUCGGGACCCUGCCGGAGGGGGGUCCCUCACUGGUGGUCAUCUUCAUCAUCCCGGCGCUAUCCAUGACGAGGAGGGAGUAGUUCACCCUCGGGGAUGAGGGUAUGUACCAGUAGCUAUGUGUUUGAUCUCUCUCUCUCUCUCUCUCUCUCUCUCUCUCUCUCUCGUGUUCUUGAUUUGGCACGAUCUUGAUGUAUCACGAGCUUUGCUAUUAUAGUUGGAUCCUAUGUUUCUUCUCCCCCUCUUCUCUCUUAUAAUGGAUUGAGUUUCCCCUUUGAAGUUAUGUUAUCGGAUUGAGUCUUUAAAGAUUUGAGAACACUUGAUGUUUGUCUUGCCGUGCGUAUCUGUGGUGACAAUGGGAUAUCACGUGAUCCGCUUGAUGUAUGUUUUGGUGAUCAACUUGUGGGUUCCUCCCAUGAACCUAUGCAUAGGGGUUGGCAAACGUUUUCGUCGUGAUUCUCCGGUAGAAACUUUGGGCACUCUUUGAGGUUCUAUGUGUUGGUUGAAUAGAUGAAUCUGAGAUUGUGUGAUGCAUAUCGUAUAAUCAUGCCCACGGAUACUUGACAAUGGAGUAUCUAGGUGACAUUAGGGUUUUGGUUGAUUUGUGUCUUAAGGUGUUAUUCUAGUACGAACUCCAGGGCUGUUUGUGACACCUAUAGGAGUAGUCCAACGGAUUUUGUACCCUACCAUAAUCUCUUCGUUUGUUCUCUGCUAUUAGUGACUUUGGAGUGACUCUUUGUUGCAUGUUGAGGGAUAGUUAUAUGAUCCAAUUAUGCUAUUAUUGUUGAGAGAACUUGCACUAGUGAAAGUAUGAACCCUAGGCCUUGUUUCCUAUCAUUGCAAUACCGUUUACGCUCACUUUUAUUAUUAGUUACCUUGCUGUUUUUAUAUUUUCAGAUUACAAAUACCUUUAUCUACCAUCCAUAUUGCACUUGUAUCACCAUCUCUUCGCCGAACUAGUGCACCUAUACAAUUUACCAUUGUAUUGGGUGUGUUGGGGACACAAGAGACUCUUUGUUAUUUGGUUGCAGGGUUGUUUGAGAGAGACCAUCUUCAUCCUACGCCUCCCACAGAUUGAUAAACCUUAGGUCAUCCACUUGAGGGAAAUUUGCUACUGUCCUACAAACCUCUGCACUUGGAGGCCCAACAACGUCUACAAGAGGAAGGUUGUGUAGUAGACAUCAAAACCUCGAGACUUGUCAGAAGUAAUAUGUUUCCGUUGUGAUGAAGCAGGGCACUUUUCCAGAGAUUGUCCCAAGGAAGAGACUUGUGAUAAAUAGUUGAGCCUAUGAGAAGUAUAGUAGUAGUAGUGAGGACAUUUUCCUUUAUCUUGAGGCGAUGAGUUGAGGCAUGUAAUGGAAAAGCACGAGAAUUGUACUCGUUGGAGAAUCAGUAAAGUUAGCAUCGUUGGUAUUGAUUGGAUUUUAUGAGUUGUUACUUUAUGAAGAAAGAUUUUGGCCAUUUUCGAGGAUAUGGGAAAUAUGGUCUACGGAUAAAUUUAUGCAUUUUAAGGGUGGUAGUACCGUGUGAGGAAACUUGACCCUUGGAAAAAGGUAAUGAUAUUCCACGAAGUGGACUUCGGACAGAAUAAGUAUUAAUUUCAUCUCAAUAUGUGAGAUACCCCGAGAGUAUGAAGGGAUGAAGUACUAUUGGGUAUAAAAGAGGUAUAAUGAUGGUAAUAAUGAGCAAUUGUAACUCCAUGAUGAGUUUGAGUAAUCACGCCUUAGUUUAGUACCAAUAGAUGGAAGGGAGACAGUACAAUUGUAUGGAUUUAAGAAUGCCAGGAAGUUGGCUGUUGGAUUAAGGAUCAGUUGCCCCGAUGAUGAGCUCAAAGGUUUACAAGUGAUGAGAUGGGCCAUAACCCAUAGGCCCCAGGACCUGCCAAGAAGCAAGCACAUUCUUGUUGAAGGAAAAACCCUGGAAGAGGAUAUGCCUUUAUCGACAGACGAUCUUAUAGGAGUUUACGCAAACCUGAGUGUUGUGUAGGAACGAUAGAUGUUUGUUUGGCUUGCAGAAUCAAUGGAUUAUCCGAACUUGGUUCGUCGACAAGAGAGAUUCUGCAAUGCUUGUGAGGAUGACCGAGUGUUAGAAUGCGAGAUUCGCUAAACCGUAUAUAAGGUAAUGAUUUGGGUGCGGGAUGGAUUGAUCACCAUACCGACUUACUCUUAUUAUUCGCCUUGCUAUAUGGGAUGGUAAAUCUGAGUGACUUACCUAUAAUAGAGAGACGACGAUCAAAAACCUUGUUUAAACCCUAGAAUGGUAUGAUAAUUUUUCCCUUGUACACGACAGUUGUUGCCAACCGUAGGUUAUACGGUGAGGAUCAACCCAGACCCAUUUCCUGCAGGAGAAACCAUAAAUUGUUGACCACCUUGAGAUAUCGAUAGUUGUUUAGCAUUGGCGCUAGACCCGUUAGCUAUGAAGACCCAGUCUCAGAAUAACCUUACCAAGAUGAAAGGACAAAAGAAUUGAGGAAAGGGUUAUGCCACUACCAGAAGAGCAGAAUAGGAUUUUUCCCGAGGAUCUCAGAGGACUGAACCUGUCAACAAUAAGGAUGGAGUAUAUGAGUUUUGAUGGAACCGUAACCAUGAUUCUAAGGGUGGUAGUACCCCAGACCCCCUGUGAAGAUCGAUGGAGUUUUUGAGAAGACCCCAAACCUAACCUAUUUCUUUCUAGCCUCUCCGAAUCUCGAGGACGAGAUUCAUUUUAAGGGUGGUAGGUUUGUAACAUCCCAAAAUUCUAAAUUUUGGAAUGUUAUAUUAAAUAGAUAGAUUUGAUUGAUUGUUUGAUUGUUGUGUGAUUGAUUCACUAAAAUUGAGUGAAAUUUGAAACUUUUUGAAAGUUAAAUGAGAGGGACUAAAAGGACUUUCCCAAACUUUCAUUUUGCAUUCGUGAUCUCCGUGAAUUCAAAUUCUUUUCACCACAAAACCCUGGAGAGAAGAUGACAUGACUUCUUACAUUUAUUUAAAUGAAAAGGGGUGUUGAAAAUAUUUGAAUUUCAUUUGAGAAUAUUUCCAAUUCUGAAACUUUAUGCAACUAAAUGAUUUUCACCGGGAAGAUAAAAUGACUUCUUCAAAACAUAUGAAAUAUGAGUUGGGAAUUUCAAAGAUCAAAUUAAAAGUCCUUUUGAAAUUAUUUUUCAAUUUGGAGUCAUUUGGGUUUUAUUCAAAUUAUUUUUCUCCAAAAAUAAAAUAUAUGGAAAAUAGGGUAACAUUAUUCCCUACAUCAAAAAAUUGGAGAGAAAUAAAUUUGAAAUCAUUUUGGUAUUUUUUAAAUGAUUUUUAGGAGGUUUUAUUGCAAUAGAAUCACUCUUUGCUUUAUUUGAAUUUUUGUGGAUUUUAUUCGUAAGUAGAAUAAUGCUCAAGUCAUAGAAAAUCUUUUUCUAAAAAUUUUGAUAUAUUAUAUGCCUAUAUAAAAGUUUUAUUUUUUGCCUUAUUUUUUUCGAUUGACAGUGUUUUAAAAAAAUCCCCGCCGCGACUGGGUCGGCCCAGGGCCCGGCCGCAGCCGCGGCCCAUCUCCCCGCCGCCUCACCCGUCGUCCCCGGUCGGGACUCCUCCCGAGUCCAGGUCGCCGCCGCCGCUCGUCGUGGCCGAUCCGGCCACCUCCGCGUCGCCCUGCCCCCUUCCCCACGCCACCUCCUCGCCCCCCUCCAUAAAUAGCCGCGCCCCUCCUCUUCUCGAGCCGUUGCUGCCGCGCCGCAGAUCGCCGCCGCCACGUAGCUCCGUCGCUGCCGCCGCACUUUGCCGCCGCCACCGCACUCCACCUGCUGCAGCGCUGCUGCCCCGCGCCAUACANNNNNNNNNNNNNNNNNNNNNNNNNNNNNNNNNNNNNNNNNNNNNNNNNNNNNNNNNNNNNNNNNNNNNNNNNNNNNNNNNNNNNNNNNNNNNNNNNNNNNNNNNNNNNNNNNNNNNNNNNNNNNNNNNNNNNNNNNNNNNNNNNNNNNNNNNNNNNNNNNNNNNNNNNNNNNNNNNNNNNNNNNNNNNNNNNNNNNNNNNNNNNNNNNNNNNNNNNNNNNNNNNNNNNNNNNNNNNNNNNNNNNNNNNNNNNNNNNNNNNNNNNNNNNNNNNNNNNNNNNNNNNNNNNNNNNNNNNNNNNNNNNNNNNNNNNNNNNNNNNNNNNNNNNNNNNNNNNNNNNNNNNNNNNNNNNNNNNNNNNNNNNNNNNNNNNNNNNNNNNNNNNNNNNNNNNNNNNNNNNNNNNNNNNNNNNNNNNNNNNNNNNNNNNNNNNNNNNNNNNNNNNNNNNNNNNNNNNNNNNNNNNNNNNNNNNNNNNNNNNNNNNNNNNNNNNNNNNNNNNNNNNNNNNNNNNNNNNNNNNNNNNNNNNNNNNNNNNNNNNNNNNNNNNNCGCUGCGCAAGCCGCCACCGUCUCGCCCCGCAACGCUGGACGCCGCCGCCGCCCGACUCCCGCGCCGGAGUUCGCCGCCGGACGGAUCCGCCCGCCUCUAGUUUUUUGUCGGAAAACCGCCCCGAGCCGGUAAAACCGAUAAAACCACCCGGUUUUAUUUUAUUAAGUUUGGUUUUAUAUUUUUUUGAGCUGGUUUUUUUUUCCGAUCUGGUUAAUUAGUGAACGAUUCGUUAGUUAGAGUUCGUAGCGAAUGGUUUUCGUUCAUUAGCAUUCUGUAGCAAGCGUUUGCUCGAUAGUUUUUUUCUUCUUUUUCUUUUUAUUUUCUGCUAGGGACCUGUUUGUGAAUAAUUUAUUCACAGAUUAGUCCCUCUGUUUCAAUCUAGCGUUACUUUUUACUCGUUUGUCCAAAUCCAACGAAACCAACGCCCACUUCUUAGUUAUGAUCCCCUCUUUCCAGUAAAACAACUCAAACUUUUUUUUGAAAUUUUAAAAUUUGAAUUAGACCAGAUUUGAAUUCAAACUUUGUUUGAUCGUAACUUGAGUUUUAUAACUCCGUUUGAGUUGAUUCUUUUUGCUAAUCGAAUCUCUUGACCUAAACCUUCAUCAACAGUACAGGCAAGUAACACUUUGAUCACAUAAUUUUGGUACUGUUAGAAAUUGUUUUGUGUUGCAAGAGUUAUUUGCUUGGUUUUGAUGUUUUCCGAAUUGUCUUCUUCGUUCUUUCUGAUGUUCUGAGUGAUUGCUUAUGUGUGGUUACUACUACUUGCUUGCGAUAGAUUGACCGGAGUGUGACGAGUAGAUCUAUCCUGAGUUUUGAGUGCGAAUCAUCUUCAUCAACAGUACAGGCAAGUAACACUUUGAUCAUACCACCUCAUUACCCAGUUUUAUUGCAUUAGAUCAAACCUCAAACCACUGCACGAUUAGGAUCUGAAUAAUAUGUGGGUUUUGGGAAGUAGAUGAGGUAGUACCUAUUACCUGCUUCAUUGUCAAACCCUGGGAGUUACUUCUACGUUAUGCUUAUGUUGUUAUGCUAUGCUCAUAGACGUGGAUUUUGUUUGAGUGAUAUCCAUGACAGAUGUGAGAUUGUUAAUUAAUGGUUUACUUAAGGUGGCAACUUAAAUACACAUCUGGGUGGAUUGAGGCACCUGGCUAUUCCAGCGAUUGCCUGUUUUUCUUUAUGGACCGCCACCCAGGCUCAAAGGGAUCAUGAGAUUAUUCAUACUAGAAACUUCCAUGUACAGCCACGAGCUAUUAGGGCUCUAGCAUAGUUGAUUAAGUCGUACGAACUCUUAAAGUGGUAGACUAGCAGAUGUAGGGGAUGUAGGUGGUACUGUCUACCCGAUCGUAAGGUGCUAGCGCUUCUGAAAGACUAUGUCUCGGUCAUCCGUUUCUCAAACAUCCUGUAGUGCGAGAAUCCCAACGGAGGAGAUCGAGUCUUCUGGGGAAAAGUGUGCAAACCUCUGCAGAGUGUAUAAACUAAUCAUGGUUAGUUGUGUCCCCUGUUAUGGAUGUUUUGAGUAUCUAGUACUUGGAUUAUCGUGUGAAUCUCAUCAUGUGACUUUAAUUAAUUUUGUUGGGUUUUAAUGAUGAUGCUUAAUUGGGAUUGAGAUGCCUGUCAACGCUCUCAAUGUUUAACAACCACCAUGAUAGUUAAAUAAAAGUUAUUCCUUUACAGUAGGGAAAAAUUGGCUUUUCGCAAUAAUUAUAACCAUAGAGCUUUUCCACCAGCCAUAUAUGCAUGAAGUGAUAGCAUUUAUUCUGUUCAUUGCACUACCGUGUUAUCUUGCGAGUACAUUCAAUGUACUGACCCGUUUCGGGCUGCAACGUCUCGUGUUGCAGGUUUCUUACGACGAGUAAGUGAUACGUUAGGGUUACGAUUUCUACACUCAACUUUGCCGUUGGUGUUGAUGGGAAUCCACAACCUUGUUACUUCCGCUUUUUGGAUUGAGGUAAUAGUAUUUACGUUAUUUAUACAUGUGAUUUACCUCUGUUAUAAAUCCUCGAGUACUACGUGUGUCAGCAUACCGAUCCAGGGAUGACACUUAAGCACAGAGACUUGAUCCAUUCGGGUUGGGUCGCUACAGAAGGAAUCACUCGAUCAGGUUCAGUUAACAGCCAUCGAUCAAUCGCUCGGGUUCAGUAACGCGUAGCCUGCAGUGCAAUCGCUCGGGUUCAGUUAGAGCCCAACGCCUUGCUCAGGUUCAGUUAGAGCCAACUCCUCGCACACACGCACGUACGUGUAUGAGAGAAACGCGCAUCGCUCGGCCCCCGACCUCCCACCGUAACCGGAACUCCCUGAAAUUUUCCUCGCCCUCGCUUCUACCAUGGUUUUUUCCGUCAUGGAUGGCCCAAAGAAUGUCAUGCAGCUGCGUCUCCGGCCCGCCCAGGACGAAAAGCCCAUUUUCUGCCAUGAUUUUUUGUCAUAGAAGUAGGAGCCCACCACAUCAAUGAUGAUACCGGGUUUUGUCACAAUUAUCGUCAUAGAAGUGUCAUAUGUAUGACAGAAAAAAAAUUUGUUCGGCCCAAAAUGUCACAGAUGUGUCUUUUUGUUUGCAGUGCCUGGUGGCCCUCCGGUGUCCAUCUUCUGCUAUAUGAAGUCUUUCGUCCAAAUAAAAAUCAGAAGCAAGCUUUCGGGACGAGACUCCGCCGCCAUGAGGCGGAACCUUGGCGGAACCAAUCUAGGGCUCUGGCGGAGCUGUUCUGCCGGGGACACUUCCCUUCGGGAGGGGGAAAUCAUCGCCAUCGUCAUCACCAACGCUCCUCUCAUUAGGAGGGGGCCAAUCUCCAUCAACAUCUUCACCAGCACCAUCUCAUGUCAAACCCUAGUUCAUCUCUUGUAUCCAGUUCUUGUCUCUAAGUCUGGGAUUGGUACCUGUAGGUUGCUAGUAGUGUUGAUUACUCCUUGUAAUUGAUGCUAGUUGAUUAAUUUGGUGGAAUAUCAUAUGUUCAGAUCCUAUAUGCGUAUUAAUACCACUCUGAUUAUGAACAUGAAUAUGCUUUGUGAGUAGUUACGUUUGUUCCUGAGGACAUGGGAGAAGUCUUGCUAUUAGUAGUCAUGUGAAUUUGGUAUUCGUUCAAUAUUUUGAUGAGAUGUAUGUUGUCUCCCCUCUAGUGGUGUUAUGUGAACGUCAACUACAUGACACUUCACCAUUAUUUGGGCCUAGAGGAAGGCAUUGGGAAGUAAUAAGUAGAUGAUGGGUUGCUAGAGUGACAGAAGCUUAAACCCUAGUUUAUGCGUUGCUUCGUAAGGGGCUGAUUUGGAUCCAUAUGUUUCAUGCUAUGGUUAGGUUUACCUUAAUACUUCUUUUGUAGUUGCGGAUGCUUGCAAUAGGGGUUAAUCAUAAGUGGGAUGCUUGUCCAAGUAAGGACAGUACCCAAGAACCGUUCCACCCACAUAUCAAAUUAUCAAAGUACUGAAUGCGAAUAAUAUGAACGUGAUGAAAACUAGCUUGACGAUAAUUCCCAUGUGUCCUCGGGGGCGCUUUUCUCUAUAUAAGAGUUUGUCCAGGCUUGUCCAUUGCUACAAAAAGGAUUGGGCCAUCUUGUUGCACUCUAUUUACUUUUGUUACUUGUUGCUCGUUAUAAUUUAUCCUAUCACAAAACUAUCUGUUACCUAUAAUUUCAGUGCUUGCAGAAAAUACCUUGUUGAAAACCGCUUAUCAUUUCCUUCUGCUCCAAGUUGGGUUAGACACUCUUACUUAUCGAAAGGACUACGAUAGAUCCCCUAUACUUGUGGUUCAUCAAGACUCUUUUCUGGUGCCGUUGCCGGGGAGUGAAGCGCCCUUGGUAGGUGGAAUUUGGUAAGGAAAAAUUUAUAUAGUGUGCUGAAAUUUACUGUCACUUGUUACUAUGGAAAGUAAUCCUCUGAGGGGCUUGUUCGGGGUAUCUUCACCUCGACCAGUAGAGCAAAGAGUUGCUCCUCAACCUACUGAACCUACUGAAAAUGAAAAUGUCUACGUUGAAAUUCCUUUGGGUAUGGUAGAAAAACUACUAUUUACUCCUUUUACAGGAGAUGGAAUAUUACAUCCUGAUGAGCACCUAAUAUAUGUGGAUGAAGUUUGUGGAUUAUUUAAUCUUGCAGGUAUGCCCGAUGAUGUUAUUAAGAAGAAGGUCUUCCCUUUAUCUUUGAAGAGAGACGCAUUGACAUGGUAUAGGCUAUGUGAUGAUAUGGGAUCAUGGAACUACAAACGAUUGAAAUUGGAAUUUCAUCAGAAGUUUUAUCCUAUGCAUCUUGUUCAUCGUGAUAGUAAUUAUAUAUAUAUAUUUUGGCCUCGCGAAGGAGAAAGCAUCGCUCAAGCUUGGGGGAGGCUGAAAUCAAUGUUAUAUUCAUGCCCCAAUCAUGAGCUCUCAAAAGAAAUGAUUAUUCAAAAAAUUUAUGCUCGGCUUUCUGAUAACAAUCGCACCAUGCUGGAUACUUCUUAUGCUGGCUCUUUUAUGAUGAAGACUAUUGAAUUCAAAUGGGAUUUAUUGGAAAGAAUUAAAUGCAACUCUAAAGAUUGGGACCUCGACGAAGGUAAGGAGUCAGGUAUGACACCUAAGUUUGAUUGUGUUAAAUCUUUUAUGGAUACCAAUGUUUUCCGUAAUUUAGCACUAAAUAUGGACUUGACUCUGAGAUAGUAGCUUCUUUCUGUGAAUCUUUUGCUACUCAUGUUGACCUCCCUAAGGAGAAGUGGUUUAAAUAUCAUCCUCCCAUAGAAGUAAAAGUAGCUGCACCUAUUAAAGUUUAAGAAAAGACUAUCACUUAUAAUGAUCCUAUUGUUCCUACUGCUUAUGUUGAGAAACCACCUUUCCCCGUUAGAAUGAAGGAUCAUGCUAAAGCUUCAACUGUGGUUCAUAAAAGCAAUAUUAGAACGUAUACACCUCCUGAGCAAGUUAAAGUUGAACCUAAUAUUGCUAUUGUUAAAGAUCUCUUGGCUGAUAAUAUUGAUGGGCAUGUUAUUUACUUCUGUGAUGAAACUGCUACAAUUGCUAAACCUUGUGCUAAAGAUAAACAUAGUCCUGUGGCAGGCAUGCCUGUUAUUUCUGUUAAAAUAGGAGAUCAUUGUUAUCAUGGCUUAUGUGAUAUGGGUGCUAGUGCUAGUGCAAUAACUUUUGACUUAUACAAAGAAUUUAUGCAUGAUAUUGCACCUGCUGAGUUAGAAGAUAUUGAUGUCACAAUUAAACUUGCCAGUAGAGAUACUAUAUCACCAAUGGGAAUUGUUAGAGAUGUUGAAGUCCUGUGUGGGAAAACUAAAUAUCCUGCUGAUUUUCUCGUUCUUGGUUCCCCACAAGAUAGCUUUUGUCCCAUUAUAUUUGGUAGACCCUUCUUGAACACUGUUAAUGCUAAGAUAGACUACAAAAAGGAUGUUGUUACUAUUGGUUUGGGUGAUAUGUCUCAUGAGUUUAAUUUCUCUAAAUUCCGUAGCCAACACUGUGAAGAGGAAUUGCCUAAUAAAGAUGAAAUUAACGAUCUUGCUUCUAUUGUCGUGCCUCCUAGGAUCCUUUAGAACAAUAUCUGCUAGACCAUGAAAAUGAUAUGUUUAUGAAUGAAAGAAGGGAAAUAGAUGAAGUGUUCCUUAAACAAGGACCUAUUCUGAAAAACAACUUGCCUGUUGAAAUAUUAGGGGAUCCUCCUCCACCCAAAGGUGAUCCCGUGUUUGAGCUUAAACCUUUGCCUGAUACUCUUAAAUAUGCUUAUCUUGAUGAAAAGAAGAUAUAUCCUGUUAUUAUUGGUGCUAACCUUUCAGAGAAGGAGGAAGAAAAAUUAUUGAAAACUCUGAAGAAGCACCGUGCUGCUAUUGGAUAUACUCUUGAUGAUCUUAAGGGCAUUAGUCCCACUCUAUGUCAACAUAAAAUAAAUUUGGAGGAAGAUGCCAAACCAGUUAUUGAUCACCAACGACGAUUGAAUCCUAAAAUGAAAGAAGUGGUAAGAAAGGAAACACUAAAGCUCCUUGAGGCAGGUAUAAUUUAUCCCGUUGCUGAUAGUUAGUGGGUAAGUCAUGUCCAUUGUGUUCCUAAGAAGGGAGGUAUUACUGUCGUUCCUAAUGAUAAAGGUGAAUUGAUUCCGCAAAGAAUUAUUAUAGGUUAUGGGAUGGUAAUUGAUUUCCGCAAAUUAAAUAAGGCUACUAAAAAGGAUCAUUACCCCUUACGUUUUAUUGAUCAAAUGCUAGAAAGAUUAUCCAAACAUACACAUUUUUGCUUUCUAGAUGGUUAUUCUGGUUUCUCUCAAAUACCUAUGUCAGUUGAUGAUCAAGCGAAGACCACUUUUACUUGCCCUUUCGGUACUUUUGCUUAUAGACGUAUGCCUUUUAGUUUAUGUAAUGCACCUGCUAACUUUCAAAGAUGCAUGAUGGCUAUAUUCUAUGACUUUUGUGAAAAGAUUUGUGAGGUUUUCAUGGACGAUUUCUCCGCUUAUGGAUCCUCUUUUGAUGAUUGCUUGAGCAACCUUGAUCGAGUUUUGCAGAGAUGUGAAGAAAAUAAUCUUGUCUUGAAUUGGGAAGAGUGCCACUUUAUGGUUAAUGAAGGUAUUGUCUUGGGGCAUAAAAUUUCUGAAAGAGGUAUUGAAGUUGAUAAAGCUAAAGUUGAUGCUAUUGAAAAGAUGCCAUGUCCCAAGGACAUCAAAGGUAUAAGAAGUUUCCUUGGUCAUGUCGGCUUCUAUAGGAGGUUCAUUAAGGACUUCUCAAAAAUCUCUUGGCCUCUGACUAAUUUAUUACAAAAAGAUAUACCAUUUGUCUUUGAUCAUGAUUGUGUAGAAGCAUUUGAAAUACUUAAGAAAGCAUUGAUCUCUGCACCUAUUGUUCAGCCACCUGAUUGGAAUUUACCUUUUGAAAUUAUGUGUGAUGCUAGUGAUUAUUUUGUAGGUGCUGUUCUAGGGCAAAGAAUUGAUAAGAAAUUAAAUGUUAUUCAAUAUGCUAGUAAAACUCUGGACAAUGCCCAGAGAAAUUAUGCUACUACUGAAAAAGAAUUCUUAGCGGUUGUAUUUGCUUGUGAUAAGUUUAGACCUUAUAUUGUUGAUUCUAAAGUAACUAUUCACACUGAUCAUGCUGCUAUUAAAUACCUUAUGGAAAAGAAAGAUGCCAAACCUAGACUUAUUAGAUGGGUUCUCUUGCUGCAAGAAUUUGAUUUGCAUACUAUUGAUAGAAAGGGAGGUGAGAACCCCGUUGCAGACAACUUGUCUAGGUUAGAAAAUGUUCUUCAUGACCCACUACCUAUUGAUGAUAGAUUUCCUGAUGAGCAAUUAAAUGUCAUAAAUGCUUCUCGUACUGCUCCAUGGUAUGCUGAUUAUGCUAAUUACAUUGUUGCUAAAUUUAUACCACCUAGUUUCACAUACCAGCAAAAGAAAAGGUUUUUCUAUGAUUUGAGACAUUACUUCUGGGAUGACCCACAUCUUUAUAAAGAAGGAGUAGAUGGUGUUAUUCGACGUUGUGUACCUGAGCAUGAACAGGAACAUAUCCUACGCAAGUGUCAUUCCGAGGCUUAUGGAGGGCACUACGCUGGAGAUAGAACUGCACAUAAGGUAUUGCAAUCCGGGUUUUAUUGGCCUACUCUCUUCAAGGAUGCCCGUAAGUUUGUUUUAUCUUGUGAUGAAUGUCAAUGGAUUGGUAAUAUUAGUAGACGUCAAGAAAUGCCUAUGAAUUAUUCACUUUUUAUUGAACCAUUUGAUGUUUGGGGCUUUGAUUAUAUGGGACCGUUUCCUGCCUCUAAUGGGUAUACACAUAUUCUAGUUGUUGUUGAUUACAUUACUAAGUGGGUAGAAGCUAUUCCAACUAGUAGUGCUGAUCAUAACACAUCUAUUAAAAUGCUUAAAGAAGUUAUUUUUCCGAGGUUUGGAGUCCCUAGAUACUUAAUGACUGAUGGUGGUUCACAUUUUUUUCAUGGUGCUUUCCGUAAAAUGCUUGCUAAAUAUGAUGCUAAUCAUAGAAUUGCAUCUCCAUAUCACCCUCAGUCUAGUGGUCAAGUAGAAUUGAGUAACAGAGAGCUCAAAUUAAUUUUGCAGAAGACUGUUAAUAGAUCUAGAAAGAAUUGGUCCAAGAAACUUGAUGAUGCAUUAUGGGCCUAUAGAACUGCAUUUAAAAACCAAAGUUUUAGAUAGCGCGCUAUAGCGGCGCUACACGCAUCCUGACUGUGGUGCGCUACGCGAAGCUCGAUUUCACGUACGAAGAGUUAGCGUGCUAAUAGCGUGCUAGAUGUCACUUAGCGCUAAAAUUGGGCCUCUAGCAUUAGCGUCCCGCGUCUCUGACCUAAAAUUUUUGGUCCAAAAUGAAACCGCUGCAUGGGCCAAAGCCCAAGCCUACCAAUAGUCGAAUACCCCCAACCCUCCUCUCGAGCCAAACCCUAUCCCCACUCCCAUCCUCAUCUCAAACAGGAACCAUGGCGGCGGCCGACCAAUGACCAACCAUGGCGACAGCCUCGAGCUGCCACUUCGGCGACUGGCCUUCCUCGCCACUCCAUCCCAGCGACGGGGUAUUCCACUAGGCGACGCAGCUCCCAGUCGUUUCCUCUCGGCUGCUCCCUCCUGGCCACUUCCUCUGCUGACGGCGACGACCGCAUCCACAAGGCGAUGGAGCACCCCGCGGCGACGGUAUCCACCAGGCGACCAUGAGCCAGCAAAUCCCAUCAACAGGUAAGCUCAUCUAUCCUCUGUUAUCUCUUCUUGUCGAUGCUUGUAAUGCUCAAGAUUCGCAAUAAAAAUGAAUCUUUUGAAUGCUCAAGAUUUGUGUUUUUCAAACGAUGGACUCAGUUCAACGGGGAAAAUGGUGAAUAGCUGAAUGCUCCAGAUUCGCAAUAAAAAUGAAUCUGCUGAAGUUUUCAGUUAUAUACAGAAUACAGAUGCAUUGAAAGUUUAUUUGCUACAGAUGUACAUUUUUCUAUCACGUACUUUGGAUUGCCUUAAUCUGCCUAAACAAUAACUAAUUUUACUUUGUUCGCUUCUUUUUGCAUAGGUGUUGGUGGCUCAAGCACUGCCUCAAUAGCAGCACCUUCAUUCCCUCAAGUUGUUGAUUCGGAUGACCCUGCGUGGAAGUAUUGGACUCUUCCAGAUGUGAACAAGAAGCAUUGGCAGCGAUGCAACUAUUGUGGCAAGAUAUGCACAGCUGGCAUUACAAGGAUAAAGUUUCACCUUUCACAAAUAACGAAUUGUGGUGUCUUACCAUGCAAGAAGGUUCCUAGUGAUGUCAGGCUGGAGAUGAUAGCUUUGCUCCUAAAGAGUGUUGAGCUGAAGGAAAAAAAGAUCGAGGGAUUGGAGGCGCUCAGAUCUAGUGUUGACUUAGAUCACUCCGAUGAAGAACAAGAAACUGAUGAAGAAGAUGGCAAUCAGGUUGUGAUUUUGAGGUCAAAACCAGGCACAAGCAGCUCAAUGGGUGGCCCUAUGGACAAAUUCUGCAAGCCUAGUAUAGAAGAAACUGUCAAGAGGAAGCAAAAAAGAAAUUGUGAAUACGAAAAGGUUCAGUCGAAGGUGUCAACUCAGCAAAGACAACAGAGGAGGGAUAGAGCUUGUGGAUAUAUAUGUCAAUUUUUCUGUGAAGCUAGCAUCCCACAUAACACUGUCACACUUCCUAGCUUUGCAUGUAUGCUUCAGGCCAUUGGAGAUGUUGGCAGAAACUCCGAUGGGCCUACUGCAUAUGAGAUGAGUGGACUAUUCUUGCAGAAAAGGAAGAAGAAGGUGUUAGAUUCAUUCAAACCACAUAAGCAAGCAUGGGAGCACACAGGUUGUACCGUAAUGACAGAUGCAUGGACAGAUAAAAAGGGCAGGGGAGUAAUGAACCUAGUUGUGCAUAGUUCUCAAGGAGUCAUAUUCUUGAAUUCAGUUGAUUGUUCAUCGGUCCAGAAAAAUGGCAAAUACAUCUUUGACCUCGUUGAUAAUUGCAUUGAAGAUAUAGGGGCAGACAAAGUCGUUCAAGUGGUGAUCGACAAUGCUAGUGUCAAUGUAGCAGCAGCAAGUCUAAUGAAAGCAAAGCGACCUUCCAUUUUUUGGAAUGGAUGUGCAGCCCAUUGUAUUGAUCUCAUGUUGGAGGACAUAGGGAAGCUUGGAUCGGUUGACAAAAUAAUUGCCCAAGCAAGACAAGUAACGGUGUUCUUGUAUUCACAUAAGGGUGUUAGCUCUGAUGAGGAAAACACUUGGGAAAGACUUGGUAUGGUCAGGUGUUACUAGGUUUGCCACGGCUUAUCUCAAUCUUAAAAGCUUGCAAGACAACAAGAAGGAAAUGCUUAAACUAUUCAGAUCAGAUGAGCUACAUGAAAUGGGUUACUUAGAGAAGGACAAGGGGAAGAUGGCUCACAAAACGGUGCAAUCGGAAGCCUUCUGGAAAGGUGUUGGCGUUGUUGUCAACUACUUUGAGCCAAUGGCUAAUGUGCUAAGAAUAAUGGAUAGUGAUGUGCCCGCAAUGGGAUUCUUAUAUGGUUGUAUGUUGGAUGCAAAAAAGGAAAUUGUUGCGAGUUUUGAUAAUGAUGAGAGUCGCUUCAAAUGUGUUAUUGAUAUCAUUGACAAGAGAUGGGACAGAAAACUCAAGUCGCCACUACAUUUGGUUGGGUACUUUCUGAAACCCUACUAUUAUUAUCCAAACAAGGUUGUGAUAGAGAGGGAUGGAUCAUUUACAAUAGUCAUGGUCCAUUGCAUCACAAGGAUGAUUAAAGAUCAAAAAACUCAAGAUGAGCUUAUUGAUGAACUCGACAAAUACGAGGCGGAGGAAGAUUCCUUUGGAAUGGACAUUGCUGUACGACAGAGAAAAAUGUAAAAAAUUUCUCCAUGUGAGUGUUUACUGAAAUCUUGUGAUGUUAUUUCAUAUCACUUCCUCUGUUUCCCCUCUUUGUACUUGCCUAAAUAGUACAAUGUUUCAAUGUCUUAAUGCAGCAAGAUGGUGGCUAAAUUAUGGCACAUGUGCACCCCUGUUGAAGGACUUGGCAAUGAAGAUUUUGAGUUUGACAUGUAGCUCCUCAGCUUGUGAGAUAAAUUGGUCAGCAUUUGAACAAGUAAGAAAGACAAUUACAAGUUCACAAGUAAAAAAUAUAGUUCCUUGCACUUCUCACAUUGAGGCCAUGUGUUCCAUACUUGAUUUUGUUCACUUACACAAGUUCAUACAAAGAAACGCAGCAGGCUACUCCAUGAUAGGAUGAGUGAUCUUGUAUUUAUCAAGUUCAACACUAGGAUGAAGCAUAAGAGAGAGAACAAGAGUAGAGACCCAAUAGAGAAGACAAUCGUUGAUGUUCUUGAAGACGAGGAUAACGAGUUCAUCACCGGCAUUGUUGGAAAUGAUAAUGUUCUUGAACAUGUUGGUGAUGAAGAUCAAACUCAACAAGAGAGAGCUUCAACUUCACAAGAACAAGGGAAAAAGAAGAAGAGGCCUACUGCGCCCCCUAGAAAGAAGAUGAAUAAGAGCUUGCAAUCUCUCCUUAAUAGUGUCAAUGAGGAAGCUAUACUUUCUGCCUCUUCCAAUUCUUGUUCGUCAGAAUCAGAAGAUGAGUCUCCCUCGGCCCUUGCUGACAAGGAUUAAUUGCAUGGUUGGGUGUACCACUUUUGUUGUUUCAAAGUGUGCUGGUGGUAUGUUGUUAUGUUGCUAUGUCAAGUUAGUUGGCUGAACUUAUAAACCGGACCAUCUCAUGUUGUUGAUGUACCACUUUUGUUAUUCAAUGUGUGUUGGUGGUAUGUUGCUAGUUGUUAUGCCAAACUUUGCUCUGGUAUGUAAUGAAUUGAACCAUCUCCUGAUAUAUGUCCUUAUUAUGUAUUAUACUAUAUGGGGCUGUUCUUUGCAUUAUGACUAUGAGUUUAGGACUUACUGCUAUAGUUUAUGAACUACACUAUGUUAUGUGGCUGUUUGCAUGAGUAUGGUAGGAACUACAUAAUACAGUAUCAUUUUUCUAUUAACUUGGCUGUAUGCUAGUUGAUACAUGUCCAUUUUCAAGUAUAUAUAUAUAUAUAUAUAUAUAUAUAUAUAUAUAUGUCAAGUUGAUGACUGAUUCUAUGUUUAUUUUUUCAUUUUUUAUUGAUUUAUACUGAAACGCUAAAUGGGGCCUAGCACGCUAUAGCUGCGCUAUAGCGUUUCAUAGCUUUUGGUCAGGCUGAUGCUAAGAGGUUUAGCGGGCUAUCUAAAACUUUGAUAAAAACCCUAUGGGUAUGUCUCCGUAUAGAAUGGUUUAUGGAAAAUCAUGUCACUUACCUCUCGAACUAGAACAUAAGGCUUAUUGGGCAAUUUAAGAACUCAAUUAUGAUUUCAAGCUUGCCGGUAAGAAGAGGUUAUUUGACAUUAGCUCACUUGAUGAAUGGAGAACCCAAGCCUAUGAAAAUGCCAAGUUGUUUAAAGAAAAAGUCAAACGAUGGCAUGACAAAAGGAUACAAAAGCGUGGCUUUAAUGUAGGUGAUUAUGUAUUGCUAUACAACUCUCGUUUAAGAUUUUUUGCAGGAAAACUUCUCUCUAAAUGGGAAGGUCCUUACGUUAUCGAGGAGGUCUAUCGUUCCGGUGCCAUAAAAAUCAACAACUUUGAAGGCACAAAUCCGAAGGUGGUGAACGGUCAAAGAAUCAAACAUUAUAUCUCGGGUAAUCCUAUAAAUGUUGAAACAAAUGUUAUUGAAACUGUGACCCCGGAGGAGUACAUAAGAGACACUUCCCAGAAAGUUUCAGACUCCGAAAAGGAAUAGGUAUGUGGUACGGUAAGUAAACAGACUCCAGAACAGUUCUAAUGGCAUUUUUUCUCCAUUUUGGAAUAUAUAGAAAAAUAGAAAAAUAAGAAGCAGUACGGGAAGGACACGAGGGCUCCACAAGGGUGGAGGCCGCGCCCUACCCACCUAGGCGCGCCCCCUACCUCGUGGGCACCUCGUACGCUCUCUGGACUCCGUUUUCUUGCACGUUACGUAUUUUGGUCGGUAAAAAUUCAUUAUAUAAUCUCCCAAAGGUUUUGACUCAUGUAUCAUGCAAUUGUCCUCUGUUAUUGUUUCGAGCUGUUUCCUGUCAGGGUUGUCAAGGCCAGGAUUCAUGUCGUCCCCCUCCUCCAACAACGGUGACAACGAUGCUUGGCUAAUGAAGAUAGAGCUGAAGAGGGAAGAACCCAUGGAGAUCAACAAGGAUGAAGGGAUCAAAAAGGCCACGGAGGAUCAAGCUCCUGAAGACAACCUUCAACUUGAUCACAAUCUUCUUACCCCAACUGAGAUCGAAGCUUUCAGGAUGAUUGAGUUAGCUCGUAUACAAAACAAGUAUCUCACACGUGAAAAUAUUUUGUUGAACGAGCAUAUCGUUGCACUCAAGGGCAUUAUCCGCAAGUUGGAGGACCUCUUACGCUCGAUGUGCGACUGUCCAUCAUCACCUCCACCUUCUUCACCAGCAAAGGAGACAUAAUCACAUGGUUAUGGGCACUCCCCAUGGCAACUGCCAAGGUUGGGGGAGGUGCCCCAGUAUCGUAUCACCAUCACACUCCUGUCUUUACCAUUUUUCUUAGUUCGAUCCUUUUAGUAAUAUCUUGAUCUAGUAGAAUAAAUUUUAUGGCAUGAUCUAGUUUUGAGUUUUGCUUUAUGAUUCCUUUAUGUAAUCGAGUCCGUGAGCUAUAUAAUAAAGAUUAGUGUUGAGCCAAGGGCUUGAUUAUCUUGCUAUGAUCUUGAGGGAAUAAAAGAAAAGAGAAAAGAAUAAAAAGAAACAAAGAGAUCAUAUUGAUCUUAUGGAGAGUAAUGACUUCACAUAGAAAGAGUAUGAUCAUUAAAAAAUGUUAAGAGUUGACAAACAUAGCUUUGGUCAUCGUUGCAAUUAAUAGGAAGUAAUAAAGAAAGAGAGGUUUCACAUAUAAAUAUACUAUCUUGGACAUCUUGGGAGCACUCAUUAAAAUAUGACAUGCUAAAGAGUUGAUGUUGGACAAGGAAGAUGUCGGGGGUUGGGUGUGACAUAUGCCAAAGGAUGGCUUAUCAUGGUGGGAGCGAGUAGAACGUCGCCGGUGCCUGGAAGCGGGAUAAGGCGUAGACACGAACGCCGGCGUACUUUACCCAGGUUCGGGGCUCUCCUAGGAGAUAACACCCCUAGUCCUGCUCUGCGGGGUCUCCGCAUGAUCAAUAAGGCAAAGUGAAUACAAGGUUGCUCCUAGAGCUGUGUUGCUGGAGGUAGGAGAAGGCAAGGCUAGCUCUCUCCUUCCUAUAUGAUCUGGUCUAGUGCUAAUGGAUUCGAACCCUUGGCAUGGGUGCCCUGGGGGGUUUAUAUAGGCAUACCCCCCAGGGGUACAAUGGUAAUCCGACUGGGCGCAGGGCCCAGUCGUCGGUCUCUUCGGUCGCCGGCUUCUCCGCCGACUGGUGGGUCCAGCCGACUGGUCUGGUACGGAGCCGACAGGCUGCGUCCACUGCUGGUGGGUCCUGCCGACUGCUGGUUACUGUAGCCGUGCUUCUAGUGACGCGGGCUUGGUCAUGGGGUCGUGGCUACAGCUCCGCUGCCUGGCGGGCGAUUACUGUAGCCACGCCCUGUCUCGUCUGGUUGAUGGCACAUGGGACCCGCGGGAGGGGCUGGCCGACUCCUGGGGGCCGACUCCCAUUGGGUCUGACUGGAGGCACACUUGCCGUCUUCGGGACUCUCGCCGACUGGUGGGGGGCCGUCAUCCUUGGUCCGUACAGACAGGUCGUCGUGGGUGCAGGACUCCGCCCGCUAGUGCUGAUGUCAGGGAGAGCAUGGCAACAGUGCUGCGCCGGACGGAGAUCUCCGUGGGUACAGCGCACUAUGGCCAUGCCAGCCUCUGGAAAGGGGAGGGAGUGGGCGUUACUGCAGCCACACCCUGUCACAUCCCCUUGAUGAGGGCAUGGCGUUGUUGGCGUCGCGGGCCGACUCCCCAUGGCCGGCUUCGCUGGAAGCCGCCAGAUAGAAGUCGGUCUGUCCUGAGGCCGUCUCCAGGACUCGGCCGCGAGUGGGCAGUCGGCUGUUCCCCCAGCCGGCUCCCAGAAGGUGGCUCCUUGUCUUGUAGUCUGGAGGGGCGCAGUCGGCCCCAAUGUCUUGAAAGGUUCUAGGGCUCGGGUUAGUCUACCCGUGGCCCAUUACUCCGACAGUAGUCCCUGAAGCUGGUGAGGCGCCGCGGGUGAUAUGUCGAGGAGCCUCAACAGUUUCUUCUUCCCAGUGGUUGAUUUUAAGCUUCAUCCGCCGUCUUCUGCCAAGCCGACUAGCUGGAGUCGGACUUGUUCAGGCUGACUUGCCCCCAAAAAAAGUUCGAACGCCGCGGCGGGAUCCAGGUGGCGUGCCUGAUAAGCUUCCAGGUCGACGCCUGCUUCAAGCCUGCNNNNNNNNNNNNNNNNNNNNNNNNNNNNNNNNNNNNNNNNNNNNNNNNNNNNNNNNNNNNNNNNNNNNNNNNNNNNNNNNNNNNNNNNNNNNNNNNNNNNNNNNNNNNNNNNNNNNNNNNNNNNNNNNNNNNNNNNNNNNNNNNNNNNNNNNNNNNNNNNNNNNNNNNNNNNNNNNNNNNNNNNNNNNNNNNNNNNNNNNNNNNNNNNNNNNNNNNNNNNNNNNNNNNNNNNNNNNNNNNNNNNNNNNNNNNNNNNNNNNNNNNNNNNNNNNNNNNNNNNNNNNNNNNNNNNNNNNNNNNNNACAUGCCCGCCAGCAGGGCCCGCCACUACAAUGCCUCGGCACGCGAGCGGAUCUGCUGCGCCUAAAGUUGGCGGUUGAGGUUCCCGGGGCAUUACAGCGCAGUAACUUAUGCGAGAAACGUGGGGUCGUGGGGGAUGUUGGCGCAGUAAAUCCCCUGGUUGCCUCUUCGGCUUCGCAGCCCACGAGCCUAUAAGUAGGCGGAGGGAGGGGAGCGGCCAAGCACGCACGCCCCUCCUCCCUACUUCUUCCUUCUUCUCCUUCUCUUGCUGUCGUUCCCUCGAACCACUCCGUGCAACGCAGCGAUGAGCUCCUCCUCCGCUGCCACGCCCCCCGCAGUGCGCUCCGGAAUGUGGGACGGAUCCGAGGUCGACGACGACGACAUCGACACUAGUAGAAAAAGGGUCAAACGUGAAGCACAUUAGUGCCGGUUUGUAUUUGAGCCGGCACUAAUGUGCCCAUUAGUGUCGGUUCGUGGCGGAGAUCAGUAGUCCCAGUUCGUGGCGUAUCUUUAGUACCAGUUCAUGCCACGAACCGGUACUAAAGAAGGUGUGGCAGGCUGCGGUCAGGCUGUGGCCCCACCAUCAGCCUUUAGUGCCGGUUCGUGCCAUGAACCGGUACUAAAGAGGUUAGCGCAGGCUGUUUUUAGUCCCACCUCGCUCCCCUAACAAAGUUUUUACCACCUUAAAUAUGUCAUUUCUCAAACUAUCACAAGCACUUGGUCUUCAUUGAACUCUAUGUGUAGAAUUUGUGGCUGCAAUAUGAGUCUUCACUGGUUUAACCGUUGAGGACUCAUAUUGACAAUUCAGAUUGUACACAAAAAGAUCAUUGAUGAUCAAAGUAUUUUUGACAAUUUUAGACUGUAAAGAAAUAUAAGAUCAUGAUCUGAAUGCUCUUAUAUUUUUUGCGUUCCGUAUGCACCAUUCAAAGUGACGUCAUCAAUUUUAAACCCUUCCUGACAUCAUUUGCUAUUUUUCAGACAUUUACCGAUUUGUUUAAAGAGCUAAAUGCCACGAACCGGUACUAAUGAGGUUGUGUGAGGCUGUGGUUAGGCUGGGGCCCCACGAGCAUCUUUAGUACCGGUUCAUGGCAUGAACCGGUACUAGAGUUUCUUAGUAAGCUGUUUUUUAGUCCCACUUUGCUAAGAGAGAGGGACUAGGAGCGGUUUAUAAGCCCUGAGUGCAAAGACGAUGUAGAAGAGGCUCAAUGCUCAUGUUGCUUUGCUUCAAGCCUUGAGGAAUAUGGUAGACUACACGGAGCUAUGUGCAGUGCAGUUUACACUAUUCCGAAAGGCUUGAAGCAAAGUAACGAGCAUUGCACCUCUUUUUUAUUUUUAGUAACUUAUUAAACUCCGGAAUUCUUCUGUUAUGGCAAAAACUAGUUGCACUUCGGCAUUUCAUUUUUUUAAACUUUGGUUAUAACUCCAGACUUUGACAACCAAGUUUUAACCAUCAACUUGGCAUGGUAUAUAAAUAGAAGAAAAUAAAUGUCGCCGAAAAGAAAAAAUAGCAGAAAAGAAAAAAACUAUAUAAAAAAACUACGCAGAAAUAAAUAGAAGAAAAUAAGUUGACAUAUGGAAGUAAUCUGUUAAUCUGAAUUUUGUUACCAAAACCAAACUUGUUCAACAUACCAAAAGCAAACUUGUUCAUCAUUACAAAAGCAAAGUUGCUCAACAUAACGAAAGCAAACUUGUUCAACCACAUAACUACAAACUGAGACACAUAAUACCACAAACAACUCAAUAUCCCCAGUAGUAGGGGUCAUCCCAAUGAUCCUCCGCCUCUUGCCAUUGCUCCAAACCUUCUCUGAUGGUUUUGAUUUUCUUCCAUGCCUCGUAGGUGACGUACGCAUCUUUCGCUGCGUACUCGAUGAGGUUGUUUUGCAGUGGGCUAAUCCCCCAUAGUUUGUGGUCCAUUUUCUUAUCGAUCUUCUGCUUCAUUUCCUUGUAGGAUGGGUGGAUGAGGCUGGCUGCAAACUCAGCCAAAGACUGCCACUUCUUUCCAUUGGUUGGAACUCUCCAUUUGCGCUGCAUGUCGAUGAACUUGUCGGGGUUGAUCUCCAAACCAGACAACUUCAGCUUCUCCUUGUCACCUCCAAUGGAGAAGCCAACAAAGGUGUACAACUUCUUCUCCUGCAGGAGCGGGCGGAGUUCCUUGGGCCUGCAUCAAAUUAAUCUGGUGCAUCAAAUUCAUCUACUUCAAAAACUACACUAGUACAGCUAGUUCAGAAACUUCAGAACUUCAGAACUAGUAUUGCAUCUACUUCAGAACUUCAGAACUAUUGCAUCUACUUCAGAAACUUCAGAAACUACUAAUUAGAUAGAAACUUCAGAAACUUCUUCAGAACUAGUACUGCAUCUACUUCAGAACUUCAGAACUAUUGCAUCUACUUCAAAAACUUCAGAAACUACUAAUUAGACAGAAACUUCAGAAACUACUAAUUAGACAGAAACUUCAGAACUUCAGAAACUUCAGAACUGGAUGUUUUUACCAUUUGGUUGCCGCAGUGAUGUGGUAUACCAGGACGAGAUCCUCCAUGCAUAACUGCAGAACUGCAGCCAUUUGCGGAGGUUCGUCAUCCCUGGUAUACUCUAUAUCAACGCCGAUCGACCGAAACCGAGAAUGCAUGCCGCCGAGCCUCAUCCUGAUCUUGCGGAUCCUCUUGUCGGCUUCGUCUGGAUUGCUGGUGCAUACGACAUCCAGCUUCUCCUUCAGGUGGAUAUCAACCUUGAGCGGCACGGUGUAGUCCAGCUUCUGCCCGGGGAUCGGAACGUCGUCGUCGACCACUAGCGGCUCCUUGCCAGACGCCUCACCACGGUGAUGCUUGGGAGACGGAGGGGAGUUGCUCCAUGAUGCCUCCGCCAUUCUCUUGGCAGACGGAGGGGAGUUGCUCCACGAUUUCUCCGCCAUUGCCCUCCUGGCCCGCGAUGGGGGAGGCAGAGGGGAGUUGCUUGAUGGUGAAGGCAGAGGGAGGUAGAGGGAGGAACAUGGAGCGGUGAUGGAAUGAGAAGUUGCCAGUGGGGAGACGUGGGGAGUUGCCAGUGGGGAGACGUGGGGAGUUGCCUUGAAAACUCAAACGUCCUACCCUUUGGCCCUCAAAAAAAUAGCAUAAAAGAAAAAAAACUAUAUAAAAAACUACGCAGAAAUAAAUAGAAGAAAAUAAAUAUAGCAGAAAAGAAAAAAACUACUCACAAAUAAAUAGAAGAAAAAAUAAAGCAGAAAAAAAACUAUAUAGAGGAUUUUUCAUUCGUUUACUGAUUUGUUUAGAGAGCCAAAUGACCGUGAAAUUGAAAAUCACUACAAAAUGAACUCUGAAAAUGUUGAAUUUUGGCAAACUAGAUAAAAAAUUACUCACAAAUAAAUAGAAGAAAAUAAAUAUAACAGAAAAGAAAAAACUAUACAAAAAACUACGCAAAAAUAAAUAGAAGAAAAUAAAGCAGAAAAAAACUAUAAAAAAAAUUGGGGCGCUACAAAAUGACCGUGAAAUUGAAAAUCAAUACAGAAUGAACUCUGAAAAUGUUGAAUUUUGGCAAACUGGAUAAAAAAUUACUCACAAAUAAAUAAAGAAAAUAAAUAUAACAGAAAAGAAAAAACUAUACAAAAAACUACGCAGAAAUAAAUAGAAGAAAAUAAAGUAGAAAAAAAACUAUAAGAAAAAUUGGGGCGCUGCCCUGUGGGCCUGCUAGGCCACGGGCGUGCAAUUACAGGCCUUAAAGGCCCAGCAGACUCACAGGACAGCGCGCAGAAUUUAGGCCCACAAGCCUACUAUAUAGAGGAGUUCGAAGAGGUAGCCGCGACUGGGUUUAUAAACCAGUGCGACUGCCCUUCGCCUGGCAAGGUGGGACUAAACUUUGGGGUGGCAGCGCGAGGCCUUUAGUACCGGUUGGUGGCUCCAACCAGUACUAAAGACCACCCUUUAGUAUCGGUUGGAGCCACCAACCGGUACUAAAGGCCUCCUCUUCCUGCCUCUUGGCCUGGCCAAAGUUGGCCUUUAGUACCGGUUGGUGGCUCCAACCGGUACUAAAGGCCUCUCCUAUAUAUACAACACUUACGAAAAUUCAGUUAGAUCUCCCCACUUCUUUUGUCUCAACCUCUCGCGCGCCGCUCGAACCCGUCAUCGCCGCCCGUCGUCCGUCGUCGUCGUCGUCCCCGCCGCUGCCCUUCGUCGUCGUCGUCUCGCGCCGCCGCCCCGAACGCCGCGCGCCGCCGUCCGUCGUCGUUCCGCCGCGGUCACGUACGUACGUCUCUUGCUCUCCUCGCGUACCCGCCGCGCUGCCGUCAGUCGUCGUCGCACCCGGCCCGUACGUCGGCGCCCCCACCCGUACGUACGCCCCCGCCCCGUACGCCGGCGCCCCCGCUCGUACGUACGGGGCGGCCGGCGGCGUACGGGGCCGCACACACACAUACACACACAUAUAUACGUACACACACAUACACACACACAUACGUACACACAUAUAGACGUACACACACAUACACACACACACCUUUUUUUACUUAUUUUCUGUUUUUUAGAAAAGUUAAUUAGAUGAUCGAAUGUUAGAUUAAUGUCGAAUGUUAGAUGAACUAGCUAGAUAGAAAAUUGUCAAACUAGAGAUUUGAACUAGUUGAAUAAUUAAUAUAACUAGUUUAUUUUGAGUAAGAAAAUUGUCGAACUAGUUUAUUUAGGUAUAUGAGAUUUGAACUAGUUCAAUAAUUAAUAUAACUAGUUUAUUUUUAGUAAGAAAAUUUAGGUAUCUGAGAUUUAAUGAUCUAAGUAAAAUAUUAUUUGUUAAUGCGUUUUUCUGUUUAUUUAAUUUUUUAUAUAUUUUGAGUUUAUAUAAAUGUUAGAUUAAUAUCGAAUGUUAGAUGAAUUAGAUAGAAAAAGGUAAAUAUAUAGUAAUGUCAAUUGUUAGAGAUGAAUAUAGUUAGAUAUAUUAAUGUCAAAUGGUAGAUGAAUAUAUAUUUGGCUAGAUAUAAAUUAAUGUUAGAUAGUAAUAGGUGUUUAAUAUUUCACCUAUAUGAACAUAGGAAAUGUCAUCUGACGACGAAAAAGAUUUCAUUAUGUGCGAACACUGUGAAGACCAGCGCGGCCUGUGCGACAGAAAUUUCCUUGUUGAUGGUAGGCGCUUCAGCAUCAAGCUGGAUGAGACAUUCGAAGUUGAUACAGUAAGUCACUUUGGCAAUUAUUAUUUGAAUGCAAAACUUAUGCUUCAUUUGCUUCAACUUAUAAUUUUAAAUUUUCACUAUUCUACUAGCGCAUCCCCUGCCAUGCAAGAAUUUUUGUCUUGGAUAAGAUAGGUUUUAGUGCUAUAGAUGAUAUGGAGGUAAAGAGAGUUUACUUGAAGACCGAGCAUGGGUAUAGUUUCAACGUCAAAUUAUAUAAUGGAGACACAUACACCCAUUUUGAAUGCAAAACUUGGCAAGCACUAUGCAAGGCUUAUGCAUUUGAGCCUGAUAUGGUUAUCACUUUUGAUAUUCGUCCGGAAGAUGAUAUUAAAGGUAAUAUAGACAUUUGGGUCGAUGUGCAAACGCCUACAGUUCUACCAUUAUGUGAGUUUUUCUCAACCAUGCAUGCAUAUGUUUAUGUCUUUGAUACAGUUUAUUCAAAAAUAGUUGACAACUAAUUUGUAUUGUCAGCUUAUUUCGGUUCAAGAAAACAUGUCCGACGCUUGGUAGACAGGACCUACUACUGCCCCGGGGCUCAACUAAACUGCGAGGAGAUAAGUCAUUAUGUUUCAUGGCUUGAGGAUCUUAAUACUGUCAAGACAAAUUUUUUUCCUGAACUUAGAAAUGUUAGUACUCAAAACGUGCGACCAAUGGUGAUCGUAUUGAACUACGGUCACAUCUAUAAUUGAAAGAUGGUAAGACUUUUACUAUUUGUCCUUAAUUAGUGCAUCUUUUGCAUACAUUAUUUUUGAAGCUAAACUUUCAUUGCUAAGUAUAUUAUUUACUAUACAAUGUUCUUCAACAGGGACUUCCGAUGACAAUUCUGCCUCAAUGGAUCGAGACAAAAGGUCGCAUGUCAAUUGUUAGCUUACGACCAAGAUUUCCUACAUUGCACAUGAGUGAAUUCGGGAUUUCUUCAAGCGAAGAAUGCUUAAUAGUGAAAGAUUGGAGCAAAAUUGUUAAAGAUCGCAGAGAAGUACUAGGGGGCAGCAAGGACAAGCGCAGCCCAAGAUUAGGAGACAGAUUCAUCUGCAUGCUCCAGUAUGAUGAAUCAAGAGAGCUAUACAUGUUCUAUGCUAUUCUACCUGAGAGGGAGCAGCAGGAGUGACAAUUUUGCUAGUUCAUGCUCUUAAUUAGUACUUGUCCUCUCUCAUGCAUGUCCGUAUUGUCCUGAACUUCGAUGUUGGUGAUGAUUAUGUUUGAACUCGAUGAUAUCUUUGCUUCUGUUACAAAGUGAAUGUUUCUUCUUUAAGCUAGGCAGUGUUGGUGAUGAUUAGAUAGCGGUAAUGACUAUGAUGAUUAAAUAGUGGUAAUUAAUGAUGACUACGAUGAUUUUUAGCUAGCUAGAGUUAUUUAUUAAUAUGUGCUGCUGAUGAUGAUGAUGAUGAUGACGACGACGACUACAACUAAUUAUAACAUAAAACAAUCCUAAAUUAAAUUGAUAACACAAAUUUAAAUGAAAAAGAAAAAAUAAAACAAAAACCCACAAACAUUUAGUACCAGUUGGUGUUACCAACCGGUACUAAAGGGCUCCCGGCCCCCAGAGCUGGCUUGUGCCACGUGGUUUGCCUUUAGCGCCGGUUCGUGCCGAACCGGUACUAAGGGGGGGGGGCUUUAGUGCCCACAAAUUAGUGCCGGUUACGGAACCGGCACUAAAGGGCCUUACGAACCGGUGCUAUUGCCCGGUCCUGCACUAGUGCGAGCACCUCUGCCAGACGUGGCGGCUGCCCAGCAGGGGCUUAGUGCAAGUCCGCCUCGAGCCGGAGGGGGAGAUAUCGCCGGCGCCAGGGGAGUGCGAGCGGGUCAUCUUCCGCUCGCACUGCAUGCGUGGCCUGGGGCUGCCGGCGAGCGGCUUCUUCCGCUCCUUCCUGGAGUUCCAUGGGCUCCAGCCGCACCACCUCACGCCAAACACGGUGGUGGUGCUGUCCGCCUUCGCCACCUUAUGCGAAGGCUUCCUCAGCGUCCUCCCUACCAUCGAGCUCUGGGGGAAUUCUUCCAAUCCAAGCUCGGCACCCAUGUCGCCGGCGUGUCGUCCCAGUGCGGUGCGUUUAUCGCGAUACAGAGACGAGGGGCCGACAAUACGUUUCCAACCAUCGCGCUGAUAAAGUCGGUGAAGAUGUGGCAGCGGUCCUACUUCUACGUGAAGAAUGUGGCCCAGAAGGCAACUGGGUCAACCUGCCGGCUUACGAAGCCGGCGCGCCGGCUGGAAGGCUCCCCAGCUGGUCGCACCGGGCCAGGACGCUGUCACCUGCCGGAGCCGCCGCCGUCGCGCGACUCCGAGUGCUAACGCAGUCGGAGGGCCUGACUGGGUCUGACCUGCUGGCCGCCUUCGAGGCGCGCCGAGUACUCCCGCUCCAGGGCCGGCCUCACAUGAUCUGCCAGAUGAGCGGGCAUCGGGACCCGAGUCGGAUGUGCACCAAGGACAUGCCUCAUGUAGAGGUAGCGGACAUGGUGAACUACAUCGCGAACUGCGAGCUCACGAAGGAUUGGCAGUUCGGCAAGGAGCCGUAUUCAGGCGCCAACCCCUGCCCAUCGUAAGUCGUCUUUCUUCUUCUGUCUCUUUAGUGCCGAGUCCUACUGGUCCAGUCUAACCAUCAGCCUUUGAAUCAGAACCCCCUCCUCCAGCCAGCAGCCGGCACCACGGGGCCGGUCUGUCAAUUUAUCUCCGAUCGGGCGGAGAGCGAUGUUGACGACCCUGACUUAGGGGCGGCAGCUUUGGAGGCCGACGCCGAGGGAGGAGGAGGAGAAGCAGGCGGCUCUCGGCGCAGGGCCAGCUUCGCCGACUGGCCUGAUGACGAAGCCGAGGGAGAAGUCGCCCCGCACCACCAGCCAAGGGUCGGCCAGCCCGGCGCGAGCUCCUCCGCCGCCUCGGACGCUCAAGGCGGCACGAAGAAGCGCAGGGCCGGGCUGAGUAUGCUUGGUGGCCGGCCAAAGAAACCCAAGGGGGCGGCCGCGGCGACCAAGCGGGAAGAAGCGGCCGCGAGGGCCAACCGCUUCCGCAAGGAAGUGAAGCAGCCGCCGUUGAUCUCCGCGUGAGUGCUUCCGCCCCUCGUCUUUGUCUUCUCUUUGUUGAUCUUGUUUGAGUCUUUUCUUGUUUUCCCUUGAUCUAGGGCUCCCCUUUCUCUUGACAGGGUUGCUGCCUCCUCCGUCAUGGGGUCGGCGGAGACGUCUGCCACCACUCGGCGGAUUGACCCUGCCGCCGACCUCCAGGAGGCGACAAAGCGGAACGCGCGAGAGAAGCGCGCAGAGGGAGGGACCGCCCGCCUAGAGAAGGCACAGGCCGCUGCCAAGAAGAAGCUGGCAGAGGCCGAAGCCGCCAUCGUGGCGAGGGGGCAGGCUGAAGGAGCCGUGCACCGCCCAUCGGCAGUUUUCGUUACCCCGCUGAACUCCGUGCCACCACUUCCGGAGUUCACGGGGCAGACUGGGGAAGCCGGCGGUGAGAACCCGGCCAUGGAGGAGGAUGGCGGCUACGCCUUCAUUCCAGACAUGAUCGUGCCGCCACCGCCUAAAGGAAAUAUGCCCUAGAGGCAAUAAUAAAGUUAUUAUUUAUUUCCUUAUUCUCAUGAUAAAUGUUUAUUAUUCAUGCUAGAAUUGUAUUAACCGGAAACAUAAUACAUGUGUGAAUACAUAGACAAACAGAGUGUCACUAGUAUGCCUCUACUUGACUAGCUUGUUAAUCAAAGAUGGUUAUGUUUCCUCACCAUAGACAUGAGUUGUCAUUUGAUUAGCGGGAUCACAUCAUUAGGAGAAUGAUGUGAUUGACUUGACCCAUUCCGUUAGCUUAGCACUUGAUCAUUUAGUAUGUUGCUAUUGCUUUCUUCAUGACUUAUACAUGUUCCUAUGACUAUGAGAUUAUGCAACUCCCGUUUGCCGGAGGAACACUUUGGGUGCUACCAAACGUCACAACGUAACUGGGUGAUUAUAAAGGAGCAUUACAGGUGUCUCCGAAGGUACAUGUUGGGUUGACGUAUUUCGAGAUUAGGAUUUCUCACUCCGAUUGUCGGAGAGGUAUCUCUGGGCCCUCUCGGUAAUACACAUCACCUAAGCCUUGCAAGCACUGCAACUAAUAAGUUGGUUGCGAGAUGAUGAAUUAUGGAACGAGUAAAGAGACUUGCCGGUAAUGAGAUUGAACUAGGUAUUGAGAUACCGACGAUCGAAUCUCGGACAAGUAACAUACCGAUGACAAAGGGAACAACGUAUGUUGUUAUGCGGUCUGACCGAUAAAGAUCUUCGUAGAAUAUGUGGGAGCCAAUAUGAGCAUCCAGGUUCCGCUAUUGGUUAUUGACCGGAGACAUGUCUCGGUCAUGUCUACAUUGUUCUCGAACCCAUAGGGUCCGCACGCUUAAGGUCGCGAUGACAGUUUCAUUAUGAGUUUAUAUAUUUUGAUGUACCAAAGGUUGUUUGGAGUCCUGAAUGUGAUCGCAGACAUGACGAGGAGUCUCGAAAUGGUCGAGACAUAAAGAUUGAUAUAUUGGACGGCUAUAUUCGGACACCGGAAGUGUUCCGGAAGAGUUUUGGAUAAAACCAGAGUACCGGGGGGUUACCGGAACCCCCCGAGGGUUGAUGGGCCUCAUGGGCCCAAAGUGGAGAAGAGGAGGGGCGGCCAGGGCAGGCCGCGCGGCCCCUCCCCCUCUUGUCCGAAUUGGACAAGGAGGGGGGCGGCGCCCCCCUUUCCUUCCUCUCCUCUCUCCCUUCCUUCCCCCUCUCCUAGUUGGACAAGGAAAAGGAGGGAGUCCUACUCCCGGUAGGAGUAGGACUCCUCCCUGGCGCGCCUCCUCCUGGCCGGCCGCCCCUCCCCUCCACUCCUUUAUAUACGUGGGUGGGGGGCACCCCAUAGACACACAAGUUGAUCUUCGUGAUCGUUCUCUUAGCCAUUUACGGUGCCCCCCUCCACCAUAGUCCUCGAUAAUAUUGUAGCGGUGCUUAGGCGAAGCCCUGCGACGGUAGAACAUCAAGAUCGUCACCACGCCGUCAUGCUGACAGAACUCAUCCCCGAACGUGUGCUCGAACUCGGAGGUGCCGUAGUUUCGGUGCUUGAUCGGUCGGAUCGGGAAGACGUACGACUACUUCCUCUACGUUGCGUCAACGCUUCCGUUGCCGGUCUACGAGGGUACGUAGACAACACUCUCCCCUCUCGUUGCUAUGCAUCACCAUGAUCUUGCGUGUGUGUAGGAAUUUUUUUGAAAUUACUACGUUCCCCAACAGUGGCAUCCGAGCCAGGUUUUAUGCGUUGAUGUUGUGCACUAGUAGAACACAAGUGAGUUGUGGGCGAUAUAAGUCAUACUGCUUACCAGCAUGUCAUACUUUGGUUCGGCGGUAUUGUGAGAUGAAGUGGCCCAGACCGACAUUACGCGUACGCUUGCGCGAGACUGGUUUCACCGUUACGAGCACUUGUUGCUUAAAGGUGACUGGCGGGUGUCUAUCUCUCUCACUUUAGUUGAACCGAGUGUGGCUACGCCUGGUCCUUGCGAAGGUUAAAAUAGCACCAACUUGACAAACUAUCGUUGUGGUUUUUAUGCGUAGGUAAGAACGGUUCUUGCUAAGCCCGUAGCAGCCACGUAAAACUUGCAACAACAAAGUAGAGGACGUCUAACUUGUUUUUGCAGGGCAUGUUGUGAUGUAAUAUGGUCAAGACAUGCUGCUAAACUUUAUUGUAUGAGAUGAUCAUGUUUUGUAACCGAAGUUAUCGGCAACUGGCAGGAGCCAUAUGGUUGUCGCUUUAUUGUAUGCAAUGCAAUCGCCAUGUAAUGCUUUACUUUAUCACUAAGCGGUAGCGAUAGUCGUAGAAGCAUAAGAUUGGCGAGACGACAACGAUACUACGAUGGAGAUCAAGAUGUCGCGCCGGUAACGAUGGUGAUCACGACGGUGCUUCGAAGAUGGAGAUCACAAGCACAUGAUGAUGAUGGCCAUAUCAUAUCACUUAUAUUAAUUGCAUGUGAUGUUUAUCUUUUAUGCAUCUUAUCUUGCUUUGAUUGACGGUAGCAUUAUAAGAUGAUCUCUCACUAAUUAUCAAGAUAAGUGUUCUCCCUGAGUAUGCAUCGUUGCGAAAGUUCUUCGUGCUGAGACACCACGUGAUGAUCGGGUGUGAUAGGUUCUACGUUCAAAUACAACGGGUGCAAAACAUUUGUACACGCGGAAUACUCAGGUUAAACUUGACGAGCCUAGCAUAUAACAGAUAUGGCCUCGGAACACGGAGACCGAAAGGUCGAGCGUGAAUCAUAUAGUAGAUAUGAUCAACAUAGUGAUGUUCACCAUUGAAACUACUCCAUCUCACGUGAUGAUCGGACAUGGUUUAGUUGAUUUGGAUCACGUGAUCACUUAGAGGAUUAGAGGGAUGUCUAUCUAAGUGGGAGUUCUUAAGUAAUAUGAUUAAUGAACUUAAAUUUAUCAUGAACUUAGUCCUGGUAGUAUUAGCAUAUCUAUGUUGUAGAUCAAUAGCUCGCGUUGUUGCUUCCCUAUGUUUUAUAUAUGUUCCUAGAGAAAAGUAAGUUGAAAGAUGAUAGUAGCAAUGAUGCGGACUGAGUCCGUGAUUUGAGGUUUAUCUUCAUUGCUGCACAGAAGAAUUAUGUCCUUGAUGCACCGCUAGGUGACAGACCUAUUGCAGGAGCAAAUGUAGACGUUAUGAACGUUUGGCUAGCUCAAUACGAUGACUACUUGAUAGUUUAGUGCACCAUGCUUAACGGCUUAGAAUCGGGACUUCAAAGACGUUUUGAACGUCAUGGACCAUAUGAGAUGUUCCAGGAGUUGAAGUUAAUAUUUCAAGCAAAUAUCCGAGUUGAGAGAUAUGAAGUCUCUAACAAGUUCUAUAGCUAAAAGAUGGAGGAGAAUCGCUCAAGCAGUGAGCAUGUGCUCAGAUUGUCUGGGUACUACAAUCGCUUGAAUCAAGUGGGAGUUAAUCUUCCAGAUAAGAUAGUGAUUGACAGAAUUCUCUAGUCACCAUCACCAAGUUAGUAGAACUUCGUGAUGAACUAUAAUAUGCAAGGGAUAACAGAUGCAAUUCCCAAGCUCUUCGUGACGCUAGAAUCGACGAAGGUAGAAAUCAAGAAAAACAUCAACUGUUGAUGGUUGACAAGACCACUAGUUUCAAGGAAAAGGGUAAAGGGAAGAAGGGGAACUUCAAGAAGAACGGCAAGCAAGUUGCUGCUCGAGUGAAGAAGCCCAAGUGUGGUCCUAAGCCUGAGACUAAGUGCUUCUACUGCAAAGGGACUGGUCACUGGAAGCGGAACUACCCCAAGUAUUUGGCGGAUAAGAAGGAUGGCAAAGUGAACAAAGGUAUAUUUGAUAUACAAGUUAUUGAUGUGUACGUUACUAUUGUUUAUAGCAACCCCUCGGCAUUUGAGAAUGGUUCAGUUGCUAAGAGUAGUAACUCGAAACGGGAGUUGCAGAAUAAACAUAAACUAGUAAAAGUCGAGGUGACGAUGUGUGUUGGAAGUAGUUCCAAGAUUGAUAUGAUCAUCAUCGCACUCUCCCUAUACUUUCGGGAUUAGUGUUAAAACUAAAUAAGUGUUAUUUGGUGUUUGUGUUGAGCAUGAAUAUGAUUUGAUCAUGAUUAUUGCAAUACGGUUAUUCAUUUAAGUUAGAGAACAAUUGUUGUUCUAUUUACAUGAAUAAAACCUUCUAUGGUCAUACACACCAACGAAAAUGGUUUGUUGGAUCUCGAUCGUCGUAAUACACAUAUUCAUAUUAUUGAAGCCAAAAGAUGCAAAGUUAAUAAUGAUAGUGCAACUUAUUUGUGGCACUGCCGUUUAAGUCAUAUUGGUGUAAAGCGCAUGAAGAAACUCCAUGCUGAUGGAAAUUUGGAAUCACUUGAUUAUGAAUCACUUGAUGCUUGCGAACCAUGCCUCUUGGGCAAGAUGACUAAAACGCCGUUCUUCAGAACAAUGAAGCAAGCAACAGAUUUGUUGGAAAUCAUACAUACUAAUGUAUGUGGUCUGAUGAAUAUUAAGGCUUGCAGCAGGUAUCAUUAUUUUCUGACCUUCACAGAUGAUUUGAGCAGAUAUGGGUAUAUCUACUUAAUGAAAUAGAAGUCUGAAACAUUUGAAAAGUUCAUAUAAUUUCAGAGUGAAGUGGAAAAUCAUCGUCACAAGAAAAUAAAGUUUCUACGAUCUGAUCGUGGAGAAGAGUAUUUGAGUUACGAGUUUGGUCUUCAGUUAAAACAAUGUGAAAUAGUUUCACUACUCACGCCACCUGGAACACCACAACAUAAUGGUGUGUCCGAACGUCAUAACCGUACUUUAUUGGAUACAGUGCAAUCUAUGAUGUUUCUUACCGGUUUACCACUAUCGUUUUGGGGUUAUGCAUUAAAGACAGCUGCAUUCACAUUAAAAAGGGCACCAUCUAAGUCCAUUGAGAUGACACAAUCUGAACUAUAGUUUGGCAAGAAACCAAAGUUGUCGUUUCUUAAAGUUUGGGGUUGUGAUGCUUAUAUGAAAAAGUUUCAUCCUGAUAAGCUCAAACCCAAAUCGGAGAAAUAUGUCUUCAUAGGAUACCCAAAGGAGACUGUUGGGUACAGUUUCUAUCACAGAUCCUAAGGCAAGACAUUCGUUGCUUAUAAUGGAUCCUUUCUAUAGAAGGAGUUUCUCUCGAAAUAAGUGAGUGGGAGGAAAGUAGAACUUGAUGAGGUAACUGUACCUGCUCCCUUAUUGGAAAGUAGUACAUCACAGAAACCGGUUUCUGUGACACCUACACCAAUUAGUGAGGAAGCUGAUGAUAAUGAUCAUGAAACUUCAGAUCAAGUUACUACCGAACCUCGUAGAUCAACCAGAGUAAGAUCCGCACCAGAGUGGUACGGUAAUCCUGUUCUAGAAGUCAUGUUACUAGACCAUGAUGAACCUACGAACUAUGGAGAAGCGAUGGUGAGCCCAGAUUCUGCAAAAUGGCUUGAAGCCAUGAAAUCUGAGAUGGGAUCCAUGUAUGAGAACAAAGUAUGGACUUUGGUUGACUUGCCCAAUGAUUGGCAAGCAAUUGAGAAUAAAUGGAUCUUUAAGAAGAAGACUGACGCUGACGGUAAUGUUACUGUCUACAAAGCUCAACUUGUUGCAAAAGGUUUUCGACAAGUUCAAGGGAUUGACUACGAUGAGACUUUCUCACCCGUAGUGAUGCUUAUGACUAUGAAAUUUGGCAGAUGGAUGUCAAAACUGCAUUCCUGAAUGGUUUUCUGGAGGAAGAGUUGUAUAUGAUGCAACCAGAAGGUUUUGUUGAUCCAAAGGGAGCUAACAAAGUGUGCAAGCUCCAGCGAUCCAUUUAUGGACUGGUGCAAGCCUCUCGGAGUUGGAAUAAACGCUUUGAUAGUGUGAUCAAAGCAUUUGGUUUUAUACAGACUUUUGGAGAAGCCUGUAUUUACAAGAAAGUGAGUGGGAGCACUACAACAUUUCUAAUAAGUAUAUGUGAAUGACAUAUUGUUGAUCGGAAAUAAUGUAGAAUUAUUCUGCAAAGCAUAAAGGAGUGUUUGAAAGGAGUUUUUCAAAGAAAGACCUCGGUGAAGAUGCUUACAUAUUAAGCAUCAAGAUCUAUAGAGAUAGAUCAAGACGCUUUAUAAGUUUUUUCAAUGAGUACAUCCCUUGACAAGAUUUUGAAGUAGUUCAAAAUGGAAAAGUCAAAGAAAGAGUUCUUGCCUAUGUUACAAGGUGUGAAAUUGAGUAAGACUCAAAGCCCGACCAUGGCAGAAGAUAGAAAGAGAAUGAAAGUCAUUCCCUAUGCCUUAGCCAUAGGUUCUAUAAGGCCUUGUACAAUGGGAGGUGCUUAGGAGAGGUGCUUAGAGAAAUAAACCAGACUUUUCUUAAGCACCGGUGCUUAUUUAAACAGGAUAGACGCUUAACUAAGCGUCUCUCCUAUAGAAAUAGGCACCGGUGCUUUAGAAAAACCGGGUUUAUUUUUCUAAGCAUCUCUCUAAGCACCUCCCAUUGUACAAGGCCUAAAGUAUGCCAUGCUGUGUACCAGAUCUAUUGUAUACCCUACACUGUGUUUUGCAAGGGAGUACAAUAGUGAUCUAGGAGUAGAUCACUGGACAGCGGUCAAAAUUAUCCUUAGUGGAAUAAGAAUAUGUUUCUCGAUUAUGGAGGUGACAAAAGGUUCGUCGUAAAGAGUUACGUCGAUGCAAGUUUCGACACGGAUCUGGAUGACUCUAAAUCUCGAUCUAGAUACAUAUUGAAAGUGGGAGCAAUUAGCUAGAGUAGCUCCGUGCAGAGCAUUGUUGACAUAGAAAUUUGCAAAAUACAUACGGAUCUGAAUGUGGCAGACCCGUUGACUAAAUUUCUCUCACAAGCAAAACAUGGUCACACCUUAAUACUCUUUGGGUGUUAAUCACAUAGCGAUGUGAACUAGAUUAUUGACUCUAGUAAAACCCUUUGGGUGUUGGUCACAUGGCGAUGUGAACUAUGGGUGUUAAUCACAUGAUGAUGUGAACUAUUGAUGUUAAUCACAUGGUGAUGUGAUCUAGAUUAUUGACUCUAGUGCAAGUGGGAGACUGAAGGAAAUAUGCCCUAGAGGCAAUAAUAAAGUUAUUAUUUAUUUCCUUAUUCUCAUGAUAAAUGUUUAUUAUUCAUGCUAGAAUUGUAUUAACCGGAAACAUAAUACAUGUGUGAAUACAUAGACAAACAGAGUGUCACUAGUAUGCCUCUACUUGACUAGCUCGUUAAUCAAAGAUGGUUAUGUUUCCUGACCAUAGACACGAGUUGUCAUUUGAUUAGUGGGAUCACAUCAUUAGGAGAAUGAUGUGGUUGACUUGACCCAUUCCGUUAGCUUAGCACUUGAUCGUUUAGUAUGUUGCUAUUGCUUUCUUCAUGACUUAUACAUGUUACUAUGACUAUGAGAUUAUGCAACUCCCGUUUGCCGGAGGAACACUUUGGGUGCUUCCAAAUGUCACAACGUAACUGGGUGAUUAUAAAGGAGCAUUAAGGUGUCUCCGAAGGUACAUUUUGGGUUGGCAUAUUUCGAGAUUAGGAUUUGUCACUCCGAUUGUCGGAGAGGUAUCUCUGGGCCCUCUCGGUAAUACACAUCACCUAAGCCUUGCAAGCACUGCAACUAAUAAGUUGGUUGCGAGAUGAUGUAUUACGGAACGAGUAAAGAGACUUGCCGGUAACGGGAUUGAACAAGGUAUUGAGAUACCGACGAUCGAAUCUCGGACAAGUAACAUACCGAUGACAAAGGGAACAAUGUAUGUUGUUAUGCGGUCUGACCGAUAAAGAUCUUCGUAGAAUAUGUGGGAGCCAAUAUGAGCAUCCAGGUUCCGCUAUUGGUUAUUGACCGGAGACAUGUCUCGGUCGUGUCUACAUUGUUCUCGAACCCGUAGGGUCCGCACGCUUAAGGUUACGAUGACAGUUUCAUUAUGAGUUUAUAUAUUUUGAUGUACCAAAGGUUGUUCGGAGUCCCGGAUGUGAUCACGGACAAGACGAGGAGUCUCGAAAUGGUCGAGACAUAAAGAUUGAUAUAUUGGACGGCUAUAUUCGGACACCGGAAGUGUUCCGGAAGAGUUUUGGAUAAAACCGGAGUACCAUGGGNNNNNNNNNNNNNNNNNNNNNNNNNNNNNNNNNNNNNNNNNNNNNNNNNNNNNNNNNNNNNNNNNNNNNNNNNNNNNNNNNNNNNNNNNNNNNNNNNNNNNNNNNNNNNNNNNNNNNNNNNNNNNNNNNNNNNNNNNNNNNNNNNNNNNNNNNNNNNNNNNNNNNNNNNNNNNNNNNNNGGGGGUUAAUGGGCCUCAUGGGCCCAAAGUGGAGAAGAGGAGGGGCGGCUAGGGCAGGCUGCGCGCCCCCUCCCCCUCUAGUCCGAAUUGGACAAGGAGGGGGGCGGCGCCCCCCCUUUCCUUCCUCUCCUCUCUCCCUUCCUUCCCCCUCUCCUAGUUGGACAAGGAAAAGGAGGGAGUCCUACUCCCGGUAGGAGUAGGACUCCUCCCUGGCGUGCCUCCUCCUGGCCGGCCGCCCCUCCCCUCCACUCCUUUAUAUAGGGGGUGGGGGGCACCCCAUAGAUACACAUGUUGAUCUUCGUGAUCGUUCUCUUAGCCGUGUGCGGUGCCCCCCUCCACCAUAGUCCUCGAUAAUAUUGUAGCGGUGCUUAGGCGAAGCUCUGCGACGGUAGAACAUCAAGAUCGUGACCACGCCGUCAUGCUGAUGGAACUCAUCCCCGACACUUUGCUGGAUCGGAGUCCAGGGAUCGUCAUUGAGCUGAACGUGUGCUCGAACUCGGAGGUGCCGUAGUUUCGGUCGGAUCGGGAAGACGUACGACUACUUCCUCUAUGUUGCGUCAACGCUUCCGUAGCCGGUCUACGAGGGUACGUAGACAACACUCUCCCCUCUCGUUGCUAUGCAUCACCAUGAUCUUGCGUGUGCGUAGGAAAUUUUUUGAAAUUACUACGUUCCCCAACACCGCCGACAUCCGGAAGCACGCGAGGCGAGCAGCCGGCGGACCCGCUGGUGCCGCCGACUGAAGACGAGGUCGCAGCGGGGCUGAUUCUUCAAGUUGGUGCGCUGACGUGCCGCCGUCUUGUGAUGGUAGCCUCGGCGCCGCCCCCUCUAGAAGCCGGCGCCGCGAGCUCCGCGACCCCGGACACCGAGGCGACGAGCACCGCGCCCGCUGGGUGGUGCGGGUAGGCGGGACAGGCACGCUGAACUAGGCGCUCCUGGACAUCCAGGCAAAGAUCCGAGCCGAGGGCGACGCCCUCCAAAUUUGCACCAAGGCGCAUCUGGCGUCGCGGGCGGCCAUCGGAGUAUGUUUUCUCCUUCUUUGUUAUUGUUUCUUAUCUUCUUCGUGGGGGCGCGCCAGCGCACCCACUGGGUAUAGUCCCCGAGAUUCGGGCCGGCUGCUGAGCAGGCGGCUCGAAACUCUAAUUGGUGAGUUCCGAGUACUAACUUUUGUCUGAAAUCCUUCUUACAGGACUACCACAAUCUUCGUGCGGCCGCCUUCAACCGCAACGUUGAAGAACUGGCCAAACGGUCCGCUGACUUGUCGGACAGCCGGAGUAAGCUUUCUUCUUUUUCUGCGGGGGCGCGCUGGCGCACCCGCGGGCUGUAGUCCCUGAGAUUCAGGACGACUGCUGAGCAGUCGGGCCGGAUCUUCCCGGCGACCUUCUUCCUUGUUGUGGCUAACGCCCUUUUUCUCUUUUUCUUUUUUCCUUCUUCUUCAGGGGCCAACGCCAUCUUGCAGCAGCAGCUGGGCGAGGCCAACACCGCGCUGCACACCAAGGGGGAGGAGUACAACAAGCUCACCGCAGAGCGCGAUCUGCUGGUCGCGCGACUGGCAGAGCAGGAGGAGCUGCUCAAGAAGACCAAGAAGGAGGCGGAAGAAAAGGAGGCCGCCCUCCUUGCUGAGUUCGCGAUCAAGCGCUCCUCCUGGACCGACAAGGAGGCGAUGCUGACCUCCUGCUUCCAUGAGGUCGAGGACCUUGUUCAUGGUGAGUUUCCCCUUGUUUCCCUUAUUUGAGUUGUCGGCUGUUGGUCGAGCUGACUUCUGGUCGUUGACUUCUUUCCUUUGUUCUUCUGUCUUGGCAGACUUCUUCCCUGGCCAUUCGCAGGCUGCCAACCAGGCCACCGAGGCUGAUUGCGAAGGGCGGAGGGCAGAUGGCGCGGUGAUUGCCAUCGAUGCCCCCCGAACCCUCGACGAGCAGAUUCUGAGCAUCGAGGAUCGCCUUCGGCCGGCCCACCGGAUGUUGCGCCAGCUUCAGCGUGUCGGCGCCCAGGCGAUCGCCACCUUGUGGCCGGAUAUGCAGGCUCCGUGCACUCCCAGUCGGACUACCGACUGGUUGGAGGUCGCAGCUGGCCGUCUCGAGGCUUGGAAGGGUUCCUCGGCCCGGGCCGGAGCGCGUCGGGCCUUGGAGUUCGUGAAGGCGUGGUAUCUUGGGCUGGACCUGGACCGGCUAGCCACGUUCCGGCUAGAGGCCCAGGCGGAGUUGGCAGCCGUGGAAGAUGCCCUCGUCCAGCGCGCAGCGUCGAUCGCCGAGUAUACUGACACCAGCAUCUUCAUCCCAGAGCAGGCUGAAAGCGGUGAAGAGGCGCCGCCGGAGUGGUUUGGGAUGAAUCCAGACGACGGCGAGGACUCGGCGGAGGUGGUCGGCUCCAGUAGCGAAGAGGAAGGCAAGGCGGAGGAGGGAGGCGAAGGGGAAGCGCCAGAAGGUGGAGCAGACGGCCAACCUCAGCUCGACCGCGCCUCCAGCAACGACCUGCGCUCGGCCGAGCCGGCUACCGCCGGAGGGGAUCAAGCCGAGACCGCCCAGCCGGCCGCUCCAACGACUGGCACCGCCGACUCCUCCGACCCUCCGAACCCGUCUGCCACCUCCUAGGCUGCCGUUUAUCCUUGUUUCUAGUUGCUUAAUAGUCUCAAAGAACUUGUUAAUUUGCACAAUUCCACCCGCGGGGUGUAUUUUGAACUUCUAUCCGAAGAUCCGGCCAAAGGCCUUUGCUAUGUAAAUAUUUCUCCAAGUCCUAUCUCUUCUUGCUUAUUGCUCCUUUGGCUUUGUAUUUUGCCGCCUUCCCUUGGUUGCCGUCUUGCCGCCGGACAGCCGCUCUACGGGCUGCUGCCGGGUCAAGUACUUGGCUACUUUGGGAAGGCAAGUACUCAGCCGUUCAGAGUUCUUUAGCAAGUUGAAUAGAAGACGGCGAGCUGGCUGCUCAAGAGUUGGUUGUAAAAGGCUGGAAGGCGGCUAGAACUAUGUACAUGCUUUGAGUCCCUAGCCAUUUUUCAUGCGGGCACUCAUUCUACCUUACUCCUGCCCACCAGAUAGUCGCUCUGCGAGCUGCGGCUUCUGACAGGAGAUGGCUUAAGUGCCACACACUACUUGUCCGGCUGCAGGGAGCACUUCAUAGCACAAGGCGGCAAGUCCCCGGGCCAACUAGUCGAACUGCGUCAACUAUAAAAUCUUCAGAGGAGAUUGGCAUUCCAUGGCCGCUCCGAGUCUUUGCCAGAGUCAUCCCUCUUGCGUGCUCGGGGCUUCUGACCAUCGAUCAGGUAGUAGGAGUCGUUGCCCAACACUUUGCUAAUAAUAAAAGGGCCUUCCCAAGGGGCUGAAAGCUUGUGCUGGCUGGCUGUUCGCUGGAUCAGCCGGAGCACAAGGUCUCCUUCUUGGAAAGAUCUCGGCUUGACCUUCCGGUUGAAGUAUCGGCGCAGGCUCUGCUGGUAGAUGCUGGGGCGGCUGAGUGCUAACAGCUGGCCCUCUUCCAGCAGAUCGAUGCCGUCUUGGCGUGCUUCUUCUGCUUCCGCCUCGGUGUACAUGGUGACUCGUGGGGAGUCGAACUCUAUGUCUGUUGGGAUGACGGCUUCGGCACCGUAGACGAGGAAGAAAGGCGUGAAGCUGGUUGACUUGUUUGGAGUUGUGCGCAGACUCCGGAGGACAGCUGGCAACUCGUCAAGCCAACAGCCGGCCGAACAUUCUCGAGGCUCGACCAGUCGAGGCUUGAUGCCGGACAGGAUCAGGCCGUUUGCUCGCUCCACCUGACUGUUUGACUGUGGAUGGGCAACAGACGCUAAGUCCAGUCGGAUGCCCUGUGUUGCGCAGAAACAAGCCAAGGCGCCUUGGGCAAAGUUUGUGCCAUUAUUGGUGAUGAUGUUGUGUGGUAUGCCGUACCGAAUUGUGAUGUCGGAGAUGAAAGUCACGGCAGUCGGACCAUUCAGCUUCUUGAUCGGCUUUGCUUCUAUCCACUUGGUGAACUUGUCCACCGCGACAAGUAAGUGAGUCAGGCUGCCUCGUGCCGUCUUGAAUGGUCCUACCAUGUCCAGGCCCCACACAGCAAAGGCCCAGGUAAUGGGAAUGGUCUUGAGUGCAGAAGCUGGCUGAUGUGGCUUGGAGCGGAACUUCUGGCACCCUUUGCAUUUUUGGACCAACUCUUUGGCGUCUUCUAAAGCAGUUGGCCAGAAGAAACCAUGGCGGAAUGCUUUGGCGACGAGUGCUCUUGAAGCCGCGUGGUGGCCACACUCGCCUUGAUGGAUGUCUUUGAGUAUCGCUUGGCCUUGCUCAGGCACCACACAGCGCUGGUAGACGCCAGUGACACUGCUCCUUACAAGCUCUCUGUUGACUAUGGUGUAGGCCGCUGCUCGGCGUUGCACUUGCCGAGCUAGGAUCUCAUCAGUUGGCAGCUCUUUGCUCACCAGAAACUUGUGGAUGGGCUGGGCCCAUGAGGGUGCUGUGAUUUCUUCGACUAUUAGAACUGCGACUUGGACGAGGGCGGCCGGGCCGGGAGGCUACGGGUUGGAGUCGGUAGCCGCUAGCUGGAUUGAUGAAGUCACCGGGCCGAUUGGUGCAGUCCCAGGACCGAGUUUUGAAGUCCCCGGGCCGGGUUCAGAAGUCCCCGAGCCGGCUUCGACUGUCGUGGGCCCGGAGCCGCCUGUCAGAAUUCUCGUGCCGUCUGCUGUGGCACUUGAGUCGGAUCCGACUGCUUCAGGAGGAGCCGGCACAAAGAUAGUCUGAUUCUUGUGAAGGCUUGACAGACGGCUUGAGGAGGCGCUGAAGGGCGACGCCAGACGGUAUUGUCUGACGGGUAGAGCCGAUUCGUGCCAAGGCAUCAGCUUGCUCGUUGUCGUUUCUUGGCACGUGGAGGAAUUCGCACACCUCAAAAUAUCCACUCAGUUGCUGCACGAGGAAGCGGUAGCUCGCCAUAUUUGCAUCUUUGGCGUCCCAGUCGCCGGACGACUGCUGGACAACCAAGUCGGAGUCUCCAUAGCUCAGGAUCCGACAAAUGCCGAGUUCUUUGGCAAGCCAGAGCCCGUGGAUGAGUGCUUCGUAUUCGGCGACAUUGUUGGAGGCAGCGAAAUGGAUCUGCAACACAUAUUUGAGCUUGUCGCCUUUGGCAGAGGUGAGGACGAUGCCGGCUCCCAAGCCGGUGCACAUCUUGGAGCCAUCAAAAUGCAUCCGCCAAUGGGUGGAGUCGGGCGCCGGUGGCAGGUACUGGGUCUCGGCCCAGUCGACGAGGAAGUCGGCCAGCGCUUGUGACUUGAUGGCGGUGCGAGGCUGGUAGUAGAUGGUGUAGGGGGGAAACUCUAUGGCCCAUUUGGCCACUCGGUCUGAAGCAUCCCGGCUUCCGAUGAUCUCGGCCAGCGGGGCUGUGCAGACCAUAGUGAUUGGAUGUUCUUGAAAGUAAGGCUUCAGUUUCUUGGCGGCGAAGUGCACGCCGUAGCACAUCUUCUGGUAGUGGGGGUAGUUUUGCUUGGAGGUCGACAACACCUCACUCAAAUAAUAUACCGGCCUCUGGACUGGUAAUGCCCUGCCUUCCUCCUUGCACUCUACCAUGAUGACUGUGCUGACUACUCGGCUGGUGGCGGCGAUGUAUAGGAGCAUGGGCUCUUUAGGAGUCGGAGCCGCCAAGGCAGGUGGAGUAUUCAACAUCUUUUUAAGCUGGAGGAAAGCUUCGUCCGCCUUGUCGUUCCACUCAAAAAAGGUGGUUUUCUUCAUGAGUUGGUACAGGGGAAGGGCCUUCUCUCCCAGCCGACUGAUGAAGCGGCUGACAGAAGCCAAACAGCCAGUGAACUUCUGCACAUCCAGCAGUCGGGUGGGUACUUCCAUCCUCUCAAUGGCCUUGAUUUUCACGGGGUUGCACUCUAUGCCGCGUUCGGAGUCCAGAAAACCAAGAAGCUGGCCGGCUGGUACUCCGAAGACGCAUUUCUCCGGGUUGAGCUUGAUCUGGAAUCGACGCAGGUUCUCAAAGGUCUCCUUGAGGUCUUGUAGCAGCGUUCCAUGCUUUUCCGUCUUCACUACCACAUCAUCCAAGUAAACGUGGGCGUUUCUGCCGAGUUGCUUGAGAAGGCACUUCUGCAUGCAACGCUGAAAGGUGGCGCCGGCAUUCCUCAAGCCGAACGUCAUGGUCAGAUAGCAGAAGGCCCCAAACAGCGUGAUGAAGGCGGUCUUCAGCCUGUCGGCCGGGUUCAACUUGAUCUGGUGGUAUCCUGAAUAUGCAUCUAAGAGGCUCAACAGCUCGCAUCCGGCUGUGGAGUCUAUCACUUGAUCGAUCCUUGGCAGAGCGAACGGGUCUUUGGGGCAUGCUUUGUUGAGGCUAGUGUAGUCAAUACACAUUCGCCACUGCUUAUUCUUCUUCAGCACUAAGACCGGGUUGGCUAGCCACUCUGGAAAGAAUACUUCCAUAAUGAAGCCGGCAGCUAGAAGCUGGGCUAUCUCUUCUCCAACAACUCUUCUCUUCUCUUCUGACAGGCGGCGCAAGGGCUGCCUGACUGGCUUGACAUCAGAUCGGACAUGUAACUUGUGCUCGGCGAAUCCCGUCGGAACACCUGGCAUGUCUUUGGGGGACCAUGAGAAGAUGUCCCGAUUCUCACGGAGGAAGUCGACGAGCUCGCUUUCCUAUUUGUUGUCGAGGUUUGCACCUACGACAGCAUACCUCUCCGGGUGCUCCGGGUCCAAGGGUAUUUUCUUCGUCUCUUUGGCCGGCUUGAACGAGCCCUCGGCUUCCGACUCCUUGGGGUUGGGCGACAUCUCCGGCUACUUGCCUGCCAUUGCCACAACCCGGUCUAGGACCUGCUUCUCAGCCGCUAUCACGAGGGACUCGGCCAGCCGACUGCUCUCGGCCGCACAGGCAGAAGACUUCUUGUAGUCGCCGGCUAUGGUCAGAAUCCCCUUGGAACUGUGCAUCUUCAUAUUGAGGUAGGCGUAGUGGGGGACAGCCAUGAACUUGGCCAAGGCAGGUCGGCCAAGUAACGCAUGGUAUGGGCUUUCAAGGUCCACCACCUCAAACCAAACUGACUCUCGGCGGAAGUGAUCUUUGUCUCCGAAGAGGACAUCUAUUAGGAUCUUGCCGAUUGGUGAGCAGGAAAGGCCGGGAACAAUGCCACGGAAAACAGUCCGGCUACUCUGAAGCUGUCUUUGCUUGAUUCCUAACUUCUCCAUGGUGUCCUUGUACAGGAUGUUGAUGCUGCUGCCGCCGUCUAUCAGAACUCGGGAGAAACGAGCAGCUCUCCUGUCCGUGGCAAAGGUGGCACCCAAAACCAAGGCAUAAGAGCCGGGAUUGGGCAUCACCUCGGGGUGGUCAGCUCUGCUCCAGCUGAUGGGCUUCUCAGACCAAUGCAUGAACUCUGGCAUCUCUGAUGCUACCGCGUUGACUUCUUGUUGCUGCAGUCGCCUGCUGCGCUUGUCAUCAGCCACGCUAGUGAACACGACGUAGGCUCCGUGCUCUUCUGGAUACUCGUCUUUCACGGCUCCGACUGGCCUGACAGCCGGCUGCUGGGGUGGGGGAGGCGGCUGCCCAGCUGGCGGAGGAGGCGCAAGGCCGUCUCCCUUGGAGAUCUUGGAGAGCCAGUGACACUUCCGUGUUGUGUGGUUGGACGGCUUGGCUCCGCUAUGGAAUUUGCAGGGUGCAUCCAGAGUCUGCUCGUAUGAGAAGGCCGGCAACCAGUUGGACUUGCCGCCCUUCUGGCGCUUGGGCGAUGGCUGUCGAUCUUCGACUGUCGCCACCUAUCGGCUUGUGGAAGCCAGCUGCGGGGCCUUGCGCUUGUGGUCAUUCUGCUGCUGACGCCGACUGGUGUCGCCAACCGGGGUUCGGGGAGCCGGCGGUGCCGUCUUGCCCGAUGCGUCGACUCAGAUUUCUGCCUUCAUGGAGGAGUCGGCCAUAGCUAUUUGUCUGUUAUGAUCAGCAGCUCGUCGAGGGUCGCCGGCUCGUCGUAGAGGAGUCGAUGCUUGAGGAGGGUGCCCUCUCGGCACCCGGCGGUGAAGUAUUCGAUGGCCUGCACUUCGUGCACGCCCUCGCAAGAGUUGCGAAGCUCGGCCCAACGCGUGAGGUAGUCUCGAGUUGACUCGUCGGGGCCUUGCAUGCACAAGGAAAGCUGGCGAUGUUUGGGAGGUCGCUUGUACGUGCUGGUGAAGUUAUGGACAAAGGCGUCGGUGAAGUCGACCCAACUGUUGAUGAUGCGGGGCUUCAAGUUGUUCUACCACGUCCGGGUCGUGCCCUGGAGCAUGAGUGGAACAUACUUUACGGCAACGCGCUUGUUGCCAGUCGCUAUGUUGACGGCCAUGGAGUAGUCAAUCAGCCAGUCUUCCGACUUCACGGAGCCGGUGUACUUGGGUGUGUCUCUUGGGAGCGUGAACCCUUUGGGGAAGGGCUCGUCUCGAAUGCGGGGGCCAAAACACGGCGGCCCCAACUCGUCUUCUUCUUCUUCCACCGCCAGGGACAGUUGGAGUCGGUCGAUCCGGUGGCGGGCGUCAUUCCCUCCGACUCCAUCUCGGCGGCCAAGUCGGUCGCCAAGUGUCGGGUGGUCGAUAGGCGGCGGGGAGACACGCCUUUCCCUGCGGGGGGAGGAGGCGGGCUGUCAUCCCGUCGUUCUACUGCUCUCGGGCGGCCGUCUUAGUCUCGCUCUAUGGUGACGCGAGCCCGAUUGCAGCUGGCAGCCGGCUCCUUGUCUCUUCUCCUACGGGCGCCGCCAGUCGACGUCCGAGAUGUCGCGCCUUGAUCGAGGAGCCGCUGGACGCGCUCUGCCAUCAGGCGACGUUCCUCGCCCUCGAACUGGUCCAGCUCUUCUGUUGCUGCCUGGGCAGCCCGGAUGUUCUCCGCAGGCGUGUCGUAGACGGGGCGAUCUGCCCCGAACAGGUUGGCGAUGGCCACGCCGCGCCGCUGGACCGUGCCAAGGUGGCUGGGCCCAGUCGGAGCCAGCGUGUCGCCCACAGCGCGGUCCAUCUCGCGCUGAUAGGCCUCAGAGAGGCGUCUCAUGCUAGCGAGCUUCCUGGCGCCUUCGACGAGUUGGAGGCAGCAUGCCUCCAGCGUCUCGGUGUCGGCGUCUUCUGGGAUAGGCACCGUCAUGUCUUGCAGAGCUACGUCUAACGGGUCAUGAGCGCCUCCGCCGGAGGGCUCGCCAUGACCAAUGACCAGCACCUCCAUGAAGGUACUUCCGCCUCUCUCCGCGCGAGGGAGCGGCUCGUUGUAGACCACCACGUUGGAGGGAAACGCGUCGAGCGACGCGGUGUCAGAAUCUACCAACAUCGGGUCGGUGGAGCCUACGGACUCCAAGUCCCCAGCUGGCUCAUUGGCGACCUGGAGUUGGUCGAGGAGGCUCGCGAGGAGGCUCUCGGGGCCGCCUGUGCCCGCGUCGGAUGCGGGCUCGUCGGAGAGGUGAACCUCACUGACGAGAUAAGUGAGGCGAUUGGCCGCGUAGGCGAUUUCGGUGCCAUGCAGCAGGUCAGCGCAGACUCCGUCUGGCGUGCCGGGCUGGCUGCGCUCGCCAGGGAGGAAAAGGGUUCCCGUUCAGAACAGAUCUCCGGACGACGGUGCACCUCACCCCAUGGUGGGCGCCAAAUGUCGGGGGUUGGGUGCGACAUAUGCCAAAGGAUGGCUUAUCAUGGUGGGAGCGAGUAGAACGUCGCCGGUGCCUGGAAGCGGGAUAAGGCAUAGACACGAACCUCGGCGUACUUUACCCAGGUUCGGGGCUCUCCUAGGAGAUAACACCCCUAGUCCUGCUCUGCGGGGUCUCCGCAUGAUCACUAAGUCAAAGUGAAUACAAGGUUGCUCCUAGAGCUGUGUUGCUGGAGGUAGGAGAAGGCAAGGCUAGCUCUCUCCUUCCUAUAUGAUCUGGUCUACUGCUAAUGGAUACGAACCCUUGGCAUGGGUGCCCUGGGGGGUUUAUAUAGGCCUACCCCCCAGGGGUACAAUGGUAAUCCGACUGGGCGCAGGGCCCAGCCGUCUGUCUCUUCGGUCACCGGCUUCUUCGCCGACUGCUAGGGCCCGCCGACUGGUCUAGUACGGAGCCGACAGGCCGCGUCCGCUGCUGGCGGGUCAUGUCGGCUGCUGGUAACUGUAGCCGUGCUUCUAAUGACGCGGGCUUGGUCAUGGGGUCGUGGCUACAGCUCCGCCGCCUGGCGGGCAAUUACUGUAGCCACUCCCUGUCUCGUCUGGUUGAUGGCACAUGGGACCCGCGGGAGGGGUUGGCCGACUCCUGGGGGCCGACUCCCAUCGCGUCCGACUGGAGGCGCGCUUGCCGUCUUCAGGACUCUCGCUGACUGGUGGGGGCCCAUCGUCCUUGGGCCGUACAGACAGGUCGUCGUGGGUGCAGGACUCCGCCCGCUAGUGCUGAUGUCAGGGAGGGCAUGGCAACAGUGCCGUGCCGGACGGAGAUCUCCGUGGGUACAGCACACUGUGGCCAUGCCAGCCUCUGGAAAGUGGAGGGAGUGGGCGUUACUGCAGCCACUCCCUGUCUCAUCCCCUUGAUGAGGGCAUGGGGUUGUUGGCAUCGCGGGCCGACUCCCCAUGGUCGGCUUCGCUGGAAGUCGCCAGAUAGGAGUCGGUCUGUCCUGAGGCCGUCUCCAGGACUCGGCCGCGGGUGGGCAGUCGGCUGUUCCCACAGCCGGCUCCCAGAAGGCGGCUCCUUGUCUUGGAGUCUAGAGGGGCGCAGUCGGCCCCGAUGUCUUGAAAGGUUUUGGGGCUCGGGUUAGCCUACCCGUGGCCCAUUACUCCUACAGAAGACAACAUAAUGGGUUAUGUUUUCUUAUAUCUGAGAUAAAGUAUAUUGUCAUGGAUCAUCCAACAUGUUGAGCUUGUCUUUCCCCCUCAUGCUAGCCAAAUUCUUUGCACCAAGCAGAGAUACUACUUGUGCUUCCAAAUUCCCUUAAACCCAGUUUCGCCAUGAGAGUCCACCAUAUCUACCUAUGGGUUGAGUAAGAUCCUUCAAGUAAGUUGUCAUUGGUGCAAGCAAUACAAAUUGCUCUCUAAAUAUGUAUGAUUGACUAGUGUGGAGGAAACGAACUUUAUACGAUAUUGUGAUGUGGAAGAAAUAAAAGCGACGGACUGCAUAAUAAAGGUUCAUAUCACAAGUGGCAAUAUAAAGUGAUGUUCUUUCGCAUUAAGAUUUUGUGCAUUCAACCAUAAAAGCGCAUGGCAACCUCUGCUUCCCUCUGCGAAGGGCCUAUCUUUUAUUAUUAUCUUCUACCACUAGUGCAGAACCGGGCUAUAGCACCGGUUCGUAAGGGCCUUUAGUGCCGGUUCUGUAACCGGCACUAAAGGGUUGGCACUAAAGGCCCCCCCUUUAGUACCGGUUCAGCACGAACCGGCGCUAAAGUGCCACCACGUGGCACGAGCCAGGCCACGGGUGCGGUAGAUCAUUAGUACCAGUUGGUAACACCAACCGAUACUAAAUGUUUGUGGGUUUUGGUUUUAUUUUUUAUUUUUCCUUCAAAUUUGUGUUUUCAAUUUAAUUUAGUAUUGUUUUACAUUAUAAUGAGUUGUUAAAUCAUUAGGUGAAAGUACUACAGAAUAGUUUCGACUGGAUGCAGCUAGUUAAUAAGCUAAGUGAUCAAGUAUAUGCCAUAUCCAUAUUAUAUAUACUUGAUCACCUAAAGUGAUCAAGUAAUAUGGAUAUGGCAUAUAUUUGAUCACUUAGCUAGCUAGCUAUCUAGGAUCCACAUGCGUGCACUAACACUAGCUUAAAGAAGAAACAUUCACUUAUACCAGAAGCAAAGAUAUCAUCGCGAGUUCAACAUGGUCAUGAUAUUAUAAUUAAGCGCGUUCAUAUAACACCACAAAAGCAAAUCACUCUUAGAUUAAGUUCAGGACGAAGAACGACAUGAGAGGAAGUACUAAGAGCAUGAACUAGCUAAAUCACCCCUGCUGCUCCCUCUCAGGUAAAAUAGCAUAGAACAUGUAUAGCUCUCCUGAUUCAUCAUACUGGAGCAUGCAGAUGAACCUGUCACCUAUGCGUGGCCUGCGCUUCUCAUUGCUGCCCCCUAGUACUUCUCUGGGAUCGUUAACAAUUUUGCUCUAAUCUUUCACUAUUAAGCAAUCAUCGCUUUCAAAAAUCCUGAAUUCACUCGUGUUCCAUGUAGGAUAUCUUGGCCGUAAGCUAACCAUUGACAUGAGACCUUUAGUCUCGAUCCACUGAGGCACAACUUUCAUCGGGAGUCCAUGUUAAAGAACAUCAUAUAGUAAUUAAUAUACUUAGCAAUGAAAGUUUAGCUUUAAAAAUAAUGUAUGCAAAAGAUGUAAGGACAAAUAGUAAAAAUCUUACCAUCUUUCCAUUAUAGAUGUGACCGUAGUUCAAUACGAUCACUAUUGGUCGCACGUUUUGAGUACUAACAUUUCUAAGUGCAGGAAGAACAUUUGUCUUGACAGUAUGAAGAUCCUCAAGCCAUGAAACAUAAUGACUUAUCUCCUCACAGUUUAGUUCAGCCCCGGGGCAGUAGUAGGUCCUGUCCACCAAGCGCCGGACAUGUUUGGUUGAACCGAAAUAAGCUGACAAUACAAAUUAGUUGUCAACUAUUUUUGAAUAAACAAUAUCAAAGACAUAAACAUAUGCAUGCAUGGUUGAGAAAAACUCACAUAAUGGUAGAACUGGAGGCGUUUGCACAUCGACCCAGAUGUCUCUAUUACCUUCAAUAUCAUCUUCCGGACGAAUAUCAUAGGUGAUAACCAUAUCAGGCUCAAAUGCAUAAGCCUUGCAUAGUGCUUGCCAAGUUUUGCAUUCAAAAUGGGUGUAUGUGUCUCCAUUGUAUAAUUUAACGUUGAAAGUAUACCCAUGCUCGGUCUUCAAGUAAACUCUCUUUACCUCCAUAUCAUCUAUAGCACUAAAACUUAUCUUAUCCAAGACAAAAAUUCUUGCAUGGCAGGGGAUGCGCUAGUAGAAUAAUGAAAAUUUAAAAUUAUAAGUUGAAGCAAAUGAAGCAUAAGUCAUGCUUUAAAAUUAUAAUUUAAAAUUAUAAGUUUUGCAUUCAAAAAAUAAUUGCCGUUGUGACUUACUGUAUCCACUUCGAAUGUCUCAUCCAGCUUGAUGCUAAAGCGCCUAUCAUCAACAAGGAAAUUUCUGUCGCACAGGCCGCGCUGGUCUUCACAGUGUUCGCACAUAAUGAAAUCUUUUUCGUCGUCAGAUGACAUUUCCUAUGUUCAUAUAGGUGAAACAUUAAACACUUAUUACUAUCUAACAUUAAUUAAUAUCUAGCUAAUUCAAAUAUAUAUUCAUCUAACAUUUGACAUUAAUAUAUCUAACUAUAUUCAUCUCUAACACAAUUGACAUUAAUAUAUAUUUAACUUUUCUAUCUAAUUCAUCUAACAUUCGACAUUAAUCUAACAUUUAUAUAAACUAAAUAUAUAUAUAUAUAUAUAAUUAAAUAAACAGAAAAACUCAUUAACAAAUAAUAUUUUAAUUAGAUCAUCAAUUCUCUGAUACUUAAAUUUUCUUACUAAAAAUAAAGUAGUUCGAUUAUUUUCUCACUAAAAAUAAAAUAGUUAUAUUAAUUAUUCAACUAGUUCAAAUCUCAUAUACUUAAUUAAUAUCUAGCUAUAUUCAUCUCUAACAAUUGACUUUUCUAAAAAACAGAUAACAGACGGCGGCGGCAAGUAAAAAAAUGUGUAUGUGUGUGNNNNNNNNNNNNNNNNNNNNNNNNNNNNNNNNNNNNNNNNNNNNNNNNNNNNNNNNNNNNNNNNNNNNNNNNNNNNNNNNNNNNNNNNNNNNNNNNNNNNNNNNNNNNNNNNNNNNNNNNNNNNNNNNNNNNNNNNNNNNNNNNNNNNNNNNNNNNNNNNNNNNNNNNNNNNNNNNNNNNNNNNNNNNNNNNNNNNNNNNNNNNNNNNNNNNNNNNNNNNNNNNNNNNNNNNNNNNNNNNNNNNNNNNNNNNNNNNNNNNNNNNNNNNNNNNNNNNNNNNNNNNNNNNNNNNNNNNNNNNNNNNNNNNNNNNNNNNNNNNNNNNNNNNNNNNNNNNNNNNNNNNNNNNNNNNNNNNNNNNNNNNNNNNNNNNNNNNNNNNNNNNNNNNNNNNNNNNNNNNNNNNNNNNNNNNNNNNNNNNNNNNNNNNNNNNNNNNNNNNNNNNNNNNNNNNNNNNNNNNNNNNNNNNNNNNNNNNNNNNNNNNNNNNNNNNNNNNNNNNNNNNNNNNNNNNNNNNNNNNNNNNNNNNNNNNNNNNNNNNNNNNNNNNNNNNNNNNNNNNNNNNNNNNNNNNNNNNNNNNNNNNNNNNNNNNNNNNNNNNNNNNNNNNNNUGUCACACCCUAGCUAGUCAUGCAUUAGAGUGUUGCAUCAUGUUUACUCUUUCAUCAGAAACUUGAAAUGGGGAUGACAGAACCCCCAGUCCCCUCUGAAACCAACUAGGGUUUACUAAAAUAAUUUUUCAAUGAACCUGAAAUGCCCUUCUAAAAUGUCCAUCAUUUUAGCCUUGGUUCAGAACCUCUGACAAAAGUGGUGCACAUUUUUCUAGGCCAUCCUAGGGUCUUUGAAUUAAAUCAUAGAUAUUUGAAUUUGGGCAUUUAAAAUAAUAUAAAAUAUUUAAAUGCUCAAAUAUCUCCAAACUAAAAUGUUUCAUGUUGGAAAUAAUCCAACUAUGGACCAGGAGUAGUUUGGUGAAUUUUGGAGUUGCCUAGGUAUUUUAUUUAAUUCAACAAAGUUGCAGAUAUAUUAAAUAAAACAGAAAACAGAAAAGAAAGGGGAAAGACUUACCUGCGCGGCCCAGCCAGCUGGCCGGCCCAGCUAGCACCCGACCCAGCCCAACACUGUAGCUCCCCGUCGUCUUCCUCCCCACGCCCCGAAGCUGCUGCGUGCUCGCGCGCGCGCGGCCGCGCGGCCACCUCCUGCUUGCCGACGCCCUCCUGGCCGCGUGGACGACGUCCGCAGCCCGUCCCGAUCCCCCCUGCUCUCGCUCACUCUCCCCCGUUUCUCCCUCGCUCUCUCUCGCUCGCGACCGAAGAUCACCGUCGCCGCCGUUCGCCGUAGCCACUGUCUCCGGCCACCCCUCACUCCCCCGAGUAGCUCAGAAGCUCCGCCACAACUCCCUCUUCCUCCCCACCGCUCCACGAGUCCCCGGAAGCCCUGCAUCGCCGCCACGUCGCCGUUCCCCUCUUCGGGCUCCGACCACCGUCGCCGACGAAUUCGCCGUCUCCAGCGCAUCCCCGAGCCCGCUUCGACGCCCACUGCAACCGCGGUGAGCUACGCCACCGUUUCCCCCUCUUCUUCCCCUCGUUCCCUCACCGUAGCUGCAUCCCCACCACGGCCGAACCUCCGCCGUCGCCGAGCUCGCCGUCGACGCAGCUCCGGUGACCAUUUGGUCACCCCGGCGAGUCCAACACGUUCGCAAGAACCAGUAGAGCAUCCCUAGCGCCUCACUUUGCUCGACUUCGAGCUCCAGCACCACUCCCGUGCACGACCGAACCCCGGCGGCCGCAGCCGAGCUCACCGCCGUCAACUCCGGCCACCCCGACCCCAACUGACUCCGCCAAGAGCCGCGGGUCGUCCUCAACUUCACUCCGGUGGUCGCCGCGUUCCAUUUGGUGGCCGAAACGACCAAAACCACUAUCGCCGCCGCACUGUUGGUCGCCGCCGGCCAGAACUCUGGCGAGCUGACGUGGCCUAGUUGAUUAACCCCUAAUCCACCACCUACUGACGCUGACAAGUGGGCCCCAGGGCAUAGUCAAAGCUAACCAGCCCGGGGUCAACGCGGGAUUAGCCCCUGUGACACUGACGUGUGGACCCCACACGUCAGGUUUGACCCGAGCCAGCCCUAUUGACCUGCUGAUGUCACUGUGAUGUCAGGCUGACGCAGUAAUUGAAUUUCUGGAUUUAAAUUAAAUCAGGAAAUUCCAGAAUAUUAUUUAAACUUCAAAAAUUCAUAACUUUUAUUCUGUAACUCCAAAUUGGACAAAUUAUAUAUGAAAAAUGAUCAGAAAAAUCCAAUCUAUCCAUCUGUACUAUUUUCAUGCAUGAUCAAACAAGUUAAAUUGAUGUUUUAAUCAGAACAAGGAAAGGCACUUUAAAAGGCCAUAUUUGAAUUUGGAAUUUGAAUCUUUGAUUCAAAUUUGCUCAAACCCUACUGGCUUUAGUUGCAUUAGCCCAACACACUCAUAUUGCCAUGUUUCAUGCAUGCAUCAUAUUGUUGCACAUUGUUUGGUGAUGCCUGUGUAUCGUUAUCCUUUGCGACAGAAUCUGUCCCCGAGGAGUNNNNNNNNNNNNNNNNNNNNNNNNNNNNNNNNNNNNNNNNNNNNNNNNNNNNNNNNNNNNNNNNNNNNNNNNNNNNNNNNNNNNNNNNNNNNNNNNNNNNNNNNNNNNNNNNNNNNNNNNNNNNNNNNNNNNNNNNNNNNNNNNNNNNNNNNNNNNNNNNNNNNNNNNNNNNNNNNNNNNNNNNNNNNNNNNNNNNNNNNNNNNNNNNNNNNNNNNNNNNNNNNNNNNNNNNNNNNNNNNNNNNNNNNNNNNNNNNNNNNNNNNNNNNNNNNNNNNNNNNNNNNNNNNNNNNNNNNNNNNNNNNNNNNNNNNNNNNNNNNNNNNNNNNNNNNNNNNNNNNNNNNNNNNNNNNNNNNNNNNNNNNNNNNNNNNNNNNNNNNNNNNNNNNNNNNNNNNNNNNNNNNNNNNNNNNNNNNNNNNNNNNNNNNNNNNNNNNNNNNNNNNNNNNNNNNNNNNNNNNNNNNNNNNNNNNNNNNNNNNNNNNNNNNNNNNNNNNNNNNNNNNNNNNNNNNNNNNNNNNNNNNNNNNNNNNNNNNNNNNNNNNNNNNNNNNNNNNNNNNNNNNNNNNNNNNNNNNNNNNNNNNNNNNNNNNNNNNNNNNNNNUAAUAUCUAGCUAUAUUCAUCUCUAACAAUUGACUUUUCUAAAAAACAGAUAACAGACGGCGGCGGCAAGUAAAAAAAUGUGUAUGUGUGUGUAUGUGCGUGUGUAUGUGUGUGUAUGUGCGUGUAUACGUACGUGUGUGUGUGUAUAUAUGUGCAGUACGCCGCCGCCCCGUACGUACGAGCGGGGGCGCCGGCGUACGGGGCCGGGGCGGCGGCGUACGUACGGGCCGGCCGGGGCGCGCGGGUGCGAGGAGAGAGAGACGUACGUACGGGCGGCGCCGCGGCGACGACGACAGACGGUGGCGGCGUUCGGGGCAGCGGCGCGAGACGACGACGACGGGCGCGGUUGGAGACGAAGUGGGAGACGACGACGACGAAGGGCGGCGGCGCGGUUGGAGAGACGAAGUGGGAGAUGAAACUGAAAUUUUCAUAAGUGCUAUAUAUAUAUAGGUCGGGCCUUUAGUACCAGUUGGUGGCUCCAACCGGUACUAAAGGCUUAUUUUCGCCAGGCCAAGUGUCACACCCUAGCUAGUCAUGCAUUAGAGUGUUGCAUCAUGUUUACUCUUUCAUCAGAAACUUGAAAUGGGGAUGACAGAACCCCCAGUCCCCUCUGAAACCAACUAGGGUUUACUAAAAUAAUUUUUCAAUGAACCUGAAAUGCCCUUCUAAAAUGUCCAUCAUUUUAGCCUUGGUUCAGAACCUCUGACAAAAGUGGUGCACAUUUUUCUAGGCCAUCCUAGGGUCUUUGAAUUAAAUCAUAGAUAUUUGAAUUUGGGCAUUUAAAAUAAUAUAAAAUAUUUAAAUGCUCAAAUAUCUCCAAACUAAAAUGUUUCAUGUUGGAAAUAAUCCAACUAUGGACCAGGAGUAGUUUGGUGAAUUUUGGAGUUGCCUAGGUAUUUUAUUUAAUUCAACAAAGUUGCAGAUAUAUUAAAUAAAACAGAAAACAGAAAAGAAAGGGGAAAGACUUACCUGCGCGGCCCAGCCAGCUGGCCGGCCCAGCUAGCAGCCGACCCAGCCCAACACUGUAGCUCCCCGUCGUCUUCCUCCCCACGCCCCGAAGCUGCUGCGUGCUCGCGCGCGCGCGGCCGCGCGGCCACCUCCUGCUUGCCGACGCCCUCCUGGCCGCGUGGACGACGUCCGCAGCCCGUUCCGAUCCCCCCUGCUCUCGCUCACUCUCCCCCGUUUCUCCCUCGCUCUCUCUCGCUCUCGGCCGAAGAUCAUCGUCGCCGCCGUUCGCCGUAGCCACUGACUCCGGCCACCCCUCGCUCCUCCGAGUAGCUCAGAAGCUCCGCCACAACUCCCUCUUCCUCCCCACCGCUCCACGAGUCCCCGGAAGCCCUGCAUCGCCGACACGUCGCCGUUCCCCUCUUCGGACUCCGACCACCGUCGCCGUCAAAUUCGUCGUCUCCGACGCGUCCCCGAGCCCGCUUCGACGCCCACUGCAACCGCGGUGAGCUACGCCACCGUUUCCCCCUCUUCUUCCCCUCGUUCCCUCACCGUAGCUUCAUCUCCACCACGGCCGAACCUCCGCCGUCGCCGAGCUCGCCGUCGACGCAGCUCCGGUGACCAUUUGGUCACCCCGGCGAGUCCAACGAGUUCACAGAACCCAGUAGAGCAUCCCUAGCGCCUCACUUUGCUCGACUUCGAGCUCCAGCACCACUCCCGUGCACGACCGAACCCCGGCGGCCGCAGCCGAGCUCACCGCCGUCAACUCCGGCCACCCCGACCCCAACAGACUCCGCCAAGAGCCGCGGGUCAUCCUCAGCUUCACUCCGGUGAUCUCCGCGUUCCAUUUGGUGGCCGAAACGACCAAAACCACUAUCGCCGCCGCACUGUUGGUCGCCGCCGGCCAGAACUCCGGCGAGCUGACGUGGCCUAGUUGAUUAACCACUAAUCCACCACCUACUGACGCUGACAAGUGGGCCCCAGGGCAUAGUCAAAGCUAACCAGCCCGGGGUCAACGCGGGAUUAGCCCCUGUGACACUGACGUGUGGACCCCACACGUCAGGUUUGACCCGAGCCAGCCCUGUUGACCUGCUGAUGUCACUGUGAUGUCAGGCUGACGCAGUAAAUGAUAUUUCUGGAUUUAAAUUAAAUCAGGAAAUUCCAGAAUAUUAUUUAAACUUCAAAAAUUCAUAACUUUUAUUCUGUAACUCCAAAUUGGACAAAUUAUAUAUGAAAAAUGAUCAGAAAAAUCCAAUCUAUCCAUCUGUACUAUUUUCAUGCAUGAUCAAACAAGUUAAAUUGAUGUUUUAAUCAGAACAAGGAAAGGCACUUUAAAAGGCCAUAUUUGAAUUUGGAAUUUGAAUCUUUGAUUCAAAUUUGCUCAAACCCUACUGGCUUUAGUUGCAUUAGCCCAACACACUCAUAUUGCCAUGUUUCAUGCAUGCAUCAUAUUGUUGCACAUUGUUUGGUGAUGCAUGUGUAUCGUUAUCCUUUGCGACAGAAUCUGUCCCCGAGGAGUAUCGUGAUUACCCUAACGAAGAGUCGUAUCUGUGCAACGAAUCAUCAGGCAAGCAACCAACCAUUUGAUCAUAUCGAUACAAUCCCAUGUUCUCGCUCCUGCUCUAUUUUACUGCAUUAAGACAACGCGAUUCAAACUGCUGUGUGCUACGGUAGUUGAACCCAUUUCCUCUGCAUGACCUGUCAUUGCCACAGUAACUAGAUGAAACCCACUAGCAUGUGUAGGAGUUGAUUGAGCCAUAUGUAUGUGUUGUUCCUACCUUGCUAUGCCUGCUAUGCUUAGAGUUGUGUCAGGUCUGGUUCAUCUGGGUGAUGGGCUAGAGUGAAAUGAUUAUGUCGGUAAUAAGAGUGGUGUGGUGAACACGAUUUGGUAAAGGUAUCGAUGAGAGGCCAUGUAGGAGUACAUGGUGGGUUGUUUCAUUGAAGCCGACCUUAAGCACUGAGAUCUGUAUGUGUGAUUUAAGAUACAGCUACUACCAUGCAUUGGGCCCUGAAAUAUGACCCCGCUCGACUUCUUAUUCACCCUAGCUCUCUGUCCAGGAGUUGCUAGUAGUUUCUGGUGUUUGUAGCCUACUGGAGGCCGUGGACAGCGCUGACCGUAGGGGUGGGCUGUGAUGCGGUAGGUACGUGGCCGGGUGUACCGAAUACCCGUUAGGUAUCUCGGGAACCCUGUUCACAUCGUUCGGGGCCGUAUGGGAAACCUCGGCCGGACUCCCUGCGGAUGGAACCUGAAUAGGCGAUAAACCUGGACUAGAGGCUUAAGUGUUUAGGUAGGUCGUGGUCUACACCCACGUCGGCUUUCGCUUGAAGUCUGCCGAGCACAUGUCGUGUGCAGACGCUAAGUGGUGGAAACAUGUAUGAAGAAGUACACCCCUGCAGGGUUAACAUGAUCUAUUCGAAUAGCCGCGUCCGCGGUAAAGGACUACUUGGUUGCCUAUACAGUUCAUAGACAAGUAAAUGGAAACUACUAAAAGCCUCAAGAUAAGUGUGAGUGCCGAGGAUGGCUCUUCCGUAGGAAGACGGAGGUGAAUCCUCGGUAGUGUAUUGAAGUGGUGAGUAGUGGACUCGAGUGCGCAAAACAUUUUAAGUUGGUGUAUCGUAGGAUAGCCUAGCCAAGAGUCAAAGCUGGCUUGCUGCAAUAACUCCACCAACCCUUCCUGAUACUGUGCAUGUAUGUAGGAUCUGAUGUAAGUCUUGCUGAGUACCUUUGUACUCAUGUUGCUAUAUUCUACAUUUUUACAGAAGACGCUGCAACCCCUUCUGAUGGGUUCUAUGUAGACGUUGACAUCAACGAGUAGGCUAAAGACCCAGGUGGUGACCCUGAGCUUGUGAUGGACCACGUAGUAUAGUUAGGCUUCCAAGCCUCUUUUAUUUUACUAGUUGUCUGUACUCAGACAAGUUACUUCCGCUGCUGGCUUGUAUGACUGUAUGACUUGUAUGUUGGGUCGUGAGACCCGUACCUUUGUGUAUGAUAUAUAUAUGGCUCCCUGAGCCUUAAAUAAAGUAUUUGUGUCAUAGAGUCAUGUUGUGAUGCUUCGUUGUAUUUGCACAUAUCGAGCAUAUUGUGUGUAUGAUUGAAAUGCUUGGUAUGUGUGGGAUCUGACUAUCUAGUUGUUUAUCUUUAGUAGCCUCUCUUACCGGGAAAUGUCUCCUAGUGUUACCGCUGAGCCAUGGUAGCUUGCUACUGCUCUGGAACACUUAGGCUGGCCGGCAUGUGUCCUUCUUCGUUCCUGUGUCUGUCCCUUCGGGGAAAUGUCACGCAUUGAGUACCGGAGUCCUGUUAGCCCGCUACAGCCCGGUUUACCGGAGUCCUGCUAGCCCAGUGCUACAGCCCGGACCCACUUGUUGAUGACCGACACGUUCGAAGCUGGGUCAUGGAUGCCUGUCCCUGUAAGUCUGUGCCACUUUGGGUUUACGACUAGUCAUGUCAGCCCGGGCUCUUUAUCAUAUGGAUGCUAGCGACACUAUCAUAUACGUGAGCCAAAAGGCGCAAAUGGUCCCGGGAAAAGGUAAGACGACACCCGUGGGGAUAUCGUGCGUGAGGCCGCAAAGUGAUAUGAGGUGUUACCAGCUAGAUCGAUGUGACAUCGAGUCGGGGUCCUGACAGCGUUGGCAUCAGAGCCGGACUGCCUGUAGGUUCUCCAAGCCAAACUGGUCGAUGUUGGGUCUAGAAAUUCUUAGUUAUAUGUAGGGGAAUUGUUUGUGGGUUGGAACGUAAGGCUCUUUUACUCCUUAUACCUUAUGACAUUCUGAUCUGAGUCAGUCCAUUCUUCCACCGGGGGUUAAGGAAUUAGGAUCUGUUCUCUCUAUCAGGAUCACGUGUUAUUAAUAAGUAGUACCUUAUAAGUUUGAUGGUUAUAAGCCUAGUUUAGUUCUACUACCACAUUAUGUUGUUAGAAUGGUUUCAGAACUUUGAUAUGAUGAUGUUGAGUGGGUACGAAAUCCUUUGUCAAAUGUCUCAAUAUCCUUUUUGAGCAUUUACAGCUGUUAUGCUGCCGAAAUUUUGCUAGAAAUUCUAAUGCCUUUGCAUUAUAAUUGUGCUUUCAGAUGGCCACUCGCGACCUCAAUCAAGUGGUUCGCCUGACUCGAUGCCUAGAUGUACCCGGCCAUACUGCUAAGUUGGUCAGGGUAAUGACUGAGGCUGGAUACCGCUGGUAUCCUGAGUACACGGUCGAAGAGCAAUUCCGAGACUUUAAUCAAAGCCAGUAUCUCUGCACUGUCAGGAUAUUUCCAUCUUAUCCUGGAUCCACUGAGCCUCUUCAUUGCUCCUAUGGACUCGGGGUUACUAUCGAGAUGGCUGUGCAGGAUGCCGCCUACUCUAUGAUGACCAUUAUGCGAGUCAGAUCUGGGUUAUUUCGGGACUCUAAUUUCCGGUAUAUGCCAGGAUCACUUCCGGGAGCACAAGGGUAUCUCCAGGCUAUCUAUGCUGACUCCACUCAGGAGGAUUCACGGACUCGCACCACUGCUGAGAUGCUCGAGGAUAAGGACCGUGAAAAUCGGGCCUUAAGGUUAGAGCUCUUCAAUACCCAUGCUGACCACUGGGCCACUUUGACUCGGUUCGCACCGGCGGUGCAAGCUGGAUAUUCGGAUAUGCGCGAUCUCUAUCCUGUGAGAUCUGCUCUGCCAGACGUGAUGGUUUGGCGUGAUGUAGGAGGCAUCACCCCACCUCGCGGUCCCCGCAGGCCACCGUUUGCUGGUCCACGACCUCAUCCUAGUCCCUAUGGUCCACAAGCUCCGCGAGACCGUCUGUUUCCGGAUGAUCAUGUUGAACUUCCGGGCUAUGGAGGUGACUUCUACGAGGACUACUACGGAUCGGUCUGAGUUAGUAGUAGUAUCACUAGUUCGCACUAGCUGUGUCGUCUAUCGUCCUGCGUGACUCGUGGGAUAUGACCUAGUUUGUACUCCUUCCGGAGGUGUAGAAAAAUAAUGUAUAGGAGCUUGAGAUGCCUCCGAUGAGAUGUAAUCCUCUUUUCACCGUUUUAGUACCUUGCUUGGUCUUGUACUAAACCUGUAUGGUGUGUAUGACGAUGGAAUAAAGAAGCAGUUUCUGUAUCUACCAUGUCAUACGGAUGAUCAUCUUGCAUUUCGAGUUAUUCCUUACAUUAUGUACCCUGUGUCGGAAUUUUACCAUCCUGACUAAAUCAUUGUCUGGUUCACCUAGGAUGGUCAACACGCGCGCUAACCCUGCUUCCCAAGAGCAGGCCGAAGGCAGUGAAGCCAGGAAUGAACAUCUGCCUCAACCUCCUUCACUAGCCGAGGUUAUGAUGGAAGCUGAGAGAAACAAGCGGGAGACAAACCGUUUGCUAGAGCAUAUUGAACAGAAUACAGCACACCAUCAGAGGGCUAACGUGGUGUCACUCAGUGAUUUUAUCAAAUUGCAUCCACCCACGUUCCACCACUCCGUCGAGCCUCUCGACGCUGAUGACUGGCUUCGCAACAUCUCUCACAAGCUGCGUUCCGCGCUGGUAGCUGAGGCUGACAAGGUCACCUUUGCUGCAUAUCAUCUUGAAGGCCCUGCCAGUCUAUGGUGGGAGAAUUAUGGAGCUAUGCGCCCAGCGGGCCAUGUCACUACUUGGGCUGAGUUCAGCGAGGCUUUCCAUGAACAUCACAUUCCGGAGGGUCUCAUGGACCGUAAGCGUGAAGAAUUUUGCAAUUUCACCCAAGGCCGACUUUCUGUGGAUGUCUAUAGCAGGGAGUUUGGUAAUCUUGCCCGAUAUGCAACUGAGGAAGUGUCUACUGACGCCAAAAAGCAAGCAAGGUUCCGUAAGGGCCUUAGUCCUGAGCUUCGCCGCGACCUCCGUCUGCAUGAGUGCACAUCCUUUUCGAAACUUGUCAACAAAGCCAUCAAUGCUGAAACUGGUCAGACUGACUAUGACGCAACACGCAAGCAUGGACGUGACACGGGUUCCUCAUCCGGUGCUGGUCCUCAGAAGCGCCGCGUGUGGGUACCCAACACCGCCUUGCCACCCAGGUUCACACCGAGGCCAUCCUUCCAGGCGCCUCGCCCUGUUCAACAGUCUGCACCGGCCAAGCCCUAUGGGGGUCCAACCAAUAAUGCUCCUCCACGUACCAGUUCCGUGACGUGUUUCAAGUGUGGGGAAUCUGGUCAUUAUAUGCGUGAGUGUCCCCAGACCAACCCCAAUCAAUCUGCUAAAGCUGUUGGCCGUGGCAAGCCGACAGGAAAAGUGUUCCGCGCUAAACCGGUCACCGCUUCACGUGGCCAUGUCAACUGUGUCUCUGCCGAAGAAGCUCAAGAGGAUCCCGACGUCGUUCUCGGUACGCUUCUUGUUAAUUGCCACCCGGCAUCUGUUCUUUUCGAUACAGGAGCCUCUCAUUCCUUUAUAUCUGAAAAUUAUGCUCGUUUGCAUAACGUUGCAUUCUGUGAUCUGCCGUCCACUAUGGAAAUCUCUACCCCUGGGUCUAGAUGGCAGACCUCUAGGGUAAGAUAUGGGAAUGAAAUCCAAGUCGAUAGACUUGUCUUCCUUGCAUCUUUGAUAGCCCUUAAAUCUUCAGAUAUUAAUAUCAUUUUGGGUAUGGACUGGAUGUCAGCUCAUCAAGCCAAAAUUGAUUGCUUCUCUAGGACUGUUCAACUCACCCACCCUUCGGGGAAGAUAGUCAAUGUCUUGACUCGAAUAGCCAAGCGACAACUAUAUUCUCUUAACGCCAACCCUUUGCCAGACCUUGAGGACGUCCCGGUAGUCCGUGACUUCCCGGAUGUCUUUCCAGAGGAAUUGCCAGGUGUUCCACCUGACAGGGAUGUUGAGUUCGUAAUAAGACCUCAUCCCCGGAACCGUUCCGAUUGCUAGAAGACCUUACAAAAUGGCACCUCUAGAACUAGCCGAGCUUAAGAAACAACUCGAUGAAUCCUUGAAAAAGGGUUUCAUCCGCCCUAGUUCAUCUUCGUGGGCUUGCCCCGUCCUAUCCGUCAAGAAGAAGGAUGGUACGGACCGGAUGGUUGUAGAUUACCGACCUGUCAACUUGGUCACAAUCAAGAACAAAUAUCCACUUCCCAGGAUCAACGACCUGUAUGAUCAGCUCGCUGGAUCCUCAGUCUUUUCCAAGAUGGAUUUGAGGUUGGGAUACCAUCAAAUCAAAAUCAGAAACGGGGACAUUCCUAAAACGGCCUUUGUUACUCGUUAUGGCCAAUACGAGUACACCGUCAUGUCCUUCGGUUUAACCAACGCUCCAGCCACCUUUUCCCGGUUAAUGAACUCAAUCUUCAUGGAGUAUUUAGAUAAAUUCGUCGUAGUUUAUCUCGAUGAUAUACUCAUCUACUCCAAGAACGAGGAAGAACAUGCCGAACAUCUAAGACUAGUGUUGCAGAAACUUCGUGAGCAUCGCCUUUAUGCCAAAUUUUCAAAAUGUGAAUUCUGGUUGCCAGAAGUGACCUAUCUGGGCCAUGUAAUAUCUGGUAAAGGUAUUGCUGUUAACCCUGAGCGAGUUCAAGCCGUCCUUGAUUGGACUCCACCCGAAUCGGUCAAGCAAGUUCGGAGUUUUCUAGGCUUAGCGAGCUAUUGCCGUCGCUUUGUCGAGAACUUCUCCAAAGUUGCUAAACCCCUAACCGAACUCCUCAAGAAAGAUAAGAAGUUCGAAUGAACUCCACAAUGUGAGCACAGUUUUCAGGAACUGAAAAGACGCCUGACUUCUGCUCCCGUACUGGUACCGCCAGACUUCUCCAAGGACUUUGUUAUCUACUGCGACGCCUCGCGACAAGGACUAGGUUGCAUUCUCAUGCAAGAUCGACACGUAAUUGCUUACGCUUCACGGCAAUUGCACCCACAUGAGGAGAAUUAUCCCACUCAUGAUCUAGAACUUGCCGCCGUAGUCUAUGCACUUAAGACCUGGCGACAUUACCUCCUCGGUAAUCGUUGCGAAAUAUUCACUGAUCACCAAAGCCUGAAGUACAUCUUCACCCAACCGGAUUUGAAUCUCAGGCAGAGACGUUGGGUUGAAUUGAUCACAGACUUCGACUUAGGAAUAACCUACACCCCAGGGAAAGCCAACGUCAUGGCUGAUGCGCUAAGUCGUAAAUCUUAUUGUAACAACCUGAUGUUACAAUAAAGUCAACCGCUUCUCCAUGAGGAAUUUCGGAAGCUUAACCUUCACAUUGUUCCUCAAGGUUAUCUUUCCACCUUGGUAGCAAAACCUACUCUUACGGAUCAAAUCAUCGCUGCCCAAAAGCGAGAUAAGGGAAUAUCUAAAAUCAAAGAGAACAUUGCUAGCGGAGGUGCUAGUUGUUUCUCCACAAAUGAUCAUGGUGUUGUGUACUUUGAGAACCGUCUAGUGGUUCCCAAGAACCAGCAUCUACGGCAGUUGAUCCUGAAAGAGGCUCAUGAAUCUCCUCUCACUAUUCAUCCCGGUAGUACUAAAAUGUAUCAGGAUCUACGCCAGAGGUUCUGGUGGACUAGGAUGAAGAGAGAAAUCGCUCAGUAUAUUGCUAAUUGCGAUGUCUGUCGUCGUGUAAAAGCAGAGCAUCAACGGCCUGCUGGCACCCUUCAACCAUUAGCUAUUCCUGAAUGGAAAUGGGAUAAAAUUGGUAUGGAUUUCAUUACCGGUUUUCCCAGGACCAAAAGAGGGAAUAAUGCUAUUUUCGUCGUGAUCGAUCGUCUCUCCAAAGUAGCUCAUUUCUUACCUGUUCGUGAGAGUAUAACCGCUAGUCAGCUGGCAGACUUAUACAUCUCCCGAAUAGUGUCCCUCCAUGGUGUUCCUUUGGAAAUCAAUUCGGAUCGAGGAAGUCUUUUCACCUCUCGAUUUUGGGAAAGUUUCCAAAAUGCUAUGGGAACCCGUCUCUCCUUUAGCACCGCUUUCCACCCUCAGUCAAGUGGUCAAGUGGAACGCGUCAAUCAGAUUCUAGAAGACAUGCUCCGAGCCUCUGUUAUCUCGUUCGGAAUGGACUGGGAGAAGUGCCUUCCAUUUGCCGAAUUCGCUUACAACAACAGCUAUCAAUCUAGCUUGGGUAAAGCCCCUUUUGAAGUUCUCUAUGGACGACGAUGUCGAACACCCCUUAACUGGUCAGAGACCGGGGAAAGACAAUUCUUUGGCCCGGAUAUGAUUCAGGAAGCAGAAGAACAAGUUCGUAUCGUUCGUGAAAAAUUGAAAACAGCCCAAUCUCGUCAAAAGAGUCAAUAUGACCGAAAACAUAAGGCUAUGACUUUCGAGAUUGACGAGAAGGCUUAUCUUCGGGUCACCCCUCUGAAGGGAACCCAACGUUUCGGCAUCAAAGGCAAAUUGGCUCCUCGUUACAUUGGACCUUUUCGCAUUCUUGCCAAACGAGGGGAAGUUGCCUACCAGUUGGAACUACCUCCGCACCUCUCCAGAGUUCACGAUGUCUUCCACGUUUCUCAACUCAGGCGUUGCUUCUCGGAUCCUAUCCGUGAAGUGGACCACGAAACGCUUGAUCUCCAAGAUAAUCUUACAUAUCGAGAGUACCCCAUCCGUAUCCUCGAUCAAGCCGAACGUACCACGCGACGUCAUAAUAUCAAGUUUCUCAAGGUUCAAUGGUCGCACCAUUCUGAGGAUGAAGCAACUUGGGAAAGGGAGGAUCGUCUUCGACUUGAAUAUCCCGCCUUCUUCUCGGAGGAACCCAAAUCUCGGGACGAGAUUCUUUUGAGUGGGGGUGAGUUGUCACACCCUAGCUAGUCAUGCAUUAGAGUGUUGCAUCAUGUUUACUCUUUCAUCGGAAACUUGAAAUGGGGAUGACAGAACCCCCAGUCCCCUCUGAAACCAACUAGGGUUUACUAAAAUAAUUUUUCAAUGAACCUGAAAUGCCCUUCUAAAAUGUCCAUCAUUUUAGCCUUGGUUCAGAACCUCUGACAAAAGUGGUGCACAUUUUUCUAGGCCAUCCUAGGGUCUUUGAAUUAAAUCAUAGAUAUUUGAAUUUGGGCAUUUAAAAUAAUAUAAAAUAUUUAAAUGCUCAAAUAUCUCCAAACUAAAAUGUUUCAUGUUGGAAAUAAUCCAACUAUGGACCAGGAGUAGUUUGGUGAAUUUUGGAGUUGCCUAGGUAUUUUAUUUAAUUCAACAAAGUUGCAGAUAUAUUAAAUAAAACAGAAAACAGAAAAGAAAGGGGAAAGACUUACCUGCGCGGCCCAGCCAGCUGGCCGGCCCAGCCAGCUGGCCGGCCCAGCUAGCAGCCGACCCAGCCCAACACUGUAGCUCCCCGUCGUCUUCCUCCCCACGCCCCGAAGCUGCUGCGUGCUCGCGCGCGCGCGGCCGCGCGGCCACCUCCUGCUUGCCGACGCCCUCCUGGCCGCGUGGACGACGUCCGCAGCCCGUCCCGAUCCCCCCUGCUCUCGCUCACUCUCCCCCGUUUCUCCCUCGCUCUCUCUCGCUCGCGACCGAAGAUCACCGUCGCCGCCGUUCGCCGUAGCCACUGUCUCCGGCCACCCCUCGCUCCCCCGAGUAGCUCAGAAGCUCCGCCACAACUCCCUCUUCCUCCCCACCGCUCCACGAGUCCCCGGAAGCCCUGCAUCGCCGCCACGUCGCCGUUCCCCUCUUCGGGCUCCGACCACCGUCGCCGACGAAUUCGCCGUCUCCAGCGCAUCCCCGAGCCCGCUUCGACGCCCACUGCAACCGCGGUGAGCUACGCCACCGUUUCCCCCUCUUCUUCCCCUCGUUCCCUCACCGUAGCUGCAUCCCCACCACGGCCGAACCUCCGCCGUCGCCGAGCUCGCCGUCGAUGCAGCUCCGGUGACCAUUUGGUCACCCCGGCGAGUCCAACACGUUCGCAAGAACCAGUAGAGCAUCCCUAGCGCCUCACUUUGCUCGACUUCGAGCUCCAGCACCACUCCCGUGCACGACCGAACCCCGGCGGCCGCAGCCGAGCUCACCGCCGUCAACUCCGGCCACCCCGACCCCAACUGACUCCGCCAAGAGCCGCGGGUCGUCCUCAGCUUCACUCCGGUGGUCGCCGCGUUCCAUUUGGUGGCCGAAACGACCAAAACCACUAUCGCCGCCGCACUGUUGGUCGCCGCCGGCCAGAACUCCGGCGAGCUGACGUGGCCUAGUUGAUUAACCCCUAAUCCACCACCUACUGACGCUGACAAGUGGGCCCCAGGGCAUAGUCAAAGCUAACCAGCCCGGGGUCAACGCGGGAUUAGCCCCUGUGACACUGACGUGUGGACCCCACACGUCAGGUUUGACCCGAGCCAGCCCUGUUGACCUGCUGAUGUCACUGUGAUGUCAGGCUGACGCAGUAAUUGAAUUUCUGGAUUUAAAUUAAAUCAGGAAAUUCCAGAAUAUUAUUUAAACUUCAAAAAUUCAUAACUUUUAUUCUGUAACUCCAAAUUGGACAAAUUAUAUAUGAAAAAUGAUCAGAAAAAUCCAAUCUAUCCAUCUGUACUAUUUUCAUGCAUGAUCAAACAAGUUAAAUUGAUGUUUUAAUCAGAACAAGGAAAGGCACUUUAAAAGGCCAUAUUUGAAUUUGGAAUUUGAAUCUUUGAUUCAAAUUUGCUCAAACCCUACUGGCUUUAGUUGCAUUAGCCCAACACACUCAUAUUGCCAUGUUUCAUGCAUGCAUCAUAUUGUUGCACAUUGUUUGGUGAUGCCUGUGUAUCGUUAUCCUUUGCGACAGAAUCUGUCCCCGAGGAGUAUCGUGAUUACCCUAACGAAGAGUCGUAUCCGUGCAACGAAUCAUUAGGCAAGCAACCAACCAUUUGAUCAUAUCGAUACAAUCCCAUGUUCUCGCUCCUGCUCUAUUUUACUGCAUUAAGACAACGCGAUUCAAACUGCUGUGUGCUACGGUAGUUGAACCCAUUUCCUCUGCAUGACCUGUCAUUGCCACAGUAACUAGAUGAAACCCACUAGCAUGUGUAGGAGUUGAUUGAGCCAUAUGUAUGUGUUGUUCCUACCUUGCUAUGCCUGCUAUGCUUAGAGUUGUGUCAGGUCUGGUUCAUCUGGGUGAUGGGCUAGAGUGAAAUGAUUAUGUCGGUAAUAAGAGUGGUGUGGUGAACACGAUUUGGUAAAGGUAUCGAUGAGAGGCCAUGUAGGAGUACAUGGUGGGUUGUUUCAUUGAAGCCGACCUUAAGCACUGAGAUCUGUAUGUGUGAUUUAAGAUACAGCUACUACCAUGCAUUGGGCCCUGAAAUAUGACCCCGCUCGACUUCUUAUUCACCCUAGCUCUCUGUCCAGGAGUUGCUAGUAGUUUCUGGUGUUUGUAGCCUACUGGAGGCCGUGGACAGCGCUGACCGUAGGGGUGGGCUGUGAUGCGGUAGGUACGUGGCCGGGUGUACCGAAUACCCGUUAGGUAUCUCGGGAACCCUGUUCACAUCGUUCGGGGCCGUAUGGGAAACCUCGGCCGGACUCCCUGCGGAUGGAACCUGAAUAGGCGAUAAACCUGGACUAGAGGCUUAAGUGUUUAGGUAGGUCGUGGUCUACACCCACGUCGGCUUUCGCUUGAAGUCUGCCGAGCACAUGUCGUGUGCAGACGCUAAGUGGUGGAAACAUGUAUGAAGAAGUACACCCCUGCAGGGUUAACAUGAUCUAUUCGAAUAGCCGCGUCCGCGGUAAAGGACUACUUGGUUGCCUAUACAGUUCAUAGACAAGUAAAUGGAAACUACUAAAAGCCUCAAGAUAAGUGUGAGUGCCGAGGAUGGCUCUUCCGUAGGAAGACGGAGGUGAAUCCUCGGUAGUGUAUUGAAGUGGUGAGUAGUGGACUCGAGUGCGCAAAACAUUUUAAGUUGGUGUAUCGUAGGAUAGCCUAGCCAAGAGUCAAAGCUGGCUUGCUGCAAUAACUCCACCAACCCUUCCUGAUACUGUGCAUGUAUGUAGGAUCUGAUGUAAGUCUUGCUGAGUACCUUUGUACUCAUGUUGCUAUAUUCUACAUUUUUACAGAAGACGCUGCAACCCCUUCUGAUGGGUUCUAUGUAGACGUUGACAUCAACGAGUAGGCUAAAGACCCAGGUGGUGACCCUGAGCUUGUGAUGGACCACGUAGUAUAGUUAGGCUUCCAAGCCUCUUUUAUUUUACUAGUUGUCUGUACUCAGACAAGUUACUUCCGCUGCUGGCUUGUAUGACUGUAUGACUUGUAUGUUGGGUCGUGAGACCCGUACCUUUGUGUAUGAUAUAUAUAUGGCUCCCUGAGCCUUAAAUAAAGUAUUUGUGUCAUAGAGUCAUGUUGUGAUGCUUCGUUGUAUUUGCACAUAUCGAGCAUAUUGUGUGUAUGAUUGAAAUGCUUGGUAUGUGUGGGAUCUGACUAUCUAGUUGUUUAUCUUUAGUAGCCUCUCUUACUGGGAAAUGUCUCCUAGUGUUACCGCUGAGCCAUGGUAGCUUGCUACUGCUCUGGAACACUUAGGCUGGCCGGCAUGUGUCCUUCUUCGUUCCUGUGUCUGUCCCUUCGGGGAAAUGUCACGCAUUGAGUACCGGAGUCCUGUUAGCCCGCUACAGCCCGGUUUACCGGAGUCCUGCUAGCCCAGUGCUACAGCCCGGACCCACUUGCUGAUGACCGACACGUUCGAAGCUGGGUCAUGGAUGCCUGUCCCUGUAAGUCUGUGCCACUUUGGGUUUACGACUAGUCAUGUCAGCCCGGGCUCUUUAUCAUAUGGAUGCUAGCGACACUAUCAUAUACGUGAGCCAAAAGGCGCAAACGGUCCCGGGAAAAGGUAAGACGACACCCGUGGGGAUACCGUGCGUGAGGCCGCAAAGUGAUAUGAGGUGUUACCAGCUAGAUCGAUGUGACAUCGAGUCGGGGUCCUGACACCAAGCGGCGGGAAACAAAGGCCUUUAGUACCGGUUGAAUCCACCAACUGGUACUAAAGGCCUGGCCUUUAGUACCGGUUGGAGCCACCAACCGGUACUAAAGGCCUUGCGCUGCCACCCCGCGGUAAACAAAGUUUAGUCCCACCUCGUCGGGCGAAGGGCAGCCGCACUGGUUUAUAAACCCAGCCGCGACUGGCUCUUUGAACUCCUCUACAUAGCAGGCUUCUGGGCCUAACUUCUGUGCGCUGCCCUGUGAGCCUGCUGGGCCUUUAGGGCCUGUAAUUGCACGCCCGUGGCCUAGAAGGCCCACUGGGCAGCGCCCCAAUUCUUUUGUAUAGUUUUUUUCUUUUCUGCUUUAUUUUCUUCUAUUUAUUUCUGCAUAGUUUUGUAUAGUUUUUUAUUUUCUGUUAUAUAUAUAUUCUUUUAUUUAUUUGUGAGUAGUUUUUUAUCUAGUUUGCCAAAAUUCAACAUUUUUAGAGUUCAUUUUGUAGUGAUUUUCAAUUUCACGGUCAUUUGGCUCUCUAAACAAAUCAGUAAAUGAAUGAAAAAUAGCAAAUGGUGUCAGAACGUGUUGGAAAUUGAUGACGUCCCUCUGAAUGGUGCAUACUGAACGCAAAAAUUGUCUGGAGUUCAAAUAAGUUUAAAAAAAUGAAGUGCCCGUAUAACACAUGAGUUCUCGUCCGAAGCCCUGAUACUCCGAAAGCGAUUGUCCAGUUUGUACACGAAAUGCGUCAAGUUUUUGCCGUAACCCUCUCUACUCUCUUGCACAUGCUAUGGGUGAAAUGAUGAUACCAUGCCAAGUUUCAACAUUUUCAGAGUUCAUUUUGUAGUGAUUUUCAAUUUCACGGUGAUUUGGCUCUCUAAACAAAUCAGUAAAUGAAAGAAAAAUAGCAAAUGAUGUCAGAACGUGUUGGAAACUGAUGACGUCGCUUUGAAUGGUGUACACGAAGUGCAUCCAGUUUUUGCCGUAAUACAAGUAGUCCGGAGUUGUAAUAAGUUAUUAAAAAUAAAAAAGAGGCGCAAUGCUUGUUAAUUAGCUUCAAGCCUUUGGGAAUAGUGUAGACUGCACUGCACAUAGCUCCGUGCAGUCUACCAUAUUCCUCGAGGCUUGAAGCUAAGCAACGUGGAGGUGAGCAUUGAGCCUCUUCUUCAUCGUAUCUGCACUCAGGGUUUAUAAUCCGCUCCUAGUGCCUCUCUCUUAGUGAGGUGGGACUAAAAAACAGCUUACUAAGAAACUCUAGUACCGGUUCAUGCCAUGAACCGGUACUAAAGGUGCUCAUGGGGCCCCAGCCCAACCACAGCCUGACACAACCUCAUUAGUACCGGUUCGUGGCAUUUAGCUCUCUAAACAAAUUGGUAAAUGUCUGAAAAAUAGCAAAUGAUGUCAGAAAGGGUUUAAAAUUGAUGACGUCGCUUUGAAUGGUGCAUACGGAAUGCAAAAAAUAUAAGAGCAUUCAGAUCAUGAUCUUAUAUUUCUUUACAGUCUAAAUUGUCAAAAAUACUUUGAUCAUCAAUGAUCUUUUUGUGUACAAUCUGAAUUGUCAAUAUGAAUCCUCAACGGUUAAACUGGUGAAGACUCAUAUUGCAGCCACAAAUUCUACACAUAGAGUUCAAUGAAGACCAAGUGCUUGUGAUAGUUUGAGAAAUAACAUAUUUAAGGUGGUAAAAACUUAGUUAGGGGAGCGAGGUGGGACUAAAAACAGCCUGCAACAACCUCUUUAGUACCGGUUCGUGGCACGAACCAACACUAAAGGGUGAUGGUGGGGCCACAGCCUGACCGCAGCCUGCCACAGCUUCUUUAGUACCGGUUCGUGGCAUGAACCGGUACUAAAGAUAUGCCACGAACCGGUACUAUUGAUCUCCGCCACGAACCGGUACUAUUGAUCUCAUUAGUGCCGGUUUUGUUACAAACCGGACUAAUGUGCUUCACAUUUGACCCUUUUUCUACUAGUGUACCUUAUGCAAGAGUCAUGGUGAUCUUCACCUUUUCUUUUUACAUUUUAUCCUUUGGCAAGCACAGUGUGUUGGAAAGAUCCUGAUAGAUAUAUUCAAUUGGAUGUAAGUUAGCAUGAGCUAUUAUUGUUGACAUUACCCUUGAGGUAAACGGUUGGGAGGCGAAGCUAUAAGCCCCUAUCUUUCUCUGUGUCUGACUAAAACUCCGUAACCACAAGUAUUGCGUCGGUGUUAGAAAUUAUGAAAGACUAAAUGAUAGUUGAGUAUGUGGACUUGCUGAAAAGCUCUAACAUAGACUCUUUCUGAUGUUAUGAUAAAUGGCAAUUGCUUCAAUGACUAAGAUUAUAGUUUGUUAGUUCUCAAUAAAGUUUCUGAUUCAUACUUUGCAUUAUGAAUAGAUUGUUACUUGGGCAUAAGAAAUCAUAUGACAUUAUCCAUAUAUGUUGCUGUUAUAAGAAUGAUCAUGAUGCCCUCAUGUCCGUAUUUUAUUUUAUCGACACCUCUACCUCUAAACAUGUGGACAUAUUUAUCGUUAUCGGCUUCCGCUUGAGGACAAGCGAGGUCUAAGCUUGGGGGAAUUGAUACGUCCAUUUUGCAUCAUGCUUUUAUAUCGAUAUUUAUUGCAUUAUGGGAUGUUAUUACACAUUAUGUCACAAUACUUAUUCCUAUUCUCUCUUAUUUUACAAGGUUUACAUAAGGAGGGAGAAUGCCGGCAGCUGGAAUUCUGAACUGGAAAAGGAGCCAAUAUUAGAGACCUAUUCUGCACAACUCCAAAAGUCCCGAAACUCCACGGAAGUUAUUUUUGGAAAUAAUAAAAAAUACUGAGCGGAAGAAAUACCAGAGGGGGCCCACACCCUGGCCACGAGGGUGGGGGCGCUCCCUACCCCCGUGGGCGCGCCCCCUGCCUCGUGGGCCCCCUGGUGGCCAUCUUCUGCUAUAUGAAGUCUUUCAUCCGAAGAAAAAUCAGAAGGAAGCUUUCGGGACGAGACUCCACCGCCACGAGGUAGAACCUUGGCGGGACUAAUCUAGGGCUCUGGCGGAGCUGUUCUGCCGGGGACACUUACCUCCGGGAGGGAGAAAUCAUCGCCAUCGUCAUCACCAACGCUCCUCUCAUCGGGAGGGCGCCAAUCUCCAUCAACAUCUUCACCAGCACCAUCUCAUCUCAAACGCUAGUUCAUCUCUUGUAUCCAAUUCUUGUCUCUAAGUCUGGGAUUGGUACCUGUAGGUCUCUAGUAGUGUUGACUACUCCUUGUAGUUGAUGCUAGUUGGUUUAUUUGGUGGAAGAUCAUAUGUUCAGAUCCUAUAUGCAUAGUAAUACCCCUCCGAUUAUGAACAUGAAUAUGCUUUGUGAGUAGUUACAUUUGUUCCUGAGGACAUGGGAGAAGUCUUGCUAUUAGUAGUCAUGUGAAUUUGGUAUUCGUUCGAUAUUUUGAUGAGAUGUAUGUUGUCUCCCCUCUAGUGUGGUGUUAUGUGAACGUCGACCGAUACGUCCAUUUUGCAUCAUGCUUUAUAUCGAUAUUUAUUGCAUUAUGGGUUGUUAUUACGCAUUAUAUCACAAUACUUAUGGCUAUUCUCUCUUAUUUUACAAGGUUUACAUAAAGAGGGAGAAUGCCGGCAGCUGGAAUUCUGGGCUGGAAAAGGAGCAAAUAUUAGAGACCUAUUCUGCACAACUCCGAAAAGUCCUGAAACUCCACGGAAUAUCUUAUAUUAAUAAUGAAAAAUCCUCGCCAAAGAUGAAGGCCAGGGGGCCCACCACCUGUCCACGAGGGUGGGGGCGUGCCCCACCCUGCUGGGCGCGCCCCCCUACCUCGUGGGCCCCCUGGUGGCUCUCCGAUGCCCAUCUUCUUCCAUAUGAAGUCUUUCGUCAAGUGAAAAAUAGAAGGCAACCUUUCGGGACGAGACUCCGCCGCCACGAGGCGGAACCGAGGCGGAACCAAUCUAGGGCUCCGGCAGAGCUGUUCUGCCGGGGAAACUUCCCUCCCGGAGGGGGAAAUCAUCGCCAUCGUCAUCACCAACGCUCCUCUCAUCGGGAGAGGGCAAUCUCCAUCAACAUCUUCAUUAGCACCAUCUCCUCUCAAAACCCUAGUUCAUCUCUUGUAUCCAAUUCUUGUCUCCAAGUCCGGGAUUGGUGCUAGUAGUGUUAAUUACUCCUUGUAGUUGAUGCUAGUUGGUUUAUUUGGUGGAAGAUUAUAUGUUCAGAUCCUAUAUGCAUAUUAUUACCCCUAUGAUUAUGAACAUGAAUAUGCUUUGUGAGUAGUUAUGUUUGUUCCUGAGGACACGGGAGAAGUCUUGCUAUUAGUAGUCAUGUGAAUUUGGUAUUCCUUCGAUAUUUUGAUGAGAUGUAUGUUGUCUACCCUCUAGUGGUGUUAUGUGAACGUCGACUACAUAACACUUCACCAUUAUUUGGUCCUACAGGAAGGUAUUGGGAAGUAAAAAGUAGAUGAUGGGUUGCUAGAGUGACAGAAGCUUAAACCCUAGUUUAUGCGUUGCUUCGUAAGGGGCUGAUUUGAAUCCAUAUGUUUCAUGCUAUGGUUAGGUUUACCUUAAUACUUUUGUUGUAGUUGCAGAUGCUUGCAAUAGAGGUUAAUCAUAAGUGGGAUGCUUGUUCAAGUAAGAACAGCACCCAAGCACCGGUCCACCCACAUACCAAAUUAUCAAAGUACCGAACGCGAAUCAUAUGAACGUGAUGAAAACUGGCUUGACGAUAUUCCCACGUGUCCUCGGGAGCGCUUUUCCUUAUAUAAGAGUUUGUCCAGGCUUGUCCUUUAGCUAAAAAGGAUUGGGCCACCUUGCUGCACUUUCUCUUCUUUUGUUACUUGUUGCCCGUUACAAAUUAUCCUAUCACAAAACUAUCUGUUACCACUAUUUCAGUACUUGCAGAAAAUACCUUGCUGAAAACCGCUAAUCAUUUCCUCUGCUCCUCGUUGGGUUCGACACUCUUACUUAUCGAAAGGACUAUGAUAGAUCCGCUACACUUGUGGGUCAUCAAGACUCUUUUCUGUCGCCGUUGCCGGGGACUGAAGCGGCUUUGGUAGGUGGAAUUUGGUAAGGUAAAAAAUUAUAUAGUGUGCUGAAAUUUACUGUCACUUGUUACUAUGGAAAGUAAUCCUCUGAGGGGCUUGUUCGGGGUAUCUUCACCCCGACCAGUAGAGCAAAAAGUUGCUCCUCAACCUACUGAAUAUGAAAAUGUUCCUUUUGAAGUUCCUUCGGGUAUGUUCGAAAAACUGCUAGCUAAUACUUUUACAGGAGAUGGAACAAAGCAUCCUGAUGAACACCUUAUAUAUGUGGAUGAAGUUUGUGGAUUAUUUAAGCUUGCAGGUAUACCCGAUGAUGUUGUUAAGAAGAAGGUCUUCCCUUUAUCUUUGAAGGGAGACGCAUUGACAUGGUAUAGGCUAUGUGAUGAUACGAGAUCUUGGAAUUAUAAAAGAGUGAAAUUGGAAUUUCAUCGGAAGUAUUACCCUAUGCAUCUUGUUCAUCGUGAUCACAAUUAUAUAUAUAAUUUUUGGCCUCGCGAAGGAGAAAGCAUCGCUCAAGCUUGGGGGAGGCUUAGAUCAAUGUUAUAUUCAUGCCCCAAUCAUGAGCUCUCAAGAGAAAUAAUUCUUCAAAGUUUUUAUGCUCGGCUUUCUGAAAAUAAUCGCACCAUGCUCGAUAGUUCUUGUGCUGGCUCUUUUAUGAUGAAGACUAUUGAAUUAAGAUGGAACUUAUUGGAUAGAAUUAAACGCAACUCUGAAGAUUGGGACCUCGACGAAGGUAAGGAGUCAAGUAUGACACCUAAGUUUGAUUGUGUUAAAUCUUUUAUGGAUACCGAUAUUUUCCGUAAAAUUAGCACUAAAUAUGGCCUUAAUUCCGAUAUAGUAGCUUCAUUCUGUGAAUCUUUCGCUGCUUAUGUUGAUCUCCCUAAGGAGAAGUGGUUUAAAUAUCAUCCUCCCAUAGAAGUAAAAGUAGCCACACCCACUAAAGUUGAAGAAAAGACUGUCACUUAUAAUGAUCCUAUUGUUCCUACUUCUUAUGUUGAGAAACCACCUUUCCCUGUUAGAAUAAAGGAUCAUGCUAAAGCUUCAACUGUGGUUCGUAAAAGCAAUAUUAGAACUUAUACACCUCCUGAGCAAGUCAAAGUAGAACCUAACGUUGAUAUUGUUAAAGAUCUCUUGUCAGAUAAUAUUGAUGGGCAUGUUAUUCAGUUCUGCGGUGAAACUGCUAGAAUUGCCAAACCUAGCGAUAAAGAUAAACAUAGACCCGUGGUAGGCAUGCCUGUUAUUUCUGUUAUAAUAGGAGAUCAUUGUUAUCAUGGCUUAUGUGAUAUGGGUUCUAGUGUUAGUGCAAUACCCUUUAACUUAUACAAAGAAAUUAUGCAUGAAAUUGCACCUGCUGAGUUAGAAGAAAUUGAUGUCACCAUUAAGCUUGCCAAUAGGGAUACUAUUUCACCCAUGGGAAUUGUUAGAGAUGUUGAAGUCUUGUGUGGGAAAACUAAAUAUCCCGCUGGUUUUCUUGUUCUUGGUUCCCCACAAGAUAGCUUUUGUCCCAUUAUAUUUGGUAGACCCUUCUUGAAUACUGUUAAUGCUAAGAUAGACUGUGAAAAGAAUGUUGUUACUGUUGGCUUGGAUAAGAUGACUCAUGAGUUUAAUUUUUCUAAGUUUAGUAAACAACAUCGUGAAGAAGAAUUGCCUAGUAAGGAUGAAAUUAUUGGUCUUGCUUCUAUUGCCGUACCUCCUAGUGAUCCUUUAGAACAAUAUUUGCUAGACCAUGAAAAUGAUAUGUUCAUGAAUGAAAGAAGGGAAAUAGAUGAAGUAUUCUUUAAACAAGAACCUAUUCUGAAACACAAUUUGCCUGUUGAAAUCUUAGGGGAUCCCCCUCCACCCAAGGGUGAUCCCGUGUUUGAGCUUAAACCGUUACCUGAUAAUCUUAAAUAUGCUUAUCUUGAUGAGAAAAGAUAUAUCCUGUUAUUAUUAGUGCUAACCUUUCAGAGCAUGAAGAAGAGAGAUUAUUGAAAACGCUGAGGAAGCACCGUGCAGCUAUUGGAUAUACACUUGAUGAUCUUAAGGGCAUUAGUCCCACUCUAUGCCAACAUAAAAUAAAUUUGGAAGAAGAUGCCAAACCAGUUUGUGGUCAUCAAUGAAGACUGAAUCCUAAAAUGAAAGAAGUGGUAAGAAAAGAAAUACUAAAGCUUCUGGAAGCAGGUAUAAUUUAUCCCGUUGCUGAUAGUCAGUGGGUAAGUCAUGUUCAUUGUGUCCCUAAGAAGGGAGGUGUUAUUGUUGUUCCUAAUGAUAAAGAUGAAUUGAUUCCACAAAGAAUUAUUACUGGUUAUAGGAUGGUAAUUGAUUUCCGCAAAUUAAAUAAAGCUACUAAGAAAGAUCAUUACCCCUUACCUUUUAUUGAUCAAAUGCUAGAAAGAUUAUGCAAACAUACACAUUAUUGCUUUCUAGAUGGUUAUUCUGGAUUCUCUCAAAUACCUAUGUCUGCUAAAGACCAAUCUAAGACUACUUUUACAUGCCCUUUUGGUACUUUUGCUUAUAGACGUAUGCCUUUUGGUUUAUGUAAUGCACCUGCUACCUUUCAAAGAUGCAUGAUGGCUAUAUUCUCUGACUUUUGUGAAAAGAUAUGUGAAGUUUUCAUGGAUGACUUUUCUGUCUAUGGAUCUUCUUUUGAUGAUUGCUUGAGCAAUCUUGAUCGAGUUUUGCAGAGAUGUGAAGAAACUAAUCUUGUCUUGAAUUGGGAAAAGUGCCACUUUAUGGUUAAUGAAGGUAUUGUCUUGGGGCACAAAGCUUCUGAAAGGGGUAUUGAAGUUGAUAAAGCCAAGGUUGACGCUAUUGAAAAGAUGCCAUGUCCCAAGGACAUCAAAGGUAUAAGAAGUUUCCUUGGUCAUGCCGGUUUUUCUAGGAGGUUCAUUAAGGAUUUCUCCAAAAUCUCUCGGCCUCUGACUAAUUUAUUACAAAAAGAUAUACAGUUUGUCUUUGAUGAUGAUUGUGUAGAAGCAUUUGAAAUACUUAAGAAAGCAUUGAUCUCUGCACCUAUUGUUCAUCCACCUGAUUGGAAUUUACCCUUUGAAAUUAUGUGUGAUGCUAGUGAUUAUGCUGUAGGUGUUGUGCUAGGGCAAAGAGUUGAUAAGAAACUAAAUGUUAUUCAUUAUGCUAGUAAGACUCUAGACAGUGCUCAAAGAAACUAUGCUACUACCGAAAAGGAAUUCUUAGCCGUUGUAUUUGCUUGUGAUAAGUUUAGACCUUUUAUUGUUGAUUCUAAAGUAACUAUUCACACGGAUCAUGCUGCUAUUAAAUAUCUUAUGGAAAAGAAAGAUGCUAAACCUAGACUUAUUAGAUGGGUUCUCUUGCUACAAGAAUUUGAUUUGCAUAUUGUUGAUAGAAAAGGAGCUGAGAACCCCGUUGCAGACAACUUGUCUAGGUUAGAAAAUGUUCUUGAUGACCCACUACCUAUUGAUGAUAGCCUUCCGGAUGAACAAUUAAAUGUUAUAAGUACUUCUCGUAGUACUCCAUGGUAUGCUGAUUAUGCUAAUUAUAUUGUUGCUAAAUUUAUACCACCUAGUUUCACAUACCAGCAAAAGAGAAAGUUUUUCUAUGAUUUGAGACAUUACUUUUGGGAUGACCCACAUCGACAGGAAUAGAUCCUACGCAAGUGUCACUCCGAAGCUUAUGGAGGACACCACGCUGGAGAUAGAACUGCACAUAAGGUAUUGCAAUCCGGUUUUUAUUAGCCUACUCUCUUCAAGGAUGCCCGUAAGUUUGUCGUAUCUUGUGAUGAAUGCCAAAGGAUAGGUAAUAUUAGUAGACAUCAAGAAAUGCCUAUGAAUUAUUCACUUGUUAUUGAACCGUUUGAUGUCUGGGGCUUUGAUUAUAUGGGACCCUUUCCUACCUCCAAUGGAUAUACACAUAUUUUAGUUGGUGUUGAUUACGUUACUAAGUGGGUAGAAGCUAUUCCAACUAAUAGUGUUGAUCAUAACACCUCUAUUAAAAUGCUUAAAGAAGUUAUUUUCCCGAGGUUUGGAGUCCCUAGAUAUUUAAUGACUGAUGGCGGUUCACAUUUUAUUCAUGGUGCUUUCCGUAAAAUGCUUGCUAAAUAUGAUGUUAAUCAUAGAAUUGCAUCUCCUUAUCACCCACAGUCUAGUGGUCAAGUGGAAUUGAGUAAUAGAGAACUCAAAUUAAUUUUGCAAAAGACUGUCAAUAGGUCUAGAAAGAAUUGGUCCAAGAAACAUGAUGAUGCAUUAUGGGCCUAUAGAACUGCAUAUAAAAAUCCUAUGGGUAUGUCUCCAUAUAAAAUGGUUUAUGGAAAAGCAUGUCACUUACCUCUCGAACUAGAACAUAAGGCAUAUUGGGCUAUUAAAGAGCUCAAUUAUGAUUUCAAACUUGCCAGUGAGAAGAGGUUAUUUGAUAUUGGCUCACUUGAUGAAUGGAGAACCCAAGCUUAUGAAAAUGCCAAGUUGUUUAAAGAAAAAGUUAAAAGAUGGCAUGACAAAAGAAUACAAAAGCUCCAGUUUAAUGUAGGUGAUUAUGUAUUGCUAUACAACUCUCGUUUAAGAUUUUUUGCAGGAAAAAACUUCUCUCUAAAUGGGAAGGCCCCUACGUUAUCGAGGAGGUCUAUCGUUCCAGUGCCAUAAAAACAACAACUUCGAAGGCACAAAUCCGAAGGUGGUGAACGGUCAAAGAAUUAAACAUUAUAUCUCAGGUAAUCCCAUAAAUGUUGAAACUAAUAUUAUAGAAACCGUGACCCCGGAGGAAUACACAAGAGCCACCUUCCAGACCGUUUUAGACUCCAAAAAGGCAUAGGUAUGUGGUACGGCAAGUAAACCGACUCCAAAAUAGUUUUUAAGGCAAUAUUUCUCCGUUUUGGAAUAUUUAGAAAAAUAGAACAAUAAGAGGCAGUCCGGAAAGGAAACGAGGGCCCCACGAGGGUGGAGGGCGCGCCCCCCUACCUCGUGAGCGCCUCGUGUGCCUCCCGGACUCCGUUUUCUUGCACGUUACGUAUUUUGGUCGGUAAAAAUUCAUUAUAUAAUCUCCCGGAGGUUUCGACCACCGUAUCACGCAAAUCUCCUUUGUUUUCGUUUCGAGCUGUUUUCUGUCAGAGUUUUCAAGGUUAGGCAUUAUGUCGUCUCCCUCCUCCUCCAACAAUGAGGGCAACGAUGCUUGGCUAAUGAAGGUGGAGCUGAAAAGAGAAGAACCGGAGGAGGUCCACAAGGAUGAUAGGAUCAAGGAGGCCAUGGGAAAUCAAGUCCCGACAGCGCAAGAAGAAGCCAUCCUUCCACCGCUCUUUACCCCAACUGAGCUCGAAGCUUUCGAGAUGAUUGAAUUAGCUCGUAUUCAAAACAAGUAUCUCACACGUGAAAAUAAUUUGUUGAAGGAGCAUAUUGUUGCACUCAAGGGCAUUAUCCGCAAGCUGGAGGACCUCGUACGCUCGCUGUACAACUACCCGUCACCACCUCCACCACUUACUUCAUCAGCAAAGGAGACAUAAUCUUCUGGUAUGGGCACUCCCCUUGGCAGCUGCCAAGCUUGGGGGAGGUGCCCGGGUAUCGUGUCACCAUCACAUCUCCUAUCUUUACCGUUUAUCUUAGUUCGAUCCUAUUAGUAGUAUCUUGAUUUAGUAGAAUAAAGUUUUGGCAUGAUCUAGUUGUGAGUUUUGCUUUUGAUCUCUCUAUGUAAUCGAGUCCGUGAGUUAUAUAAUAAAGACUAGUGUUGAGUCAAGGGCUUGAUUGCUUUGCCAUGAUCUUGAAUGAAUAAAGAAAAAGAGAUAAAAGAAUAAAAAGAAACAAAAGAGUUCAUAUUGAUCUUAUUGAGAGUGAUGACUUCACAUAUAAAGAGUAUGAUGAUUAAAAGUUGUUGAGAGUUGACAAGCAUAGUUUGGUCAUCGUUGCAAUUAAUAGGAAGUGAUAAAGAAAGAGAGGUCUCACAUAUAAAUAUAUUAUCAUGGACGACUCUUAUGAUUGGGAGCACUCAUUAAAAUAUGACAUGCUAAAGAGUUGAUGUUGGACAAGGAAGACAACGUAAUGGCUUAUGUUUUUCUUAUAUCUGAGAUAAAGUAUGUUUUCAUGGAUCACCUACCAUGUUGAGCUUGCCUUCCCCCCUCAUGCUAGCCAAUUCUCAGCACCAAGUAGAGAUACUACUUGUGCUUCCAAUUCCCUUAAACCAGUUUUGCCAUGAGAGUCCGCCAUAUCUACCUAUGGAUUGAGUAAGAUCCUUCAAGUAAGUUGUCAUCGGUGCAAGCAAUAAAAAUUGCUCUCUAAAUAUGUAUGAUUGAUUGGUGUGGGAGAAAUAAGCUUUAUACGAUCUUAUGAUGUGGAAGUAAUAAAAGCGACGGACUGCAUAAUAAAGGUCCAUAUCAUAAGUGGCAAUAUAAAGUGAUGUUCUUUCGCAUUGAGAUUUUGUGCAUCCAACCCUAAAAGCGCAUGACAACCUCUGCUUCCCUCUGCGAAGGGCCUAUCUGUUACUAUUACCUUUCUUAUGCAAGAGUCAAGGUGAUUCUCACCUCUCCCUUUUUAUUUUAUCCUUUGGCAAGCUCAUCGUGUUGGAAUGAUUCUGAUAUAUAUAUUUAAUUGGGUGUAAGUUGGCAUGAGUUAUUAUUGUUGACAUUACCCUUGAGGUAAGUGGUUGGGAGGCGAAACUAUAAGCCCCAAUCUUUCUCUGUGUCCGGCUGAAACUCCAUAACCACAAGUAUUGCGUGAGUGUUAGCAAUUAUGAAGGAUUAAGUGAUAGCUGAGUAUGUGGACUUGCUAAAGAGCUCUGACAUAGACUCUUUCUGAUGUUAUGAUAAACUGCAGUUGCUUCAAUGACUGAGAUUUAGUUUGUUAGCCUUCAAUAAAGUUUCUGAUUCAUACUUGAUAUUGUGGAUGAAUUAUAACUUGAUUAUAAGAAAUCAUAUGACAAAAUUCACAUAUGUUGCUGUUAUGAGAAUAAGCAUGAUGCCUUCAUGUCCGUAUUUUAUUUUUAUCGACGCCUCUACCUCUAAACAUGGGGACAUAUUUAUUGUUAUCGGCUUUCGCUUGAGGACAAGCAAGGUCUAAGCUUGGGGGAGUUGAUACAUCCAUUUUGCAUCAUGCUUUAUAUCGAUAUUUAUUGCAUUAUGGGCUGUUAUUACGCAUUAUAUCACAAUACUUAUGGCUAUUCUCUCUUAUUUUACAAGGUUUACAUAAAGAGGGAGAAUGCGGGCAGCUGGAAUUCUGGGCUGGAAAAGGAGCAAAUAUUAGAGACCUAUUCUGCACAACUCGAAAAGUCCUGAAACUCCAUGGAAUAUCUUAUAUUAAAUAAUGAAAAAUCCUUGCCAAAGAUGAAGGCCAGGGGGGCCACCACCUGUCCACGAGGGUGGGGGUGCGCCCCACCCCCCUGGGCGCGCCCCCCUACCUCGUGGGCCCCCUGGUGGCUCUCCGAUGCCCAUCUUCUUCCAUAUGAAGUCUUUCGUCAAGGGAAAAAUAGAAGGCAACCUUUCGGGAUGAGACUCCGCCGCCACGAGGCGGAACCGAGGCGGAACCAAUCUAGGGCUCCGGCAGAGCUGUUCUGCCGGGGAAACUUCCCUCCCGGAGGCGGAAAUCAUCGCCAUCGUCAUCACCAACGCUCCUCUCAUCGGGAGAGGGCAAUCUCCAUCAACAUCUUCAUCAGCACCAUCUCCUCUCAAAACCCUAGUUCAUCUCUUGUAUCCAAUUCUUGUCUCCAAGUCCGGGAUUGGUGCUAGUAGGUUGCUAGUAGUGUUAAUUACUCCUUGUAGUUGAUGCUAGUUGGUUUAUUUGGUGGAAGAUUAUAUGUUCAGAUCCUAUAUGCAUAUUAUUACCCCUCUGAUUAUGAACAUGAAUAUGCUUUGUGAGUAGUUACGUUCGUUCCUAAGGACACGGGAGAAGUCUUGCUAUUAGUAGUCAUGUGAAUUUGGUAUUCGUUCGAUAUUUUGAUGAGAUGUAUGUUGUCUAGACUCUGGUAAUGUUAUGUAAACGUUGACUACAUAACACUUCACCAUUAUUUGGGCCUAGAGGAAGGCAUUGGGAAGUAAUAAGUAGAUGAUGGGUUGCUAGAGUGACAGAAGCUUAAACCCUAGUUUAUGCGUUGCUUCGUAAGGGGCUGAUUUGGAUCCAUAUGUUUCAUGCUAUGGUUAGGUUUACCUUAAUACUUUUGUUGUAGUUGCGGAUGCUUGCAAUAGAGGUUAAUCAUAAGUGGGAUGCUUGUUCACGUAAGAACAGCACCCAAGCACCGGUCCACCCACAUACCAAAUUAUCAUAGUACCGAACACGAAUCAUAUGAACGUGAUGAAAACUGGCUUGACGAUAUUCCCACGUGUCCUCGGGAGCGCUUUUCCUUAUAUAAGAGUUUGUCCAGGCUUGUCCUUUUGCUAAAAAGGAUUGGGCCACCUUGUUGCACUUUAUUUACUUUUGUUACUUGUUGCUCGUUACAAAUUAUCCUAUCACAAAACUAUCUGUUACCACUAUUCAGUACUUGCAGAAAAUACCUUGCUGAAAACCGCUUAUCAUUUCCUCUGCUCCUCGUUGGGUUCGACACUCUUACUUAUCGAAAGGACUACGAUAGAUCCCCUACACUUGUGGGUCAUCAUCGACUACAUGACACUUCACCAUUAUUUGGGCCUAGAGGAAGGCAUUGGGAAGUAAUAAGUAGAUGAUGGGUUGCUAGAGUGACAGAAGCUUAAACCCUAGUUUAUGUGUUGCUUCGUAAGGGGCUGAUUUGGAUCCAUAUGUUUCAUGCUAUGGUUAGGUUUACCUUAAUACUUCUUUUGUAGUUGUGGAUGCUUGCAAUAGGGGUUAAUCAUAAGUGGGAUGCUUGUCCAAGUAAGGAUAGUACCCAAGCACCGGUCCACCCACAUAUCAAAUUAUCAAAGUACCGAACGUGAAUCAUAUGAACGUGAUGAAAACUAGCUUGACGAUAAUUCCCAUGUGUCCUCGGGGGAGCUUUUCCCUAUAUAAGAGUUUGUCCUGGCUUGUCCUUUGCUACAAAAAGGAUUGGGCCAUCUUGCUGCACUCUAUUUACUUUUGUUACUUGUUGCUCGUUACAAUUAUUCUAUCACAAAACUAUCUAUUACCUAUAAUUUCAGUGCUUGCAGAGAAUACCUUGCUGAAAACCGCUUAUCAUUUCCUUCUUCUCCUCAUUGGGUUUGACACUCUUACUUAUCGAAAGGACUACGAUAGAUCCCCUAUACUUGUGGGUCAUCACUGCUACUGGCUCGCUGAUGAAGCUGUGCGAACUGCCGGAGUCCACUAGUAUCAACACCUGACGGUCCCCAAUGUCUCCCAACAACCUGACUGUGUGUGGGGUUGUUUCACCCGUUGUUGCCAUCUUCGAAAUCGACAUGACCUGCUCGUCCUCAGAAUCAGCGUCUUGCUCUUGUCGACCUUGAACCUCUGCUUGAAGAAGUUCCAGCAGCUCUUCCACCACAUGGAGCUGGACCGUGGCUGCGCAUUGGUGGCCUUGGCCCCAACGCUCUCCGCAUUUGAAGCAGAGCCCUCGCGCCCGUCGAUAGUUGCGGAGUGCUGCAACAUGGUCAUCGCCGCGCGCUGGCUCCUGGCGUCGAUCGCCUGCGCGUGCUGCCUCGAGCGCCCGACGGUCAUCCGCAGCCGCGGGAACAGCCGACUGCACUGGCCUGGGUGGUGGUGGUGGUGGUGGUGGUGCUCCUAUGGCCACCAUCGGUCAAUGCACGUGUCGAGCUGGCGCGGGCUCCUUCCAGGGCAUGUGGUCCAGCAGCUUUUCCUGCAACACAGCGAGAGAAAAAGCAGUAUCGAGUUCUUGUGGCCGGUGUAGCAUGACACCGAAUUUAAUUUCAGGUUUUAAACCAUCUAAGAAUUGAGUAGCAAAGAAUAGCGGGUCAAAGGAAGGAUUAUGCGCCCACAGAUGAUGCAUCAACUCCUUGAACUGUUCCAUAUACUCCACUACAGACCCAUUCUAACGCAAGUGAGUAAACUGGCGCAACUGCUGCUGAUACUGCUCUCGACCAAACUUGGCACACAGAGCUGCACACAACAUCUCCCAUGUGAAGUGAGUGUUGUGUUGUAAUGCCCCAAGACCGACGCUUCAGAUGCCUUUCAGUUAUUUCAUUGCCACCGUAUGUCUCAACUGCUUUGUUGCAUUCAUCAUUUCAUCUCUUGCAUUGCAUCAUGUCAUCAUGCCAUCAUGUUUUUUUAACUCAACUAAAUAAAUCACAUGGAUCUUCUGUCCAUUUAAAUCAAGGGAAUUCACAUAGUGAUUUCUCUUUAUAACAUAUCCUCUCGAUAUUUAGAGAGCUAUAAUAAAUAUUCCAUUAAUUUGGAAUUAACCAUAACACACUUGCAUUUUAGUUCCAUGCCACUUCUGCUUCAAGUUUCACCUCCUAAAUUCUCAACAUUUUUGGACACUCCUAAAACCUCGUCCAAGUUCAAACCAUUGGAAGUAAAAUCAAAUGAGUUUGAAUUCACAUUCACACGUGUGCCCACUUCUAUUUUUCCGGGAAAUAGCUCAUUUUUGUGAGUCCGGGGAAUUUAUCCGCGUGUCCAACUUCUUCCCCUAACCCCUCUUUCUUUUCUUUCUGAUCUCUGUUUUUUCUUUUUUUUAGUAGUGAGAGAGAGCCCAGCCGCAACCUGCAGCCAGCCCGGCCCAUUUGCGUCAUGGCCCAUACGACGUGCCCAUCCAUCCCUUCUAACCAUAGCCCGAUCCCCUUGCAGCCUCCCUCCCUCUCAUUCUCGUGCCCGCCGCGACACCCGCAUCACGCCCGAUCCCCAUCUCCCUUCGCUCGAUCUCCUCACCCUCUCGUUCUCCCAGCGCCUCCCAUCCCUCGCGCCCGUGCCUGUCCCGACCCGCCGCCGCCGUGACCCGGCCCCCAUCCUCAUCAGCGCCGGCGCCCCCUCCUCCCUCCGUUCGGCCUCAACCACCUGGAGACGCGGCGCCUUCCCGCCACGGCGCCCGCGCCCUCUAGGUGUGCCGCGCCCCAAGAGCCUCGCCACCCCGCCGCCGCGUCCGGUCGUCGCCGGCGACCACCAGGAGCACCGUCGCCUCGCCUCGAGCCUUGCUCUGCUCCGGCCCCGACCUUCGCCCCGCGCGCCGCCGCCCCGACACCUCCAGCGCCUCCGCGCCCCUCUGCUACCCCGUCCCCGCAGCACUUUGCUUCUCCGCCGGAGCUCUUCUCCCGUGCGCCGUCGCCGACCAAGACCAGCAGACCACCACAGCGCCAUCUCGCCUCCUCUACUUCGCUUCUGCACGAGGGCGAGGACGAGUCCCUGCCUCUGCCUCCCGCCGAGUUCGGGUGGCCCCUGCUCAAGCUGCCAAGACCCCUUCGAGUUUUUCGCCAAGUCCGACCACCGCUAAAUCGAGGGAUUUUUGCCUUGCUUGGAUACGCCAAGACCUUUCUGAAUUUUGCAAGUAGCAUGACACAAUGACCGUGGUUUCGACAAGCAUGCGCCAAGUUCCACUACCCUCGCUCGGAUUCGACAAGACAAUGUGUACCACUACUUCCACUAUGGCUCGUGAACCACUACUUCCCUCAACGAACUCGAACCGCUCUGAGAAUGCACGCUUCGAAGGUAUAAACCCAAGACGACGCCCAUGUACGAAUGAUUGUGAUGUAUGAGUUGCUCAUGUUCGAAUCGUGUCCGAAUUGAUCCUUGCAUGUUCCUCCUUGUUUGCCAUGCCGAUGACCCGUGGGAACCCUGUUAUCGGGAUCACCCCACCAUCCUUGCAUGACACGCUCACGCCCACUUUCUUUUGCACCAACAUCUCGACGAGUUGUCGGAUCAUCGGAAUGUUGCCGUGGCAUCAUUUCUGUUGUCGUUGCCGUGGCACCCCCUUCGUUCCGCCACGGAGACAAAUGCUUCAUAACAUGCUCAUGCCAACAUUUUCAUAAAAUUGCAUCAACUUGCAUAUGUCAUCCGCAUCAUGAUAACAACAUGUAAAUGCUUUAAAAUGUUGUUUGCAUGAAAAUUGCUAAAUGCAUAUGGGGUUUUUUCGGAAUUGUUGUUUGUUAUUUCCGGCCUCAUUUAAAUUGCCUAAAAUGUGUAGUUUACAUAUACCUCACCUCUUUCCAUGUUAAGAACAUUUAAACUUGUUGGGUGCUUAAACGAGAGCAAACUAAAUAACUCGAAUGUGGUGUUUCGUCAAUAUGCAACUCGUUGCAUAUUGAGCUCCACUUAAUCUGUAGUGUUGUUUGUUGCACUUUGCCAUGCCAUGCCUCUUUAAACCGUACAUGCAUCAUGUAGGGGAACGUAGUAAUUUCAAAAAUUUCCUACGCACACGCAAGAUCAUGGUGAUGCAUAGCAACGAGAGGGGACAGUGUUGUCUACGUACCCUCAUAGACCGGCAACGGAAGCGUUGACACAACGUAGAGGAAGUAGUCGUACGUCUUCCAAUCCGACCGAUCAAGCACCGAAACUACGGCACCUCCGAGUUCGAGCACACGUUCAGCUCGAUGACGAUCCCCGGGCUCCGAUCCAGCAAAGCGUCGGGGAAGAAUUCCGUCAGCACAACGGCGUGGUGACGAUCUUGAUGUUCUAUCGUCGCAGGGCUUCGCCUAAGCGCCGCUACAAUAUGACCGAGGUGGAAUAUGGUGGAGGGGGGCACCGCACACGGCUAAGGAACGAUCACGAAGAUCAACUUGUGUGUCCAUGGGGUGCCUCCUGCCCCCGUAUAUAAAGGAGUGGAGGAGGGGAGGGCCGGCCCUCUCUAUGGCGCGCCCUGGGGAGUCCUACUCCCACCAGGAGUAGGAUUCCCUUUUCCUAGUCCAAAUAGGAACCCUUCCAAGUAGUAGGAGUAGGAGGGAAGGAAAGGGAAAGGAAAAGGAGAAGGAAGGAAGGGGGCGCCCCCCCUCCCUAGUCCAAUUCGGACUAGCUCAUGGGGAGGGGUGCGGCCACCCUUUGAGCCCUUCCUCUCUUUUCCCGUAUGGCCCAUUAAGGCCCAAUACGAAUUCCCGUAACUCCCCGGUACUCCCGAAAAUACCCGAAUCACUCGGAACCUUUCCGAUGUCCGAAUAUAGUCGUCCAAUAUACCGAUCUUUACGGCUCGACCAUUUCGAGACUCCUCAACAUGUCCCUGAUCUCAUCCGGGACUCCGAACUCAUUCGGUACAUCAAAACUCAUAAACUCAUAAUAUAACUGUCAUCAAAACCUUAAGCGUGCGGACCCUACGGGUUCGAGAACAAUGUAGACAUGACCGAGACACGUCUGCGGUCAAUAACCAAUAGCGGGACCUGGAUGCCCAUAAUGGCUCCUACAUAUUCUACGAAGAUCUUUAUCGGUCAGACCGCAUAACAACAUACGUUGUUCCCUUUGUCAUCGGUAUGUUACUUGCUCGAGAUUCGAUCGUCGGUAUCUCAAUACCUAGUUCAAUCUCGUUACCGGCAAGUCUCUUUACUCGUUCCGUAAUACGUCAUCUCACAACUAACUAAUUAGUUGCAGUGCUUGCAAGGCUUAGGUGAUGUGUAUUACCGAGAGGGCCCAGAGAUACCUCUCCGUCAAUUGGAGUGACAAAUCCUAAUCUCGAAAUACGCCAACCCAACAUGUACCAUUGGAGACACCUGUAAUGCUCCUUUAUAAUCACCCAGUUAUGUUGUGACGUUUGGUAGCACCCAAAGUGUUCCUCCGGCAAACGGGAGUUGCAUAAUCUCAUAGUCAUAGGAACAUGUAUAAGUCAUGAAGAAAGCAAUAGCAACAUACUAAAUGAUCGGGUGCUAAGCUUAUGGAAUGGGUCAUGUCAAUCAGAUCAUUCAACCAAUGAUGUGAUCCCGUUAAUCAAAUAACAACUCUUUGUCCAUGGUUAGGAAACAUAACCAUCUUUGAUUAACGAGCUAGUCUAGUAGAGGCAUACUAGUGACAUUUUGUAUGUCUAUGUAUUCACACAUGUAUUAUGUUUCCGGUUAAUACAAUUCUAGCAUGAAUAAUAAACAUUUAUCAUGAUAUAAGGAAAUAAAUAAUAACUUUAUUAUUGCCUCUAGGGCAUAUUUCCUUCAGUCUCCCACUUGCACUAGAGUCAAUAAUCUAGAUCACAUCACCAUGUGAUUAACAUCAACAGUUCACAUCAUCAUGUGACUAACACCCAUAGUUCACAUCGCCAUGUGACCAACACCCAAAGGGUUUUACUAGAGUCAGUAAUCUAGUUCACAUCGCUAUGUGAUUAACACCCAAAGAGUAUUAAGGUGUGAUCAUGUUUUGCUUGUGAGAGAAAUUUAGUCAACGGGUCUGACAUAUUCAGAUCCGUAUGUAUUUUGUAAAUUUCUAUGUUAACAAUGCUCUGCACGGAGCUACUCUAGCUAAUUGCUCCCACUGUCAAUAUGUAUCCAGAUUGAAACUUAGAGUCAUCCAGAUCAGUGUCAAAACUUGUAUCGACGUAACCCUUUACGACGAACCUUUUUGUCACCUCCAUAAUCGAGAAACAUAUCCUUAUUCCACUAAGGAUAGUUUUGACCGGCGUCCAGUGAUCUACUCCUAGAUCACUAUUGUACUCCCGUUCCAAACACAGGGUAGGGUAUACAAUAGGUCUGGUACACAGCAUGGCAUACUUUAUAAAACCUAUGGCUAAGGCAUAGGGGAUGACUUUUCAUUCUUUUUCUAUUUUCUGCCGUGGUCGGGUGUUGAGUCUUACUCAAUCUUCACACCUUGUAACACAGGCAAGAACUCCUUCUUUGACUGUUCCAUUUUGAACUACUUCAAAAAUCUUGUCAAGGUAUGUACUCAUUGAAAAAUCUUAUCAAGCGUCUUGAUCUAUCUCUAUAGAUCUUGAUGCUCAAUGUGUAAGUAACUUCAUCGAGGUAUUUCUUUGAAAAACACCUUUCAAAUACUCCUUUAUGCUUUCCAGAAAAUUCUACAUCAUUUCCGAUCAACAAUAUGUCUCUCACAUAUACUUAUCAGAAAUGAUGUAGUGCUCCCACUCACUUUGUUGUAAAUACAGGCUUUACCGUAAGUCUGUAUAAAACUAUAUGCUUUGAUCAACCUAUCAAAGCAUAUAUUCCAACUCCGAGAUGCUUGCACAAGUCCAUAGAUGGAUCGCUGGAGCUUGCUCACUUUGUUAGCACCUUUAGGAUCGACAAAACCUUCUGGUUGUAUCAUAUACAACUUUUCUAAAAUACAUCCAUUAAGGAAUGCAGUUUUGACAUCCACUUGCCAUAUUUCAUAAAAUGUGGCAAUUGCUAACAUGAUUCGGACAGACUUAAGCAUCGAUACGAGUGAGAAAAUCUCAUCGUAUUCAACUCUUUGAACUUUGUCGAAAACCUUUUUGCGACAACUCGAGCUUUGUAGAUAGUAACACUACUAUCAGCAUCCGUCUUCCUCUUUGAAGAUCCAUUAAUUUUCUAUGGCUUGCCGAUCAUCGGGCAAGUCCACCAAAGUCCAUACUUUGUUCUCAUACAUGGAUCCCAUCUCAGAUUUCAUGGCCUCUAGCCAUUUCGCGGAAUCUGGGCUCAUCAUCGCUUCCUCAUAGUUCGUAGGUUCGUCAUGGUCAAGUAACAUGACCUCCAGAACAGGAUUACCGUACCACUCUGGUGCGGAUCUCACUCUGGUUGACCUACGAGGUUCGGUAGUAACUUGAUCUGAAGUUACAUGAUUAUCAUCAUUAGCUUCCUCACUAAUUGGUGUAGGAGUCACAGGAACAGAUUUCUGUGAUGAACUACUUUCCAAUAAGGGAGCAGGUACAGUUACCUCAUCAAGUUCUACUUUCCUCCCACUCACUUCUUUCGAGAGAAACUCCUUCUCUAGAAGGGAUCCAAUCUUAGCAACAAAUGUCUUGUUUUUGGAUUUGUGAUAGAAGGUGUACCCAAACGUUUCUUUUGGGUAUCUAUGAAGACGCACUUCUCCGAUUUGGGUUUUGAGUUUAUCAGGAUGAAACUUUUUCACAUAAGCAUCGCAGCCCCAAACUUUAAGAAACAACAGCUUAGGUUUCUUGCGAAACCAUAGUUCAUACGGUGUCGUCUCAACGGAUUUAGAUGGUGCCCUAUUUAACGUGAAUGCAGCUGUCUCUAAUGCAUGACCCCAAGACGAUAGUGGUAAAUCGGUAAGAAACAUCAUAGAUCGCACUAUAUCUAAUAAAGUACGGUUAUGACGUUCGGACACACCAUUACACUAUGGUGUUCCAGGUGGCGUGAGUAGUGAAACUAUUUCACAUUGUUUUAAUUGAAGGCCAAACUCGUAACUCAAAUAUUUUACCUCUGCGAUCAUAUCGUAGAAACUUUUAUUUUCUUGUCACGAUGAUUUUCCACUUCACUCUGAAAUUCUUUGAACUGUUCAAAUGUUUCAGACUUAUGUUUCAUCAAGUAGAUAUCCCCAUAUCUGCUCAAAUCAUCUGUGAAGGUCAGAAAAUAAUGAUACCUGAUGCAAGCCUUAAUAUUCGUCGGACCUCAUACAUCAGUAUGUAUGAUUUCCAACAAAUCUGUUGCUUUCUUCAUUGUUCCGGAGAACGAUGUUUUUAGUCAUCUUGCCCAUAAGGCAUGGUUCGCAAGCAUCAAGUGAUUCAUAAUCAAGUGAUUCCAAAAGCCCAUCAGCAUGGAGUUUCUUCAUGCGCCUUACACCAAUAUGACCUAAACGGUAGUGCCACAAAUAAGUUGCACUAUCAUUAUUAACUUUCCAUCUUUUGGUUUCAAUAUUAUGAAUAUGUGUAUCACUACGAUCGAGAUCCAACGAACUUGUUUCAUUGGGUGUAUGACCAUCGAAGGUUUUAUUCAUGUAAAUAGAACAACAAUUAUUCUCUGAUUUUAAUGAAUAACCGUAUUGCAAUAAACAUGAUCAACUCAUAUUUAUGCUCAACGCAAACACCAAAUAACACUUAUUUAGUUUCAACACUAAUCUCGAAUGUAAAGGGAGAGUGCGAUGAUGAUCAUAUCAAUCUUGGAACUACUUCCAACACACAUCGUCACCUCACCUUUUACUAGUUUCUGUUUAUUUUGCAACUCCCGUUUCGAGUUACUACACUUAGCAACUGAACUAGUAUCAAAUACCAAGGGGUUGCUAUAAACACUAGUAAAGUGCACAUCAAUAACAUGUAUAUCAAAUAUACUUUUGUUCACUUUGCCAUCCUUUUUAUCCACCAAUUAUUUGGGGUAGUUCCGUUUCCAGUGACCAGUCCUUUUGCAGUAGAAGCACUUAGUCUCAGGCUUAGGUCCAGACUUGGGUUUCUUCACUUGAGCAGCAACUUGCUUGCCGUUCUUCUUGAAGUUCCCCUUCUUCCCUUUGCCCCUUUUCCUUGAAACUAGUGAUCUUGUCAACCAUCAACACUUGAUGUUUUUCUUGAUUUCUAUCUUCAUCGAUUUUAGCAUCACGAAGAGCUUGGGAAUUGUACUCGUUAUCCCUUGCAUAUUAUAGUUCAUCAUGAAGUUCUACUAACUUGGUGAUGGUGACUAGAGAAUUCUGUCAAUCACUAUCUUAUUUGGAAGAUUAACUCCCACUUGAUUCAAGCGAUUGUAGUACCCAGACAAUCUGAGCACUUGCUCAUUGCUUGAGCGAUUCUCCUCCAUCUUUUAGCUAUAGAACUUGUUGGAGACUUCAUAUCUCUCAACUCGGGUAUUUGCUUGAAAUAUUAACUUCAACUCCUGGAACAUCUCAUAUGGUCCAUGACGUUCAAAACGUCUUUGAAGUCCCGAUUCUAAGUCGUUAAGCAUGGUGCACUAAACUAUCAAGUAGUCAUCAUAUUGAGCUAGCCAAACAUUCAUAACGUCUGCAUAUGCUCCUGCAAUAGGUCUGUCACCUAGCGGUGCAUCAAGGACAUAAUUCUUCUGUGCAGCAAUGAGGAUAAACCUCAGAUCACGGAUCCAAUCCGCAUCAUUGCUACUAAUAUCUUUCAAUAUAAUUAUUCUCUAGGAACAUAUCAAAAUAAACAUAGGGAAGCAACAACACGAGCUAUUAAUCUACAACAUAAUUUGCAAAAUACUAUCAGGACUAAGUUCAUGAUAAAUUAAAGUUCAAUUAAUCAUAUUACUUAAGAACUCCCACUUAGAUAGACAUCCCUCUAAUCCUCUAAGUGAUCACGUGAUCCAAAUCAACUAAACCAUGUCCGAUCAUCACGUGAGAUGGAGUAGUUUCAAUGGUGAACAUCACUAUGUUGAUCAUAUCUACUAUAUGAUUCACGCUCGACCUUUCGGUCUCCGUGUUCCGAGGCCAUAUCUGUAUAUGCUUGGCUCGUCAAGUAUAACCUGAGUAUUCCGCGUGUGCAACUGUUUUGCACCCGUUGUAUUUGAACGUAGAGCCUAUCACACCCGAUCAUCACGUGGUGUCUCAGCACGAAGAACUUUCGCAACGGUGCAUACUCAGGGAGAACACUUCUUGAUAAUUAGUGAGAGAUCAUCUUAUAGUGCUACCAUCAAUCAAAGCAAGAUAAGAUGCAUAAAAGAUAAACAUCACAUGCAAUCAAUAUAAGUGAUAUGAUAUGGCCAUCAUCAUCUUGUGCUUGUGAUCUCCAUCUUCGAAGCACCAUCAUGAUCACCAUCGUCACCGGCGCGACACCUUGAUCUCCAUCGUAGCAUCGUUGUCGUCUCGCCAAUCUUAUGCUUCUAUGACUAUCGCUACCGCUUAGUGAUAAAGUAAAGCAUUACAGGGCGAUGCAUUGCAUACAAUAAAGCGACAACCAUAUGGCUCCUGCCAGUUGCCGAUAACUUCGGUUUACAAAACAUGAUCAUCUCAUACAAUAAAAUUUAGCAUCAUGCCUUGACCAUAUCACAUCACAACAUGCCCUGCAAAAACAAGUUAGACGUCCUCUACUUUGUUUGUUGCAAGUUUUACGUGGCUACUACGGGCUUAAGCAAGAACCAAUCUUACCUACGCAUCAAAACCACAACGAUAGUUUGUCAAGUUGAUGUCGUUUUAACCUUCGCAAGGACCGGGCGUAGCCACACUUGGUUCAACUAAAGUUGGAGAAACUGACACCCGCCAGCCACCUGUGUGCAAAGCACGGCGGUAGAACCAGUCUCGCGUAAGCGUACGCGUAAUGUCGGUCCGGGCCGCUUCAUCCAACAAUACCGCCGAACCAAAGUAUGACAUGCUGGUAGGCAGUAUGACUUAUAUCGCCCACAACUCACUUGUGUUCUACUCGUGCAUAUAACAUCAAACCAUAAAAACCUGGCUCGGAUGCCACUGUAGGGGAACGUAGUAAUUUCAAAAAUUUCCUACGCACACGCAAGAUCAUGGUGAUGCAUAGCAACGAGAAGGGAGAGUGUUGUCUACGUACCCUCGUAGACCGGCAACGGAAGCGUUGACACAACGUAGAGGAAGUAGUCGUACAUCUUCCCGAUCCGACCGAUCAAGCACCGAAACUACGGCACCUCCGAGUUCGAGCACACGUUCAGCUCGAUGACGAUCCCCGGGCUCCGAUCCAGCAAAGCGUCGGGGAAGAGUUCCGUCAGCACGACGGCGUGGUGAUGAUCUUGAUGUUCUACCGUCGCAGGGCUUCGCCUAAGCGCCGCUACAAUAUGACCGAGGUGGAAUAUGAUGGAGGGGGGCACCGCACACGGCUAAGGAACGAUCACGAAGAUCAACUUGUGUGUCCAUGGGGUGCCCCCUGCCCCCGUAUAUAAAGGAGUGGAGGAGGGGAGGGUCGGCCCUCUCUAUGGCGCGCCCUGGGGAAUCCUACUCCCACCGGGAGUAGGAUUCCCCUUUUCCUAGUCCAAAUAGGAACCCUUCCAAGUAGUAGGAGUAGGAGGGAAGGAAAGGGAAAGGAAAAGGAGAAGGAAGGAAGGGGGCGCCCCCCCUCCUUAGUCCAAUUCGGACUAGCUCAUGGGGAGGGGUGCGGCCACCCUUUGAGCCCUUCCUCUCUUUUCCCGUAUGGCCCAUUAAGGCCCAAUACGAAUUCCUGUAACUCCCCGGUACUCCCGAAAAUACCCGAAUCACUCGGAACCUUUCCGAUGUCCGAAUAUAGUCGUCCAAUAUACCGAUCUUUACGGCUCGACCAUUUCGAGACUCCUCAGCAUGUUCCCGAUCUCAUCCGGGACUCCGAACUCCUUCGGUACAUCAAAACUCAUAAACUCACACUAUAACUGUCAUCGAAACCUUAAGCGUGCGGACCCUACGGGUUCGAGAACAAUGCAGACAUGACCGAGACACGUCUCCGGUCAAUAACCAAUAGCGGGACCUAGAUGCCCAUAAUGGCUCCUACAUAUUCUACGAAGAUCUUUAUCGGUCAGACCGCAUAACAACAUAUGUUGUUCCCUUUGUCAUCGGUAUGUUACUUGCCCGAGAUUCGAUCGUCGGUAUCUCAAUACCUAGUUCAAUCUCGUUACCGGCAAGUCUCUUUACUCGUUCCGUAAUACAUCAUCUCACAACUAACUAAUUAGUUGCAGUGCUUGCAAGGCUUAGGUGAUGUGUAUUACCGAGAGGGCCCAGAGAUACCUCUCCGACAAUCGGAGUGACAAAUCCUAAUCUCGAAAUACGCCAACCCAACAUGUACCAUUGGAGACACCUGUAAUGCUCCUUUAUAAUCACCCAGUUACGUUGUGACGUUUGGUAGCACCCAAAGUGUUCCUCCGGCAAACGGGAGUUGCAUAAUCUCAUAGUCAUAGGAACAUGUAUAAGUCAUGAAGAAAGCAAUAGCAACAUACUAAACGAUCGGGUGCUAAGCUUAUGGAAUGGGUCAUGUCAAUCAGAUCAUUCAACCAAUGAUGUGAUCCCGUUAAUCAAAUAACAACUCUUUGUCCAUGGUUAGGAAACAUAACCAUCUUUGAUUAAUGAGCUAGUCUAGUAGAGGCAUACUAGUGACACUUUGUAUGGCUAUGUAUUCACACAUGUAUUAUGUUUCCAGUUAAUACAAUUCUAGCAUGAAUAAUAAACAUUUAUCAUGAUAUAAGGAAAUAAAUAAUAACUUUAUUAUUGCCUCUAGGGCAUGUUUCCUUCACAUCAUACUUCAUUGUGCAUCAUGCCAUGUUUAUAUUAUGGUUGUUUACCAUGUUGUUUGCUUCUUUCCGGUGUUGCUUCUUCGGGUUAGUUCCGAUAAUGUCGCGUUUGUGAGGAUUCGUUCGACUUCGUCCGUUUGUCUUCUUCAUGGUUGUUCUUCUUCCUUGUGGGAUCUCAGGCAAGAUGACCAUACCCUCUAAAUCACUUCUAUCUUUGCUUGCUAGUUGUUCGCUCUAUUGCUAUGUCGCGCUACCUACCACUUGCUAUAUCAUGCCUCCCAUAUUGCCAUGUCAAGCCUCUAACCCACCUUCCUAGCAAACUGUUGUUUGGCUAUGUUACCGCUUUUGCUCGGCCCCUCUUAUAGCGUUGCUAGUUGCAGGUGAAGAUGAAGAUUGUUCCAUGUUGGAUUAUGUUUAUGUUGGGAUAUCACAAUAUCUCUUACAUUAUUAAUGCAUCUAUAUACUUGGUAAAGGGUGGAAGGCUCGGCCUAAUGCCUGGUGUUUUGUUCCACUCUUGCCGCCCUAGUUUCCGUCAUAUCGGUAUUAUGUUCCCGGAUUUUGCGUCCCUAACGCGGUCGGGUGUUAUGGGAACCCCUUGACAGUUCGCUUUGAAUAAAACUCCUCCAGCAAGGCCCAACAUUGGUUUUCCAUUUGCCUGCCUAAGCCUUUUUCCCUUGGGUUUCCGGAGCCCGAGGGUCAUCUUUAUUUACCCCCCGGGCCAGUGCUCCUCUGAGUGUUGGUCCAAACUAGAGCACCGUGCGGGACCGUCCCUUGGCAACUUGGGUUACGUUGGUACCUGUACGCUUAGCUUAUCCGUUGUGCCCUGAGAACGAGAUAUGUGCAUCUCCUAUCGGGAUUUGUCGGCACAUUCGGGCGGUCUUGCUGGUCUUGUUUUACCAUCGUGGAAAUGUCUUGUAAACCGGGAUUCCGGGUCUGACCGGGUCUUCCCGGGAGAAGGAAUAUCCUUCGUUGAUCGUGAGAGCUUGUGAUGGGCUAAGUUGGGACACCCCUGCAAGGUAUAAACUUUCGAGAGCCAUGCCCGCGGUUAUGUGGCAGAUGGGAAUUUCUUAAUAUCCGGUUGUAGAGAACUUGACACUUGACUUAAUUAAAAUACAUCAACCGCGUGUGUAGCCGUGAUGGUCUCUUUUCGGCGGAGUCCGGGAAGUGAACACGGUUCUUGUGUUAUGGUUGUGCGUAAGUAGUUUCAGGAUGGCUUCUUGAUCACUUCUAGCUUCACGACCUUUGCAUUGCUUCUCUUCUCGCUCUUAUUUGCGUAUGUUAGCCACCAUAUUUUUGCAUAGCGCUUGCUGCAGCUCCACCUCAUUACCACAUCCUACCCAUAAGCUUAAAUAGUCUUGAUCUCGCGGGUGUGAGAUUGAUGAGUCCUCGUGACUCACGGAUACUUCCAAACAGUUGCGGGUGCCGACGAUGCCAGUGCAGAUGAUGCUACCGAACUCAAGCGGGAGUUCAACGAAGACCUUGGUCAUUUUAUGUUUCUUUUCCCGAUGAUCAGUAGUGGUGCCCAGUUGGGGACGAUCGGUAUCUAGCAGUUGGAUUGUCUUCUUUUCUUUUGGUUCCGUAGUCGGACCUAUGUGUAUACUCUGAAUGAUGUAUGUUUAAUUAAUGUAUUGCGUGAAGUGGCGAUUGUAAGCCAACUCUUUAUCCCAUUCUUGUUCAUUACAUGGGAUUGUGUGAAGAUGACCCUUCUUGCGAAAAAACCACAAUGCGGUUAUGCCUCUAAGUCGUGCCUCGACACGUGGGAGAUAGCUGCAUCGUGGGCAUUACAAGUUGGUAAUCAGAGCCAUCCCCAACUUAGGAGCCCCCUACUUGAUCGAAUCGCUGGCGUUGUUGAGUCUAGAACAAAAAAAUGUUUUGAGUCUUAGGAUUAUAUAUAUCAGAGAGUAGAAUUCUUUUUACUCCUCAAUCCCUUCAUCGCUCUAGUGAGGUCUCAUGACGUAGAUGUUUUGUCUUUCCUCUCCUCAAAUUUCACUAAUUUUUUUAGGAUCACACGGGUAUCUUGGAAUCGUUCCGAUAUUCUUUUGACGAGAACAUUGUUCUUGGUGCCUCCUGACAGUUAGGGGUUGUGGCACUGUCCCGGGGAGUUGAGCUCCGUGGUGUUGUCGUCACAAUUUUAUCGUUGCAGUUCUGGAAUACCUGAGUUUUUUUUGCCGACAUCGAAAAUCUCUUUUAUGCAGUUGUUGGUGAGAUUACCUCGACGCCACCCAGUACUGGGGCGGGAGUUUUGGAGUAUUGCCAUAGCUCGUAUAACGGAUGCUUUUCGAAGGUUGAGGUACACGAUUUCCGGAGUUUUCUUGGUUAUGUGUUGACGGAUGGAUACAGCUGGAUCUAGGGAUUGUUAGUUUGGGUGAGAUAUUAUGUGUCCCCUGUAUCCCCAACACCAGAUUGCAUAACCAGAAAGUUUCAAAAGUUUAUAAGUGGGAAUUCAAGUAUCUCAUAGGAUAUCUUUCCAACAGACACAUGAUACGAUAUGGGAUCUAUCAUAUGUUUGUUUCUGGCUUAUUCUGCGAGCCAAAUCCUUUGUUUUGUUUUGAGUUGUGGUAUUCGACUUGCUUCAAAGUCAAAUAUGGAUUCCAUACCUUUUUUUCUUUCUAAACGGUGUUCUCAUAUUCCUAUGUGAAUACUAAUCCUUCUUGAUCAUCGAGUUUGUCAUCUCAAUUUCUUCUCAAACGGCGUGCUUCUCUUCAAGUGGGUCCGAUCAUCUUAACAUUCGCAAGAUCACCCCUCAAUUUUUCCCAACGUUGUUCGUUUCAUCCGUCCCCAAGUUGCCUUUGUAUUUCCCGCCCUCCCACCCUUUUCCUCAAGGACUCAGAUUUAUUAAUCAAGUAUCCUUUUUAUUGAUGCGAAAUCUCUUCAUUCUUUUCUUUCAAUGUUCUUAUCUGGUGAUUUCCCAUGAAGAUAGUAACAGAGCUUCAAGUUUAUUAUUCUUCGUUAUUUUUCUUCUCCGGUGGAUUUAAUGCAAACUUUAUCGGUCAUAUCCUUUCCUCGUUUCAAAUGCUUUCUCAUCUCGGUGCAUCUCUUAAUCAUCCACUUCUUGCUACUCAUGUUAUCUGGAGUGUUGAAGAUAUGCCAGAAGAUUCAAGUUUCCUUUCUUAUUCCUUCCAAGCUAUUUCGAGGUUGUUACCUCGUUCAGGACGUUCAAAUCAAACGGUGCAUUAUCUCUUCCUAAGCAACCUUUCCAACGGUGUUUUCUUUGAGUGGGCCCAUAACCCACAGGUCUUUUCCCAAGAUCUUGCCUGACUCUUCUUUUCCCGAAGCUAUUCUCAAAAUCAUUGCAAAGUUUGACGUAAGAAUGAAUUAUCAUCAGUCAAAUGUUUUUCUCCAAGAUCUUUCAAAUUCUUUUCAUCGUUGGUUCAACCUUUCUAAUUUUAUCCCGGAGUAUCUCAACAAUUCGUGGUGGUAUUUCUCGUCGUCAUUCUCAGAUUUUGAAGACCGAGCAAGAGAUUUCUUCUAAAAAUCUUGCUCCAUUCUCGUGAAGAUUCAUGGUUCUAGCUUGUUGCCAUCCUCAUAAUUGUUUUUGAUUGUGACAAUUCUUUUCUUACAACCCGGAGCAUUUCAUGAAUUCUUUCCAUUUUAUUCCUACGAAGGCCAUCAUUUCGUGUUUAUUCAUUCUCAGUUUUCAGCUCUCGCUCUCCAAAUUUUACCGGUGCAUCAUUCAAGUAUUCUCUAAUCAGUUCGUGAUCUAUUCGUUCUCAUCUAUCUAUCUAUCUAUCUAUCUAUCUAUCUAUCUAUACCUCUAUACCUCUACUAAUUACAGACUCCCAAGAAAUUACCACGUUAAUUAGAAAUUAUGAGCCGUUUAUUUGGUGGGCCCAAAAUUAUUACGGUGUAGAUCAUCCAAUUUUUUCACAACAGAGAAAAAAAAUUAUUAAAAAAAUUAAUAUUGAGGAGAAGGGAUUCCAGGCUCCCACGUUUAUAAUCUAGAGAUAGAGAAACAACUAAAGUUUAUAAUCACGGUUCCAAGAGGCUCACACAUUUAUAAUCUAGAGAUAGAGAAACGACUAAUAUUUUAUAAGGCCAACCACAAACGUGUUGUGACAGAACUCUCAGCCUAGAGCACCAACCUUCCCCCGAUCUUCUACUUAAAAAGAAAAUACAAGGCAACCCUUUCCCUGAUCUUCUUAAUUACGUGCACCUCAUCUAAAAGAUAAAAGAAUUCAAUCAUGGCCGCCUCAUACUCAUACAUGGCUGGCUCAUCUAAAAGAUGACCGUGCCUAUCUCCCUCCGACGCCUCCUCUCCAGCAUUGUUCUUCCCAUCAUGUGGCUGCUGCAUAAUCUCGUGAGACCGAUCUAUCGUGCAUCUGGCCGCCCUGAAUUCCUCAUGGCAGCGUUCUUUCGUGUUCUCACCACGGUAAAUUUCUUCUGGCAGCGCAGAGCCGCCACUUCCUAGACAAAGUGGAGAUCGGUUAAGAAGAGGAAGAAGAUGCGCUCCGGCAGCACCGAUACAUCAAGGCGGCAGAGGAAGAUGAGAAGAAUCAUGCAGCCAAAGGAUCAGGUACACGGUGAUACACACCACACACAAGUCCUGCAGGCAGCCGGACAUGGGCAGCUUCAUCGAAGAUGGCAAGAUCGACUUGGUGUUGCAGUACUUUCCUCCUUCCUCUACCAACAAUGUCUUUUAUCUCCUCACGUGCUUUCCUGUGCCAGUUUGAGUCCAACUUAUGUCUUUCUACUUGAAAGUGCCCUUGAAGUGUUUGAUGAAUUUUCAACUUUGCCAAGACAUGAAUUCCUGUAGAAGAGUUUUCCGACAGAAUUUUUUUAAGCAUAUAAAGUUAUGGUAGAAUAGCAAGCACCAUGAUGUACUUUGGUGUAACCUUUCCAUGCAAUCUUUUUGAGUACAUACUCUGUUUGUUACUAAUGUGGAACUAAGUUCUUCAUGUACGGUGUAUCAAAAUUGCAUCUGUAAACUUUUGACAUUGAUCUUUGCUUUACAUCGCGUCACUAAUUACAUGUUAGCUUCCAUGAAUACUUGCUCUACUUUGAAUCAAGACACUGCAUGUGAUUUAGUUGUACGAGGUACGGUUUGAAGCCAAAUACAUAUCAAUUGCAUCCUGGAUGUCUAAGGAUAGCACAAACAAAUUUCAGGUUGUGCCUUUCUUCUUUUUUUUUCUACCUUUAAUCCUUUAUCUUCCAGCUCUAAAUGAUAAUUAACAUGAGUGUUUAUGUUGUUAGCAUUCCACCACACCAAUAUGAAGUAUAUCUACACAUAUCUUAAUAACUUAAAGCAAAUCUUUGCACUGGAGCAGGUAUACUGACUGCAGUGCUGAUCAGGUGACUGCGGUCUUUGGUGAUGCUGCUGACCCGAGGAAAUAUGGGGGGCUGGUGCUGUAGCAGUUUAUCUGCUCUAAACCGUUCUAAGUCUGAAGCACGUUACUCCUGCGGGCUGCGCCCCUGCCCCAGACUCCAUAGGCAAGUGAACCCAUUACCCUGAAAAAUCAUUUUUUCGGUUCUUUAGCUGGGCAAGUUCAUUAGAAAAACCCCAAUUGGUUGGCUUAAUUGCAUUCUUUGGUCAAGAAAAAUUUGUACUAUUAGAUGUCUAUCUAUGAGCAGCCUGACUAAGGGGUGUAGGAGACUAAUGAAAGCAGCUGCGGUGGUCUCCAUCAUCGCUAGAACAGUAAUUAAAACAUGGGCAAACCAGUUCAGCUCAAUGGACAUUGUUGAUUCUUAUUGAAGGCUUGGUUUAUAGGUAUUUUUCUAUGUCACGCCAUGUUAUCUAAUAGAUUUAUGUUAUGUUUCCUAUGCAAAUGGUUUACGUGUUGCAUAUCCUUUCUUCUAAAUACAUGCUAAUUCUCCAGUUAUCUGCAUGCAUGCUAUAUAUUCUUAUUCUGCCAUGCAGCAUUAGGGAAAGGUAUGAUGACUUUAAUGUAAAUAUUUUCUUUUCAUUUGACAUUUAACUUAAGUUCACAAAUUAGUCAGAAUCAUGUCUAAUACAGUAAUCUAUACAUGUGAAGGUACUUGAGUGGCGGAGCAGCUUGCAGGUUGUACGCAAAUAAAAAUCUUCGAGAGAUCAAUUGUUUAUUGCAAGUUUUGGUUUUAACAUUACUUUUGGUUCUCAGUUAGGAUUCUUUAUUACACGCGGACGCGGCCAUACUAACUUCUCGGAUGAUGUGUCAGAGUCGGUUACUGUAUGUUUCUCUUUGUUGUGCUCGGUUGCGGCAGAGUUUCUGGUGCAAUAAGCUAGCUAUACAGAUCACUUGAGUGUACAAGUUUAUUUACAUUGUUGCUAUGAUGAAUGUGAAAAGGACUAUUCUGAUGAUGUCCAAGUGAAAAACAAAUUGUUCCUAUGAUGAAUGUGGAAAGGACUAUUCUGAUGAUGUCCAAGUGAAAAACAAAACAUUUCGAUGAUUUUUUCAUACAGUCGUAACAUGACUAUGAUGUCCAUAUUUGCCAAGCCCGUUUCAAACAACAUGCUUGAUUCUUUUCAAACAGGUCCAACAUUCUGAUGUCAUAGCUGCUACUUAUAGAGAUAUAGGAAGGUACUUUCAGUUUCGGAAAUAAACAAUAGAAAGUACUUUAUGUCUUUUCAUAAUUUAUAAUAGUGUGUCAAGUAGAUUGAUUAGGGUGUACAUUAUGCCAGUUAAACUAAAUUAGUAUAUAUAUGCAUGGACUGUGCUUUUGAAAAGUAGUUACAGAUUGAAGAGCUCUUUUUUGGGGGGAUAGACAUAUCAAAAAGCUGACUACACAAAAAAACAUCCUGCUUUUUUGAAGUAAUAAAAAAUCCAAUUAGGAAAUAACAAAGAAUUAUAAUUCCUUAGUUCCACAAAUAACCAUAGCAGACUACUAUAACUUUUACAAAUUUGUAUACUAACAAUUUUUCAAUAUUUAUAUGUUUCCCUGAAUAUCUAGCUACAGCUGGUGCCCUUUUUUGUUUACUACAAGGAUGAAAUUGAUGCAAUCAUACUCUCAGAUCCCCAUAUAUGAGUUUUUACCAUUUUUCUCAUAAAAUUCUCUAUGUGAUUGCCUUUCCUCUUUAGUUCUGAUAGUUUUAUGUCUGACAUAGGUAGGUUCAUGUUAUUCUUAUAUUUAAUCUUCACCAAAAGGUUUCAAGUCCCUCAGAGUCUGUAGAGUUUAUUGAAAUAGAUAUUUCUAUUGAGUUACGUUACCAUUAGAUCUUACUACCACUACAACCACUUUUAAAUAAUGAUGUACGGAAAAAAUGUGAAAGGACUCUAGGGAUUCACCGUUACUAUUUAUGUGUCAAAUUAAUUGUAGUUUCAUCGAUGUGCCAACGUAUGUAAAUACGCUUAGCGUUCCCACCCUUGACUAAAAGUACGUCAGUACAGUUUGUCAGUAUAUGCAACCUUAAUUUGUGAACACUACUGGUGUAGCAUGUUUGAAAGAGGCUUUUGUUUUGAAUUUACUUGUGUCUCCAAAAUAGAGGCACGUGAUAUAGGCUUCUCACCCUUUGAACUUUUGUCAACCGGAAUACGCAUGUUAUAUUUUGUACCAUAUAGACUGAACAAGUUGUAUGUUCAUUUCCUAUUAACUUUGGAAAUGUGGUCAUCUCCACUGUGAAAGCUAACAUUUGCACUGUUUAACACAUAUCAAAAUUAUAUCAUUAUUUUGUGAUUUUUAACAAAUUGUUUGCUAUUUAUAUAUAGCUAACCCGUGCAGAUGCACGGGUUGACGACUAGCUUAAUUAAUAAAUCAUGGUUAGCUCCAACAGUUUAUUUCCCAUGUUUCCUGAUGCUAUUUACUACUGGACUUAGGAACACGAGAAACAUCAUGUUGUGAUAUGACUUGCUGGAGCAAGAUUAUAUUGACCAAAAUUUGUUGAAUUUUAGCAAAUCAUAUCAAAAAUGAAAAAUACAUGUAUGUAUUUGGUUCUAUCGGUGGUGGCCAGAAAAAGCAUCAAGAGAUGGUUGUGUAGUAUACCUGAUUGAUCUCUCUGGUGACGUGUGAAAUGUGAGAGGAACAUGAGUACUUGAAUCAGGCUAGAUGUAAAUUUAAAUAAAUUUAUCAUUCAAUAAUAUGUAGACUGGGACCAGCCGACCGAGGAAUCUCUAGUACGUGUGCAGGGCCAGAAAGAGGCUCGCAAGGAAGAUGUGUUAACCCCCGUUGAGUACUACCAGGCCAGGUCUGGCCCAUCUUUUAUUUCCAGCCCGAUCGACCAUAACAGUCCUAGGUAAGUUUGUGGAGCAGCGGCCCUAGAAACAGCAUGCGAGGCUCGAGUACAACCGAUCGAUCUAAUCAAACGGUCAUGGACGUCAAAACGCUAUGAGCAGCCGUAGCUCAAUCCAUUAUAAUGUUUCUUAAUUGGUUGUUUCCGUAGUGGCAGAAUUUCACCUCAAUUUUGAGAAGUUUUCCAUAAGCCCACUAUAAACUUAUUCGUUUCGUUGUUGGUUUUCCAACAACUCCGUUCUAACCUUCUUGGAAGGGUGCUUUCCAAAAUCAUUUGUAGCAGAAGUUGGCAUUUUCUUCUCCAUUCCUUUAUUCCAAUGAUCUAUCUUCUAUUCUUUCUUCCGGAGGCAUGGUGAUGUUGCUCUCUUCACUCAUCAUCUCGAAUUGUGAUGAUCGUGUUCUUAUCUCGCUUAUCCAUUUGACCGGAGUGUUGUGUCUAUCAUUCCUCUUUUAACCGGAGUCUCAUCCAAGUGGUUUCAUUUUGCCAAGUUCAUGAUUCUAAUUCCUUCCAUUUUCAGUCGGAGUGCUGCCCAAAUUAUUCCUUCUCUAUCUUGUUUUAACCGGAGUGGUUUCAUUAUAUAUCUUGUCACUUAACCUCUUGGUUCUUGUUGUAUCCCUUGUUCCUCUUUGCUAACGGAGUGUUUGCAAUCUCAUUCAUCUCCAUUAUAUUCUUUCUUUAAAUUCGUUCAACCUCUCAAGCCUCAUUGGUUUCACUCGUUUGUCAAAGAAGCAACUUUGUUUUACCUCUUCCCCUUCCGUUUCUCCCCGGUGCCAUCCUAGAUCUCGGGACGAGAUCCUCUCGUAGUGGUGGAGUGUUGUAACGCCCCAAGACCGACGCUUCAGAUGCCUUUCAGUUAUUUCGUUUCCACCGUAUGUUUCAAUUGCUUUGUUGCAUUCAUCAUGUCAUCUCUUGCAUUGCAUCAUGUCAUCAUGCCAUCAUGUUUUUUUAACUCAACUAAAUAAAUCACAUGGAUCUUCUGUCCAUUUAAAUCAAGGGAAUUCACAUAGUGAUUUCUCUUUAUAACAUAUUCUCUCGAUAUUUAGAGAGCUAUAAUAAAUAUUCCAUUAAUUUGGAAUUAAUCAUAACACACUUGCAUUUUAGUUCCAUGCCUCUUCUGCUUCAAGUUUCACCUCCUAAAUUCUCAACAUUUUUGGACACUCCUAAAACCUCGUCCGAGUUCAAACCAUUUGAAGUAAAAUCAAAUGAGUUUGAAUUCAACUUCACACGUGUGCCCACUUCUAUUUUUCCGGGAUCUAGCUCAUUUUUGUGAGUCCGGGAAAUUUAUCCGCGUGUCCAACUUCUUCCCCUAACCCCUCUUUCUUUUCUUCCUGAUCUCUGUUUUUUUUUAGUAGUGAGAGAGAGAGCCCAGCCGCAACCUGCAGCCAGGCCGGCCCAUUUGCGUCAUGGACCAUCCAACGUGCCCAUCCAUCCCUUCUAACCCUAGCCCGAUCCCCUCGCAGCCUCUCUCCCUCUCAUUAUCGUGCCCGCCGCGACACCCGCAUCGCGCCCGAUCCCCAUCUCCCUCCGCUCGAUCUCCUCACCCUCUCGUUCUCCCAGCACCUCCCAUCCCUCGCGCCCGCGCCUCUCCCGAUCCGCCGCCGCCGUGGCCUGGCCCCCCAUCCUCGUCAGCGCCCGCGCCCCCUCCUCCCUCUGAUCGGCCUCAACCGCCUGGAGACGUGGCGCCUUCCCGCCACGGCGCCCGCCAAGACCCCUUCGAGGUUUUCGCCAAGUCCGACCACCGCUGAACCGAGGGCUUUUUGCCUUGCUUGGAUACGCCAAGACCUUUCUGAAUUUUGCAAGUAGCAUGACACAAUGACCGUGGUUUCGACACGCAUGCGCCAAGUUCCACUACCCUCGCUCGGAUUCGACAAGACAAUGUGUACCACUACUUGCACUAUGGCUCGUGAACCACUACUUCCCUCAACGAACUCGAACCGCUCUGAGAUGCACGCUUCGAAAGUAUAAACCCAAGACAACGCACGUGUACGAAUGAUUGUGAUGUAUGAGUUGCUCGUGUCCGAAUUGAUCCUUGCAUGUUCCUCCUUAUUUGCCAUGCCGACGACCCGUGGGAACCCGGUUAUCGGGAUCACCCCACCAUCCUUGCAUGACACGCUCACGCCCACUUUCUUUUGCACCGACAUCUCGACGAGUUGUCGGAUCAUCGGAAUGUUGCCGUGGCACCCCCUUCGUUCCGCCACGGAGACAAAUGCUUCAUAACAUGCUCAUGCCAACAUUUUCGUAAAAUUGCAUCAACUUGCAUAUGUCAUCCGCAUCAUGAUAACAACAUGUAAAUGCUUUAAAAUGUUGUUUGCAUGAAAAUUGCUAAAUGCAUAUGGGGUUUUUUCGGAAUUGUUGUUUGUUAUUUCCGGCCUCAUUUAAAUUGCCUAAAAUGUGUAGUUUACAUAUACCUCACCUCUUUCCAUGUUAAGAACAUUUAAACUUGUUGGGUGCUUAAACGAGAGCAAACUAAAUAACUCGAAUGUGGUGUUUCGUCAAUAUGCAACUCAUUGCAUAUUGAGCUCCACUUAAUUUGUAGUGUUGUUUGUUGCACUUUGCCAUGUCAUGCCUCUUUAAACCGGACAUGCAUCAUACUUCAUUGUGCAUCAUGCCAUGUUUAUGUGAUGGUUGAUUACCAUGUUGUUUGCUUCUUUCCGGUGUUGCUUCUUUGGGUUAGUUCCGAUAAUGUCCCGUUUGUGAGGAUUCGUUUGACUUCGUCCGUUUGUCUUCUUCAUGGACUUGUUCUUCUUCCUUGCGGGAUCUCAGGCAAGAUGACCAUACCCUCGAAAUCACUUCUAUCUUUGCUUGCUAGUUGUUCUCUCUAUUGCUAUGCCGCGCUACCUACCACUUGCUAUAUCAUGCCUCCCAUAUUGCCAUGUCAAGCCUCUAACCCACCUUCCUAGCAAAUCGUUGUUUGGCUAUGUUACCGCUUUUGCUCAGCCCCUCUUAUAGCGUUGCUAGUUGCAGGUGAAGAUGAAGAUUGCUCUAUGUUGGAUUAUGUUUAUGUUGGGAUAUCACAAUAUCUCUUACAUUACUAAUGCAUCUAUAUACUUGGUAAAGGGUGGAAGGCUCGGUCUUAUGCCUGGUGUUUUGUUCCACUCCUGCCGCCCUAGUUUCCGUCAUAUCGGUAUUAUGUUCCCGGAUUUUGCGUCCCUAACGCGGUCGGGUGUUAUGGGAACCCUUGACAGUUCGCUUUGAAUAAAACUCCUCUAGCAAGGCCCAACAUUGGUUUUCCAUUUGCCUACCUAAGCCUUUUUCCCCUGGGUUUCCGGAGCCCGAGGGUCAUCUUUAUUUACCCCCCGGGCCAGUGCUCCUCUGAGUGUUGGUCCAAACUAAAGCACCGUCCGGGACCGUCCCUUGGCAACUUGGGUUACAUUGGUACCUGUACGCUUAGCUUAUCCGGCGUGCCCUGAGAACGAGAUAUGUGCAGCUCCUAUCGGGAUUUGUCGGCACAUUCGGGCGGUCUUGCUGGUCUUGUUUAACCAUCAUCGAAAUGUCUUGUAAACCGGGAUUCCGGGUCUGACCGGGUCUUCCCGGGAGAAUGAAUAUCCUUCGUUGAUCGUGAGAGCUUGUGAUGGGCUAAGUUGGGACACCCCUGCAGGGUAUAAACUUUCGAGAGCUGUGCCCGUAGUUAUGUGGCAGAUGGGAAUUUGUUAAUAUCCGGUUGUAGAGAACUUGACACUUGACUUAAUUAAAAUACAUCAACCGCGUAUGUAGCCGUGAUGGUCUCUUUUCGGCGGAGUCCGGGAAGUGAACACGGUUCUUGUGUUAUGGUUGUGCGUAAGUAGUUUCAGGAUCGCUUCUUGAUCACUUCUAACUUCAUGACCGUUGCGUUGCUUCUCUUCUCGCUCUUAUUUGCGUAUGUUAGCCACCAUAUUUUUGCUUAGCGCUUGCUGCAGGUCCACCUCAUUACCACAUCCUACCCAUAAGCUUAAAUAGUCUUGACCUCGUGGGUGUGAGAUUGCUGAGUCCUCGUGACUCACUGAUACUUCCAAACAGUUGCAGGUGUCGACGAUGCCAGUGCAGAUGAUGCUACCGAACUCAAGCGGGAGUUCGACGAAGACCUUGGUCGUUUUAUGUUUCUUUUCCCGAUGAUUAAUAGUGGUGCCCAGUUGGGGACGAUCGGGAUCUAGCAGUUGGGUUGUCUUCUUUUCUUUUGGUUCCGUAGUCGGACCUAUGUGUGUACUCUGAAUGAUGUAUGUUUAAUUAAUGUAUUGUGUGAAGUGGCGAUUGUAAGCCAGCUCUUUAUCCCAUUCUUGUUCAUUAUAUGGGAUUGUGUGAAGAUGACCCUUUUUCCGACAAAACCACAAUGCGGUUAUGCCUCUAAGUCGUGCCUCGACACAUGGGAGAUAUAGCCGCAUCGUGGGCGUUACAUGUGUGCUUCCUGAACCUGAAGCCAUCGCGCUGCUGAACCCGAAAAAUGCAGCGUAGCAACACAGACCCAGAGAUCCGGCUACACCCCGUAGACUGUGAAGUAUUACUCGCAUCUGGUCUUCCAGAAUUGGGGGGUUUUGCCCUCAAACAGGGGGAAAUCCAGUUUGCGCAGAGCCCGGUUGGAGUGCAAGGUGUGGUGGUAGCUAUCAUCAUGUCCUACCAGCUAAUCGACUAGGGAAGGAGGGGUAAGGACGAGAUCGGAGAACACACCCUUGCCCGGAGGCGGCGCCAGGAUGGUGACCACCCCGUGAGCCGUACCCCUGGAAUCGAUGACCUCGUCGUGGCCACUUGGCCCGUGGUGCCCCGGGUCGUCGACGGGCUGAGUCGCGGCCGACCGCACCACCGCGUCCUCCUAGGUCGCCGGAGGCGACGCGAGCACUGGGUGAAGCGCGAUCUGCCCGACCUGCGUGCGCAUCUCUUCCAGCAGCUGCUGCAGAUUGGUCACCGCUGGGCGCCACAUCUCGAGCGACUGCUGGAUCGCAUCGAGCCAGGCGUCGUUGGCCGCGCGCCCGUCACUGAUCGCCUUGGCGAGCGCCGCGAUCUGUUCCUCCAUCGCCGCAGCCUGCUUGGCCGCUUUGGUGUGGUACCUUGGCUUUUGGUAGAGCGGAUCCAGGUCAUCUGACGUCUGAUACGACUUGUUACGGGCCUCGAUCUAGGGUUCGUGGAGUAGGAGAGGGAUUCGGGGAAGCAGUGAAGGGGGUUUGGAAGUCGCCGAGAGGGGAAGAACAACUUCUCUCUUCGGUUCGAUUUGUUUAGUGGAAUAUUCGAUACCCACCCUCUGGUGGCCGCUCGCUACUUAACCCUGCGGCACGCAUGCCUCACCCACACCACACACACUCACAGCCUGGCCCACAUGCCAGGCAGUCACGCCUUCGCUUCCGCGUCCUCGCCGCCCUUGGAUGCGCUGGCAGUCUCCCUGCCAGGUGGGGGCGCCGUAACAUAUAAUAAAUGAAGAAAACAAAAUAGGGAGGUGGUUCGCCGUGGGCUAGGGCGUGGCCCAAGUUGCAGCCCAAAGUGGCGGUGGUCAGGAGGAGGAGGUGGAGGCCCGAGUAAAACCCUGGCCCCGGUUUAUACAUUAUUGAGAAGCUAGGCCUAGAGCUAUCUUAUCAUGCGCAAGUGAAACCGUAUGAAGUGAUGACACUGAAGGUAGAGUAAUGAGUAGACGGUGAUAAAAGAGGGCGAAGGUAGAUCAAAUUUUGUCUUGGUGGGGUAGGAGAAAUAAGAUGCGUGUCUAGAAAAUUAGAACAAAUGGAAGAAGCGAUGAAGUUGUGGGGACGAAAGGAACACGUGCAACAUUUUUAUGCUGUCCCGUGGCAACCACGGACAUUGUCCUAGUAAAAAAAGUAAACGCUUGCUGAUCGAUGAAUCUAGUGAUGCUUAUUUUAUUUUUUGAACGAUUUGAAGAUUGCCUACCAUGCCUGCCGCGCGGACAGUGCUUGGUAUUACUGCUGAUGUUAAACUGUUUUUAUAUUCCAUAUAUAUAAUAAUGAAUAUAUUUUGAGGGAAAUAUAUAUAAUUGAAGCGACCUGACCUCAGACGGUCAAAUCUCUGUGCAUAAGUGUCAUCUCUGGAUCGGUAAUCCUGACACACACAGUACUUGAAGGAUUUAUAACAGAGUAGCAAUCACACACUUCUUACAUCGAGAGUCUCAAAAGAGAACUGGAAACAAUAAAUAUGGCUUAAGGCCAUCUAAAUAUGAUAACAGCGGAAGACUUGGAAGAUAAGUGAGUCCAUCAACUCCAACGGCAUAGCUGUGUGCACGACAACGACCUAAUCGCAUCCUUACUCAUCGUCUGAAAAGUCUGCAACAUAAUACGUUGCAGCCCGAAAACGGGUCAGCACAUGGAAUAUGCUGGCAAAAUAAUACAGUAGAGCAAUGAGCAGAAAUAAUGCUAUCACUACAUGCAUAUUUGGCUGGUGGAAAACUCUAUGGUUAUAGUUUUUGUGAAAAGCCAAUUUUUCCCUACAACAAAGAAAUAAAUUUUAUUUUAACUAUCAUGGUAGUUGAAACAUCGUUGAGAAGGUUCCUCCAACUCAACCCCAAUUAAAAGUGAUUAUCAACCCAACAUAUUAAAUUAGAGUGAUGAGAUACAUAGGAUAAUUCAAGUACUAGAUACUCAAGAUGUCCAUAACCGGGGACACGGCUAACCAUGAUUAGAUUGUACACUCUGCAGAGGUUUGCGCACUUUUCCCCACAAGACUCGAUCUCCUCCGUUGGAUUUCUAGCACUACAUGGUAUUUGAGAAACGGAUGACUGAGACACAGUUUCUCAGAAGCACUCUAACCCCGGAUAGACAGUACCAACCUACAAUCCCACUACAUCUGCUAGCCUACCACUGGAAGAGGUCAUGCAACUUACUCCACUAUGUCAGAGCCCAUAUUGGCUUGUGGCUGCACACGGAAGUUUCUAGCAUGAAUAAUCUUUGAUCCCUUUGAGCCUGGGUGGCGGUCCAUAGGAAAAUCACACGGAACCCCGGGAUUUCCAAAAAUACAGGCAACACUGGAUUCUCCAGGUGCCUCAAUCCACCCAGAUGUGUAUUUAAGUUGCCACCUUAAGUUGAACCAUUAAGUAUCAAUCUGCCAUGGAUUUCACUCAAACCCAAACCACGUCUAUGAGCAUAGCAUAGCAUAUAAGCAUAAGGUAGAAGUAACUCCCAAGGGUUUGAUAAUAAAACAGGGCAAUAGGUUCUACCUCAUCAUCUACUUCCCAAACCCACAAGUUAAGCAUCCUAAUCAUGCAGUGUUUGAGGAUUGAGAGACUAAUGCAUAAAAACUGGAUAUGAAAAGAGUAUGAUCAAUGUGUUACUUGCCUUGCUGAUGAUCCGCAAAACCUAGAGACUCCCAGUAGCACGCUUCGCACUCCGGGAAUUCUAUCGCAAAAAACAAUGGCAUACAUGAGCAAUCAAGCAAUAAAGCACAUGUAAAUCUCAAAUGAGAAGCUCUAACCAGAAAGUUCAACUUAAGAACUCCGGUUUGCAAAAAAGAAUCGAAUCAAACGGAGCAAGGAAACUCAAACUGCGAAGGAAACAAGAUUCAUUUACUAAUCUGGACUAAAGUCAAAUUUUACAAUACCAAAAUCUUGUUCAAGUUGGUUAAAUGGAAAGAGGGUCUCGAGACGAAGAUCUAGGCGCUUGAAUCACCUGAUUCCGACUUACGAGCGAAAAGAUAAACUGAAACGAAAAUCGGAUCAGAAAUCGCGAUCAGAAAUAAUCGUGGAAAAUCCGAGAAAAAAACUGACGAACAGAACAAGGGCGGUCAUGUCCGGCUGCCUGUUAAGGGUAUCCGGUCGCACCAUCGGCUAGCCGUAUAUUCUGCUCCAGGUGAACUUACUAACAGAGGUGUCCUAAGGGCUUGGGUUGGUAAUUUAAACUAAUCCAUGAAUCCCCUUGAUAUGUAUGAAUGCGAUGCACCAGUAUCGAAAAGAACAAGGGCGGUAAAAGACUUAACUAAAAACUUACCUAUUACCGCAUUUGGCUGUUCUUCAACCUCCUCCACGUUUACGUGGUUCACUUGUCCUCGGUUGAAUGGAUUGGGCUUCUUCCUGGCGCUUCCAUUGUCGUUCCCAUUCUUCGCUUCAGGGCACUCCGUGGCAUAGUGUCCAGUCUUCCCGCACUUGAAACAAGUAACGUGACUUAGAUCUCUUUUGGCGGGUGUGGCUGGGUUAGAACGGUUCUGGUUGUUGUUUGCUCCAUUCCCAUUUCCAUUCUUGUGGCCAUUGUGGUUAUGAGAACCUCCUCCAUUAUGAUUAUGGCCUCCAUGGUUAUGAACAAGUCCUCCCGAGUUCGGAGUGAACCGGGGCUUCUGUUGAGCUCCUGAGUUGAACUUCCCUUGUCCAUACUUCCUCUUGCGGCUAUCAAUCUGCUUCUACUUCCCUUCAAUCAUAAGGGCCUUAUCUACCAACUCCUGGUAGUUGUUUAACGUUGCCACCAUCAACUGCAUGCUUAACUCAUCAUUCAGCCCUUCCAUAAACUUCUCUUGCUUCGCGGCAUCUGUGGCCACAUCAUCAGGGGCAUAACGAGACAACUUGCUAAACUCAUCCACGUACUGAGCUACAGUUCGGUUCCCCUGGCGUAAGUUGCGAAACUCACGCUUCUUCAUACUCAUAGCUCCAGUUGAGACAUGGGUUGUGCGGAAAGCUUGCUGAAACUGAUCCCAAGUGACAUUGGCUAUGGGAAAAGUGGUCGUGUAAUUCUCCCACCAUGCGGCUGCUGGUCCAUCCAAUUGAUGUGCGGCAAAGCGCACCUUCUCAACAUCUGUGCAACCUGCGGUGGUCAACUCCCUUCCAAUACGGCGUAGCCAAUCAUCCGCAAUUAUUGGCUCAGUGCUAUUGGAAAACAACGGCGGAUUCAACCUCAUAAACUGGGCUAAGUUGUUAACUGGAGGUGGUGGCGGUGGGUUGUUGUUGUUGUUGGCUUGGUUCUGAACUAACAUCUGCAUCAAGGCAUCCUGCUGCUGGAUCAACUGAGUGAGCUCCGGUGGGAAGACAAACCCGGGGUCAUGUCUCGGAGGCAUCUGAUGGGUUUAGAGGGAAGAGAUUAGAAUAGAAUGAGGUAUAAGGGGAAAACACUACCCAUAUGCACAUGAGACAAACAUAUCAAAUCAUAUCACUCAGUCAAUCAAGCAAGGGCAUACAAAUGGUCUAGAACUAUCGUUAAAGUGCUCAGACUACUACUAUAUACAUGGGGAAAUACUACUAAUCAUUUAGUGGUCAUCUAGAAAUUUUGAUCGGUGGAAGACUCCAUGAUGUCUGCUCCAGCUUCGUCUUCAAAAUCAUCAUCACUAUCGUCGGGGUCGGAGUCGGUAUCGUCGAUGAUGAUGUAGUCUUCGGAACGAAUCUCCUUAGGUUCGUCGUCUUCUCCCCCUGGUGCAGGGUCUCCCAUGAAAACUCCUAGCUUCCUUUUCAGGUCGUCAUUCUUCUUCACUAGUGCGACGAUUUCCUCCAUAUAAUCCUCGCGAGUGGCCUUGAGUUCUUCUUCAUAUCCAUUGCGUGUAAACUUAAGUUCUUCUUCCAGCUCGAUGAUCUUGGUCUUCGCCUUCUUCAACUCCAUCAUAUCUGCACACAUCUGGUUCUCCUGGCGUCGAAUAUGAACGUCCUUCCUAUUCUAUAGGUGAGGUGACUGGCAUGAACGUCCUUCCUGGAAUAUGAACUUGAAUCUUCCAGCGUUUCUCUUUUGGUAAAGUGGCGGUAUAGGUCCCGGUGAAGCUUGGUAUUCCAAUGUUUAGGUACCUAGUGACUUCCUUCAAGUGUCAUCCAAAAGGGGUGUCUUCAUCCGGUUGCACAAACUUGUUCCUCUGGUCCGCAAAACCUAGAGACUCCCAGUAGCACGCUUCGCACUCCGGGAAUUCUAUCGCAAACAAACAAUGGCAUACAUAAGCAAUCAAGCAAUGAAGCACGGGUAAAUCUCAAAUAAGACGAUCUAACCAGAAAAUUCAACUUAAGAACUCCGGUUUGCAAAAAGAAUCGAAUCAAACGGAACAACAAAACUCAAACUGCGAAGGAAACAAGAUUCAUUUACUAAUCUGGACUAAAGUCAAAUUUUACAAUACCAAAAUCUUGUUCAAGUUGGUUAAACGGAAAGAGGGUCUCGAGAUGAAGAUCUAGGCGUUUGAAUCGCCUGACUUCGUCUUACGAGCGAAAAGAUAAACUGAAACGAAAAUCGGAUCAUAAAUCGUGAUCGGAAAUAACCGCAGAAAAUCCGGGAAAAAGAAAAACUGAGGAACAGGUUAACGAACGAGCGUUCGUUGUCUGCGGCUAACUAAUGAAAACUGUUCAUUAAAACGAACGUACGGACGAACGUCCGCUAAGCAACUAAACCGAAAAAACCGAACCGGAUCUAAAAAACGGAUCUAGGGUUUUAUUAAGAAAACCGAGGCGGCGGCUACCUCGUCGGAUCCGGCGAGGCGCGAGGCUUCGGCGGCCGGGCUUCGUCAGCGGCGGGCGAGGCGGCGCGGUGCGGCGAAGCGGCGGCGGGGUGCGGGGUGGUGGUGGUGGCGGCGGGGUGCGGGGUAUUUAAGAAGGGGGUGGUGGCUUGGAGGAGGGGGCAAGGCGGCGGCGUCGCGGUCUCCGCGCGGGAGACCGCGGCGGGGAAGAUGGGCCGGCCCGGCUGGGUUUCGGCCCAGUCGGUGCAAGAAGACUUUUUUUUAAAACAAUUUCGCCGAACAGAAAAUAAAUCAUAGAAAAUAAAAUAAAAACUAAAAAUGCCAAAACAAAUUUCCGCCGUCUAAAUGAAAUAUUUAGAACAAGAUGGAUAUUUUCUUGGCCCUAAAAUGCAAUUUUGAAAACAUGCAAUUUUUCUAAUUCAAAUAAAAUUGCAAUAAAAAUCCAAAUAAAAUAUUUAUUUGUUUUUAACAUUUUCCUAUGAUAUUUCAUUAUUUUUGGAAAAGUCAUUUUAUUCCCUCUCAUAUAUUUUAAUAUGAAAUAUUUUCGGAGAGAAAAAUAAUUAAAACAAAUAAUCCUCGUUUCGAUAUUUGAUAAAACUCAAAUACGAAAACGGUGAAAUCCCCAACUCUCUCCGUGGAUCCUUGAGUUGAUUAGAUUUUCGAGGAUCGCAAAACGAAUGUGCAGAAAAAUAUGAUAUGCAUGAAUGACUAUGUAUAACAUUCCAAAUUGAAAAUUUGGGAUGUUACAAUAAUAAUAACUUUUUUGAGGAUUAUAUACAUAAUAAUAAAUGAAGAAAACAAAAUAGGGAGAUGUUUCACCGUGGGCUGGGGCGUGGCCCAAGUUGCAGCCCAAAGUGGUGGCGGUCAGGAGGAGGAGGAGGUGGAGGCCCGAGUAAAACCCUAGCCCCGACUUAUACAUUGUUGAGAAGCUAGGCCUAGAGCUAUCUUGUCAUGUGCAAGUAAAACUGUAUGAAGUGAUGACACCGAAGGUAGAGUAAUGAGUAGGCGAUGAUAAAAGAGGGCGAAGGUAGAUCAAAAUUUGUCUUGGUGGGGUAGGAGAAAUAAGAUGCAUGUCGAAAAAAAUUAGAAUAAAUGGAAGAAGCGAUGAAGUUGCAGGGACGAAAGCAACCAGUGCAACAUUUUUAUGCUGUCCCGUGGCAACCACGGACAUUGUCCUAGUAAAAAAAAAGGUAAACGCUUGCUGAUCGACGAACCUAGUGAUGCUUAUUUUAUUUUUUGAACGGUUUGAAGAUUGCCUAUCAUGCUUGCCGCGCGGACAGUGCCUGGUAUUACUGCUGAUGUUAAACUGUUUUGUUUUCCAUAUAUAUAAUAAUAAAUAAUUUUUUUGAGGGAAAUAUAUAUAAUAAUAAAUGAAGAAAAAAAAUAGGGAAGUGGUUCACCGUGGGCUAUGGCCUACGUGGUGGGUGGCCCAUGUUGCAUCCUGAAAUGUCGGCGGUCAGGAGGAGGAGGUGGAGGCCCGAGUAAAACCCUAGCCCCGGCUUAUACAUUGUUGAGAAGCUAGGCCUAGAGCUAUCUUAUCAUGCGCAAGUGAAACCAUAUGAAGUGAUGACACCGAAGGUAGAGUAAUGAGUAGACGGUGAUAAAAGAGGGCGAGGAUAGAGCANNNNNNNNNNNNNNNNNNNNNNNNNNNNNNNNNNNNNNNNNNNNNNNNNNNNNNNNNNNNNNNNNNNNNNNNNNNNNNNNNNNNNNNNNNNNNNNNNNNNNNNNNNNNNNNNNNNNNNNNNNNNNNNNNNNNNNNNNNNNNNNNNNNNNNNNNNNNNNNNNNNNNNNNNNNNNNNNNNNNNNNNNNNNNNNNNNNNNNNNNNNNNNNNNNNNNNNNNNNNNNNNNNNNNNNNNNNNNNNNNNNNNNNNNNNNNNNNNNNNNNNNNNNNNNNNNNNNNNNNNNNNNNNNNNNNNNNNNNNNNNNNNNNNNNNNNNNNNNNNNNNNNNNNNNNNNNNNNNNNNNNNNNNNNNNNNNNNNNNNNNNNNNNNNNNNNNNNNNNNNNNNNNNNNNNNNNNNNNNNNNNNNNNNNNNNNNNNNNNNNNNNNNNNNNNNNNNNNNNNNNNNNNNNNNNNNNNNNNNNNNNNNNNNNNNNNNNNNNNNNNNNNNNNNNNNNNNNNNNNNAAUAAAACCCUAGCCCCGGCAAUAACUACCCACCGCUCCCACUCGCUCCUCCCAGCAGCAGGCGGCGGCGGAGGCCUGCGUUCAUUGAUCCCCUUUGACCCCGACUCCCACUCCAAUUCGAUUUCAUCUUCCCACCCAACACGGAUCGAUCGUGCCAAUCCCACCCCAUAAAUCCAUCCACACAAUUUGGGAUCCGAUGGCAGAUUACGGCUAUCCCGACGGCGGCGGCGAAGAGGAGGACAUGCAGUGGCCACCGGCUCCUCCCGCCUACGGCUACCCCGACGACGACGGCGGCGGCGAGCGGCCGCCCUUCGUCCUCAUCGAUCCACGCGCCUACUUCGCCGACCGCAAGAACGCCACCACCGCCGUCAUCGAUAUGGAGGCCGGGGCCCCCAAUCUCAGGGGCCGACUCCAGGUCACCUUCUGCGCCGUCGCCCCGCCGCUCGUUUCCUACUUCUGCGUCCACGCCACCCACAUGGACCACACCGAGUUCCUCGUCGCGCCCUCCAUCCUGGCCACCGAGACCGACGGCGGCCUCGCCCUCCUACGCGUCGCCACCGUCGACCCCGUCUAUCCGCCCGAUCACGUGCGUCCCGAAAAUUGCCAAUACUUCGUCUACGACGCCCUCGCCCGCAAACUUCACCAACUCCCGCAACCCGGCUUCCAACACCGACUCAGCGAGCCCUCGCUCGCCAUCAUGCGCAAGCCCAACAAAAGCUCCCAAAACACCAGCAAGCACGUCAGCCUACGCCCCCAUGUACAUGGAGAGGCCGAGGCCGAGGCCGACUUCGUCGUUGCCGCACAAUCCUACAUUUUCUGGGGUAAAGAAUCUCCUCACAUCUGCAUCUAUGACUCUGCUAUCAAGACCUGGAGCAACAAGCCGGUGGUGAUGGGUUCAUCAUAUCCAGAACACCACCUCCCAAGCAAGACACUCACCAUCAGAGGAAGCAAUGGCACCGUGGCUUGGGUGGAUCUCUGGUACAACAUCGUCUUCUGUGACGUUCUCGCCAAAUGCCCCAAGCUUCGCUACCUGAAGCUGCCGACCGAACCCGGCGAUGGGGGUAUCGAUCCAAGGUCUCUUCGCGACAUUGCGGUCUUUGGCAACACCAUCAAGUAUGUCGCGAUCCUGCAUCACCCCGACACAAGUCGUUGGGUAGCCACAGCAUGGAGCAUCAAGAAGGGCCGUCGGUCCUGGCCCAAGGAAUGGCACAUGGAAUGCGAGCUCGAUUCCACCCAUAUAAAGGUUGAUGCGGCUGGUCGAGUCGCUACCUUCCCAACCUUGUCGUCUCUUUUCGUUGGCCUCCCCACACUCAGCCUGCAGAAUGAUGCCAUUGUUUACUUCCUCGCCAAGAUUGACUUCGGCCCAAGGCAACGCACAGCGUGGGUGCUUGCUGUUGACAUGAAGAACGAGACUGCUGAGCAAGUGGUGGAGUUCCCUGCUGAGAGGACUUAUUGUGUAGCCGAGGGCUACGACGCAAGUAGGAUCUCUGCAUAUCUCCAACCCGCGCCAGGUAACUCACUGUAACCCCUGCCUUGCUGUCUGUUACUUCCAACGAUACAUGCUAAACUAGCAGAUUCAUGCAUGUUCUUCUUUUCUUGGUGGAGUGGGUGACGGCAGCAUCAUUUCACACACAUUGACAGUGUGGGGUUUAGGGUGGAUAAACCCACCGAAAUUAGAUACCAUAGGUCAUAAUACUAUCCAUCAAGUCAAAUGCCAGCAAAUUCUUUUAGGGGGAGGGGGUUGCUAACUGUGAAUUUCUCACCACAGCCAUUCACACUUAAUCUUGUGACAUGUAGUAAUUCAUUUAUAGGGCGAGCGUUGCACAUGCUUAUCAAGUUUGGGCUUUUUCAGUAGUCUUUCCGCAUGGAGAGUUUUAUAGAAUAAUUAAUGCUUGUGUUAGCGCUGGUUGUUUGUGGACCAUUUCUUCUUUCCCAAACUAUUACUGAAGACAUGUGGAAUUUGACAUGCCAGGUACACAGCAAAUGCCUAAAUGACGAGGGGUGCCGUUGAUGAAAUGCCCUAGCAAGAAGCAUGCUAAAGAUGUUGAGGAUCCUAAAGAAGACGACGCCAUGAUGAUUGUUUCUUCAUGAGGUUGCAUGGAUGGAAGCUGUAUGACCUGCCUUUGGUGCCGGGUAUCAGUGGAGGGGGUAGUGGAUUAUCAUGUCUGCUGGUCUGACCCUUCCUUUGCCUGUCUUUUAUUUAUUUUAGGAUUAUUAUGGCCCUCUAGACCCUGUUCUGGAGUUCCUUUCUUCAUUGUCUCACCGCCUACUCUACCCGGCUUGUCUAUUAUACAAGCUGUAUUAUUAAAACUCUGUAUGAACUAUAUGUGUUAUGUCGGUUGUAGUACCCACCUUCUGUUUUCUGUUGCUCGCGGUUGUCUUCUGUUAUGAUCAUAACCUGUGGAAAGUUGGGUGAGUAUUACGGACCUCUAGAACCUGUUCUCGAGUUCCUUUCUUCAUUGUCUGGAGACCCUGUUCUAGACAUGCCGGUGACGCAAAAUUUCCAUCUGGGUGGGUGCGGAAUUUAUCAAAAUUUGGAGCUAUGUAGGAAGUGUUUAUUGUGAUAUCAGAUUUGUUUGGUUGUGCUUGCAACCUGUCAUUUUUCUGUCAGAAUUGGUUAGCUGCUUUCUUAUUUUCUUGGCGUGUGCUAGUAGUCUGCCCGGCUGUGGCUGGGGGCUUGGGAUUUGACUUGAGUCAUCCUCUGUUUGUUUGUGCUUUCAAUUGCAAUCUUGUCUGUAAUAUCCUUUUCAGACCGCAUAGUUUCAACGUGAUGUGUAGCGUAACCAGUUCCCCUGAAGAGGGCACCCUUCAAGACGACUAAUAGGAAUUAUCCUAUUAAUGCCGAUUUGAUAAAUCUGGAAGGCUAUGAAACUUUGUUCCAGUUGAUCAUUAUAAGCACCAGGCGACUGAUACCUGCCAUAACAAAGGUCUAAUUGCAGGUUGAAGGCAAAGCAAACCUGACAUAUCCAACUGAGUUUAGAUAAUGUAUAGCCUUUUUGUGAAACUUGAUCUGCUUUGAUUAAUACUCCAUCUGAAUUGACUAGAUGACCUAAGUUUCCAUGAUUUGUACCAGAAUUCUGCCCAUAGAUCACCAUGAAUGGGGUCUUACCCAAAGCAAAAUGAAACGUUGUAUCAUGCUAGAAUUCCGCUAGUGCCAGCCAUUUGCGCUUUGAACAAUACAACGUAAAUAGGUCUUGAGACACCGAUUGAUGCGUUGUUUGGUCGUCCUGUCUGCGGAUCAUGCAUUGAGUUCAUCUUCAAUUCCUCUCCUUGCAAUCUGAAAUUGGCCUGCCACACUUUGCUUGUAAACACUGCGUCCUUGUCUGAAACCAUAGUUUCCGGCAUGCCGUGCAGUUUGUAUACGUGAUCUAUGUAUUGUUGAGCAAUGUGAUGUGCUGUGUAGGGAUGUGUAACGAAAGGAGCAUACUUGGAGAAAGUGUCGACUACUACCAGGAUGCAGUUAGCUUUUCCAGAUGUUGGCAAACCCUCGAUGAAAUCGAGCGACAUGUUUGUUAGGAAUGAGCAACAAGCUUUACUGAGGGCCAAGGACCAGUACAUAUACAGGUGUGGUAAUAGGAAAAAAAAACCUUAUACACUGGGGAUGUACACAAGUAACUAUACACAUCUAACAACGUUAUCCCUGCAACGCUUGGCAACUGCUAAGGGUGGAGCAGACCUGGGUAUGGAAAACGUUUGGUUUUGCUUUUUGACAGACUUGAGAAGUUUGGACAUGUGUCUUGAUGUGAGCUUUCAUCCCUCUCCAAGCAAAUAGCUGCUUAUUUUGGCUAGAGGUAGCUGGAAAUCCUGAAUGAGCUCCCACCGCACUAUCGUGCAUGCUCGACGACAUUUUGCACUACAAAUAGUACAAGAUUUCCUUCAUCCAAAAUUAGAAAGAAAAAGUUGUCUCGUGAUAACUUGCACCUUUUUUUUUUGCAAUGUAUACAUGGAGCAUGGAGUGCCCAUAUACAUACUUGAGUUUUCAGGUCAUACAUGUGCACAUACGUGUGAACUACUCGCAGGUAAACCUGAUCAGAAAGUGGAGCCCCGAGCCCAGCCACUAGUAGAAAAAGGGCCUAACACUACUAGGGAAAAGCCUAGUAGCAGCGCGGGUUUUGGAUGUAUCAGUAGCGCGGGUGCCCGUGCUACUAAUACGACGCCCACAGCUAACUUGUAGCAGUAGCGCGUGUAUAACCCUCGCUACUGCUACUUCUGAUAGUAGUAGCGUGGUUGAUGCCCGCGCUACUACUACUUAGCUGUAGGAGGAGGAACUCAUUGGUGGCCGCCGAAGUUGGAGCCGACGCUCGACGCUCGAAACCUAGAUGAAGCUGCUCGUGCUCGUCCUGCUGCUGCUUCUGCUGUCGCUCCUCCUCCUCCUCGUCCUCCCUCGCAUCGGAAUCUACAAAGCCCGUCAAAGACGCAAGCCAGUCAGCGACCCGGGCGCCGAAACAGAGGACGCGAUGCACGCAUCGCGUGGUGGGAGAUGAGUCGGCGGCGCGCCUCGCUGGAAGCAGAGCUCUCAAGGCCACCGUCCUUGGCCAGCUCCGCGGAGCCCCCGUUGGCUUCCCUCUAGACGUCGCCGCCGCCCUCCGUGCCGGACCCGGCGGCCCCAGCCUCCUCCUCCUGGACAUGGCCGCCGUCCGCGUCGGGAGAUGCCGAGGGAGAGGAGGUCACCGAAUUUGGGGACGGCGCCGAGGUGUGAGAUCGGCGGCGGCGGUGGGUGAGGAUGGGAAUCACGGGUGGGAGGAGAAGGGGAAUGGGAGAGAGGGGGAGUGUAAGGGAGAGAGGAGGGAUUCGGCCGAGGAUAUGGGGACUUCACCUACCUCGUACUUAGUAGUAGCGAGGGGUAUAAAACCGCGCUACUACUAUCAACUUAGUAGUAGCGCGUGUUUACACCCCUCGCUACUACUAUGGCAUGUCCCGGGGGGCACGGUAGAGACCGCUUAGUAGUAGCGAGGGUUAAAAACCCGCGCUACUACUAUCAACUUAGUAGUAGCGAGGUGUAAAAACACGCGCUACUAGUAAGUAGCAGUAGCGAGCGGUAUAAACCCUCGCUACUAGUAAGCAUCUGCCUAUAAGCUUUUUCCUAGUAGUGUAAUGUGAAGCUCAUUAGUCCCGGUUUAUAAUUGAAUCGACACUAAUGUGACCAUUAGUGCCGGUUCCAACGGCUAGGCGGGCGGCACUCAUUAGUACCGGUUCGUGACGAACCUUUAGUACCGGUUCGUGCCACAAACCGGUACUAAAGAGGUGGUGGCAGACUGUUGUCAGGCUGGGGCCCCACCAGCACCUUUAGUACCGGUUCAUGCCACGAACCGGGAAUAGAGAUGCACCUUUAGAACUGGUUGGUUAGACGAACCGGUAGUAAAGUUCAUCCUAUAUAAACCCCUUCGUCGAGCCCGAGCGCUCUGUUCUUCCCCUUUCCUCUCCUCUGUUUUCUUCCUCUUCCUCUCGAGCUCACCUCCAUUUUUGCCAAAAUUUGUGAAGAUUUGAAGGCACCCCAUCCAUCCAAGUGAUCACAAAGGUUAGCAAUUUUGUCCUUUAAUCUCUCAUUGCUAGAUUAGCUCUUGCAAUGCUCUAUAAGUAUAGUGAUUUGUGCAUUUUAUUUUGGGAGGAAUUAUGUGUGGUAGUAUUUGAUUUAUAUGCAAUUUGAGGUCAAAAUAACUCUUAGUUUGCAUAUGUAGGUGUGGUUUACUUAGUGCCUUCCCGUCUCCGUCCUAACCAUCCUCGAUCGCCCGCACCAUCCCGUCGCCGGCACCACCUUGUGGUGAGCCUCUUGUUCUUAUCUUUUUUAUAUAAAAAAAUCAUGUUUGUGUGAUUUAGAUAUAUAGUUACUUGUAUAAUUAUCUUACCCGUACGUUGUUUGUUAUACAUAGUGCCAUGGUUUUGGUAUCCGUCCCCGUCGGCCCGCGUCCGGGUUAUGAUUCGGAUGUGGUAUAUUAUCUUUUAUAACUAUUUGUUGCAUUUCAUGUUUAUGACAAAUUAUGCCCAUCAAGUUGACAUAGAUAUUUUUAUCUAGGAGGUAUGUGAACCGGAAAUUCCAACCGACCCUAUUGUCAAGAGGUUAAAUUUAGUUGAAAAUGAAAACGAGUAUUUGAAAGAAAAAUUGAAAAGAAUUGAGCAGGAGAAGAUGGAAUUGGAGUUGCAUGUUGCCGAUGUCGUCGUUGAUCACAAGAUCAAGAUAGAGAAAAUGCGCUUGAAGAUUAGAAAGAUUAGAAAAUAUGCCAUCGAUAUUGAGGCUUGGUAUCAUUAUGCUGUUGGAUCAAUUGUUACCUUAGUUGCGAUCUUGAUCGCAUUUGUUGUUGCCUUUAAAUGCUUUAGCUAGAGAGUUAUUUGUAUGUUAUUUUAUGAGAAUAAGUGUUGUAUGAACUUUAUGUAUGAACUUAUAUUAAUUUGGUCUAUUUGGUGCUGUGUAAUGAAGAUGAGUCGGCAAUGGAUGUACGAUGACCGAUGCUCUCCCCAGUUCGUUAAUGGCAUGCAUACUUUUCUGUUUGCGGCUGAGGCAAACAAGCGGGCGGAUGAUUGGAAUUACUCUAAGUCAAAAACCAUUCGCUGGCACCUGUUUGAGUCCGGUUUCAUGCCCCACUAUAACGUUUGGACCAAGCACCGAGAAAGAGGGGUUAUGAUGGAGGACAAUGAAGAAGAAGAGGACGGCGACAACUAUCCUGGCCAUGGGUUCCCUGAAUACGAUGGUACAACAAUGGGAGAAGAAGCUGAGCCGGCAAUGCGGAAAGAAGCUGAAGAAGAGGCAUCAGAUGAUCCCGCUGAUGAUCUAGGUCGGGCCAUUGCCGAUGCAAAGAGAAACUGCGCAAGGGAAAAGGAGAAGAAGAAGUUACAGCGCAUGUUAGAGGAUCACAAGAAAUUGUUGUACCCGAAUUGCGAAGCUGACAAGAAAAAGCUGGACACCACACUGGAAUUGCUACAAUGGAAGGCAGAGAAUGGUGUAUCUGACAAGGGAUUUGGAAAUUGUGGGGUAACGGAAGACCCGCAGUACGGAAUGACAACAGUGGAUCUCAACAAUCUUGCGUACACAGAUGAACCAUUCGUCCUAGCCAAUGAUGUGGCACAUGUUUUCUAUGUGAAGGACAUGUCUACCAAGGCGAGGAAAAGAAAAGAUAAGGAAGCGAAUACAUCAUACGAUGAGCCAAAGCACCACAUAGUUCUUUCAGGGAAAAGAAACAUCGUGGGAGUGGAUGACGAGACAGACAUGUUAGAAGAUUAUGAAAAGUUUCAUGAAAUUGCUCCCUUCACAGUGAAUAUUGAUCCGAGCAUCCAGUUAAAUGAUGAAGAUUGUCCAUGGUUACGGCGCAAAGGAACACACAUGAAGAAAAAGUUUCACACCCAAAGAUCCCACUAUGGGAUGUGACCGGCUUCACUGUCAUCACUUUCUUCUCUAGUGAGUUUCCGGACAUAUAUAUCUGAAAAGUCCCACUUUGGACAAACCGCAGGGAAUCUUUGUAAUAGUUAGGUUGCUUAUGUGUUUUGACAUUUGAAACAUGUACUGUUGUGCUUCGGACAAACGUGUACCUUUCUGACUUCAUUUGCUAUUUUUCAGCUCAUUUACUGAUUUUUUGAGGUAAAUGACCCUGAAAUUGAAAAGCACUACAAAAUGAACUCUGAAAAGGUUGAAAGUUGGCAUGGUAUCACCAUUUCACCCACAUAACUGUUGGGGAACGUAGAAUAAAUUCAAAAUUUUCUACGCAUCACCAAGAUCAAUCUAUGGAGAUUCUAGCAACAAGAGAGAGAGGGAGUGCAUCUUCAUACCCUUGAAGAUCGCUAAGCUGAAGCGUUACAAGAACGCGGUUGAUGGAGUCGUACUCGCGGCGAUUCAAAUCGCAGAAGAUCCGAUCUAGCGCCAAACGGACGGCGCCUCCGCGUUCAACACACGUACAGCCCGGGGACGUCUCCUCCUUCUUGAUCCGGCAAGGGGAGAGGAUAAGUUGAGGGAGAACUCCGACAGCAUGACGGCAUGGUGGUGGUGGAGCUUGUGGUAUUCCUGCAGGGCUUCGCCAAGCACUACGGAGGAGGAGGAGAUGUACGAGGAGGGAGGGGCUGCGCCAGGGGAAGGGUGUGGCUGCCCUCCCACCCCCUCACUAUAUAUAGGAGGAAGGGGAGAGGGGGUCGGCCCCUCUAGAUCCCAUCUAGAGGAGGGGGCGGUGGCCAGGGGAAACCCUAGAUGGGUUUGGGCGCCCCCACCCCUUAGGAAACUUCCCCCCAAGUCGGGAGGGGUAGCUGCCCUAGGGGAGGCGCCCCAACCUCUCCAGGUUACGUGAGAUGGGGUGGGAGGGGCGCUCAGCCCCUUAGUGGGCUGAUGUGCCCCCUCCCCUUGGCCCAUAAGGCCCCCCCAGCGCUUGCCGGGGCCUCUGAAACCCCUUUCAGACACGCUGGUCGUCACCCGGUACCCCCGGAACAAUUCCAGACUCUAAUACCCUUCGUCCAAUAUACCGAUCUUCACCUCCGGACCAUUCCGGAGUUCCUCAUCACGUCCGGGAUCUCAUCCGGGACUAAGAACAACCUUCGGUAACCAUAUACUAUUUCCCAUAAGAACUCUAGCGUCAUUGAACCUUAAGUGUGUAGACCCUAUGGGUUCGGGUAUCAUGCAGACAUGACCGAGACGUUCUCUAGCCAAUAACCAACAGUGGGAUCUGGAUACCCAUGUUGGCUCCCACAUGUUCCACGAUGAUCUCAUCGGAUGAAGCACGAUGUAGGGGAUUCAAUCAAUCCCAUAUACAAUCCCCUUUGUCAAUCGGUAUGUUACUUGCCCGAGAUUCGAUCGUCGGUAUCCCAAUACAUCGUUCAAUCUCGUUACCGGCAAGUCACUUUACUCGUUGCGUAAUGCAUGAUCCCAUGACUAACUACUUAGUCACAUUGAGCUCAUUAUGAUGAUGCAUUACCGAGUGGGCCCAGAGAUACCUCUCCGUCAUACGGAGUGACAAAUUCCAGUCUCGAUUCGUGCCAACCCAACAAACACUUUCGGAGAUACCUGUAGUGCACCUUUUGUUGGGGAACAUAGCAAUUUCAAAAAAAUUCCUACGCACACGCAAGAUCAUGGUGAUGCACAACAACGAGAGGGGAGAGUGUGUCCACGAAGAUCUUUAUCGGUCAAACCGCAAAACAACAUACGUUGUUCCCUUUGUCAUCGGUAUGUUACUUGCCUGAGAUUCGAUCGUCGGUAUCUCAAUACCUAGUUCAAUCUCGUUACCAGCAAGUCUCUUUACUCGUUCCGUAAUACAUCAUCCCGCAACUAACUAAUUAGUUGCAAUGCUUGCAAGGCUUAUAGUGAUGUGCAUUACCGAGUGGGCCCAGAGAUACCUCUCCGACAAUCAGAGUGACAAAUCCUGAUCUCGAAAUACGCCAACCCAACAUGUACCUUCGGAGACACCUGUAGAGCUCCUUUAUAAUCACCCAGUUACGUUGUGACGUUUGGUAGCACACAAAGUGUUCCUCCGGUAAACGGGAGUUGCAUAAUCUCAUAGUCAUAGGAACAUGUAUAAGUCAUGAAGAAAGCAAUAGCAACAUACUAAACGAUCAAGUGCUAAGCUAACGGAAUGGGUCAAGUCAAUCACAUCAUUCUCCUAAUGAUGUGAUCCCGUUAAUCAAAUGACAACUCUUUUGUCCAUGGCUAGGAAACAUAACCAUCUUUGAUAAACGAGCUAGUCAAGUAGAGGCAUACUAGUGACACUAUGUUUGUCUGUGUAUUCACACAUGUAUUAUGUUUCCGGUUAAUACAAUUCUAGCAUGAAUAAUAAACAUUUAUCAUGAUAUAAGGAAAUAAAUAAUAACUUUAUUAUUGCCUCUAGGGCAUAUUUACUUCAGUCUCCCACUUGCACUAGAGUCAAUAAUCUUGUUCACAUGAGCAUGUGAUUCAACACCAAUAUUCACAUCUGUAUGUCAUUAAUACCCAUGGUUCACAUCGUCAUGUGAUCAACACCCAAAGGGUUUACUAGAGUCAAUAAUCUAGUUCACAUUGCUAUGUGAUUAACACCCAAAAGAGUACUAAGGUAUGAUCAUGUUUUGCUCGUGAGAGAAGUUUAGUCAACGGGUCUGUCACAUUCAGAGCCGUAUGUAUUUUGCAAAUAUUCUAUGUCUACAAUGCUCUGCACGGAGCUACUCUAGCUCAUUUCUCCCACUUUCAAUAUGUAUCCAGAUUGAGACUUAGAGUCAUCUGGAUCAGUGUUAAAGUUUGCACCGAUGUAACUUUUACGACGAACUCUUUUAUCACCUCCAUGAUCGAGAAACAUCUCCUUAGUCCUCACUAAGGAUAUUCUUGACCGCUGUCCAAUGAUCUACUAUUAGAUCAAAAUUGUAUUCCUUUGCCAAACUCAGAGCAAGGUAUACAAUAGGUCUGGUACACAGCAUAGCAUACUUUAUAGAACCUAUGACUGAGGCAUAGGGAAUGACUUUUCAUUCUCUUUCUAUUUUCUGCCGUGGUCGGGAUUUGAGUCUUACUCAAUUUCACACCUUGCAACACAGGCAAGAACUCCUUCUUUGACUGUUCCAUUUUGAACUACUUCAAAAUCUUAUCAAGGUAUGUACUCAUUGAAAAAACUUAUCAAGCGUCUUGAUCUAUCUAUAUAGAUCUUGAUGCUCAAUGUGUAAGCAGCUUCACCGAGGUCUUUCUUUGAAAGACUCCUUUCAAACACUCCUUUAUUCUUUCCAGAAAAUUCUACAUCAUUUCCAAUUAAUUAUAUGUCAUUCACAUAUACUUAUCAGAAAGGGUGUAGUGCUCCCACUCACUUUCUUGUAAAUACAGGCCUUUCCAAAAGUCUGUAUAAAACCAUAUGCUUUGAUCAACUCAUCAAAGCGUAUAUUCCAACUCCGAGAUGUUUGCACCAGUCCAUUGAUGGAUCGCUGGAGCUUGCACAUUCUGUUAGCACCUUUAGGAUUAACAAAACCUUCUGGUUGCAUCAUAUACAACUCUUCUUUAGAAGAUCCAUUAAGGAAUGCAGUUUUGACAUCCACUUGCCAGAUUUCAUAAAAUGUGGCAAUUGCUAACAUGAUUCGGACAGACUUAAGCAUCGAUACGAGUGAGAAAAUCUCAUCGUAUUCAACACCUUGAACUUGUCGAAAACCUUUCGCAACAAGUCGAGCUUAGUAGAUAUUAACACUACUAUCAGUGUCCGUCUUCCUCUUGAAGAUCCGUUUAUGUAACAUGGCUUGCUGAUCAUCGAGCAAGUCAAUCAAAGUCCAUACUUUGUUCUCAUACAUGGAUCAUAUCUCAGAUUUUAUGGCCUCAAGCCAUUUCGCGGAAUCUGGAUUCAUCAUCGCUUCCUCAUAGUUCGUAGGUUCAUCAUGGUCUAGUAACAUGACUUCCAAAACAUGAUUACCGUACCACUCUGGUGCGGAUCUUACUCUGGAAGAUCUACAAAUUUUUGGUAGUAACUUGAUCUGAAGUUUCAUGAUCAUCAUCAUUAGCUUCCUCACUAAUUGGUGUAGGAAUCACUAGAACUAAUUUCAGUGAUGAACUACUUUCCAAUUCGGGAGAAGGUACAAUUACCUUAUCAAGCUCUACUUUCCUCCCACCCAUUUCUUUCGAGAGAAACUUCUUCUCUAGAAAGGAUCCAUCUUAGCAACGAAUAACUUGCCUUCGGAUCUGUGAUAGAAGGUGUACCCAAUAGUUACCUUUGGGUAUUCUAUGAAGAUGCACUGCUCUGAUUUGGGUUCGAGCUUAUCAGGUUGAAACUUUUUCACAUAAGCAUCACAACCCCAAAAUUUAAGAAACGACAACUUUGGUUUCUUGCCAAACCACAGUUAAUAAGGCGUCGUCUCAAUGGAUUUUUGAUGGUGUUCUAUUUAAAGUGAAUGCAGCUGUCUCUAAUGCAUAACCCCAUAAUGAUAGUGGUAAAUAGAUAAGAGACAUCAUAGAUCGCACCAUAUCCAAUAAAGUGCGGUUACGAUGUUCGGACACACCAUAACGCUGUGGUGUUCCAUGUGGCGUGAGCUGUGAAACUAUUCCACAUUGUUUUAUAUAAAGGCCAAACUCAUAACUCAAAUAUUCUUCUCCACGAUCAGAUCGUAGGAACUUUAUUUUCUUGUUACGAUGAUUCUUCACUUCACUCUGAAUUUCUUUGAACAUUUCAAAUGUUUCAGACUUGUGUUUUAUUAAGUAGAUAUACCCAUAUCUGCUCAAAUCAUCUGUGAAGGUCAGAAAAUAACGAUAUUCGCCACGAGCAUCAACACUCAUUGGAUCGCAUACAUCGGUAUGUAUUAUUUCCAAUAAAUCAGUAGCUCGUUCCAUUGUUCCGUAGAACGGAGUUUUAGUCAUCUUGCCCAAAAGGCACGGUUCGCAAGUACCAAAUGAACCAUAAUCAACUGAUUCCAGAAGUCCAUCAGUAUAGAGUUUCUUCAUGCGCUUUACACCAAUAUGACCCAAACGGCAGUGCCACAAAUAAGUUGCACUAUCAUUAUCAACUUUGCAUCUUUUGGCAUCAAUAUUAUGAAUAUGUGUAUCACUAUGAUCGAGAUCCAACAAACUAUUUUCAUUGGGUGUAUGACCAUUGAAGGCUUUAUUCAUGUAAACAGAACAACAAUUAUUCUCUGACUUUAAAUUAAUAACCGUAUUGCAAUAAACAUGAUCAAAUCAUAUUCAUGCUCAACGCAAACGCCAAAUAACAUUUAUUUAUGUUCUACACUAAUCUCGAAAGUGUAGGGAGAGUGUGAUGAUGAUCAUAUCAAUCUUGGAACUACUUCUAACACACAUUGUCACUUCACCCUCAACUAGUCUCUGUUUAUUCUGUAACUCAUGUUUCGAGUUACUAAUAUUUAGCAACAGAACAAGUAUCAAAUACUCAGGGGCUACUAUAAACACUAGUAAAGUACACAUCAAUAACAUGUAUAUCAAAUAUACUCUUGUUCACUUUGCCAUCCUUCUUAUCCACCAAAUAUUCAGGGCAUUUCCGCUUCUAGUGACCAUUUCCUUUGCAGUAUAAUCACUCAGUUUCAGGCUUUGGUCCAGCUUUGGGCUUCUUCGUGGGAGUGACAACUUGCUUGCCAUUCUACUUGAAGUUCCCUUUCUUUUCCUUUGCCCUUUUCUUGAAACUAGUGGUCUUGUCAAUCAUCAACACUUGAUGCUCUUUUCUUGAUUUCUACCUUCGUCGAUUUCAGCAUCACGAAGAGCUCGGGAAUCGUUUACGUCAUCCCUUGCAUUAUAGUUCAUCAUGAAGUUCCAGUAAUUUGGUGAUGGUGACCAGAGAACUCUGCCAAUCACUAUCUUAUCUGGAAGAUUAACUCCCACUUGAUUCAAGCGAUUGUAGUACUGAGACAAUCUAAGUACUUGCUCACUAGUUGAGCAAUUCUCCUCCAUCUUUUAGGCGAAGUAUUUGUCAGAGUCUCAUACCUCUUGACACGGGCAUGAGUCCGAAAUACCAAUUUCAUCUCUUGAAACAUCUUAUAUGUUCCAUGACGUUUCAAAAACGUUUUUGUAGUCCCGGUUCUAAGCCAUAAAGCAUGGUGCACAAAACUAUCAAGUAGUCAUCAUAUUGAGCUAGCCAAACGUUCAUAACGUCUGCAUCUGCUCCUGCAAUAGGUCUGUCACCUAGCGGUGCAUCAAGGACAUAAUUCUUCUGUGCAGCAAUGAGGAUAAACCUCAAAUCACGGACCAAGUCCGCAUCAUUGCUACUAAUAUUUUUCAACUUAGUUUUUCUCUAGGAACACAUAUAAAAACAUAGGGAAGCAACAACGCGAGCUAUUGAUCUACAAAAAAAUUUGCAAAAUACUACCAGGACUAAGUUCAUGAUAAAUUAAAGUUCAAUUAAUCAUAUUACUUAAGAACUCCCACUUAGACAGACAUCUCUCUAGUCAUCUAAGUGAUCACGUGAUCCAAAUCAACUAAACCAUGUCCGAUCAUCACGUGAGAUGGAGUAGUUUUAAAUGGUGAACAUCACUAUGUUGAUCAUAUCUACUAUAUGAUUCACGUUCGACCUUUCGGUCUCCGUGUUCCGAGGCCAUAUCUGUAUAUGCUAGGCUCGUCAAGUUUAACCUGAGUAUUCCGUGCGCAACUGUUUUGCACCCUGUAUGUGUAUCUAGUGCCCCUUAGUGAUUUUGGUGUAUUGAAGACUUAUAGGUUAAGGGACUGAUGCGUUUGUGAGUGUACACAGGUCUAUAAUUCUAUGAGGAGUUUGAUAUUUACAGAUAAAGUCGACCCCUAAAAAUUAAGUUCUUUGACUGAAGACUUUGGAAUUCUGAAGACUUUAUGAAGACUUUCAAAGAGAAGAAAUUGGUGUGACCUUGAAGACUUGGUUUUCAUUCGAGGAACAUGAAGCGCGAAGACUUUUGUUUUCAUAGUUUCAUUUUCUCUUUCUUGAGUCAUAGGAAACACUGUACUGUUAAAGGGGGCCGAGGAAAUACUAAGGAAAAAUUUCCAUGUGAUGCUCAACUCAAAAUCCUACACCUACCAAUCCCUUCGAGUGAAGCCAUUGGAAAUCUCGCACAGUUUAGUCAUAUUCUUCAGUGACAGAGAUGAAGUUCUUCUGGUCUCUGAGGAAUUUGUUCUAACUGAAGAGUUAGGAAUUCGCCAGUGCGGAUUGCCUACCAACUGAGGAACAUGAUAGCCCUGAGGAAUUCGAACCUCAAAUAUUCCGACCGUUGCUGUGCUACGCGUCAGCUGUCCCAAAAUAUCUACCCACCUAACGGUCAUAUCAGACAAGGGCAUUUAUGUCUUAUCAUGUCGGGCUGCUCCCUAGGCUAUAAAUAGCCGCCCCCUACAAUCACUAGUUGGUUGGCUGCUCCGAGAGAAACUGACAGUUGUCAUUUGAGAGCAACCCAUCCUCCGAGGACUUUGAGUGAAAAUCAUCAAGUGAGGAGAUCCCAAACCCAAACCUACAAAACCCCAAGUGAUUGAGCAUCACUGAAGAGGUUGAUCCUGCGUGGAUCCGACGCUUGUUUCCUUUGAAGACUGUGCUUCUUCCAGAUGGUUAGGCGUCAAGGUCUAGAGCAUCCAAGAGGAAUUGUGGAUCGCCGAGUGACCGAGUUUGUGAAGGUUCGGAUGUCACCUGAAGACAUACCACAAGUGAUUGGGCGAGGUCUGUGUGACUUUAGCUCAAGGAGAAUACGGUGAGGACUGUGUGUCCGGGACUGGGUGUCCUCGAGUUUAAAUACUCAGCCACUCCAACCAGAUGUACAACCGAGACAUCAGUUGGAACGGGUCUACAAAAUCAUUGUCUUCACCAAGCUAACUGGUUCUAUUUCCUCAACUCUUUCAUUUCCUCAUGUUGUUGUUGUGUGCUUGUUCAUAUCUGUUUGAAGACAUUGACUGAAGACUUUCUCAAUUUCCUCAGCUCUAUUUCUUCAGUCUGUCCGUCUUCUUCUCUUGUUAUCAUGUGUUUACGCUUUCUGUACUCUUUGCUUGUCUUCAUUUCAUCAUGAUGACUAUGCUUGUGUUCUGUUAUGUUCCUUUCUGAGUACUUAUUCCGCUGCAAGUAGUUCUUCAUUUAGGAAUUUCCUCACCAGCAAAUUCCUCAGUGAAGAAUUCAUAAAAAUCGCAUAUUCACCCCCUCUAGUCUAUAUAACGCACUUUCAAUUGGUAUCAGAGCAAGGUACUCCAUUGUUCUGUGUGAUUUUGGUUUAACCACCUGGAGUUCUAAUUAUGUUGACUGCAGGACCAAGGAACGUUUCCUGCCCCAUCUUUGACGGUCAUGAGUAUCCUCGGUGGAAGGCCAUGAUGAAAAAGCGACUUAUGGCUAUGGACAUCGAACUGUGGAUCGUCACCGCGAUCGGUCUUACCGAUAUAUGCAAGAUGGCUGAGGCUGAUGACAUUCGCAAGUACACACUACUUAACCUGAUAGCGAAGGAUGUCAUUUGCUCCAGUCUGUCCCGAAAUCAGUUCAGGAACGUCAUGCAUCUCAAUCACGCGAAGCUAAUCUGGGACCGUCUCUCUGAGGUCUAUGAAGGUCAUUGAACUCGUCAUGAUCCUUGGUUUGAGGAUUACAAGGAAUCUCUCAAUGCGAUGACAUUCCAACCAGAAUCAUUAUCAUCUACCCCCUGCCUUAUGGCAAACAGUGCUAAGGUAACCGAAUGCUACCUAUCCAAGUCUAGUGAUGAUGAAUCUGGCGAUGAAUUUGGACCUAGCUAUGUUAAACUUGCUUCCCUUGCCACUAAACAACAAAGAGCUUUGGAAAAAGUUCAAUACAUGCUAAAUAAGAGCGAUGAUAUGUUGGGUGAAGAAAUGGAUCAGUCAAAAGCAUUGGCUGAAAGUCUUCAGGGACUCCAUUCGAAGUUUGACGACCUUCAAAGUUAUCAUAAAACUCUCUUAUCUAAUCACGAGAAGCUUUCUUAUGAUUUUCUUCAAAGAAAGCAAGAUCUUGAGAAGCUAAGAGUGAGUUAUGAAGAUCUUUAGAAGGAGCGCGAUUCAUUACUUGCUCAACAAAUCAGCGCUACUCAGGAAGAAUUUGUUCCUCCAUGUCUAAAGUGCAUUGAACGUGAAUCUGCUAAUUCUUCACCUGAAUGUUCAAAUGCUUCAAAUUUUACAAAUUCUUCACCUGUCUCUGCUAUCACUAAUUCCUCAUCUGAGGACAUUGCUAGUACUGCUAAUGAUGCAGGGCUGAAGGAAUUGUACAAGACAUGCAUGUACAAAAGCCUCAAAGGGCAUCAGAUUCUUUGUGAUGUGCUCAAAAAGCAGAUCCUCAACAGAAACCCUAGGAAAGAGGGUAUUGCCUUUGAGAGGAAACUCAAUGCUGAUGGAACAUAUUGGAAACCUAAGCAGUACCCCAAAACCUCAUGGGUUGCUGCAAAGGGACCUCCAGUUGAUCCAUCUAACUUAUCUGGCUUUACAUGUGAAUCUUCUCAUUCUUCUGAUGAGUCAUUUGACUCCAACUAUAAACUGUUCAAAAAUGAGAAUGGUGAAGUAUUUGCUAGAUAUGUUGGCACUAACUGCAGGAAUGGUUCACCUAUGAAGAAAAUCUGGGUUCCCAAAAGUUAUCUUGAAAGUCUUCAGGUAAAUGUCCUCAUGACACCACCAAUGAAGAACAGGAACCCCAGAUCUAAUUCUUCAUAUGGACCUAAUUCUUCACGUGGAUCAAAUACCUCAAAUGGAUCAAAGUCCUCAUAUGAUCAUCAUCGCGCUAACCCUUAUGUUUCGCAGGGUAGAGCUAAGGGCUAUGAAUAUGCGCAUUAUUCUUCAAAUCAUUAUGUUCAUAAGUCCUCGAAGAAUUUCUCUGCUUACUCAUAUGCUUACCCUAACCCCUCUUAUAUGAAACGAAGCGGACUAGCUUCUAUCCCACCAUUCUCAUAUGGUGCUCGCUAAGUGAUGAAUUCUUUGCCACCCCUUCAGAUGUGGGUGGUGAAGAAAAAGAACUAAUCUCUUAUGCAGGCUCAGGUCUCCAGACGUGCUUAAAUCGUCUGAAGAAUUUGCUGGAGACCUGAACAUUGCCUGAAAGGACGCAGGCUAAUCAUGAAGAAAUGAAUUUUUUCCAUUUCUCACGUCCUCAUACUGAUUUACAUGUGCUAUUGCUUGAUGAAAUUGAACUGAUGAAAUUGAUGUCAUAUUCUUCACUGAUGAAGUAUAUGAGUUAGUAAGAUGCACUAAUUCAUCUGCAGGAUGAUCAGCCCAAAGCAAACGAGUGGGUCCUCGAUAGUGGUUGUACAAAUCACAUGACGGGUGACAAGAAUCUAUUGAUGGAUGCUCCUUUAUCACCGUCACAUCUGAAGCAUAUCAUCUUCGCUGACAAAGGCAAAAGUCAGGUAUUGGGUCUAGGUAAGGUUGCGAUCUCAAAGGAUCGACGCAUGGACAAAGUCAUGCUUGUCGAGUCCUUAGGAUAUAACCUCAUGUCUGUCUCAAUGCUUUGUGAUCUCGAUAUGGUUGUUGUCUUUGGAAGAUAUUGUUCUGUUGUGAUCAUGGAAGCUGACCACUCCAAAGUCUUCGAAGGCUUUAGGAGAGGAGAUCUGUAUAUUGUUGAUUUCUCUACAGGACCACAACCAGCCGUGUGCUUACUUGCAAAAGCUUCAGAAGGCUGGCUAUGGCAUCGACGACUUGGUCAUGCUGGCAUGAGGAACUUGAACACACUUCAGAAGAAGAAGCAUGUCAUUGGCAUUGAGAAUGUCAAAUUCCUCAAGGAUCACUUAUGCGGAGCUUGUGAAGCUGGAAAGAUGACAAAGGCCAAGCAUCCAGCGAAGAUUAUCAUGACCACCACUCGACCAUUUGAAUUGCUUCACAUGGAUCUCUUUGGUCCUAAUCAUUAUUCUGCUGUUUCAAAUGAUGCAUCUCUAUAUGGCUUUGUUAUUGUUGAUGACUAUUCUCGUUAUACAUGGGUACACAUUGUCACUUACAAACAUGAAGUACAGGAAAUCUUCAAACGAUUUUCCUCGAGGGCUUCAACCAACUUUGGUGUGAAGAUCAAGCACAUCAGAACUGACAAUGGAACUGAGUUCAAGAAUUCCGGUCUUGAUGGCUAUCUUGAUGAACUUGGUAUUACUCAUGAGUUAUCUGCUCCUUAUACUCCUCAGCAGAAUGGCGUCGUGGAGUGCAAGAACAGAACCCUCGCUGAAAUUGCUCGCACUAUGCUUGAUGAAUACAAGACGCCUCGUCGCUUCUGGAUUGAGGCAAUUGAUACUGUGUGCCACGUCAUCAACAUGGUAUAUCUUCACAAAUUCUUCAAGAAAACUGCUUAUGAACUCCUCACUAACAAAAAGCCAAAUGUGAGUUAUUUCAAAGUCUUUGGUGCUAAAUUGUUGGAUUAGAGAUCCUCAUCACACAUCCAAAUUCUCACCGAAAGCACAUGAAGGUUUUAUGCUUGGUUAUGGAAAGGACUCGCACACCUACAGAGUCUUCAACAACGUUCUUCACAAAGUUCUUGAAACUGUAGAUGUGCGGUUCAAUGAAACUAAUGGCUCGCAAAGGGAGCACCUACCUUCUGUGAUAGAUGAACCAGCACCUGAAGAUUCUAUCAAGUUCAAGGCUACUGAGGAUGUCAUUCCUACCAAAGAAUCUGCUGAAGAAUUCAUUCCUGAUCGUGAUGAUUACCGAGAUGGCGCACCUGAAGAAAAUGGUGCUGAAGAAAAAUGCUUCUGAAGGGAAUGCUGAUCAAAUUCCUUGAAGACAACCCACUCAUCCUCGCAUCGCUAAUGAAGUGCAAAUUAAGAAGAUCAUUGAUGACAUUGAAGCACUAGGUCCUCUCACUCGCUCAAAAUCUUCAAAUUUAUCUAACUUUUGUGGGCACUUUGCUUUUGUCUCUAUCGUAGAGCCCACUAAGGUAGAUGAAGCAUUUCUGGAGCCUGAGUGGAUUCAGGCUAUGCAAGAAGAAUUACAUCAGUUCGAGCUCAACAAUGUCUGGGAACUGGUCAAACGUCCAGAUCCUCGCGAGCACAACAUCAUUGGCACAAAGUGGAUCUACCGCAACAAGCAAGACAAAAAUGGCCUUGUGGUGAGGAAUAAGGCACGGCUUGUAGCUCAAGGCUACACACAGGUUGAAGGAAUUGAUUUCGAUGAAACUUUUGCACCUGUUGCUAGACUUGAGGCUAUUCGCAUCUUACUUGCUUACGCUAACCAUCAUAAUAUUAUCUUACAACAAAUGGAUGUGAAAAGUGCAUUCCUCAAUGGUAAGAUUGAGGAAGAAGUAUAUGUCGCUCAGCCCCCAGGAUUUGAAGAUCCAAAGAAUCCCGACAAAGUCUUCAGACUCAACGAGGCCCUGUAUGGCCUCAAGCAAGCCCCUCGGGCGUGGUAUGACAUGUUGAAGGAAUUCUUCGUGAAGAAUGGCUUCAAACCCGGUUCACUUGAUCCAACUCUUUUCACAAAAUCCUAUGAUGGUGAAUUGUUUGUGUGCCAAAUAUAUGUUGAUGAUAUUGUCUUUGGCUGUACUGAGCAACGUUAUAGUGAUGAAUUUGCCUAUGUGAUGAGUGAAGAAUAUCAAAUGUCUAUGAUGGGAGAGUUGAAAUUCUUUUUAGGUCUUCAAAUUCGUCAACAGCGCAAUGGUAUAUUCAUAUCGCAGGAGAAAUACCUCAAAGAAGUAUUGAGGAAAUUCGUCAUGCAAGAUUGCAAAGAGGUCAAAAUUCCAAUGCCCACAAAUGGCCAUCUAUGCACUGAUGAAAAUGGUCAAGACUUCAUCAAAAGGUAUACCGCUCCAUGAUUGGAUCUUUAUUGUACCUAUGUGCAUCUAGGCCAGAUAUUAUGCUUAGUGUUUGCAUGUGUGCCCGAUUUCAAGCUACUCCGAAGGAAUCACACCAUAAGGCUGUGAAGCAUAUUCUUCGAUAUCUAGCUCACACACCAACACUUGGAUUAUGGUAUCCCAAGGGCUCUUCAUUUGAUCUCGUUGGAUAUUCAGAUUCUGACUAUGCUGGCGAUCGCAUGGACCGCAAGUCAAUGUCAAGCACAUGCCAUUUCCUCGGACGAUCUUUGAUCUGUUGGUCCUCGAAGAAACAGAACUACGUAUCUCUCUCCACUGCAGAAGCUGAGUACAUUGCUGUUGGAUCGUGCUGUGCUCAAUUACUAUGGAUGAAGCAAACACUCAAGGACUACGGCAUCAACGUGAAGAAUGUGCCUCUCUACUGUGACAAUGAGAGCGCAAUCAAGAUUUCUCGCAACCCAGUUCAGCACUCGAAGACAAAGCACAUUUAGAUUCGUCAUCAUUUUCGUCGCGAUCAUGUGUUGAAGGGCGAUAUCUCCAUCUGCCAUGCAAGAACUGAAGAUCAGCUGGCCGAUAUUUUCACUAAGCCCUUGGAUGAGAAGAGAUUUAGCAAGUUGCAGUGUGAGCUAAAUAUCGUAGAAUCGUCGAAUGUUCUCUGAAAUGGACACUCAUCCUAACACUUAUGCUGACUUGAUGACUUAGAUGUGCAACACACGAAGUAACGUUUUACUUCAAUCAAUGAAGACUAACCCUCUAAGUGUGAAGAAAUUAAUGGAGAAAUUGACUCUCAGAGCCCUACGACAAUUGUACGUGGUGUCUGAAGCCAACUUUCUUAUACGGUGGGUUACGUCACCACAAAAGUUGAAAAUCUUCAAUUUGAGUUUUUCUUCAGUUUUUGAAAUUCCUCAGUUUCUUUCAAAUUCUUCAACUUGCAUUGACUUCACUAUUUCCGUCGUUUGUCUUCAGUUGAAUAUAUAUAUAUAUAUAUAUAUAUAUAUAUAUAUAUAUAUGAGUUUAUGUCCUCUACAACAUUCACUUAUUGCUAAUUCUUCAAAUUGACUUUUUCGCUAAGUGAAUGUGAUCGGACCCUUCCCCCUCUAUGCUAAACUCAACCCAAUCUAUUCACAAAUUCUUCAGGUGCGUUCUGAUUUGAAACUCGUUCAACAUCUUCACUGUGUCCUUGACAGCUGAAGAAAUUGUGAACGGUAAAAUUAAAACUGAUCUUAUCUAAAUUUUCAGCUUUGCCGCUCAAACCAUUCCGCUUCUCAUGACAAAUACUUAUCUAUUCACCCACGAUCCUACACGAUCGCCACCUCACAGUACGUGGGUGACACAUGUCACGCGAAUGAGAAGAGCCAGGGGCAGGUUCGUCCGAAAUCCUCGGGCGCACAGUUUUCACUGCCGCUAUAAAUACCCCCGCCUCUUCCUCACUUCGCUUUUACUCCGCUCGACCUCUCUCCCGCUCGAUCUUCCCAAACCCUAGCGCCGCCGCUACUUCAUCGUCUCCGGUGAGGAAGAGCUUCACUGCCUCGACCUUGUCGCCGUCGUACUCGUGCCAGUUGCGGAUUUCUUCACUCCGCAGCCGCCGUAGUUGUCUUCCUCCGCAAAGUUAGGGCGUGGAAGAUCUGAACGGACGAACUUCACUUCAACACUUCCCAAUACGUCGUGUUCUUCACUUCGGGUAAUUAAAAGUUACUUUUAUUGCCCGCCUUGAUUCAUGUGUUAUCCUUAAAAAUCUUCAAAGGUGUUUAUUCUUCAAAUCUUCACACACUAAAACACCUCACAUGUUAUCUGUUCUUGAUUCAUUUCUCUAAGCAAUGUUUUUCUUCAAGAUUCCUCAAUUGAGUGGAUUUUCAAAUCCGUACAACUCUGGAACCUGAGAUAAAGAACGCUUAGCGAAAUUCUUCAAGACUCAUCAGUCAAAUUCCUCGAACCUUCUCUUUUUGAAAAUCAUCUGAGAACGCGUAUGACCUCUCCAAAUUCCUCGCAACUAUACUCUGUUCACAGGUACAAAUGUCUGCUACUGAAUCACUAGGUUCUCAUCAACUUAACUCAUUUGCAGUGUUCCUCAAAGAAAAGUUGCAUACAUCUUCAGAAACUUCAAUUGUCAAUCCUCAGCCGAAGAAAAUGGCUGACGGCAAGAAGCCACAAAAGGGAGGAAAAAGGCCUGAGGUCAACACAGCGUUUGAAAUCCCUGAGGAUAUAUAUGCUGGAUACUGCACUCCAGAUGAGGCAAAGUUUGGCAAGGAGAACAAGAAUCAGCGCAAAGUGCGCAUACAGCGUAUUGAAAGGAGAUGGGCACGAGAAUGGAGGGAGUACAGGUAUGUUACUCGCAAGUACAUGAAGAAAUUCACGCUCAACCCUCCAUGCUCAAGACCUCCAUUGAGGCCUGGCCAACUGGCAGAUCUCACCAGCCUCAAGCGCGGUGAGGACUAUGCUGCUGAAUGGGCUAGGCGCCAGGCCAAACUAGCCAAGCAAGCAAAAGAAGCAGUGAGAAAAUUCAAUGAAGAUUCUGCUGCUGCUGCUAACACUGAUGAGGACUCUGGUAGUAAGCCCAGGAAGGCUAUGCCAAAGAAGCCUGCCCACAAGUCCAGUGCUUCUCCUUCAAUGCCCUCACGGCCAGAUUCUUCAAAGCCCUCACGGCCAAUUCCUCAGUCUGCUCCUCCUCCUCCAAAGUCCUCAGUACCUCCGACAAAGUCUUCGGCUGCUCCUACAAAAUCUUCGGCGCCUGUGCAUCUUGCCACGUGCCAAAGGACUCAAGGCAUCUCUAUUGCCUCAGGAGCAUCUGCUAGCUCCACUGCUGCACCAAGUUCCUCAGCAGGACUAUCUCUGCUGAAGAAAAAGGCCACUGCUGGACGAGGCCUUCGCCCAAGUCCUCACAAGAAGAAGGUUGCCUUCCAAAUCCCCUCUGAUGAAGAUGAGGCUGAUGAUGAUGAACUUGCUGAAAUCAUCAGGGCUAGGCAAGCCAAGGCCGGUAGAGCCAAAGGCAACAAUGUGCCACUACUUUUGGAUCCCAAGUUGAUCCUUGACUUCAUUGACCUAUAGCACAAGGACCCCACUACACCUUUGCCGGAGAUGAAUCUCAGUCCUGGUCAAAGUCAUGUUCUGACCCACUUCCUCGAGGAAGAGAAGUGGAAGUAUCAAGAAGGAAGAAGGCUGAAGAAAGCGCAAUACAAGAAACAACGCUUCCUCAAGGACAAUGUCCUCACUCUCACUCCAGAACAACUCAUUGCUGUGCAAGCUGAGAUCAAGAAACUGAGUGAUGAUUUCGAUCGGUACCAUGCUGAUUGGAAGGGAGCAAAGGUUCGUUUCGUCAAUCUGACGAAGACUUUCUCUUCAACUGCCACUGCUCCGGUGCAGGCUGAAAUUCCUCAAGCUGAAGAAUCUGCCUAGCCAACUGAGGAACAUGCCAGCACUGCUGAUGUCAGUAUGGCUGCUAAAGAAAGUGAGAAUACCAGGGCUGAUGACUCCAUUCCAGCCGCUGAUGAUAUUGCCAGGGCAUCCACUAGUGAUGUGCCAGGAAAAUGAACAAGCCAGGGCAACUGAAACAGUUGAGCCUGAAGAAAAUGCACCUCCUGCACCUACUCCUACUCCGAUCCUUCCAUCUGCAUUAGAUGUGAAGAAGACAAAGGCUGCAGAACGUGCAGCGAUGAAGAAAAGGAAGGCAUCAACCUCUUCAAAUUCUUCAGCUCCGAAGAAGAUGAAGACACUGAUCAGUUCAAUUGACAAUCCAAUUGAUGUCGUUCCUGUCUCAUCAAUGCCAUCAAAGGACCUUGUUCCUUAUGGUGAAGAAUAUGAGAUUCCCGAGGAAUCUGAUGAAGAAACUCCAUCUGCUGCUUCGACAGAGCAGUUGGACGAAGAAAUUGAAGUGGAUGAGAUCCCUUCAACCCCAGUCAUUUCCUCACCUAUGCCUCAGUUCACUGCUGAAGAGGAAGGUGUUGAAGAACUUGAAGAUGAGGAUGUGGACAUCGGAUGUACCACACCAGUGCUAAAUGAUGACUUUUGGGAAAGUCAGCACCCCAAUUCUCCAUUGUUCACUCCUCUCCAAGCUGUUCCUCAGUCCCCCGUCGCUAUAGAAGUACGUGUGGAAUCUGAUGAACAUCAUGCAACCUCGUCCGUCCAUGAAGAAAUUCCAGCCACUAGCACUGAUAAAAAUGUGGAUGAAGAAGAGAUGCCUCAGGCUGCCACUGCAGAAGAAACUGGAAUUCCUCAGCAUGAGGAACCUGAGAUUGCGAUUCCUGAGGUGAUACUGCAAAUCACUGACACUCCUCAGCCCAAGCCAAAGAAUCCCUUCUCCAAGAAGCCAAAAUUCAAGGAUGAUGAUUUCUUCAGCGAGCACGUAUUCUUCACUGAUUUCAACCCUUAUGACAAUGCUCGUAUAAGAAGGAAGUGUUUCUGGACUGCUAGCCAGGCAAACUUCUAUUCCUCAGUUCUCUUUGACAAGGACAAAAUCUUUGAUCAUGAGCACAUUCCUUACAUGGACAUGGAAUCUAUGCCUUGCUUCACGCCGGUUCUCAGUAUGCUUCACGAUGCAGGCUUGCUGAAUUUCUGCACUGACAUCGUUGAUUGGAAUGAAGAGCUUAUUCUUCAGUUCUACGCCACUUUGCACAUCACAGGCAACGCUGCUGAUGUCAACUCUUGGGUGUUGGACUGGAUGACUGAAAACACUCACUACAAGGCACCUGCCUCUGAAUUGCUUCGUGCCUUGCCUAUCAGUCCCCCACCAGAAGGCGCAUGCUGUCUGUAUGAUGAACCUGAACUUACAGAUCACUAUAUGCAAGUGAUCAUGAAGCCGCUGAAGCCUGGACAAGCUCAAAGGACCAAAUUCCUUGUGAAGGAUUUGCUGUAUGUGCCCAGAACCAUUUACCGCAUUCUGACGAAGACUAUCAGCCCAAUCAAAUGACAUUAUUCUUCAGAUGAAGAAAUUGUGGGGAUGAUAAAGAAUAUGCUAUUCAACAUCAUGCAUGGUAUUCCUAUCAAUUACCAUGAUUUCUUCAUGAGGACUCUUGCGAAUGUUUCACUUUCACCAUUUGAGCUGAAGCCUUACGCACCAUGGAUCAUGAGAUUCCUCAGAUCAAGGACUUCACUCAACUAUAAGGCUGAUACUCUUGACCAUGGCAGCUACUUGCCCCCAAUUGAAGUCCUCAAGCGGACUAUUUCCUCAUCUGAUGAGAAGGGCAAGUCACCUGCUGUGAUCGAUGAAGGCACUCGUCCAUUGGAUGGUCAGUUCCGCAAAGCUGCAUCCUAUUCCACCAAUGAUGACUCUGCCACACAUGAUUCUGCUGCCAAUGCUCCAAAGUCAAGUCCUCAAGCUACUUCUCAUCGUGUGAUGACUGACCGAGAACUGCUUAUAAGUCUUCACCAUAAGGUCGAUCAGAAUCACAAAUGGGUUAAGCAUCAGUUUGGCUCUAUUCUUCACAACAUGACCUCUACACAUAAUGCAGUGAAGAAAAACCACUACUACCUCCAUGAAGUGCUUGAUCGCACCUGGGCUAUUCUAUCACAUCUCUAUGGUGAAGAAGAUCUGAAGCAAAUGGGCUUCAAGGAAGACUUUGACUGGUCGGCACCUCCACCGAAGAAAUUCAAGAAGGUCAAGGUUCCUUCCUUGGUGGCCAGCUCAUAUUCUUCAUCACGCGCCAUGGACGAGCAUGAAGAUUUGGAUGACACUGCAGCAGGCCCUACAAUGACUCAAGACCCUGACAACGCUGGCGCUCCUCCAUCAUCAUCAUGAAAUUCUUCAGGGGCGUUAGUCCUCAGUUUCAACCCUUUUGGUCAUUCGAUGACAAAGGGGGAGAAAAUUGAGUUAGUCUUCAAGCGGAUCUAUAUAUGGGCGUUUUUUUGCUAAGAUACAACUCUCGUUCUUCUGAUGACUUUGCUGGAUCGAGUUGUAGUCUUAAAACUCUAUGGUGGCUUGAUACUUUUGUUGUGUUCUUCUGCAUACUUAUUCCUCAUUAAUGUUAAUGCACGCAUGCUGAAUUACAUCAGUCACCAUAUUUCAUCAUGCAUUUCAAAUUCCUCAUAUUAUAUAUCAAAUGCGUGCAUGAAUUACAAGAUAUAGGGGGAGAUCUCCAUGAUUAUACUCUUCAAGUGUGCAUUGCUUCAAAAGAAAAUUCCUCACGGUGCACAUCUUCAGGGGGAGUUCUUCUAUAUCUUGCAAUCAAAUUCCUCAAUAUCAGUAUUUACACUUCACAUGUUUAUCCCCGUUGAAAACUUAACCUAUAUUGUCAUCAAUCACCAAAAAGGGGGAGAUUGUAAGUGCAUCUAGUGCCCCUUAGUGAUUUUGGUGUAUUGAAGACUUAUAGGUUAAGGGACUGAUGCGUUUGUGAGUGUACACAGGUCUAUAAGUCUAUGAGGAGUUUGAUAUUUACAAAGAAAGUCGACCCCUAAAAAUGAAGUUCUUCGACUGAAGACUUUGGAAUUCUGAAGACUUUCUGAAGACUUUGAAAGUGAAGAAAUUGGUGUGACCUUGAAGACUUGGUUUUCAUUCGAGGAACAUGAAGCGUGAAGACUUUUGUUUUCAUAGUUUCAUUUUCUCUUUCUUGAGUCAUAGGAAACACUGUACUGUUAAAGGGGGCCGAGGAAAUACUAAGGAAAAAUUUCCAUGUGAUGCUCAACUCAAAAUCCUACACCUACCAAUCCCUUCGAGUGAAGCCAUUGGAAAUCUCGCACAAUUUAGUCAUAUUUUUCAGUGACAGAGACGAAGUUCUUCUGGUCUCUGAGAAAUUUGUUCUAACUGAAGAGUUAGGAAUUCGCCAGUGCGGAUUGCCUACCAAGUGAGGAACAUGAUAGCCCUGAGGAAUUCGAACCUCAAAUAUUCCGACCGUUGCUGUGCUACGCGCCAGCUGUCCCAAAAUAUCUACCCACCUAACGGUCAUAUGAGACAAGGGCAUUUAUGUCUUAUCAUGUCGGGCUGCUCCCUAGGCUAUAAAUAGCCGCCCCCUACAACCACUAGUUGGUUGGCUGCUCCGAGAGAAACUGACACUUGUCAUUUGAGAGCAACCCAUCCUCCGAGGACUUUGAGUGAAAAUCAUCAAGUGAGGAAAUCCCAAACCCAAACCUACAAAACCCCAAGUGAUUGAGCAUCACUGAAGAGAUUGAUCCUGCGUGGAUCCGACGCUUGUUUCCUUUGAAGACUGUGCUUCUUCCAGACGGUUAGGCGUCAAGGUCUAGAGCAUCGAAGAGGAAUUGUGGAUCGCCGAGUGACCGAGUUUGUGAAGGUUCGGAAGUCACCUGAAGACUUACCACGAGUGAUUGGGCGAGGUCCGUGUGACUUUAGCUCAAGGAGAAUAUGGUGAGGACUGUGUGUCCGGGACUGGGUGUCCUCGAGUUUAAAUACUCAGCCGCUCCAACCAGAUGUACAACUGAGACAACAGUUGGAAUUGGUAUACCAAAUCAUUGUCUUCACCAAGCUAACUGGUUCUAUUUCCUCAACUCUUUCAUUUCCUCAUGUUGUUGUUGUGUGCUUGUUCAUAUCUGUUUGAAGACAUUGACUGAAGACUUUCUCAAUUUCCUCAGCUCUAUUUCUUCAGUCUGUCCGUCUUCUUCUCUUGUUAUCCUGUGUUUACGCUUUCUGUACUCUUCGCUUGUCUUCAUUUCAUCAUGAUGACUAUGCUUGUGUUCUGUUAUGUUCCUUUCUGAGUACUUAUUCCACUGCAAGUAGUUCUUCAUUUAGGAGUUUCCUCACCAGCAAAUUCCUCAGUGAGGAAUUCAUAAAAAUCACCUAUUCACCCCCCUCUAGUCGAUAUAACGCACUUUCACACCCGUUGUAUUUGAACGUAGAGCCUAUCACACCCGAUCAUCACGUGGUGUCUCAGCACGAAGAACUUUCGCAAUGGUGCAUACUCAGGGAGAACACUUCUUGAUAAUUAGUGAGAGAUCAUCUUAAAAUGCUACCGUCAAUCAAAGCAAGAUAAGAUGCAUAAAGGAUAAACAUCACAUGCAAUCAAUAUAAGUGAUAUGAUAUGGCCAUCAUCAUCUUGUGCUUGUGAUCUCCAUCUCCGAAGCACCAUCGUGAUCACCAUCGUCACCGGCGUGACACCUUGAUCUCCAUCGUAGCAUCGUUGUCGUUUCACCAUCUAUUGCUUCGACGACUAUCGCUACCGCUUAGUGAUAAAAUAAAGCAAUUACAGGGCACUUGCAUUUCAUACAAUAAAGCGACAACCACAUGGCUCCUGCCAGUUGCCGAUAACUUGGUUACAAAACAUGAUCAUAUCAUACAAUAAAAUAUAGCAUCACGUCUUGACCAUAUCACAUCACAACAUGCCCUGCAAAAACAAGUUAGACGUCAUCUACUUUGUUGUUGCAAAAUUUACGUGGCUGCUACGGGCUGAGCAAGAACCGUUCUUACCUACGCAUCAAAACCACAACGAUAGUUCGUCAAGUUAGUGUUGUUUUAACCUUCUCAAGGACCGGGCGUAGCCACACUUGGUUCAACUAAAGUUGGAGAAACUGACACCCACCAGCCACCUGUGUGCAAAGCACGUCGGUAGAACCAGUCUCGCGUAAGCGUACGCGUAAUGUUGGUCUGGGCCGCUUCAUCCAACAAUACCGUCGAACCAAAGUAUGACAUGCUGGUAAGCAGUAUGACUUGUAUCGCCCACAACUCACUUGUGUUCUACUCGUGCAUAUAACAUCUACGCAUAAAAUCAGGCUCUGAUACCACUGUUGGGGAACGUAGUAAUUUCAAAAAAAUUCCUACGCACACGCAAGAUCAUGCUGAUGCACAGCAACAAGAGGGGAGAGUGUGUCCACGUACCCUCGUAGACCGAAAGCGGAAGCGUUAGCACAACACGGUUGAUGUAGUCGUACGUCUUCAUGGCCCGACCGAUCAAGCACCGAAACUACGGCACCUCCGAGUUCGAGCACACGUUCAGCUCGAUGACGUCCCUCGAACUCCGAUCUAGCCGAGUGUCGAGGGAGAGUUCCAUCAGCACGACGGCGUGGUGACGAUCUUGAUGUUCUACCGUCGCAGGGCUUCGCCUAAGCACCGCUACAAUAUUAUCGGGGAGGACUAUGGUGGAGGGGGGCACCGCACACGGCUAAGAGAUCCAAGGGAUCAAUUGUUGUUGUGCCUAGAGGUGCCCCCUGCCCCCGUAUAUAAAGGAGCCAGGGGAGGGGGUCGGCCGGCCAGGAGGGGCACGCCAGGAGGAGUCCUCGUCCCACCGGGAGUAGGACUCCCCCCUUCCUUGUUGGAGUAGGAGAGAAGAAAAGAGGGGGAGAGGAGGAAGGAAAAGGGGGCUGCACCCCUUGUCCAAUUCGGACCAGAGGGGGGCUGCGCGCGUCCUUCCUUUCGGCCUCUCUCCUCUAUUCCCGUAUGGCCCAAUAAGGCCCAUAUACUCCCCGGCGAAUUCCCGUAACUCUCCGGUACUCCGAAAAAUACCCGAAUCACUCGGAACCUUUUCGAAGUCCGAAUAUAGUCAUCCAAUAUAUCGAUCUUUACAUCUCGACCAUUUCGAGACUCCAGCUCGUCAUAUCCCCGAUCUCAUCCGGGACUCCGAACUCCUUCGGUACAUCAAAACACAUAGACUCAUAAUAUAACUAUCAUCAAAACCUUAAGCGUGCGGACCCUACGGGUUCGAGAACAAUGUAGACAUGACCGAAACACAUUUACGGUCAAUAACCAAUAGCGGAACCUGGAUGCUCAUACGUUGUUCCCUUUUUCAUCGGUAUGUUACUUGCCCGAGAUUCGAUCAUCGGUAUCUCAAUACCUAGUUCAAUCUCGUUACCUGCAAGUCUCUUUACUCGUUCCGUAAUACAUCAUCCCGCAACUACCUAAUUAGUUGCAAUGCUUGCAAGGCUUAUAUUGAUGUGCAUUACCGAGUGGGCCCAGAGAUACCUCUUCGACAAUCGGAGUGCCAAAUCCUAAUCUCGAAAUACGCCAACCCAACAUGUACCUUCAGAGACACCUGUAGAGCUCCUUUAUAAUCACCCAGUUACGUUGUGACGUUUGGUAGCACACAAAGUGUUCCUCCGGUAAACGGGAGUUGCAUAAUCUCGUAGUCAUAGGAACAUGUAUAAGUCAUGAAGAAAGCAAUAGCAACAUACUAAACGAUUAAGUGCUAAGCUAACGGAAUGGGUCAAGUCAAUCACAUCAUUCUCCUAAUGAUGUGAUCCCGUUAAUCAAAUGACAACUCUUUUGUCCAUGGCUAGGAAACAUAACCAUCUUUGAUAAACGAGCUAGUCAAGUAGAGGCAUACUAGUGACACUAUGUUUGUCUAUGUAUUCACACAUGUAUUAUGUUUCCGGUUAAUACAAUUCUAGCAUGAAUAAUAAACAUUUAUGAUGAUAUAAGGAAAUAAAUAAUAACUUUAUUAUUGCCUCUAGGGCAUAUUUCCUUCACCUUUAUAGUCACCCAGUGACGUUGUGACGUUUGGUACACCCAAAGCACUCCUACGGUAUCCGGGAGUUACACAAUCUCAUGGUCUAAGGAAAUGAUACUUGACAUUAGAAAAGCUUUAGCAAACGAACUACACGAUCUUGUGCUAUGCUUAGGAUUGGGUCUUGUCCAUCACAUCAUUCUCCUAAUGAUGUGAUCUCGUUAUCAAUGACAUCCAAUGUCCGUGGUCAGGAAACCAUAACCAUCUAUUGAUCAACGAGCUAGUCAACUAGAGGCUCACUAGGGACAUGUUGUGGUCUAUGCAUGAAUAAUAGACAAUUAUCAUGAACAAGGAAAUACAAUAACAACCAUUUUAUUAUUGCCUCUAGGGCAUAUUUCCAACAGUCUCCCACUUGCACUAGAGUCAAUAAUCUAGUUCACAUCACUAUGUGAUUGUAAUGAAUUAACACCCAUGGGGUUUGAUCAUAUCUCGCUUGUGAGAGAGGUUAUUAGUCAACGCAUCUGAACCUUUCAGAUCCAUGUGUGCUUUGCAAAUCUCUAUGUCAUCUUGUAGAUGCAGCUACCACGCGCUAUUUGGAGCUAUUCCAAAUAACUGUUCUACUAUAUGAAUCCGAUUUACUACUCAUAGUCAUCCAGAUUAGUAUCGAAGUUUGCAUCGACGUAACCCUUUACGACGAACUCUUUUACCACCUCCAUAAUCGAGAAAAUUCCUUUGUCCACUAGUUACUAAGGAUAAGUUUGACCGUUGUCCUGUGAUCCAUUCCUGGAUCACUCUUGUACCCCUUGACUAACUCAUGGCAAGGCUCACUUCAGGUGCGGUACACAACUUAGCAUACUGUAGAGCCUACGUCUGAAGCAUAGGGACGACCUUCGUCCUUUCUCUCUCUUCUGCCGUGGUCAUGUCUUGAGUCUUACUCAAUAUUCACACCUUAUAACACAGCCAAGAACUCCUUCUUUGCCGAUCUGUUUUGAACUCCUUCAAAAUCUUGUCACGGUAUGUAUUCAUUUGAAAGUACUAUUAAGCGUUUUUUAUCUAUCCUUAUAGAUCUUGACGCUCAAUGUUCAAGUAACCCUUUUCAAAUAACCCUAUAUGCUUUCCAAAAAUUCUACAUCAUUUCCGAUCAACAAUAUGUCAACAACAUAUACUCAUCAGAAAUUCUAUAGUGCUCCCACUCACUUCUUUGGAAAUACAAGUUUCUCAUAAACUUUGUAUAAACCCAAAAUCUUUGAUUAUCUCAUCAAAGCGUAUAUUCCAACUCCGAGAUGCUUACUGCAGUCCUUAGAAGGAUUGUUGGAGCUUUGCAUACUUGUUAGCAUCUUUUAGGAUUGACAAAACAUUCUGGUUGUAUCACAUACAACCUUUCCUCAAGCAACUCGUCGAGGAAACAAUGGUUUUUUGACAUCCUAUCUGCAAGAUUUCAUAAAUAAUGCAGUAACUGCUAAUACAAUUCCAACAUACUCUUGGCAUCGCUAUGAGUGAGAAAGUCUCAUCGUAGUCAACUCCUUGAACUUGUCGAAAAAUAUCUUAGCGACAAGUCGAGCUUUCUUAAUGGUGACACUAACCAUCAUUGUCCGUCUUCCUUUUGAAAUCCAUCUAUACCCAACAGCCUUACAACCAUCAAGUAGUUCUUCCAAAGUCUACACUUUGUUUUCAUACAUGGAUCCUCUCUCAGAUUUUAUGGCCUCGAGCCAUUCGUCGGAAUCCGGGCCCACCAUCGCUUCUCCAUAGCUCGUAGGUUCAUUGUUGUCUAGCAACAUGACCUCGAAGACAGGAUUACGUACCACUCUGAAGUAGUACGUGUCCUUGUCGACCUGCGAGGUUUGGUAGUGACAUGAUCCGAAGUUUCAUGAUCACUAUCAUCAGUUUCCACUUCAAUUUGUGUAGGCGCCACAGGAACAACUUCCUGUGCCCUACUACACACUGGUUGAAGUGAUGGUUCAAUAACCUUAUCAAGUCUCCACCAUCCUUCCACUCAAUUCUUUCGAGAGAAACUUUCCUCAAGAAAGGACCCUUUUCUAGAAACAAUCACUUUUGCUUCCGGGUCUGAGAUAGGAGGUAUACCCAACUAUUUUGGGUGUCCUAUGAAGAUGCAUUUAUCCAUUUUGGGUUCCAUCUUAUUAGGAUGAAACCUUUUUUUCACAUAAGCGUCGCAGCCACAAAUUUUCAAGAAACGACAACUUAGGUUUCUCUAAACCAUAGUUCAUACGGUGUCAUCUCAACGGAAUUACGUGGUGCCCUAUUUAAAGUGAAUGUGGUUGUCUCUAAUGCCUAACCCAUAAACGAUAGUGGUAAUUCGAUAAGAGACAUCAUGGUAUGCCCCAUAUCCAAUAGGGUGCAUCUAUGAUGUUUGGACACACCAUCAAACUAUGGUGUUCCAGGCGGUAUUAGUUGUGAAACAAUUUCCACAAUGUCUUAAUUGUGUACCAAACACGUAACUCAGAUAUUCAUCUCUAUGAUCAUAUCAUAGACAUUUUAUCCUCUUGUCACGACGAUCUUCAACUUCACUCUGAAAUUACUUGAACCUUUCAAUAAUUUAGACUUGUGUUUCAUCAAGUAAAUAUACUUAGCAUCUACUCAAAUCAUCUGUGAAGUAAGAACAUAACGAUAUCCACUGCGUGCCUCAGCACUCAUUGGACUGCACACAUCAAAAUGUAUUACUUCCAACAAGUUUCUUUCUUAUUCCAUUUCACUGAAAACGAGGCCUUUCAGUCAUCUUGCCCAUGUGGUAUGAUUUGCAUGUCUCAAGUGAUUCAAAAUCAAGUGAGUCCAAAUGAUCCAUCUGCAUGGAGUUUCUUCAUGCGUACAUACCAAUGGACAUGGUUCACAUGUCUCAAACUUUUCAAAAAACGAGUGAGUCCAAAGAUCCAUCAACAUGGAGCUUCUUCAUGCGUUCUUUACCAAUAUGACUUACAUGGAAGUGCCACAAGUAGGUGGUACUAUCAUUACUAUCUUAUAUCUUUUGGCAUGAACAUGUGUAUCACUAUGAUCGAGAUUCAAUAAACCAUUCAUUUUAGGUGCAAGACCAUUGAAGGUAUUAUUCAAAUAAACAGAGUAACCAUUAUUCUCCUUAAAUGAAUAACCGUAUUGUGAUAGACAUAAUCCAAUCAUGUCUAUGCUCAACGCAAACACCAAAUAACAAUUAUUUAGGUUUAACUCCGAUCCCGAUGGUAGAGGGAGCGUGCGAUGUUUGAUCACAUCAACCUUGGAAAUACUUCUAACACAUAUCGUCACCUUGCCUUUAGCUAGUCUCUGUUUAUUCCGUAGCCUUUUAUUUCGAGUUACUAACACUUAGCAACUGAACCGAUAUCUAUUACCAUGGUGCUACUAGGAGUACUAGUAAAGUACAUAUUAAUAUAAUGUAUAUCUAAUAUACUUUUUUCGACCUUGCCUGCCUUCUUAUCUACCAAGUAUCUAAGGUAAUUCUGCUCCAGUGACCGUUCCCCUUAUUACAGAAGCACUUAGUGUCGGGUUUGGGUUCAACCUUGGGUUUCUUCACUAGAGCAGCAACUGAUUUGCCGUUUCAUGAAGUAUCCCUUCUUGCCCUUGCCCUCUUUGAAACUAGUGGUUUCACUAACCAUCAACAAUUGAUGCUCCUUCUUGAUUUCUACUUUCGCGGUGUCAAACAUCGCGAAUAGCUCAAGGAUCAUCAUAUCUAUCCCUGAUAUGUUAUAGUUCAUCACGAAGCUCUAGUAGCUUGGUGGCAAUGACUUUGGAGAAACAUCACUAUCUCAUCUGGAAGAUUAACUCCCACUCGAUUCAAGUGAUUGUAGUACCCAGACAAUCUGAGCACAUGCUCAAUGAUUGAGCUUUUCUCCCUUAGUUUGUAGUCUAAGAAACUCGUCAGAGGUCUUAUACCUCUUGACGUGGGCAUGAGCCCGAAAUCCCAAUUUCAGCCCUUGGAACAUCUCACAUGUUCUGCGACGUUUCAGAAAACGUCUUCGGCGCCUCAAUUCUAAACCAUUUAACAUUACUGAACUAUCACGUAGUCAUCAAAACGUGUAUGUUAGAUGUUCGCAACAUCCACAGACGACGUUCGAGGUUCAGCACACCGUGCGGUGCAUUAAGGACAUAAGCCUUCUGCGCAGCAAUAAGGACAAUCCUCAGUUUACGGACCCAGUCCGCAUAAUUGCUACUAUCAACUUUCAACUAAAUUUUCUCUAGGAACAUAUCUAAAAUAGUAGAACCAAAGUGCAAGCUACAAUAUAAUUUGCAAAGACCUUUUGACUAUGUUGAUGAUAAUUAGUUCAUCUAAUGAACUCCCACUCAGAUAGACAUCCCUCUAGUCAUCUAAGUGAUACAUGAUCCGAGUCAACUAGGCCGUGUUCGAUCAUCACGUGAGACGGACUAGUCAUCAUCGGUGAACAUCUUCAUGUUGAUCGUAUCUACUAUCCGACUCAUGUUCGACCUUUCGGUCUCUUGUGUUCCGAGGCCAUGUCUGUACAUGCUAGGCUCGUCAAGUCAACCUAAGUAUUUUUCAUGUGUAAAUCUAGCUUACACACGUUGUAUGUGAACUUUAGAAUCUAUCACACCCGAUCAUCACGUAGUGCUUCAAAACAACGAACUUUCGCAAUGGUGCAUAGUUAGGGGGAACACUUUCUUGAAAUUUUAGUGAGGGAUCAUCUUAUUUAUGCUACCCUCGUUCUAAGCAAAUAAGAUGUAAACACAUGAUAAACAUCUCAUGCAAUCAAAUAGUGACAUGAUAUGGCCAAUAUCAUUUUCCUCCUUUUGAUCUCCAUCUUCGGGGCGCCAUGAUCAUCAUCGUCACCGGCAUGACACCAUGAUCUCCAUCAUCAUGAUCUCCAUCACCCGUGUCUCCAUGAAGUUGUCUCGCCAACUAUUACUUCUAUUACUAUGGCUAAUGGUUUAGCAAUAAAGUAAAGUAAUUACAUGGUGUUAUUCAAUGACACGCAGGUCAUAUAAUAAAUUAAGACAACUCCUAUGGCUCCUGCCGGUUGUCAUACUCAACGACAUGCAAGUCGUGAUUCCAUUACAGGAACAUGAUCAAUCUCAUACAUCACAUAUAUUUCAUUCAUCACAUCCUUUUGGCCAUAUCACAUCACGCAACAUAUGCUGCAAAAACAAGUUAGACAUCCUCUAAUUGUUGUUGCAAAUUUUUAUGUGGCUGCUAUAGGUUUCUAGCAAGAACGUUUCUUACCUACGCCAAAACCACAACGUGAUAUGCCAAUUGCUAUUUACCCUUCAUAAGGACCCUUUUCAUCAAAUCCGAUCUGAUUAAAAGGGGAGAGACUCGCACCUGCUAGCCACCUUAUGCAACAAGUGCAUGUCAGUCGGUGGAACUUGUCUCACGUAAGUGUACGUGUAAGGUCGGUCCGGGCCGCUUCAUCCCACAAUACUGUUGAAACAAGAUAGGACUAGUAAUGGUAAGCAUAUUGAACAAAAUUAACGCCCACAACAACUUGUGUUCUACUCGUGCAUAGAAACUACGCAAUAGACCUAGCUCAUGAUGCCACUGUUGGGGAACGUAGCAGAAAUUCAAAAUUUUCUAUGCAUCACCAAGAUCAAUCUAUGGAGAUGCUAGCAGCAAGAGAGAGAGGGAGUGCAUCUUCAUACCCUUCAAGAUCGCUAAGUGAUACGUCUCCGUCGAAUCUACUUUUCCAAACACUUUUGCCCUUGUUUUGGACUCUAACUUGUGUGAUUUGAAUGGAACUAACCCAGACUGACGCUGUUUUCAGCAGAAUUGCCAUGGUGUUGUUUUUGUGCAGAAAAUAAAAGUUCUCGGAACGACCUGAAACUCCACGGAAUGUCUUAGGAUAAUUAAUAAAAAAUCCUCGCCAAAGAUGAAGAUCAGGGGGCCCACACCCUGUCCACGAGAGCGGGGGGCGCGCCCCCUACCUCGUGGGCCCCCUGGUGGCCCUCCGACGCCAACUCCAACUCCAUAUAUUGGCCUUCGGGGAGAAAAAAAUCAGAGAGAAGAAAUCAUCACUGAGGGAGUCCCGGAUUAGGGGGUGUCCGGAUAGCCGAACUAUCACCGUUGGCCGGACUCCUGGACUAUGAAGAUACAAGAUCGAAGACUUCGCCACGUGUCCGGAUGGGACUUUCCGUGGCGUGGAAGGCAAGCUUGGCGAUACGGAUAUGUAGAUCUCCUACCAUUGUAACCGACUCUGUGUAACCCUAACCCUAUCCGGUGUCUAUAUAAACCGGUGGGUUUUAGUCCAUAGGACGAACAACAAUCAUACCAUAGGCUAGCUUCUAGGGUUUAGCCUCUCCGAUCUCGUGGUAGAUCUACUCUUGUACUACCCAUAUCAUCAAUAUUAAUCAAACAGGAGUAGGGUUUUACCUCCACCGAGAGGUCCCGAACCUGGGUAAAAACAUCGUGUCCCUUGUCUCCUGUUACCAUCCGCCUAGGCGCACAGUUCGGGACCCCCUACCCGAGAUCCGCCGGUUUUGACACCGACAUUGGUGCUUUCAUUGAGAGUUCCUCUGUGCCGUCACUGUCAGGAAGGAUGCCUCAUCCCGUCUUUAAAGACGACAUUAUCGCCAAAGGAGCCUUGGCCGCUGGCCAGACUCUGCGGCUAGGUGGUUUCCUUAUGACCACCAGUUCGGCCGUCGCGCCGACGAUGACUUCUCGGGUCAUCGAAACCAAUCUUCGUGUUAACUCGGAACUUGCCAAGCAGCUAGAUCCGAACGAGCUCUCCUCCGUGAACGAGCUCUUGGAUCGCAUCGCCGCCCUGGGAGUCGCCACUGACUACAAUCAGAUCGAGCCUAAAACCGAUCUGAGAGAGAUUAACUCUCCCCAGGCUACCCACCAUGUUGCUGUGGUAGAGGAACAAUGCGGCGACUCUUCUUCUAUCUUAAGGACUAGCUACGUCCGGAUUCUCGACCCCUCCAUGCCGGAUUCCCGCGGAGGGACGGACGACGAUCAAAUCCUGAACUUAAAGUCAGGCGGCGGGUUGGAUUCAGUGGAUAACAUCCAAAAACCCAAACUUCCGAGUUCGGAAACUUCUCGGCCCCUGAGUCUUAGAUUAGAUGGGGUUCCGGAUUUAGUUCCACCCGCGCACCCAAACAUUAGCGAUCUAUCCCGAAUUAGGCAAGAGCCCACUGAAACAGUACAUCGUUACUGGGCCAGAUUCCUCCUGGUUAUGGACAGGAUAAAGGACUACCGAGAGGAGGACGCAAUCUCACUUUUCUGCAAUAAUUGCACGGACGAAGGAAUCCUAAAUGCCAUAAGUCGUCGUGAAAUUACACGCUUUGCCGACUUGGUAACCAUAGUACAAAAGUACUGUGCGAUGGAGAGUGCUUGGAAAACCGAAAGUAAAUUUUGGGAUAAUCCGGCCCCGAACACAGCCCUAGUCCGAAAUAAAAGGGUGCAUUAUCACCAACCACCUGGGUUAAAUACCAAAAAACAAAGACCCCCUAAAGGGCAUGGAACCAUACUGGAGGGAUGGCUCAACGGACCCUGCAAAAUUCAUAAAACAGAGGACGCCACUCCAACUCAUAGCCUUCGAGCAUGUUGGAUACUACGGCAGGUGGCCAAAAGUGGCGAAGAGCUUCUAGAUUCAGCGUCCCACCCCAAUAAUACCAGUACGGUAUUAACAGUCUUCGAGACUUUCGCAUCAAAUAACAUGCGGAAGCGAACACCCCGCAACCUUGCCGAAGUCUACCAAGUAGCGACAAUAAAUCCAUGGAGUGACACGGCUAUUACCUUUAAUGCCAGUGACGAACCCAAAUUCCGAACAGCCCGAGCACCAGCCGCACUGGUCCUGAGUCCAAUUGUGGACGGCUUUCGCCUUACUAAGGUACUCAUGGAUGGCGGCAGCGGAUUAAACCUCAUCUAUGAGGAAACCCUCCGAAAAAUGGAAAUAGACUGGAACCGCAUUGAGCGAAGCAGCACAACCUUCAGAGGAAUAAUCCCUAGCCGGGAAGCAUGGUGCACAGGAAAAAUCACAUUGGAUGUAGUGUUCGGCUCACCGGACAAUUACAGGUCCGAGGAGGUCACAUUUCAAGUGGCCCCUUUCAGCAGCGGAUAUCACGCUAUUUUAGGGCGGGAGGCAUUCACAAUCUUUCAAGCUAUACCCCAUUAUGGGUACAUGAAGCUUAAAAUGCCCGGACCUAACGGAAUCAUCACUCUCGCUAGUGAUCCAAACAUAGCACUCCGCGCCGAAAACAAGACAGCCGCACUAGCCCUCGAGGCACUAUCCGAAGCCCUAGCGGCCGAGGAACUAACUGCGAUGCGCUCCACGAUGAAUAGAGACGAUGUGAUACUUGAUAAAAGAUCCAAGUCCACCUCUUUUAAACCAGCGGAUGAAAUAGUCAAAUUCCAAGUCCACCCAACGGACCCUGCAAAGACGGCCUCCAUUGGGGCACAGUUAAACCCUGAUGUAGACGCCGCACUGCGAGAAUUUCUACGAUAAAACUGGGACAUUUUUCCUGGCACCCUUCAGACAUGCCAGGAAUCCCACGUCGGCUGGCCGAGCACAGCCUAAAUAUCCUAAAAGGAUUUAAGCCAGUCAAGCAAGCUCUUCGGCGUUUUUCCGAACAAAAGAGACAGGCCAUGGGAGAGGAGCUAGCCAAACUUCUGGAAGCCGGAUUCAUCAGAGAUAUAAAACAUCCGGACUGGCUAGCAAAUCUGGUGAUGGUACCAAAGAAGGACAAAUCCUGCCGCCUAUGUGUCGAUUUCAAAGACCUUAAUAAGGCUUGCCCAAAGGAUCCCUUCCCCCUCCCUCGCAUUGAUCAAAUUAUCGACGCCACAGCAGGACACGAUUCAUUGUGUUUCCUCGACGCAUACUCCGGCUACCACCAAAUUAAGAUGGCCGAGCCAGACCAGGCCACAAUGGCAUUCAUCACUCCAUACGGCCCAUUAUGCUUCAACACAAUGCCCUUCGGGCUCAAAAACGCCGGCGCGACAUAUCAGCGCAUGAUUCAGACAUGUCUGGCAAACCAGAUCAGCAAAACAGUGGAGGCAUAUGUAGAUGACGUGGUCGUCAAAUCCAAGCAUGUCGAAACUCUAGUAGACGACUUGAGGCUCACAUUCGACAAUCUCCGAAAGUACGACAUUAAGCUCAAUCCGGAAAAAUGCGUCUUCGGCGUUCCAGCCGGAAAGUUCUUGGGCUUCAUUGUGUCCGGUAGAGGAAUUGAAGCAAACCCAGCCAAGAUCCGAGCUCUGUCGCAAUUGGAUAUUCCAAAAGACCUCAAACAAAUACAAAAAUUGACUGGAUGCAUAGCGGCUCUAAGCUGCUUUAUUUCCCGUUUGGGAGAAAAGGCGUUACCCCUUUACCGCCUCCUCCGGCGCACUGAACACUUCGAGUGGACGGAUGCCGCCAUGGCCGGACUCGAAGAAAUAAAAGCCAUAUUGGCAACAAAUCCGGUCCUGGCCGCGCCCAACAUGGGCGAACCAAUGCUAUUAUAUAUCGCCGCAACACAUCAAGUUGUUAGCGCGGUGCUCGUCGUCGAACGAGAAACGGACGGACAUAGGUUCCCUCUUCAAAAACCAGUUUAUUACGUGUCCACUGUCCUAACUCCAUGCAAGUCCCGGUACCCACAUUAUCAGAAGAUAGCAUACGCGGUGUUCAUGGCAUCCCAGAAGCUGCGACACUACUUUCAAGAGUGUUCGAUUACAGUAGCCUCCGAAGUACCUCUUAACGACAUUAUAAACAACCGUGAUGCGAUAGGCCGGAUUGCCAAAUGGGCCAUCCAGCUCCUCCCAUUCGACAUAACCUAUAAGCCACGACGAGCUAUUAAGUCACAAGUGUUGGCCGAUUUCAUUGCCGAAUGGACCGAAGACGAAUUCCCUAAAGAGUACGGCACAUAUUCCAAUUGGAUCAUGCACUUCGACGGCUCCAAAAUGUUGGCCGGCCUGGGGGCUGGCGUCGUCCUGACGUCCCCAACCGGGGACACAGUCCAAUACGUCCUUCAGAUAAUGUACACGGACUCCAACAACGCAGCCGAAUACGAGGCCCUUCUGCACGGCCUCCGGAUGGCAGUCUCCAUGGGCAUUAAACGCCUAGAGGUGCGCGGGGAUUCAAACCUCGCGAUAUCUCAAAUAAACGGAGACUUUGACGCCAAAGAUCCAAAAAUGGCAGCAUACCGCAACGCGGUUCUAAAAAUGUCAGCAUGGUUCGAAGGGCUCGAAUUUCAUCAUAUAGCCUGGGAUAACAAUCAGGCGGUGGACGUAUUGGCACGCAUCGGCGCAAAACGCGAUACCGUCCCACCCAACAUCUUCCUGGAAUGGCUGUUCAAGCCAUCCGUACUAUGGGAAGGGGAGUCCGGAGAUAACAAUCCGGACCCAACCGCACUGCCUGACACCGAACACUCUGACACAAUCGGAGGCUCUGCCAACGAGAUAACACCCUCCGCCCACGAAAUAAUGGCAGUUAUUGCCCCGUGGACGGAGCCCUACCUAGCCUACCUACCUUGGCAGGAACUCCCCGAAGACCAAAAUGAGGCUCGCUGCAUAGUGCGGCGAUCCAAAGCCUAUAAAGUCCAUGUGGGAGAGCUUUAUAAGAAAAGCACAACAGGAGUCCUUCAAAGGUGUAUCUCCGAAGAUGAAGGGCGAAACCUCCUGGCUGAAAUUCAUGCCGAACUGGGUGGGCACCACGCCGCAGCCCGGGCCCUUGUAGGCAAGGCCUUCCGUAUAGGAUUUUAUUGGCCGACGGCCCGAGCAGAUGCGCAGGAUUUAGUCGAACGAUGCGUCGGAUGCCAGCUUUUUGCUAACCAAAGCCACAUGCCACCCACCGCCCUCAAAACUAUACCCAUCACCUGGCCGUUCGCGGUCUGGGGGCUUGACAUGGUUGGACCCCUUAAGGGAGGAACCCACAAGCAAAAAUACCUAUUGGUCAUGGUGGAUAAAUUCACCAAAUGGAUAGAGGCCAAGCCUGUUAAAACGGCCGAAUCCGGACCGGUGAUAGACUUCAUAUCAGGGGUAGUGCACCGUUAUGGUGUCCCCCAUAGUAUCAUCACUGAUAACGGCACCAACUUCACAGCUAACGAGGUCAAAUUAUGGUGCAAAAACAUGGCCAUUAAGCUCGAUUACGCCUCAGUCUAUCACCCUCAAACUAACGGUCAAGUCGAGCGGGCAAAUGGUCUAAUCAUGAGCGGCAUUAAACCCAGACUAGUGCGGUCCCUUAAGGAAUCUAAUACGCACUGGGUAGAGGAGCUCGACUCCGUACUCUGGGGGCUGCGGACCACGCCAAACCGCACUACCGGAUUCACACCAUUUUUUAUGGUGUACGGCGCAGAGGCAGUUUUGCCCUGCGACAUAAUUCAUGACUCACCUCGCGUGCGCAUGUAUGAAGAAAGAGAAGCCGAACUCGAUCGGCAGGACAGUCUGGACGCCUUGGAGGAGGAGCGCAACGUGGCAAAAGCUCGUUCCGCAUUUUAUCAACAACAGGCUCGAAGAUAUCAAAGCAGAGAAGUACGGGCCAAAGCUUACAACGUUGGUGAACUAGUUCUACGCCUGCCGGAAAAGAAAAAGGACAGACUCAAGCCCAAAUGGGAAGGUCCCUUCAUCAUCAACCAGGUCCUGACCGGCGGGGCAUACCGUCUGCGAAACGCAUCGGAUAACCGACUCAAGCCAAACCCAUGGAACGCAGCCCGUCUACGAAGAUUCUACGCCUAGUGCCGGACUCUGGGUUCGUCUCCUUCCUCCGUCCAAAAUUUAUACAUUAGCUGUCUUUUAUUUCUCUCCUUCCUCCUCCCUUUUUCUUGAAGCCUUUAGAGGCUCACUUGCACUUUGUUCGCACAUACUUGACGCGCCACUCGCGCUCAUUAUACCUGGGGGCUUCUUUAACAGAAGCUUAUUUAUACGGGUUUUAUGCCCAACACAUGUGUCAAACUUCCGCAUGUACCUUUUAUUCACCAUUAUAUGCAUCGAUAUGACUUAAGUUUUGGCCAAGCUGGGUUGCCUGGCUCCUGUGCUUACCCCUACGUUCCCGAUUGUUCGGCUGCGGUAAGGGGAGCACCUCUGCGAUUGUUACUGCCGGGUCAGCCGGAUGUGUACCUCAGACUGGGUGAAGCCGAAAGCUAGCGUUCUUAAGGGAAUAUUCGGUCGGUGAACUGAAAGAUGAUUUUUAAACUAUUUAUCCAUCUGCCCCCAGAUGAUUUUCUGCUUUAUUAGCAGUUCGGACAUGCACUUUAGGGCAUGCCUCCCAGGGAAAGGAACCCUUAACGGAACUAUUCUCCCUGGAAGAUGUUUCUUACUAUCCAUGUAAUAUAACAUAACUAGUUGGGCACUUGUCUGAUACAGCAAUAAUAACCCCUACGCCUUGUCUCCAUGCAUGCCCCGGUUCUUACAUAACCGUGAGGGUAUUCGGACACACUCCGGACUAUUGGGUCCCGAGGUUGAAGCGAAAAGGUCCGCUACGACAAACGAUCUACAAUCCGGCUAGAAGGCAUUUUACAUGUCACUUUAAAUUACAUAGUCAACUCGACUGAUCGUAUUCCUCUUCAAUACCAUCUAAUAGGCUGUCUAGUUUACAGUCCUGCUGGGAAUACUUUGCGGCCAAUUCUACUUGGCCGUACAUUAAGCUUACAGGGAUCUCCUUCCCAUCAGGCCCCACAGGUCUGACCUCGUCCAUGUGGUUUGGGUCAGCCUUCGUGUACCGCGUCUUUACCAUGGCCCAGGCCUCCCUGGCGCCUUGACGGCAUGCCGAUAUCUUCCAUAGCCGGAAGCGCCGCCGUGCUCCUUGAAGCCGCUCUGCCAGCUUCCCAAUGCCUUCGGGUAGGGAGAUAGAUGGCCACAAGGCCUGGGCGACGCCCUUCAUCACCUGCCGAACUCGUUCGUGCAGCUGACGUAGUUCGGGAAGAUGAUCGCCCGAAGAACUGGGCAUCUCCUCCUCAGGACGACCUGUGAGCAAACCUACAUACAUGUUUAUGUUAGUCGCCUUCCUCGCCGAACUCUUUCAAAGUUCGUUUAAGCACUUACUGAAAAUGCCGCGACGAAGACGUCGAUUCUCCUUUAUGGAGUCAGACAACUGGGCACGAACAUCCUUUAGUUCCUCUCCCAGUUGGGUGUUGGCGUCUUGGAGGUUAUUUUUCUCCUGCCGCACCCUUGUAAGCACGCUCUCGCCGGCCUUUAGCUGGCGUAGGAGCUGUUGCUUGUCCGGAUCCAGUCCGACGCCAUCUGCAAUAUCAUUGUCAGACUUAUACACAUGCCGCACUUGACAAACUACUUAUUUUUCAAAGUAUAUAUUACCGGAGGGGGUCUCUGUGGCUCUCCCUGUGGCGGCUAGUGCGGCCUCAAGUUGGGCCUUGCACUCUUCAAGCUCCCGGGACAGUCGGGUAUUCUUUUCCGAAAGAUCAUGCUUAACAAAUGAUCCUUAAAUCAGUUCUCCUAACUAUUUUAAGUCUCGGGGGCUACUGGCAUGUACAACUGUCAAAAUUCCUUACCCGUAUGUCCUUUACAUACUGCUCCGUGGCUCUGGCUAGACCAUCUUGAGCGGCACGGAGGUGCGCAUCUCCCGAAUUGAAGGCAUUCAAUGCCUCCUGGGAGAAACAUGCGUCACGAAGAACUAUCCGGCGGCGCCUGUGAUUCAUGGCACUCUCCACCUCGGAGUUGGUGGCAGACAAUCUGUCGGCUUCCUCUGUCGGAGGAGCAUCCGACGCAUGCCUCGUGUUUACCUCCGCUUCCGGAGCCGGCGUUGGAGCCUGGCUGGUGGAGGCUCGAUUGGCAAUCUCCUCGGACACAGUCCGGCGAGUGCUCUUUUUCCUGAAAAGAGCACUGGUGUUAGUACGCCUUCCAGGAUUCAAUCCUGGGGAUAUGGUGGCACGCCUUACCGUUGCGGCGGCGUUUCGAUCCGAACCGCACUUCUUUUUAGCCUGUGUGGCCGCGCUGCCCCUUGUUGGUUAGCCGCCGCGGGCUCGGCCUCCUGCCUCGAAGGAACCCCCUGCGAAACACCAUCAAGUAUGCGGUGGUUAGAAAUAAAGCACGGGUGGGUCAUGGGAUCCGGACUUCGGUCACGGUUACCUGGGAAGCCGGAAAUAGUCCAGGGUAGUCGGCCGUGAUGGCAACCAAAGCAUUGUCGAUGCUUAGUUGAUGGAACACCCCAUCGAUCAGCUCCACCUUUAUAUCCGGGUCCUCUUCGGAGGUCAGAUCGAGGGACCUUUCCGGAUCCUCGGGUUGUGGAGGCGGGCUGUGUAUCUUCUCCACGGCCCGGCGCAGUUCCUGCGUAGAAACCAUAAAAUGAGAUGUUUAACCACGGGAACAUGGAUCGGACAAGCCACAAAGGUAUUCGCUUACCAAACUUCGAGGAUUAAUCGAAGAAAACCUGCUUAGCGGGCUGACGCGGAGAAAAUCCUCCUCUUCUCCUUUGUACAUAGCGGACAAGGUCUUCACCAGUUCGGUGACCGAUCCCGGCCCUUUGCGGCCGUGGCGGGUGGCAUCAUCCUCCCCGUUGAAAUCCCACAUGGGGUGGCCCCUAUAUUGGAGCGGCUGAACUCCCCGCAUUAUGCAUGUGGCCAUGACACCAAUCAUCGUCAGUCCGGAAUGAGCCAACAAUCUUAUUCGGCUCAUCAGGUAAAGGACGUCCCUGCCGACUUCCCCCUGGGGGCUCCGCGGGCGCCAACUCAGGCGUUUCUACAAGGGAGCAUUGCUGAACUCCGGGAGACCGAUCCGAAUAGGAUCCGGCAGAGGGAAGUCUUCUAUAUAAAACCAUUCCGUAGGCCAGUCUUCGGACGCCUUCUUCGGGGUUCCGGAUAGACAUCCGGUCCCGGCGAUGCGCCACAGUUCGGCUCCGCCCACUUGAUAUAUUGACCCCUCACGAGAACGGGGCACAAGGCAGAACAAUCUCUUCCACAGAUCGAAAUGGGCCUCAACACCCAGGAACAGCUCGCAGAGGGCUACAAAGCCCGCUAUAUGCAAGACGGAGGCAGGCGUAAGGUUGUGCAGCUGGAGGCCGUAGAACUCCAGAAGCCCCCGGAGAAAUGGAUGGACUGGAAAUCCGAGUCCUCUCAUUAGAUGAGAGACGAAGCAUACCCGCUCUCCCUUAGAGGGAUCGGGGACACUCUCCGCCUGCUUCCCGCCCUUAUAAGUGGCGAGUCCGGAACGCACCGGAACCAGGAAGGCCGGGGGAAGGAAUCCCUUGGUUUGGAGCGCCACCAAUUCACUGUGCGGGACUGAGCAUCUCCCCCAAUAUCCGGGCUGAGGGCUGGGAGCGCGAGAGGAGGAGCCGCGACGACUGUCCAUGGUGGAAUGGAUUUUUUGUCGAAGGCGCUCUAGUGACGGCUCGUGAGGGGAGGAUGGUGCGAUCCGGAUCUGGAUCCCCGUCUCUUUUAUAGAUGGCUCAUUUGCACAGCAAGGGGGGUAAAUGUAAAGAUACCCUGACUUUUCACAUUCGUUUGACACGUGGAAGAUGGCCAUUAUUGGGCGUAGAAGCCAAAGGAGCGUAGCACUUAUCAGAAGCCGGACAAUAUUUGACAAGUAUAUGGAAUUUGGAGAAGAACCCGCCUCGCAAUGCCGAAGACAAUCUACGCGCCGGACUCAUCGUCAUUGAAGCCUGGUUCGGGGGCUACUGAGGGAGUCCCGGAUUAGGGUGUGUCCGGAUAGCCGAACUAUCACCGUUGGUCGGACUCCUGGACUAUGAAGAUACAAGAUCGAAGACUUCGUCCCAUGUCCGGAUGGGACUUUCCUUGGCGUGGAAGGCAGGCUUGGCGAUACGGAUAUGUAGAUCUCCUACCAUUGUAACCGACUCUGUGUAACCCUAACCCUAUUCGGUGUCUAUAUAAACCGGUGGGUUUUAGUCCGUAGGACGAACAACAAUCAUACCAUAGGCUAGCUUCUAGGGUUUAGCCUCACCGAUCUCGUGGUAGAUCUACUCUUGUACUACCCAUAUCAUCAAUAUUAAUCAAGCAGGAGUAGGGUUUUACCUCCACCGAGAGGGCCCGAACCUGGGUGAAAACAUCGUGUCCCUUGUCUCCUGUUACCAUCCGCCUAGACGCACAGUUCGGGACCCCCUACCCGAGAUCCGCCGGUUUUGACACCGACAAUCGCGUUUUACGAUACAGAGCCGCCGCCAAGCCCUAAUCUCUCUCGGGAGGGCAGAUUUGGAGUCCGUUCGGGGCUCCGGAGAGGGGGAUUCGUCGCCGUCGUCAUCAUCAACCAUCCUCCAUCACCAAUUUCAUGAUGCUCACCGCCGUGCAUGAGUAAUUCCAAUGUAGGCUUGCUGGACGGUGAUGGGUUGAAUGAGAUUUAUCAUGUAAUCGAGUUAGUUUUGUUAGUGUUUGAUCCCUAGUAUCCAUUAUGUUUUGAGAUUGAUGUUGCUAUGACUUUGCUGUUCUUAAUGCUUGUCACUAGGGCCCGAGUGCCAUGAUUUCAGAUCUGAACCUAUUAUGUUUUCAUGAAUAUAUGAGAGUUGUUGAUCCUAUCUUGCAAGUCUAUAGUCACCUACUAUGUGUUAUGAUCCGGCAACCCCGAAGUGACAAUAAUCAGGACCACUCCCGGUGAUGACCAUAGUUUGAGGAGUUCAUGUAUUCACUAUGUGCUAAUGCUUUGUUCCGGUUCUCUAUUAAAAGGAGGCCUUAAUAUCCCUUAGUUUCCAAUAGGAUCCCGCUGCCAUGGGAGGGUAGGACAAAAGAUGUCAUGCAAGUUCUUUUCCACAAGCACGUAUGACUAUAUUCGGAAUACAUGCCUAUGUUACAUUGAUGAACUGGAGCUAGUUCUGUGUCACCCUAUGUUAUGACUGUUACAUGAUGAACCACAUCCGGCAUAAUUAUCCAUCAUUGAUCCGGUGCCUACGAGUUUUCCAUAUACUGGUUCUCGCUUAUUUACUUUUCCGUUGUUACUGUUACAAUCACUACAAAAUACCAAAAACAUUACUUUCGCUGUCUUUACUUUUGUUACCGUUACCACUACUAUCAUAUUACUUUGCUACUAAACACCUUGCUGCAGAUACUAAGUUUCCAGGUGUGGUUGAAUUGACAACUCAGCUGCUAAUACUUGAGAAUAUUCUUUGGCUCCCCUUGUGUCGAAUCAACAAAUUUGGGUUGAAUACUCUACCCUCGAAAACUGUUGCGAUCCCCUAUACUUGUGGGUUAUCAAGACCUUUUUUUGGCGCCGUUGCCGGUGAGCAUAGCUCUAUUCUUUGAGUCACUUGGGAUUUAUAUCUACUGGACACUAUGAAGAACUUGAAAGACGCUAAGACCAAGAUUUUUCCCUCAACUACGAGGGGAGGUGAGGAACUGCCAUCUACCCUUGCACUAGAUUCUCCUUCUAUUAUAAGUAAGCUUGUGACACCUAAACUUGCUACUACUAUGAAUUCUGAUAUGUCGCAUGUUAUUGAUGAUGCCACUUCUGCUAUGCGUGACACUUAUGACGAAACCACUUCUAUGCUUGAUACUACUGUGCCCCUUGGAGAAUUUCUUGAUGAGAAAAUUGCUAGGUCUAGAGAAAGAGAAAUUACUGCACCUGAAUACGAUGAUGAGAGUGAUGAUGAAAAUAUGCCCCCUAUUCCUGGAGGUUAUCUUUUUGAUGCAGAAUCUUCUGCAGCUAUCCUUGCUUGCCAGGAUAGAUAUGAACUUAAGAGGUUGCUAGUUAAAUGGAGUAAAGAAUCUUUUAGAGAUAGAAUGAGACCCGACCCUGCUUUUGCUACUUCACCUAUUUGUAUUCCCGAUAAGGAUUAUUAUGAUUUUUCUGUUGAUCCAGAUAUAAUUACUUUGGUUGAAUCUGAUCCUUUCUAUGGCCAUGAAUUUGAAACUGUUGUGGCACAUCUUACUAAGUUGAAUGAUAUAGCUGCCCUGUUUACUAAUAAUGAGAGAUCGCGCUACCUUUAUUUACUCAAAAUAUUUCCGUUCUCAUUAAAGGGUGAUGCUAAGAUAUGGUUUAAUUCUCUUGAUCCUGGUUGUGUGCAAAGUCCCCAGGAUAUGAUUUAUUACUUCUCUGCUAAAUAUUUCCCUGCUCAUAAGAAACAAGCAGCCUCGAGGGAAAUAUAUAACUUUGUGCAAAUUGAAGAGGAGAGUCUCCCACAAGCUUGGGGGAGGCUUCUCAAGUUACUUAAUGCUUUGCCUGAUCAUCCUCUUAAAAAACCUUAAAUACUUGAUAUCUUUUAUAAUGGACUAACUGAUGCUUCCAGAGAUUACCUGGAUAAUUGUGCUGGUUUUCUUUUCAGGGAAAGAACACCGGAUGAAGCUGAAAUUCUAUUGAACAAUAUUUUGACAAAUGAAAAUAAUUGGGCACCUCCCAAGCCAGCUCCUGAGCCAAUUUCUGAGCCAAUUAUUGAGCCUAUUCCUAAACCAACUCCGAAGAAGAGAGGUGUUAUAUUUCUCAGUCCCGAAGAUAUGCAAGAGGAAAAGAAAUCUAUGAAAGAAAAAGGUAUUAAAGCUGAAGAUGUUAAGAAUUUACCUCCUAUUGAAGAAAUACACGGUCUUAAUUUACCGCCUGUUGAAGAAGUAUAUGAUCUCAAUCAAUUAUUUAUUGAAGAACCUCCCGAUAUCCCGACAUAGGUAGUAAAGGUAAAUUCUCUCUAUAGAUAUGAUAAAGCUGAAGUCCCUCCUACUAGAGUUGCUAGUCAGUGCUUGGAUGAGUUUGAUAACUUUAUGUUUAAGCAAGAUGACUUUAAUGCUUAUUUUGGUAGACAAUUAAAACAAGAUGCUUAUAUGAUUAAACGCUUGGGUGAUUAUAUGGCUGAUAUUAGAGGUGAACUUAAACUUGUUAGAAAACAUGCUUCUAUGGUCACCACUCAAGUAGAACAAGUACUUAAAGCUCGAAAAGAAGUGCUUGAUGAAAUGAAUAGUAAGAAAAAUGAUUAUGCUGUUAGUGUGGCUACUAGAACUGGUAGAAUGACUCAGGAACCUUUGUAUCCUGAAGGCCACCCUAAGAGAAUCGAGCAAGAUUCUCAGAGAAAUGAUAUUGAUGUACCUAGUUCUUCCAAAAAGAAGAAAAAGAAAAAUGAUAGGACUUUGCAAACUUCUAGUGAGCCUAUUGCUGAACCACCUGAGAAUCCAAAUGAUAUUUCCAUUUCUGAUGCUGAAACACAAUCAGGUGAUGAACAUGAACCUAGUGAUAAUGUUAAUGAUAAUGUUCAUGUUGAUGCUCAACCUAGUAAUGAUAAUGAUGUAGAAGCUGAACCUGCUGUUGAUCUUGAUAACCCACAAUCAAGGAAUCAAUGUUAUGAUAAAAGAGACUUCGUUGCUAGGAAACAUGGUAAAGAAAGGGAACCAUGUGUUCAAAAACCCAUGACUUUUCCUUCGAAACCAUCCAAGAAAAAGGAUGAUGAGGAUUUUGAGCGCUUUGCUGAAAUGAUUAGACCUAUCUUUUUGUGUAUGCGUUUAACUGAUGUGCUAAGAACAAAUCCUUAUUCUAAGUAUAUGAAGGAUAUUAUUACUAAUAAAAGAAAGAUACCUAAAGCUGAAAUUUCCACCAUGCUUGCUAAUUAUACUUUUAAGGGUGGAAUACCAAAGAAACUUGGAGAUCCCGGAGUACCUACUAUACCAUGCUCCAUUAAGAGAAAUUAUGUUAAAAUUGCUUUAUGUGAUCUUGGAGCCGGUGUUAGUGUUAUGCCUCUCUCUCUGUAUCGUAGACUUGACUUGAAUAAGUUGACACCUACUGAAAUAUCUUUGCAAAUGGCUGAUAAAUCAACUGCUAUACCUGUCGGUAUUUUUGAGGAUGUCCCUGUUGUGGUUGCAAACGUUACUAUCUUAACGGACUUUGUUAUUCUUGAUAUUCCUGAGGAUGAUAGUAUGUCUAUUAUUCUUGGAAGACCUUUCCUUAAUACUGCAGGGGCUAUUAUUGAUUGCAACAAAGGCAAUGUCACUUUUCAUGUUAAUGGCAAUGAGCACACGGUACACUUUCUGAGGAAACAACCUCAGGUCCACAGUAUCAACUCUAUUGGAAAAUUUUCGUCGAUUAUAUUUGGAGGUUUUGAAUUUCCUCUCCCUACUGUCAAGAAAAAGUAUGAUAUUGUUAUUGUUGGGGAUUUUCAUAUCCCCUUGGAGGUAACUUAGUGCUAUUCGAAAUUUCUCCAGUUCCGUGUUAAUCGGAAUGAGCUCGUUAACAAGACUUGAUCAACCUUGUUAGUGGAUUCAUUUUUAUGAACAUGAGAUGGAUGAAACUAGAAGCACAACCUUCUGUACUCUCUUUAUAUUUCCUGUUAUUUAGUAGAUAUAAAGUAAAAUAGUAUUUCUCUGUCUGUUUCCUGACUUAUCCGUGCAAUAUAAAAAUAUCCCGAAAAUAAAAGUCCCCAGAAUGCCAUGCCAAUUUAAUAUGAUUUUUUCGGGAAUAUUUAAGAAUUUACUGUGCAAAAAUCACCGCGGGGGGAGCUGCCACCUGGCCACGAGGGUGGAGGGCGCGCCCUACCCCCCUGGGCGCACCCCCUGCCUCGUGGGCCCACGGUGGCCCUCCUCCACUUAUUCCUGCACCCAUCUUCUUCCUCUGCCUCACACAAACACGAAAACCAACUCAAGCACGAGUUCCAGCUCCCGUUGCUGUGAUUUUCGAUCUCCUUGCUCAAAGCACCUCUCGUGAAACUUCUUGGGGAGAUUGUUCCUUGGUAUGUGACUCCUCCAUUGGUCCAAUUAGUUUUUGUUAUAGUGCUUUAUUCAUUGCAAAUUUGUGCUGCAUAGGUGACCAUGUUCUUGAGCUUGCAUGUCAAAUUUAUAUGGUUCCAAGUAGUUCCAAUGCUUUAUAUAGGCUCUAGGGACUAGUAGGAGUUGUUGCUAUCAAUUUUAUUGAAGUUAGUUCACUCUUAUUUGAAGUUACUAAAAAUUUCAGAAUGUUUCAGAAAUAAUGAAGAGACUUUUGAGGGGCUCGUCGAGCCAAAGCUCGAAGGAAAAACAAAAGGAAGGAGAACAGAAGCCCAAAUUUAAUUUGCCUCGCACCGCGGAGGUCCGGCCGUGUGAAUGGCCUUCCGAUGACUUCUUGAGGAGAGCUGGGAUUUAUGAAGAUUUCUAUUUAUUAAUUGAGAAUGCUGGCCUCACCAACUUCCUCCGCGACCAACGUCAUCAGUAUCUCUUACUCACAAAGACUUCUGUGCAAAAUUUCUACUUUUUCCCUAAGAGUUCACCUCCGUCGGUAGAAUUUCAUUUAUAUGACGUUGCUAAGAGGAUGCCAUUAGCUGAAUUCUGCGAGGUUUGCAAAAUACCUUUUGAGGGCACCUUGGAUGAACCACACCGUAACGAGGUAGAAGCCUUUAUUAACACUAUCACGGUGGGAGAAACUAGGAAGGUUUCUGAUGCAAGAAUUACUAGCAUACAUUUUCCUGUUUUACGCUACUUUGCCUUAUUUGCUAGUCGUUGCCUGAUAGGUCGCGGAAACUGUGGAAACCUUAGUAUUCCUGAUGUUAUGAUUUUGUUCCAUGGUUUAUACCGCAAUACUCUGUUAGUAUGGGUGGAAUUGUUGCUAGACGGUUAAGUCUGAACCGUACUAAGGGCCCCAUCUUUGGAGGCAUUUAUGCCUCACGCCUAGCUGAACAUUUUGAAAUACCUAUCAGGCAUGAGGAGAAAGAGGAAACAUCGCUGCCUCGUGCUUAUUUAGAUUAUAGGAGUAUGCUAGCGCAUGAUUUUCUUGUUAAGAGUCGUGAAGGGGAACUCAAAUAUAUUGUACUUUGAUAAACAUCACCCUGAGAUUAUUACUUUGCCUGCUCCCUCUUUGUUUAAUUUGUCUGCAGGUCCUCACAUUGUUCUGUGGGCGGCCAUUCAAGCCUAUCGAAAUGCUGCACCCGCCCCGGAACUGGAGCCACAAGAUGAGACUCCACGACUAUCUGUUUAUUCUUGGGAUCCAGAGGAGGCUGCCAGCCAGUGGCAGUCGGAGCCUUCUUCGUCACAGUAUGACCCCAGCUUCACUUACGGGUAUCCGCCAGGCCAUCCCUAGCAAUAGACCAACUUAGGGUAAAAACCUAAGCUUGGGGGAGUACGUAUUUCCCACCGACAUUACAUUCAUGUUCACACACACUCAUUGCUAGAUGUCGGUGUUCAUACUCUUUCACUGGGAUAUCCAUUCUAGUUUAUUUUCUGUUUCCUGCUUUCUUCUUGUGUGUUUAAUAAACCUUUAGAAAAACAAAACAAAAAUUAGUAGUAGUUUAUUUCUUUGCUGUAGUAAUUAAAAAGGAAAACCCAAUAAUAUUUCCCGUUCUUCUUUUGCUUGUUGGGAGCUUUCCCGUGUAAAUAGUUUUCCUUUUCUUUUCUUUGGGGGUCAGUAGGAGAAGACCAUGAUUUAAUUGUUGAAGUGGCUCUUACAUGCAUGAUUGUUUAUUUAACUUAGAGCCCAUAUUACUUGUCUUCUCCUGGUUAUUGAAUGCUUGCAGAUUCCAGCUUAGUCCAAUGCACGUGCACUCUUAUUAUUAUUCACAUCGUUCGGUCGUGCAAGUGAAAGGCAAUAAUGAUGAUAUAUGAUGGACUUAUUGGGAUGAGAAAAGCUGGUACAAACUCGACCUCUCUUGUUUUUGUAAAUAUGAUGAUUCAUCGUUCCUGAGUUAGCUAUUAUGAAGUAAGCAUAUUUGCAUUGACAUUUAGAGAUUAUAAUUGCUUGUGCCAUGCUUGAUUAGAUAUGAGUUAUAAUGGUUUACCUUGCGUGCCAACAUGCUAUUAGAAUGAUUAUGAUGUGGUAUGAUGGGAUGGUAUCCUCCUUUAAAUGAAUUGAGUGACUAGACUUGGCACAUGUUCACGCAUGUAGUUGAAUCAAAUCAACAUAGCCUUCAUGAUAUUUAUGUUCAUGGUGGAUUAUAUCCUACUCAUGCUUGUAUUCGGUGUAAAUUAAUUUUGAUGCAUGUUUACGACUGUUGUCGCUCUCUCAGUUGGUCGCUUCCCAGUCUUUUGCUAGCCUUCACCUGUACUAAGCGGGAAUACUGCUUGUGCAUCCAAACUCCUUAAACCCCAAAGUUGUUCCAUAUGUGUCCACUAUACCAUCCUAUAUGCGGUAUUUACCUGCCGUUCCAAGUAAAUUUGUAUGUGCCAAACUCCAAACCUUCAAAUAAAAUUAUGUUUUGUAUGCUCGAGCAGCUCAUGUUUCAACUAGGGUUGUCCUUAUCUUCCAUGUUAGGCGGUUAUUCUCAAGAGGAGUGGACUCCGCUCCUCAUUCACGAGAAAAUGGCUGGUCACCGGGAUGCCCAGUCCCACGCUUUAUGCAAACUAAAUCAAAAUAAUUGUAAACGAAACUCCCCUUGGGACCCGUUGAAUGUUGGAGGCACUCGUUGUUUCGAGUAAGCCAUGGAUUGAUGCUUGUGGAGGAAGGGGAGUAUAAACUUUAACAUUCUGUUUGGGAACCGCCUAUAAUUUGUUUAGCAUGGAAGAUAUCGUCAUCUCAUAGUUGUUGCGUUGACAGCAAAAGUAUGCCGCUCAAAAUGUUAUUCAAUCUCUAUUUUAAAACCGAGCUCUCGCACCUCUACAAAUCCCUGCUUCCCUCUGUGAAGGGCUUAUCUAUUUACUUUUAUGUUGAGUCAUCACCCUUCUUACUAAAAAGCACCUGCUGGAGAGCACACUGUCAUUUGCAUUCAUUAUUAUUGGUUUAUAUUGGGUAUGACUUGACCGGAUCUAUUUUACCAUGAAUUACAAUGUUUAGUCAGUCCUUGAUCUUUAAAAGUGCUCUGCAUUUAUGUUUUGCGGUCUCAGAAAGGGCUAGCGAGAUACCAUUCCGUUAUAUCAUGUUAUGAUUAUUUUGAGAAAGUGUUGUCAUCUGAGUUUUGUUAUUAUAGCUCGCUAGCUGAUUAUGCUAUUGAUAUGAGUAAUUGUGAGACCUUUGUGUUAUUGUGAGUAUGGUUAGGUCAUAAUAUUUGCUGAAACUUGAAUGCUGGCUUUUCAUGUUUACAACAACAAGAGCAAACAGAGUUUGUAAAAGUUUUUCUUUUUCUCUUUCAGUUUGUCAACUGAAUUGCUUGAGGACAAGCAAGGGUUUAAGCUUGGGGGAGUUGAUACGUCUCCGUCGUAUCUAGUUUACCAAACACUUUUGCCCUUGUUUUGGACUCUAACUUGUGCGAUUUGAAUGGAACUAACCCGGACUGACGUUGUUUUCAGCAGAAUUGCCAUGGUGUUGCUUUUGUGCAGAAAAUAAAAGUUCUCGGAACGACCUGAAACUCCACGGAACGUAUUGGGAUAAUUAAUAAAAAAUCUUCGCCAAAGAUGAAGAUCAGGGGGCCAACACCCUGUCCACGAGGGUGGGGGCGCCCCCCUGGGCGCGCCCCCCUACCUCGUGGCCCCCCUGGUGGCCCUCCGACGCCAACUCCAACUCCAUAUAUUGGCCUUCGGGGAGAAAAAAUCAGAGAGAAGAAAUCAUUGCGUUUUACGAUAUGGAGCCGCCGCAAGCCCUAAUCUCUCUCGGGAGGGCUGAUCUGGAGUCCUUUCGGGGCUCCAGAGAGGGGGAUUCGUCGCCGUCGUCAUCAUCAACCAUCCUCCAUCACUAAUUUCAUGAUGCUCACCGCCGUGCGUGAGUAAUUCCAUCGUAGGCUUGCUGGACAGUGAUGGGUUGGAUGAGAUUUAUCAUGUAAUCGAGUUAAUUAGUUUUGUUAGGGUUUGAUCCCUAGUAUCCAUUAUGUUCUGAGAUUGAUGUUGCUAUGACUUUGACGUGCUUAAUGCUUGUCACUAGGGCCCGAGUGCCAUGAUUUCAGAUCUGAACCUAUUAUGUUUUCAUGAAUAUAUGAGAGUUCUUGAUCCUAUCUUGCAAGUCUAUAGUCACCUACUAUGUGUUAUGAUCCGGCAACCCCGAAGUGACAAUAAUCGGGACCACUCCCGGUGAUGACCAUAGUUUGAGGAGUUCAUGUAUUCACUAUGUGCUAAUGCUUUGUUCCGGUUCUAUAUUAAAAGGAGGCCUUAAUAUCCCUUAGUUUCCAAUAGGACCCCGCUGCCACGGGAGGGUAGGACAAAAAUGUCAUGCAAGUUCUUUUCCAUAAGCACGUAUGACUAUAUUCAGAAUACAUGCCUACGUUACAUUGAUGAACUGGAGCUAGUUCUGUGUCACCCUAUGUUAUGACUGUUACAUGAUGAACCACAUCCGGCAUAAUUAUCCAUCAUUGAUCCGGUGCCUACGAGUUUUCCAUAUACUGGUUCUCGCUUAUUUACUUUUCUGUUGUUACUGUUACAAUCACUACAAAAUACCAAAAACAUUACUUUCGCUGUCUUUACUUUUGUUACCGUUACCACUACUAUCAUAUUACUUUGCUACUAAACACCUUGCUGCAGAUACUAAGUUUCCAGGUGUGGCUGAAUUGACAACUCAGCUGCUAAUACUUGAGAAUAUUCUUUGGCUCCCCUUGUGUCGAAUCAACAAAUUUGGGUUGAAUACUCUACCCUCGAAAACUAUUGUGAUCCCCGAUACUUGUGGGUUAUCACUAAGCGGAAGCGUUACAAGAACGCGGUUGAUGGAGUCAUACUCGCGGCGAUUCAAAUCGCGGAAGAUCCGAUCUAGCGCCGAAUGGACGGUGCCUCCGCGUUCAACACACGUAUAGCCCGGGGACAUCUCCUCCUUGAUCCAGCAAGGGGAGAGGAGAAGUUGAGGGAGAACUCCGACAGCACGACGGCAUGGUGGUGGUGGAGCUCGUGGUAUUCCUGCAGGGCUUCGCCAAGCACUACGGAGGAGGAGGAGAUUUACGAGGAGGGAGGUGCUGCGCCAGGGGAAGGGUGUGGCUGCCCGACCACCACCUCACUAUAUAUAGGAGGAAGGGGGGAGGGGGUCGGCCCCUCUAGAUCCCAUCUAGAGGAGGGGGCGGCGGCCAGGGGAAACCCUAGAUGGGUUUGGGCGCCCCCACCCCUUAGGAAACUCCNNNNNNNNNNNNNNNNNNNNNNNNNNNNNNNNNNNNNNNNNNNNNNNNNNNNNNNNNNNNNNNNNNNNNNNNNNNNNNNNNNNNNNNNNNNNNNNNNNNNNNNNNNNNNNNNNNNNNNNNNNNNNNNNNNNNNNNNNNNNNNNNNNNNNNNNNNNNNNNNNNNNNNNNNNNNNNNNNNNNNNNNNNNNNNNNNNNNNNNNNNNNNNNNNNNNNNNNNNNNNNNNNNNNNNNNNNNNNNNNNNNNNNNNNNNNNNNNNNNNNNNNNNNNNNNNNNNNNNNNNNNNNNNNNNNNNNNNNNNNNNNNNNNNNNNNNNNNNNNNNNACGCUUGCCGGGGCCUCCGAAACUCCUUUCGGACACGCUGGUCGUCACCCGGUACCCCCGGAACAAUUUUGGACUCUAAUACCCUACGUCCAAUAUACCGAUCUUCACCUCCGGACCAUUCCAGAGUUCCUCGUCACGUUCGGGAUCUCAUCCGGGACUACGAACAACCUUCGGUAACCACAUACUAUUUCCCAUAACAACUCUAGCGUUUCCGAACCUUAAGUGUGUAGACCCUAUGGGUUCGGGAAUCAUGCAGACAUGACCGAGACGUUCUCUAGCCAAUAACCAACAGCAGGAUCUCGAUACCCAUGUUGGCUCCCACAUGUUCCACGAUGAUAUCAUCAGAUGAACCACGAUGUCGGGGAUUCUAUCAAUCCCGUAUACAAUUCCCUUUGUCAAUCAGUAUGUUACUUGCCCGAGAUUCGAUCGUCGGUAUCCCAAUACCUCGUUCAAUCUCGUUACCAGCAAGUCACUUUAUUCGUUGCGUAAUGCAUGAUCCCAUGACUAACUACUUAGUCACAUUGAGCUCAUUAUGAUGAUGCAUUACCGAGUGGGCCCAGAGAUACCUCUCCGUCAUAUGGAGUGACAAAUUCCAGUCUCGAUUCGUGCCAACCCAACAAACACUUUCGGAGAUACCUGUAGUGCACCUUUAUAGUCACCCAGUUACGUUGUGACGUUUGGUACACCCAAAGCACUCCUACAGUAUCUGGGAGUUACACAAUCUCAUGGUCUAAGGAAAUGAUACUUGACAUUAGAAAAGCUUUAGCAAACGAACUGCACGAUCUUGUGCUAUGCUUAGGAUUGGGUGUUAUCCAUCACAUCAUUCUCCUAAUGAUGUGAUCACAUUAUCAAUGACAUCCAAUGUCCAUGGUCAGGAAACCAUAACCAUCUAUUUAUCAACGAGCUAGUCAACUAGAGGCUCACUAGGGACAUGUUGUGGUCUAUGUAUUCACACAUGUAUUACGGUUUCCAGUUAAUACAAUAAUAGCAUGAACAAUAGACAAUUAUCAUGAACAAGGAAAUACAAUAAUAACCAUUUUAUUAUUGCCUCUAGGGCAUAUUUCCAACAAUAACAUGUGCAAAAAAGUUGAGAGGGUUACGGCAAAAAUUGGAUGCACUUCGUGUACAAAAUGGACAAUCUCUUUCGAAGUAUAAGGGUUUCGAACAAAAACUCAUCUGUUACAAAGGCAUUUCAUUUUUUUUAAAUUUGUUACAACUCCAGACUUUUUGUACAUUCAAUAUGCACCAUUGAAAGCCACACCAUCAACUUUCAACCCUUUCUGACAUCAUUUGCUAUUUUUCAUGCAUUUACUGAUUUUUUUGAGCUAAAUGACUCAGAAAUUGAAAAGCACUUCAAAUGAACUCUGAAAAGGUUGAAAGUUGGCAUAGUAUCAUCAUUUCACCCACAUAGCAUGUGCAAAAACAUUGAGAGGGUUACGACAAAAAACUGUAUGCACUUCGUGUACAAAAUGGACAAUCUCUUUCGAAGUAUCAGGGUUUCGGACGAAAACUCAUCUGUUACAAAGGCAUUUCAUUGCUAUGUCGGUUGUAGUACCCACGUUCUGUUUUCUGUUGCCUGCGGUUGUCUUCUGUUAAGAUCAUAAUUUGUGGAAAGUUGGGUGAGUAUUACGGACCUCUAGACCCUGUUCUGGAGUUCCUUUCUUCAUUGUCUAGAGACCCUGUUCUAGACAUGUCGGUGACACAAAAUUUCCAUCUGGGUGGGUGCGGAAUUUAUCAAAAUUUUGAGCUAUGUAGGAAGUGUUUAUUGUGAUAUCAGAUUUGUUUGUUUGUGCUUGCAACCUGUCAUUUUUCUGUCGACGUACUUGCCGAACUCCCCGCGCUCAGCUGCUUGAAGCUGCCGUGCGAACCCGCUGUGAGGGAUGGCAAUCCAAGGUCGCUUCGCGACAUUGCGGUCUGUGGUGACACCAUCAAGUAUGUUGAGAUGCUGCCUCACCCCGACAGAAGCUCCUCUAAGACCCUCUCAUGUCGUUGGGUGGUCGCAGCAUGGAGCAUCAAGAAGGCCCGUCGGUCCUGGUGCAAGGAUUGGCGCAUGGUUUGCAAGCUCGAUUCCACCCAUAUAAAGGUUGAUGCAGCUAGUACCAUGGCUUCCUUCCCAACCUUGUCAUCCCUCCAUGUUGGCCUGCCCACACUCAGCCUGCAGAAUGAUGCCAUUGUUUACUUCCUCGCCAAGAUUGACUUCCGCACGAUGGAACACACGGCUUGGGUGCUUGCUGUUGACAAGAAGAACGCGACUGCUGAGCAAGUAGUGGAGUUCCCUGCUGGGAGGACUUUCUGUUUAGCCCAGGGCUAUGAUGCAAGUAGGAUCUACGCAUACCUCCAACCUGCUCCAGGUAACUGACUGUAACCCCUGCCUUGCUGCUGUUGGUUCCAACUAUACAUGCUAAACUACCAGAUUAAUCCAUGGUUCUUCUUGGUGGAGUGGGUGACGGCAGCGUCAUUUCACACACAUCGAUAGUGUGGGGUUUAGGGUGGAUAAUCCACCAAAUAGCUCAUAAUACUAUUCAUUAAGUCAGAUGCUGACAGUGAAUUUCUCACCGGAACAAUUCACACUUCUCUUGUGACAUAUAAUAAUUUGGUUAUAGGGUGAGCGGUGCACAUGCUUAUCAAGUUUGGUCUUUUUCAGUAGUCUUUCAGCAUGGAGAUUUUAGAAUAAUUAAUGGUUGCAUUAGCGCUAGUUGUUUGUGGACCAGUUUUUCUUUCCCAAACUAUUACUGAAGACAUGUGGAAUUUGAAAUGCCAGGUACACGGCAAAUACCUAAACGACCACGGGUGUCAUUGCUGAAAUACCCUCCCAUGAAGCAUAUUAAAGAUGUUGAAGAUCCUAAAGAAGACGAUGCCAUGGUGAUUUUUUCUUCAUGAGGUUGCAUGGAAGCUGUAUGACCUGAGAUUGGUGCCGGAUAUUAAUGGAGGGGGUAGUGGAUUAUCAUGUCUGCUAGUCUGUCCCUUCUUUUGUGUGUCUUAUAUUUAUUUUAGGAUUACAUGACCUGUGGAAUUGGCUGUUAACAUCGUAACCCUAUGGAGGGUGAGUAUUGUUUUUGACAUGAGUUGUUAGUGAUGCAAAAUCUCCAUUUGGGUGGGUGGGGAAUUUAUCAAAAUUUUAGGCUUUGUAGGAACUGUUCUUAUGAUACCAGAUUUGUUUGCUUGUUUGUGCUUGCAACUUGUCAUUUUUCUGUCAGAAUUGGUUAGCUGCUUUCUUAUUUUCUUGGCAUGUGCUAGCAGUCAGGCGGCUGUGGCUGGGGACUUGGGAUUUUAGUGAAGUCAUCAUCUGUUUGUGCUAAGGUGCUUAAGGUUGUCCAAGUGGAUGACAACACACAAUUCUUUCAUAUGAUUGCGAAUGGGAAACAUAGGAAGAAGUAAAUUAUACAACUUGAACAGGACGAAGGGACUAUUGUGGGUCAUGAGAAUCUGAAAGUGUAUAUCUCUAAUUAUUAUAAACAACUUUUUGGGUCUCCGGAAAUAAGCACGAUGUCCCUUAAUGAAUCUCUUAUUUGAGAUAUCCCUCAGCUUCGGGUAGAGGAAAAUGAUAUUCUAUCUGCACCGUUCGCUGAGAAGGAGGUUCUUGAUGCAAUUUCACAAAUGAAACCGAACAAAGCACCGGGACCAGAUGGGUUUCACGCGGAAUUCCAUAAGAAGUGUUGGCAUAUUAUUAAGGAUGAUCUUAUGCCUAUGUUCCAUGAUUUUUUUAAUGGUCAUUUGGAACUAUUCCAUCUUAACUUUGGCAUGAUUACGCUGUUGCCAAAGAAAUAAGGGACAGUCCGGAUCGAACAGUUUAGGCCAAUAUGUCUUCUCAACGUGAGUUUCAAAAUAUUCACAAAAGCGGGCACAAAUAGAUUGACGCAGAUUGCCCACUCGGUGGUACAAUCGAGCCAGACAGCUUUCAUGCCUGGGAGACACAUUCUUGAAGGGGUCUUCGUCCUGCAUGAAAUGCUGCAUGAAAUUCAUUUGAAGAAACUAGAUGGGGUUAUCUUCAAAGUGGAUUUUGAGAAGGCAUAUGAUAAAGUUAAAUGGCAUUUCCUUCAGCAGGCAAUGCGCAUGAAAGGCUUUAGUGAGGAUUGGCAGAACCAAGUGGGUUCUCUAGUCCAGAAGGGUAGUAUCAGAAUCAAGUUUAACGAUGAUAUCGGUCACUACUUUCAGACACACAAGGGGUUGAGACACGGGGACUCCAUGUCUCCUCUCCUAUUUAAUAUAGUGGCUGAUAUGCUGACCAUUCUUAUAGGCAGGGCCAAGCAAAACAGUCAAGUGGAUGGGCUAGUACCUCAUCUGGUCGAUGGGGGGAGUCUCCAUUUUAUAGUAUGCUGACGACACUAUCCUGUUCAUGGAACAUGACAUUGCAAAAGCACAAAAUAUGAAACUCAUUUUAUGUCUCUUCGAACAAUUGUCUGGAUUAAAAAUAAAUUUUCACAAGAGCGAGUUGUUCUGCUUUGGUAAGGCCAAAUAAGAGCAAGACACAUAUAGGCAAUUGUUUGGGGGUGAAUUAGGUUCCUUGCCUUUCAGCUAUUUGGGAAUACCAAUUCAUCCCCCAAAGCUUUCUAAUAAAGAAUGGAAGUUCAUCGAAGAUCGAAUUGAAAAAAAGCUUAGUUGCUGGAAGGGCAAGCUAAUGUCGUAUGGAAGGUCGGCUAGUGUUGAUCAACUCAGUACUUACUAGUAUACCGAUGUUCCUAUUAUGUUUCUACGAGGUACCCAUUGGGGUGCUAAAGAGAUUAGAUUUCUUUAGAUCUCGAUUCUUCUGGCAGUCAGACCACUAGUAGAAAAAGGGCCUAUUGUCCCGGUUCGUAAGGGCCAUUUGUCCUGGUUAUUGAACCGGGACUAAAGUGUCGUUACUAAUGCCCUAGACCUUUAGUCCCGGUUCUUAUACAAACCGGGACAUAUGGGCCUCCACGUGGCCGGUGCGGGGAGCCCAGGCAGGAGGCCCCUUGGUCCCGGUUUGUGGCACCAACCGGGAUCAAUAGGCAUCCACGCGUCAGCAUUUCAGGGGCUGGGGUUUUUGUUUUUUUAAAGGGGGGGUUAGGGGGUUUUGGGGGGUUAAUUUAGGUGUUUCAUAUUGUGUUAGCUAGCUAAUUAAUAGAGAGAAGUGUCCUCUCUUAUCUCCAUGCUUGGUUGACGCUACAUACUAUACGUAUAGAGAGGACUAGACACGGUAGCUAGUAAGCAAAUGAAGGAAACAGAAGAUCGUCAUGAACAUAUGCAUACAGAGAGAAGUGAUAUCGACCACCUCUCCUUCUGUGAGAGAUUGGUCGAACAACAAGUUCUCGUAUAUCUAUCCAACGCUACUGGCUACAUAUACAUAUAUACAAUAUAAUUAUCUCUUACAAUAUAAUCUCCUAAUUAUAUAUGAACUCAGGGUCCACAUGGUAUUCUCUGUCUUUAUCGAUCAUGUGGUCAAGAAAGAAUGCCGCCAAUUCCUCUUGAAUUGCUCGCAUAUGAUCUGGUGGUAGGAGUUCAUCCCGCAUCCGAAAUAUCUAAUUUGAAGAAGGGGGUCAAUACAUAUAUAUGAAUAAAUGAAACUCAACACAAAUGAUGGCAAUAAAGUAAAAUUGUGAAUAUUAUUAUUUACGCACUUCAUCUUGUUUGUCAGAGUAGCCCCGCUCACAGGUCGUGUGGCGGAUGGACUCGCAAAUGUAGUAUCCACAGUAAUCAUUCCCUUGUUCUUGCCACAACCAAUUUACAAGAAAUAGAGGUCAAUCAAACUGAUAAGCAAGCAUGCUAAAUGGUAUUGAUGAAACUAGCGCUCGAAUCACUAGGAGAUGCGCGGAACAUGCUACUAUAGUACUUACUUUCGGGUGUUUAAAUUGCAGCUUCUUCGGCAAUCCCGGAGUUUUUGAGGUGAAUUUUUUCCAAACCCUGCUAGACAAAGAAAACAAUUACUUGAUAUCAGGAAAUGAACAAAGUUGCUGAUAUGGUGCGAUAAUGAUCGAUUUAACUUACUUCUCUAGAAUUUCAGUCAUGCCCGCGUACUCCAUGGGAUCUUUUCGUCUCGAGUCUAAGACGGUUACAAGUCCCUGCUCAAGCUUAAUCUCUAGGAGAAUAUAGUGGAAGCUGCGCACGGAUGCAUAACUCAUCAAUUACAUUACUAUAACCUCGACUAAUAAGGGAAACCGAAUAUGCACAAGACAGUAACACUCACCUGUAUUCAUAAGGAAAGACUAUUAUAGCUUUGUUUUGAUUUAAUACAAACGACUGUAGCAACUUGGCCUCGGUAUCUCUGGCCUGAAAUUUAACCAUAUAUGCAUCUAUGAGAUUUGUGUUAAUGAACCCAAUAUCACCAAUUUGUCUUUUCUUCAAUUCGGUGAUCUUCAAUCUGCAUAAUAUAGUGAGGAUAAUUAAAAAUACAUGCAAUGAAAGAGCUGACCUAUAUAGAGAGACUUAAUGAUAGAAGUAGUACUACUUACAGGCAGUAGCAAGUGACCGUUGUCGGUGUCAAAACCGGCGGAUCUCGGGUAGGGGGUCCCGAACUGUACGUCUAGGAGGAUGGUAACAGGAGACGAGGGACACGAUGUUUUUAGCCAGGUUCGGGCCCUCUCGAUGAAGGUAAAACCCUACUCCUGCUUGACUAAUAUUGAUGAUAUGGGUAGUACAAGAGUAGAUCUACCACGAGAUCAGAGAGGCUAAACCCUACAAGCUAGCCUAUGGUAUGAUUGUUGUUCGUCCUACGGACUAAAACCCUCCAGUUUAUAUAGACACCAGAGAGGGUUAGGGUUACAUAGAGUCGGUUACAAUGGUAGGAGAUUUACAUAUCUGUACCGCCAAGCUUGCCUUCCACGCCAAGGAAAGUCCCAUCCGGACAUGGGACGAAGUCUUCAAUCUUGUAUCUUCAUAGUCUAGGAGUCCGGCCAAAGGUGAUAGUUCGGCUAUCCGGACACCCCCUAAUCCGGGACUCCUUCAGUAGCCCCCGAACCAGGCUUCAAUGACGACGAGUCCGGUGCGUAGAUUGUCUUUGGCAUUGCGAGGCGGGUUCUCCUCCAAAUUCCAUAUACUUGUUGAAUAGUGUCCGGCUUCUGAUAAAUGCUGCGCCCCUCGGCUUCCACGCCCAAUAAUGGCCAUCUUCCACAUGUUGAAUGAAUGCGAAAAGCCAGGGUAUCUUUACACUUACCCCCCUAGCUUCGUAAAUGAGCCGCCCAUAAAAGAGACGAGGAUCUAGAUCCGAAUCACACCAUCCUCCCUCCGCGAGCUUUCAUCGGAGCGCCUCUGACAAAAAUCCAUUCCGUCAUGGACAGUCGACGCGGAUCCUCCUCUCGCGCUCCCAGCCCUUAGCCUGGAGAUUGGGAGAGAUGCUCAGUCCCGCAUAGCGAGCUAGUGACGCUCCAAACCAAGGGAUUUCUUCCCCCAGCCUUCAUGGUUCCGGUCCGAGCCGGACUCGCCACCUAUAAGGGCGGAAAACAGGCGGAGAGCGUCCCCGAUCCCUCCAAAGGAGAGCGGGUAUGCUUUGUCUCUUAUCUGAUAAGAGGACUCGGAUUCCCAAUUCAUCCGUUUCUCCGGGGGCUCCUAGAGUUCUACGGCCUUCAGUUGCACCACCUUACGGCUGCCUCCAUUUUGCACAUCGCGGGCUUCGUGGCCCUUUGCGAACUGUUCUUGGGCAUCGAGGCUCAUUUUGCGCUGUGGAAGAGAUUAUUCUGGCUUGUACCCCGUUCUCAUGAGGGGUCAAUAUAUCAAGUGGGCGGAGCCGAGCUAUGGCGCAUCGCCGGGACCGGAUGUCUAUCCGGAACCCCGAAGAAGGCGUCUGAAGACUGGCCUUCGGAAUGGUUUUAUAUAGAAGACGUCCUGCUGCCGGAUCCUGUUCGGAUCGGCCUCCCGGAGUUCAGUAAUGCUCCCUUGAAGAAACGCCUAAGUUGGCGUCCGCGGAGCCCCCAGAGGGAAAAUGACAGGGACGUCCUUUACCUGAUGAGCCGAAUAAGGUUGUUAGCUCAUUCCGGACUAACCAUGAUCGGUGUCAUGGCCACAUGCAUUAUGCGGGGGGUGCAGCCGCUCCAGUUUAGGGGCCACCCCAUGUGGGAUUUCAACGGGGAGGACGAUGCCACCCGUCAUGGCCGUAAGGGGCCGGGAUCGGUCGCCGAUCUGGUGAAGAUCUUGUCCGCGUUGUACAAGGGGGAAGAGGAGGAUUUUCUCCAUGUCAGUCCAUUGAACGGAUUUUCUAUGAACAAUACUCGAAGCUGGGUAAGCGGACCUUUCUUUUUCGCACAUCCGAUCCGUAUUCCCAUGGUUAGGUAUCUCAUUUUGUGAUUUCGACGCAGGAACUGUGCCAGGCUGUAAAAGACAUAAACAGCCUGCCUCCACAACCCGAGGAUCCGGAGCGGUUCCUUGAUCUGGCCUCCCAAGAGGAUCCGGACAUAUUGGUGGAGCUGAUUGAUGGGGUAUUUCACCAACUGAGCAUCGAUAAUGCCUUGGUUGCCAUUACGGCUGAUUACCCCGGAAUACUUCCAGCCUCACAGGUAACUGAGACCGAAGUCCCAAUACUUUGAUAAUGACCCAUCCGUGCUUAUUUUUGAUAACCGUAUACCAAUGGUGUUUCGCAGGGGGUGCCUUUGAGGCGGAAGGCCGAGCCCGCGGCAGCUAGCCAACAAGGGGCAGCACGGCCCCGCAGGCUAAAAAGAAGUGCGGUCCGGAUCGAAACGCCGCUGCAACGGUAUGGCGUGUCACCAUAUUCCCAGGAUUGAUUCCUGGAAGGCAUAUUAAUGUUGGUGCUCUUUUCUGGAAAAAGAGCGCUCGCCGGACUGUGUCCGGAGAGAUUGCCAAUCGAGCCUCCGCCAGCCAGGCUCCAAAGCCGGGUCCGGAAGCGGAGGCGAGCACGAGGCAUGCGUCGGAUGCUCCUCCCACAGAGGAUGCCGACAGAUUGUCCGCCGCCCACUCCGAGGUGGAGAGUGCCAUGAAUCACAGGCGCUGCCGGACAGUUCUUCGUGACGCGUGUUUCUCCCAAGAGGCAUUGAAUGCCUUCAAUUCGGGAGAUGCGCACCUCCGUGCCGCUCAAUAUGGUCUAGCCAGAGCCGCGGAGCAGUAUGUAAAGGACAUACGGGUGAGGAAAUUUGACAGUUAUAUAUGCCAGUAGCCCCCGAGACUUAAAAUAGUUAGAAUCACUGAUUUAAGGAUCAUUUGUUAUGCAGGAUCUUACGGAAAAGAAUACCCGACUGUCCCAGGAGCUUGAAGAGUGCAAGGCCCAACUUGAGGCCGCACUAGCCGCGACAGGGGGAGCCACAGAGACCCCCUCCGGUAAUAUAUGCUUCAAAAGAUAAGUAGUUUGUGAAGUGCGGCGUGUGUAUAAGUCUGACAAUAAUAUUGCAGAUGGCGCUGGACUAGAUCCGGACAAGCAACAGCUCUUGCGCCGGUUAAAGGCCGGUGAGAAUGUGCUUACAAGGGUGAGGCAAGAGAAAAAUAAUCUCCAAGAUGCCAACACCCAGCUGGGUGAGGAACUAAAGGAUGUUCGUGCCCAGCUGUCUGACUCCGUUAAGGAGAAUCGGCGGCUUCGUCGCGGCACUUAUAGUAAGUGCUUGAGCGAACUUUGAAAAAAGAGUUUGGCGAGGAAGUCGACUAACAGAAAUAUGUCUGUAGGUAUGCUCAUAGGUCGUCCUGCAGAGGAAAUGCCCGGUUCAACGGGUGACCUGCUUCCUGAGCUGCUACAACUGCACGAACAAGUUCGGCAGGUGAUGAAAGGCGUCGCCCAGGCCUUGUGGCCAUCUAUCUCCCUGCCCGAAGGCCUUGGAGAGCUUGCAGAGAGGCUUCAGGGAGCACGGCGGCGCUUCCGACUAUGGAAGAUACCGGCCUGCCGUCAAGGCGCCAGGGAGGCCUGGGCCAUGGUGAAGACGCGGUACACGAAAGCUGACCCAAACCACAUGGCCGAGGUCGGACCUGUGGGGCCCGAUGGGAAGGAGAUCCCUGUGAGCUUGGUAUACGGCCAAGUAGAGUUGGCCGCAAAGUAUUCCCAGCAGGACUGUAAACUAGACAGCCUAUUAGAUGGCAUUGAAGAGGAAUACAAUCAGUCAAUUUGACUAUGUAAUUUAAAAUGACAUGUAAAAUGCCUUCUUGCCGGAUUGUAGAUCGUUUGUCGUAGCGGACCUUUUCGCUUCAACCUCGGGACCCAAUAGUCCGGAGUGUGUCCGAAUACCCUCGCGGUUAUGUAAAAACCGGGGCAUGCGUGGAGACCAGGCGUAGGGGUCAUGAGUGCUUUAUCGGACAAGUGCCCAACUAGUUAUGUUAUAUUACAUGGUUAGUAAGAAACAUCUUCCAGGGAGAAUAGUUUCGUUAGGGGUUCCUUUCCCUGGGAGGCAUGCCCUAAAGUGCAUGUCCGGACUGCGAAAAAAGCAGAAAAACAUCUGGGGGCAGAUAAAUGAAUAAGUAAGAAAUCGUCUUUUAGUUCACCGACCGAAUAUUCCCUUAAGAACGCUAGCUUUCGGCUUCACCCAGUCUGAGGUACACGUCCAGCUGACCCGGCGGUAACAAUCGCAGAGGUGCUCCCUUUACCACCUAGCCGAACAAUCGGGAACGUAGGGGUAAGCACAGGAGCCAGGCAACCCAGCUUGGCCAAAACUUAAGUCAUAUCGAUGCAUAUAAUGGUGAAUAAAAGGUACAUGCGGAAGUGUGACACAUGUGUUGGGCAUAAAGCCCGUAUAAAUAAGCUUCUGUUAAAGAAGCCCCCGGGUAUAAUGAGCGCGGAUAGAGCGUCAAGUGUGUGCGAACUAUGCGCAAACAGGCCUCCAACGGCUUCGGAAAAAAGGAGGGAGAAGGAGAGAAAUAAAAGACAGUUAAAGUAUAAAAUAUAGACGGAGGAAGGAGACGAACUCAGAAUCCGGCGCUAGGCAUAGAAUCUUCGGAGACGGGCUGCGUUCCAUGGGUUCGGCUCAAGUCGGUUAUCCGAUGCGUUUCGCAGACGGUACGCUCCGCCGGUCAGGACUUGGUCGAUGAUGAAGGGACCCUCCCAUUUGGGCUUGAGUUUGUCCUUUUUCUUGUCCGGCAGGUGUAGAACUAAUUCGCCAACAUUGUAAGCUUUGGCCCGUACUUCUCUGCUUUGGUAUCUUCAAGCCUGCUGUUGAUAGAAUGCGGAACGAGCUUUUUCCACGUCACGCUCCUCCUCCAAGGUGUCCAAACUGUCCUGCCGAUCGAGCUCGGCUUCUCUUUCUUCGUACAUGCGCACGCGAGGUGAGUCAUGAAUUAUGUCGCAGGGCAAAACUGCCUCUGCGCCGUAUGCCAUAAAAAAUGGUGUGAAUCCGGUAGUGCGAUUCGGCGUGGUUCCCAGCCCCCAGAGUACGGAGUCGAGCUCCUCUACCUAGUGCGCAUUAGAUUCCUUGAGGGACCGCACUAGCCUGGGUUUAAUGCCCCUCAUGAUUAGACCAUUUGCUCGCUCGACUUGACCGUUAGUUUGAGGAUGAUAGACUGAAGCGUAGUCGAGCUUGAUGCCCAUGUUUUUGCACCAGAGUUUGACCUCGUCGGCCAUGAAGUUCGUGCCGUUAUCAGUGAUGAUGCUAUGGGGAACGCCGUAACGGUGUACUACCCCUGAUAUGAAGGCUAUCACUGGUCCGGAUUCGUCCGUCUUAACAGGCUUGGCCUCUAUCCAUUUGGUGAAUUUAUCCACCAUGACCAAUAGGUAUUUUUGCUUGUGGGUUCCUCCUUUAAGGGGUCCAACCAUGUCAAGCCCCCAGACCGCGAACGGCCAGGUGAUGGGUAUAGUUUUGAGGGCGGUGGGUGACAUGUGGCUUUGAUUAGCAAAGAGCUGGCAUCCGGCGCAUCGUUGGACUAAGUCCUGAGCAUCUGCCGGGGCCGUCGGCCAAUAAAAUCUUGUACGGAAGGCCUUGCCUACAAGGGCCCGGGCUGCGGCGUGGUGCCCGCCGAGUCCGGCAUGGCAUCCCCUAAUCCGGGACUCCCUCAACCGUUAAUUUAUCGAGGGCCUUUUGAUUGAAAAACGCGAAGAACUCCUCAAAUGGAACAUUCAUCAGUUCAAUUCCAACGAGGUCAUGCUCCUCUAUAACUCUCAGCAUCAAAAUAUUCCUCCCCUCAGACUCGCUGCAGGUUUUCAUGUACCAAUCAUGGAAUCUUUGCAUCAUCGUUGUUAGAGAUCUUUCAUCUUUGACGAGAGGCUUCCCGUACUCAUAUUUGUGUUCGACUACCUCCAAGAAAUCAUAAUGUACAUCGUCAGGCAGGUAAUCUCCAAGAUCGUUAUAACCGGGCACCAUCCCCGGAUCUUUAGCGAUGAUAUCGCUAGACACCUAGANNNNNNNNNNNNNNNNNNNNNNNNNNNNNNNNNNNNNNNNNNNNNNNNNNNNNNNNNNNNNNNNNNNNNNNNNNNNNNNNNNNNNNNNNNNNNNNNNNNNNNNNNNNNNNNNNNNNNNNNNNNNNNNNNNNNNNNNNNNNNNNNNNNNNNNNNNNNNNNNNNNNNNNNNNNNNNNNNNNNNNNNNNNNNNNNNNNNNNNNNNNNNNNNNNNNNNNNNNNNNNNNNNNNNNNNNNNNNNNNNNNNNNNNNNNNNNNNNNNNNNNNNNNNNNNNNNNCUAACCUUUGAUCACUGACAGUACUUCCUGACCACUCCACUUCGAUAAAUGACUUUUCAAUAAUGCGCUCAUAGUUGCCUUUCGUCGGAGACUUUGGUGGUUUUUUCAGGGCAACAAGAGGUGGAUGUUUCUUUGCUUUCACCCCUUCAAAGAAGUUCUUCACUUCGGCUCGCACGAUCUUCGUGUUUUCCUCCAGGCUCCUCUCCUAUGGUAACUUCUCUGGAGUCUUCAGAGAAGGACCAAAUCUGUAUUGCGUCCCGCCUUUGGCUGUACUACUAGACGUCGGAGCAGACAGAGCGGCUGCGGCUGUCUUUCCUUUCUUACGAGGCGGACGAGAAGGACUACGACGCACCAGAGCAGUCGAAGCGGGGGCGGGUCUCUUCCUCCCUUGUUGACGAGGCAGAGAAGGAGGAGGCUGGCUGCUCGGGCGCGCCAGCGUAGGCAGAGAAGGAGGCAGAGUGCCGCCACGCACCGGAGAAGGAGUCUGAGUGCCCUGAUCACUCGCCGGAGGAGGAGGCGGAGUGCCCUCACUCGCCGGAGGAGGAGGAGGAGGCGGAGGCGUCCAGUUCGGAAGGUUGAUGAGAUCCUUCCGCCAUAGGCAUGGAGUCUUCAGAGAAGAACCCAGCCGAAUCUCCCCUUCACCCGUAGGGUGGUCAAGCUCGAGGUCCUCAAAUCCGUCCGUUAUUUCAUCCACCAUCACCCUAGCAUAUCCUCCUAGAAUCGAUCGGCAGUGGUAGGUUGCGCUAGGUUCAGUAGGGAAAACAGAGCCAACAGCCGCCUUGACUUUGAAUUUCAUCCAUUGCGUCAUAAGGUGGCAAUGUUGAGACUCCGUGAUAGCAUCCACGGGGUAGCUAGCAGGAGCCGUGAAGAUAGGCUCCAGCUGAAGCUACUAGGUGGAAGCCACGCUGCUUCUCCGCUGAGAUGGCGGGGUAGCUUCGCGGGAAGCUUCGGCAGGUCAUUUGCUGUGAUUUGAUUCUCGUUCCUCUAGCCCUUGUACCCUUGUGUGCAGCGCCUGCAGUUGGCUAUGCUCCACUUUCUUCCUCCUCUCCUGGCAUUUGUAACCCCAUGCGUCCGGAAACCCAGCCUUCCAUGAAACGGAGCCUGGCGUGCCUCGUGUCCAUCCAGGGUGCUCAGGAUUCCCGAGGGCCAUUGUGAGCUCAUCCUUCUCUCUGUCUAGAACGAACUUCCCUUACUGUGUUGCCUCGAUAUACUCCUGAAGCCUCGUGACGGGUAUUCGCAGUUGCUCGUCCGUCCAAACGCACUUCCCUGAUACAGGGUCCAAGGUUCUGCCAAGCCUGAAGAACCAAUUCCAGCAACGGUCUGGCCAGUUCAAUUUCUCUGGUUCGACCCCUUUAUCAAUCAGGUCAUUCUUAGCCUUGGCCCACAACAGUCGGGCUUUGAGGUAGCCACCUGACCCCGUGCGAUGGUGAUGCUUCUUCUUCACAGCAUUUUUCUUGUGUGUCGUUGACAUCUUCUUAAUCUUGUCGGAUGUCUUGUGGGCCACAAAUGCAGGCCAGUGAUCUCUAAUCUUCUCAUACCGACCGGUGAAUUCUGGUGUAAUUUCUUUGUCGACAAACGUUGUUUUCAGCUCAUUCUUCCACCUCCUGAAUAGUUCUGCCAUCUUCUUAAGAGCAUGAGACUUGAUCAAUUGCUCUUUAACUGGCUUCUCCGGAUCCUCCUCUGGCGGUAGGGUGAAAUUUUCCUUAAGCGUUGUCCAAAGAUCUUCUUUCUGCAUAUCGGAGACAUAAGACACCUCAGGGUCUUCCUUCUUAGGCUUUAACCAUUGGUGGAUACUGAUCGGGAUCUUGUCCCUAAUAAGAACCCCGCACUGAUAAGCAAAUGAUUCAUUUGUCCGGAUGGGUUCAAUCGGCUUGCCAUCGCGCGCGAUUGCUGUGAUCUCAAACCUUUCAUCCGAGCGCAACAUUUUCUUCAGGCCUUGUCUCUUUAACGAAGUUGUGCUCGAUCCGGAGGGCUAGAAAAAAGAAGAAAGACGAGAGUUAAUUAAUAUGUGUACAUACAAAAACAAUGAAUGCAUCAAUUAGCUAGUAAGCACAGGCUUAACUAAUAUAUAUACCUGGCUGGACUCAGUUAAGUCACCGGAUCCGUCAUCACGGUCUCCUUCUUGUACCGGCAUUGGGUCAUCUGAGCCAUCAUAAUCAAAGCCUUCUUCUUGUACCGUCAUUGGGUCACCGGAGCCAUCAUAAUCAUAGCCUUCUUCUUCACCCUGUCCUUCCAGACCAUCGCUGUCGUUGAGAAACGACAAGACGACAUCACUUCCUUUUACGAUUAUGUCCCCCAACAUCGCUUCUGUUGCUUCGUCUCAGGGGUGCUCCAUAGUUUCUGCAAAUAUUUACAACAUGGCAAUUAUUAUUCAAACAUGACAGAUGGAUAUAUUAGUGGCAAACAUAGAACUAGCUAGCUAAUCACAAUAAGGAAUCAUAUUAGUGGCCUCGAUGCUGCUUCUCUAGGGUUUGGGGUGGCCUUGGCAAUGCUUCAAGGGUUUGGGGUGGCCUCGACAACGCUUCAAGGGUUUGGGGUGGCCUCGACGACAACGCUCUUUUAACUUGGUGAAUUUGGGUGGCCUUGAGAGAGUUUGUCGGGUAGGGGCGCGACGGGAGGGGGUAGGAGACCGACAUCGUUUUUUCUAGGGUUUGGGUGUCCUNNNNNNNNNNNNNNNNNNNNNNNNNNNNNNNNNNNNNNNNNNNNNNNNNNNNNNNNNNNNNNNNNNNNNNNNNNNNNNNNNNNNNNNNNNNNNNNNNNNNNNNNNNNNNNNNNNNNNNNNNNNNNNNNNNNNNNNNNNNNNNNNNNNNNNNNNNNNNNNNNNNNNNNNNNNNNNNNNNNNNNNNNNNNNNNNNNNNNNNNNNNNNNNNNNNNNNNNNNNNNNNNNNNNNNNNNNNNNNNNNNNNNNNNNNNNNNNNNNNNNNNNNNNNNNNNNNNNNNNNNNNNNNNNNNNNNNNNNNNNNNNNNNNNNNNNNNNNNNNNNNNNNNNNNNNNNNNNNNNNNNNNNNNNNNNNNNNNNNNNNNNNNNNNNNNNNNNNNNNNNNNNNNNNNNNNNNNNNNNNNNNNNNNNNNNNNNNNNNNNNNNNNNNNNNNNNNNNNNNNNNNNNNNNNNNNNUCUUCUUCCUCUCCUCUUCUUCUCCUUUCUUCCUCUUCUUAUUUUCCUUUUUCCUCUCAUUCUUUUUCUUCUUCUUCCUUCCCUAGCUAGAUAUAUAAAAAUUUUCUAAAAAUUAAACUAACCUAAAAUGUACUAAAUCAGAGAACAUAUAUAGUCUAACUUUUGCAUAUAUGUAUACUUUAAAACAUCAUUACAAUUGAAAAAAUACAUACAUACAUACAAAAAACAUGUAAAAAAUACAUACAUACAUAUAUGAACAUACAUAAAAUAAUACAUAUAUCUAAAAAAUACAUACAUACAUAUAUGAAAAUCUAAAGACAUGUAAAAGAAUAGCAUAUAUAACUAAAAAAAUAGCACGACGGCGGCUGGGCCGGCAGAGGCGCGGUGCUCAUAGAGGGAGGAGCGCGCGGCGGGCGGUGUCGGGGCGAGUGUCGGUGGCAAAACCGGCGGAUCUCGGGUAGGGGGUCCGAACUGUGCGUCUAAGGCUAAUGGUAACAGGAGACUGGGGACACGAUGUUUACCCAGGUUCGGGCCCUCUCGAUGGAGGUAAUACCCUACUUCCUGCUUGAUUGAUCUUGAUGAUAUGAGUAUUACAAGAAUUGAUCUACCACGAGACCGUAGAGGCUAAACCCUAGAAGCUAGCCUAUGAUUAUGAUUGUUGUUGUCCUAUGGACUAAACCCUCCGGUUUAUAUAUACACCGGAGGGGGCUAGGGUUACACAAAGUCGGUUAGAGAGAAGGAGAUCUAUCAUCCGAAUCGCCAAGCUUGCCUUCCAUGCAAAGGAGAGUCCCAUCCAGACACGAGACGAAGUCUUCAAUCUUGUAUCUUCAUAGUCCAGCAGUCCGGCCAAAGUAUAUAGUCAGGCUGUCCGGAUACCCCCUUAUCCAGGACUCCCUCAGUAGCCCCCAAACCAGGCUUCAAUGAAGAUGAGUCCGGCGCGUAGAUUGUCUUCGGCAUUGCAAGGCAGGUUCUUCUCCAAAUCUAGAGUACCUGUCGUAGCAAACAGUGUCCGGCCUCCCAUUAAUGUUGUACUCCUCGGCCUCUGUGCUUCAAUAAUGGCCAUCUCCACGUGUCGAGCGAAUACGAGGAGCCGGGGCAUUUUUACAUUUGCUACCCUGACCCUGUAAGCAAACCGUCUAUUUGAAGAGACGGGGAUCCUCAGAUCGAAAUCACAGCAUCUUCUCUCGAGCAAGCAUUCCACAGAGCACGUCCGGAAAAGACCAUCCCAUCAUGGCCGGUCGCCGCAGCUCUUCCUCUAGCUCCCCUAGCUCGAAGCCAGGGGAUUGGGAAAAGUGUUUCGUCCCUCAUAGCCGUCUAGUAGAGUUGCAGACCCAAGUGUUCCUUCCACCUGCAUACAUGGUCCCCGUCCGUUCUGGACUAGCCACCUAUAAUGGCGGGGAGCAAGCGGAGAGAUUUCCUAACCCAUCUCAAGGAGAGCGGGUAUGCCUUGUCCCAUAUCUGCUAAGAGGAGUCGGGUUUCCAAUCCACCCAUUCCUCCGCGGGCUCCUGGAGUUCUACGGCCUCUAGCUGCAUAACUUUACCCCCACAUCCAUACAGCACAUCGCGGGUUACGUUGCCCUCUGCGAGCUAUUUCUGGGAUGUGAAGCUCAUUUCGAGUUAUGGAAGAGGUUAUUUUACCUCGUCCCCCGCAAUCAGGAGGGAUCUAUAUAUCAAGUGGGCGGAGCCGAAAUAUGGCUAGUCGCCCAGACUGGAUACCUAUCCGGUACUCCAAAGAAGGCGUCCGAAGACUGGCCUUCAGAGUGGUUUUAUGUUGAUGGCGUUCCCCUUCCGGAUCCAGUCCGGACAGGCCUUCCUGAGUUUACCAAUACUCCACUGAAGAAACGCCAAAGUUGGCGCCCCCGGAGCCCCCAGGAGGAAGACAACAGAGAAGUCCUCUAUCUGAUGAGCAGGAUAAAAACCCUGGCCAAAUCAGGACUGACAAUAACCGAAGUUAUGUCAAUAUGCAUAAUGCGGGGGGUGCAGCCACUUCAAUAUAGGGGGAAACCCAUGUGGCACUUCAAUGGAGAAGACGACGCCUCCCGCUGCGGUCGUAAAGGUCCGGACUCCGCCACCGCUCUGGCGAGAAUAUUGUCCGACCUGUAUAAAGUAGAGGAAGAGGAGUUCCUCCGCAUUAAACCGCGGGGUGGAUUUUGUUCGAAAUAUGCCCUAGAGGCAAUAAUAAAUUAGUUAUUAUUAUUAUUAUAUUUCCUUGUUCAUGAUAAAUCGUUUAUUAUCCAUGCUAUAAUUGUAUUGAUAGGAAACUCAGAUACAUGUGUGGGUACAUAGAAAACACCAUGUCCCUAGUAAGCCUCUAGUUGACUAGCUCGUUGAUCAAUAGAUGGUUACGGUUUCCUGACCAUGGACAUUGGAUGUCGUUGAUAACGGGAUCACAUCAUUAGGAGAAUGAUGUGACGGACAAGACCCAAUCCUAAGCCUAGCACAAAGACCGUGUAGUUCAUAUGCUAAAGCUUUUCUAAUGUCAAGUAUCAUUUCCUUAGACCAUGAGAUUGUGCAACUCCAGGAUACCGUAGGAAUGCUUUGGGUGUACCAACCGUCACAACGUAACUGGGUGGCUAUAAAGGUGCACUACGGGUAUCUCCGAAAGUGUCUGUUGGGUUGGCACGAAUCGAGACUGGGAUUUGUCACUCCGUGUAACAGAGAGGUAUCUCUGGGCCCACUCGGUAGGACAUCAUCAUAAUGUGCACAGUGUGACCAAGGGGUUGAUCACGGGAUGAUGUGUUACGGAACGAGUAAAGAGACUUGCCGGUAAUGAGAUUGAACAAGGUAUCGGGAUACCGACGAUCGAAUCUCGGGCAAGUACAAUACCGCUAGACAAAGGGAAUUGAAUACGGGAUUGAUUGAAUCCUCGACAUCGUGGAUCAUCUAAUGAGAUCAUCGUGGAACAUGUGGGAGCCAACAUGGGUAUCCAGAUCCCGCUGUUGGUUAUUGGCCGGAGAGUUGUCUCGGUCAUGUCUGCAUGGUUCCCGAACCCGUAGGGUCUAUACACUUAAGGUUCGAUGACGCUAGGGUUAUAGGGAAUAGAUAUACGUGGUUACCGAAUGUUGUUCGGAGUCUCGGAUGAGAUCCCGGCCAUCACGAGGAGUUCCGGAAUGGUCCGGAAGUAAAGAUUUAUAUAUGGAAAGUUGUUGUUCGGGUUCCGGGAAAAGUUCGGUUUUUUCCGGUAUUGUACCGGGAAGCUUCCGGAAGGUUCCGGAGGAUUCCGGAGGGGCCCGGAGGUCCGGAAAAUGUUCCACCACGUCCAAUACAGCAGCAUGGGCUGUAGGGGGGCGCCCUAGCCUUAAUGGGCCAGGGGCACCAGCCCCCCCAAGGCCCAUGCGCAUGGGAGAGGGGAAACCCUAAAGGGGAGGGCCUCCACUUGACUUGGUAGGCACUCCUCCCCCCCUUGGCCGCCGCCCCAACCCUAGAUGGGAUCUAGGGGGGCCGGCCCCCCUCUCUCCCCACCUAUAAAUAGUGGAGGGGUGGAAGGGCCGCCGCACCCCCAAGUUCUGGCGCAGCCCUCCCCCUCUCCCAAGUCCUCCUCCUCUCCCGCGGUGCUUGGCGAAGCCCUGCAGGAUUGCCACGCUCCUCCACCACCACCACACCAUCGUGCUGCUGCAGGAUGGAGUCUUCCCCAACCUCUCCCUCUCUCCUUGCUGGAUCAAGGCAUGGGAGACGUCACCGGGCUGCAUGUGUGUUGAACGCGGAGGUGCCGUCCGUUCGUCACUAGGAUCAUCGGUGAUUUGGAUCACGACGAGUACGACUCCAUCAACCCUGUUCACUUGAACGCUUCCACUUAGUGAUCUACAAGGGUAUGUAGAUGCACUCUCCUUCCCCUCGUUGCUAGAUUACUCCCUAGAUUGAUCUUGGUGAUGCGUAGAAAAUUUUGAAUUUCUGCUACGUUCCCCAAUAGAUUUUCCAUGCACAACCCCCCAAGCUGGGUAAGCUGCCAUUUUUUACUCGACUCUGUCCAUUUUUGCCUCCUUUGUCAUAAUCAUUUACCUUGCUAUUUCAAAGCAGGAACUAAGAAAGGCUGUGAGAGAGUUCAACAACCCAUCUCCGCAGCCAGAGGAUCCUGGCCGGGCUCUCGACCCCGUACUUGAAGAAGAUCUGGACAUAUUCAUGGAGUUUAUCAACAGGACAUUCUACCAGGCAAGCUGCGACGGACCUUUAGUGGCCAUCAUCGCGGAUUAUCCCGGACUGCUUCCUGUGUCGCAUGUAAGUAAAGCCGGGGUCCUAACUUCCAAAUAGGAUUCCUUCGUUAUGCCAUAUCUUAAGCACACAUGUUGCAUCUUUAUAGAAACGUUCAUCGGGGCGCCGUGCAGAACCCGCAGGGGCUCAUCAGCAAAGGGCGUCCGGACAAGGCAGGCUUAAAAGGAAGGCGGUUAGGAUUGAGAUGCUGGCACAGAGGUACAAAUUAAACUUACUCCCUGAUUAUCUUUGCCGAGAUAUGACAGUUUUAGUUAUGUCCUGGCAUAAAGAGUAGUUGUCGGACUAUAUCCGGGGACCCCGCCGGCCACGCCUCAAGCAGCCGGAUUCAUGAACCGGACUCACGGGUGGAAGCUGAUGUGAGGACAACGUCGAACUGUCCUCAGGCAGAGGAUAUGGAUAGGCUUUCCGCCACAAAUUCGGAAGUGCAGAGCGCCAUGAAUCACCGGCGCCGACGGGCCGUACUCCGUGGUGGUAUUUUUUCCGAAGAGGCGUUCAAUGCCUUCAACUCCGGAGACGCAUAUAUCCGCGCUGCUCAAGAUGGACUUUCCAGAGAAACGGACCAGUAUGUGAAGGAUAUACAGGUAAGAAAAUUUGAUAAGUAUGUGUAGUAGUAGCCCCUGAGACUUGAAACAGUUGGCAGAACUGAUUUAAGGAUCAUUGUAUGCAUAGGUUCUUGUAGGGAAGAAUGCCCAGUUAUCUCAAGAGCUAGAGGAAUGUAAGACCCAGCUGAAGGCCACUGUUGCCGAACAAGAGGAGUCAAAAAGGGCCUCAUCUGGUAAUACUUGCCUUGAUAACAAAAUUUGUUAUGACGUAUACCAGUUACUUAUUCGGCAUGGUUUAGAAAUCUAACAAAAGAUUCUGCAGAAAAUCCCAGAGAAAAUCCGAAGAUUGUGGGAGAUAAUGAGCCCCAUCUACGAAGUCAGGUGAAGGCGGGCGAGCGCGUGCUGACGCAGGCUAUUCAAGAGAAAAAUAGUCUCCAAGAUGCUAAUAUCUGACUGAGCGUCGAAUUAAAAGAUUUUCGGGCUCAACUCGCGGACUCCGUGAAGGAGAAUAGGAGGCUUCGACGCGGCAUAUAUAGUAAGUGCUUUAAACAAACUGUAGUACAGUUCGGCGAGGAAGCGUAUUUACAGAGUUAUGUCUGUAGGUAUGCUGACGGGCCGUCCUGAAGAGGAGAUGCCCGGAUCCGCAGGUGAUAUGCUGCAAGAUCUUUCACAACUGCACGAACGAGCUCGACAGGUGACGCAGGGUAUUGCCCAGGCCUUGUGGCCAUCCGCUUCACUGCUAGGAGGCAUGAGCGAGCUUGUGGAGAUGCUCAAAGGAGCACGGCGGCGCUUCCGAUUAUGGAAGAUAUCAGCUUGCCGACAAGGUGCGAGAGAAGCUUGGGCCAUGGUGAAGACGCGAUACGCCAAGGCUGACCCGAACCAUAUGGCCGUAUUCGGACCGGUGGGGUCAGAUGGGCAAGAGAUACAUGUAAGUCUGGUAUAUGACCAAGUAGCGUUAGCCGCAAAGUAUUCCCAACAGGAUUGUAAGCUAGACAGCCUGUUGGAUGGUAUAGAGGAAGAAUAUAGCCAGUCCAAGUGACUAUGUAAUUAAAUGGACCUAUGUAGUCCCUAGCCGGAUUAAAAAUCAUUUGUCAUGGCGGACCUUUUCGCUUCAGCCCCCGGACCCGACAAUCCGAAGUGUAUCCGAAUACCCGCACAGUUAUGAAAAACCGGGGUAUGCAUGAAAAUCAGGCGUAGGGGUCAUAAGUGCGUGAACAGACAAGUACCCAACUAGUUAUGUUAUAUUACAUGGAUAGUAAGAAACAUCUUCCAGCGAGAAUAGUUCCGUUAGGGGUUCCUUUCACUGGGUGCGCAUGCAUCGCUGUGCAUGUACAGACUGCGAACAGAAGUGCAGGAAACAAAACAUCUGGGGAUUCACGUUGUAAUAAACGAAAACAUCUUUUGUUCACCGAGUGAAUAUUCCCUUAAGAACGUUAGCUUUCGGCUUCAUUCAGUCUGAGGUACACAUUCGGCUCAACUGGCAAUAACAAUCGCAGAGGUGCUCCCCUUAUGCCCUAGCCGAAUUAACGGGAACGUAGGGCAUAAACACAAGCGCCAAGCAACCCAGCAUGGCCAAAACGCAUAUAAUGGUGAAGAAAAGGCACAUAUGGAAAGAAAACGCAUAUGUGGCUGGCAGGAAGCUAUUAAAGUAGUUAUGUUUAGCUUCCAUAUAGGAAGCCCCCAGGUAUAGUGUGCAAGCAUAGUGCGGCCGGAGCGAUCAAAGCAUCCGUACAGUUUUUAAGGAUGUAUGUGAUAAAGAAAAGAGGGCGAGAAAGGAAAAAGGAGAAAAAAAUUGAAGAGGCGGAGGUAAGGAGACGAACACUGAGUUCGGCACUAGGCGUAGAAUCUUCGGAGUCUGGCCACGUUCCAUGGGUUCGGCUCGAGUCUGUUGUCAGAUGCAUUGCGCAGACGGUACGCUCCUCCGGUGAGAACUUUAUCAAUGAUGAAGGGACCCUCCCAUUUGGGUUUGAGCUUGUCCUUCUUCUUUUCCGGGAGGCGUAGAACUAGUUCGCCAACGUUAUAGGUUUUGGACCGUACUUCUCUGCUUUGAUACCUUCGAGCCUGUUGUUGAUAAAAUACGGAACGGGAUUUUGCGACGUCACGCUCCUCCUCCAGAGCAUCCAAGUUGUCCUGCCGAUCUAGUUCGGCUUCCUUCUCUUCGUACAUGCGCACGCAAGGUGAGUCAUGGAUUAUAUCGCAGGGUAGCACUGCUUCUGCACCGUAUACCAUAAAAAAUGGUGUGUAUCCGGUGGUACGAUUCGGCGUGGUCCGCAGCCCCCAGAGUAUGGAGUCGAGCUCCUCGACCCAAUGCGUGUCCGAAUCCUUCAAGGAUUGCACUAGUCUGGGUUUGAUGCCGCUCAUAAUGAGACCAUUUGCAUGUUCGACUUGACCGUUUGUUUGGGGGUGAUAGACAGAGGCGUAAUCCAGCUUGAUGCCCAUGUUGCCGCACCAAGUUUUCACCUCAUCGGCUGUGAAAUUUGAGCCAUUGUCAGUGAUGAUGCCGUGGGGGACACCGUAACGAUGUACAACCCCUGAUAUGAAGUCUAUCACUGGUCCGGGUUCAGCCGUUUUAACUGGUUUGGCCUCUAUCCAUUUGGUGAACUUGUCCACCAUGACCAAUAAGUAUUUUUUCUUAUGGCUUCCCCCUUUAAGAGGUCCGACCAUCUCUAGCCCCCAGACCGCGAAGGGCCAAGUUAUGGGGAUUGUUUGGAGAGCGCUAGGGGGCAUGUGGCUCUAAUUGGCGAAGAGUUGGCAACCAACGCAAUGUUGGACAAGGACCUGUGCAUCUGCCCGAGCUGUCGGCCAGUAAAAACCUGUCCGGAAGGCCUUGCUUACAAGUACCCGAGCUGCAGCAUGGUGCCCGCUGAGUCCGGAAUGGAUUUCGGCUAAGAGCUGCCGCCCUUCCUCUUUGGAGAUGCAUCUUUGGAGCACUCCGGUAGUGCUUUUCUUGUAGAGAUCUCCUUCAUGGACUUUGUAGGCCUUAGAACGUCGCACAAUACAAUGUGCCUCGUUUUGGUCCUCAGGGAGCUCCUGCCUAUUUAGGUAGGCUAAGAAGGGCUCGGUCCACGGGGCGAUGACAGCCAUGAUUUCGUGGGCCGAAGGUGUUAUUUCGGUGGCAGGGCCUCCGAUUACGUCAGAUGGUUCGGAUCUUGGGUUGUAUUCGGAGAUGGACUAAUAUUGCCGGACUCCCCUUCCCAUAGCACAGACGGCUUGAACAGUAUUUCCAAGAAGAUAUUAGGUGGGACGGGGUCCCGUUUAGCGCCGACGCGGGUGAGGAUAUCCGCUGUUUGAUUAUUUUCUCUGACCACAUGGUGGAAUUUGAGCCCCUUGAACCGAGCUGACAUUUUGAGGACGGCAUUACGAUAAGCCGUCAUUUUCGGAUCCUUGGCAUCAAAGUCUCCAUUUAUCUGAGAUAUUGUGAGGUUCGAGUCUGUGUAUAAUAUUUAGAGUACGUAUUGGACCGUGUCUCCGGUGGGGGAUGUCAGGACAACACCCGCUCCCAAUCCGGCCAGCAUUUUAGAGCCGUCGAAGUGCAUGAUCCAAUUGGAGUAUGCGCCGUACUCUUUAGGGAGUUCGGCUUCUAUCCAUUCGGCGACAAAGUCAGCCAGUACUUGCGACUUAAUGGCCCGCCAUGGUUUGUAUGUUAUGUCGAACGGAAGGAGCUCAAUAGCCCCAUUUAGCGAUUCGGCCCGUUGCGUCGCGAUUGUUUAUUGUAUCAUUGAGUGGUACUUCGGAGGCCACCGUAGUUGAACACUCUUGGAAGUAGUGUCGUAGCUUCCGGGAUGCCAUGAAGACCGCGUACGCUAUCUUUUGAUAGUGUGGGUACCGAGAUUUGCAUGGAGUGAGGACAGUGGACACGUAAUAUACCGGCUUUUUGAGCGGGAACUUGUGUCCGUGUGCUUCUCGUUCAACGACGAGCACUCCGCUUACAACUUGGUGUGUUGCAGCUAUGUAUAAUAGCAUGGGUUCGCCAGUAUUUGGCACGGUCAGGACUGGAUUGGUGGCCAAGAGUGCCUUUAUUUCUUCCAGUCCGGCCGUGGCCGCAUCCGUCCACUCGAAGUGUUCGGUGCGUCGAAGAAGGCGAUAAAGGGGUAGUGCCUUUUCUCCUAAUCGGGAGAUAAAGCGGCUUAAGGCAGCCACACAUCCAGUUAGUUUCUGGAUCUGCUUGAGGUCUGUUGGGAUAGCCAACUGUGACAGAGCUCGGAUUUUUGCCGGGUUUGCUUCAAUUCCUCUAUUGGAAACGAUGAAGCCGAGCAAUUUGCCGGAGGGUACACCGAAGACACAUUUCUCUGGGUUGAGCUUGAUGUCGUAUGUUCGGAGAUUGUCGAACGUGAGCCUCAAGUCAUCUAUUAAAGUUUCAAUGUGUCUUGUUUUGAUGACCACGUCGUCUACGUAAGCCUCUACUAUUUUGCCGAUUUGUUUUUCCAGGCAUGUCUGAAUCAUGCGUUGAUAGGUUGCGCCGGCGUUUUUGAGCCUGAAAGGCAUGGUGUUGAAACAGAAGGGGACGUAUGGCAUAAUGAAGGCCGUUGCGGCUUGGUCGGACUCCGCCAUCUUGAUUUGAUGGUAUCCGGAGUAUGCGUCGAGGAAACACAAUGAGUUGUGUUCUGCGGUGGUGUCGAUGAUUUGAUCAAUGCGGGGGAGGGGGAAGGGAUGCUUAGGGCAAGCCUUAUUGAGGUCCUUGAAAUCGACACAUAGGUGCCAGGAUUUGUCCUUCUUUGGUACCAUUACCAGGUUUGCUAACCAAUCCAGAUGUUUGAUGUCUCUGAUGAAUCCAGCCUCGAGUAGCUUGGCUAGCUCUUCUCCCAUGGCUUGCCGCUUAGGCUCUGAGAAGCGCCUAAGAGUCUGCUUGACUGGCUUGUAUCCUUUCAGUAUAUUGAGCCUGUGUUCGGCCAGCCUGCGUGGGAUGCCCGGCAUGUCUGAAGGAUGCCAAGCGAAAAUAUCCAAUUCUCACGCAGCAAAUCUCACAGUGCGGCGUCUAUUGUGGGGUUCAACUGUGUCCCAAUGGAAGCUGUCUUUGUAGGGUCCGUUGGGUGGACCUGGAAUUUGACUAUCUCGUCCGCGGGUUUGAAGGAGGUGGACUUGGGUCGUUUGUCGAGUAUCACGUCGUCUCUGUCCACUGUGGCUCGCAGCGUUGUUACUUCUUCGGCCGCGAGGGCUUCUGAUAAUGCCUCCAGGGCUAGUGCUACAGUUUUAUUUUCGGUGCGGAGUGCGACGUCCGGAUCACUAGCUAGAGUAAUGAUUCCAUUGGGCCCGGGCAUUUUGAGCUUCAUGUACCCGUAAUGGGGUAUAGCUUGGAAGCUCGUGAAUGCGUCCCGCCCUAAGAGGGCAUGGUAUCCGCUGCUGAACGGGGCCACUUGGAAUGUAAUUUCUUCGGACCUGUAAUUCUCCGGCGUGCCGAAUACCACAUCUAGUGUGAUUUUUCCUGCACAUCCAGCCUCCCGACUAGGGACGAUUCCCCUGAAGGUCGUGCUGCUUCGCUCAAUGCAGCUCUUGUCAAUUUCCAUCUUGUUGAGGGUUUCUUCGUAGAUGAGGUUUAGUCCGCUUCCGCCGUCCAUGAGCACUUUAGUGAGCCGGAAGCCGUCCACGAUUGGACUAAGGACCAAAGCGGCUGGUGCCCGGACUGUUCGGAAUUGAGGUUCGUCACUGGCAUUAUAAGUUAUAGCCGUGUCGUUCCAUGGAUUUAUUGCUGCCACGUGGCAAACUUCGGCGAGACUGCGUUGAGCUUGCUUGCGCCUAUUAUUUGAGGCGAAAGUCUCGAAGACUGUCAAUACCGUAUUGUUGUUUCCGGCAGGAUGUUGCUCUGCUGUAUGGUUUAUGAGGAGAUCCUCGCCGCUCUUUGCAACCUGCCGGAGUAUCCAACAUGCUCUAAGGCUAUGUGUUGGUGUGGUAUCCGGUGUGCUGUGAAUUUUGCAUGGCCCAUUGAGCCAUUCCUCUAAUACGGUUCCAUGACUUGCAUCGGGCUUUGGUUUUUUGGUAAUUGAAUCGGGUAACUUACGAGAGUUUGCCCUUUUAGUUCGGACGAAGGGUUUAGUGAGAGCCGGAUUGUCCCAGAAGUUUGUUUGGGUUUUCCAAGCGCUUUCCAUCGCGCAGUAUUUCUGCACUAUAGCCGCUAAGUCAGCGAAGUGUACUAUGUCACGGCGACUUACAGCGUUGAGGAUCCCUUUGUCCGUGCAAUUUUUGCAAAAGAGGGAGAUUGCGUCCACCUCGCGACAGUCCUUGACCCUGUUUAUCACAAGGAGGAAUCUGGCCCAGUAAUGAUGUACUGUCUCUUGGGGCUCUUGUAUGAUAUGCGAAAGAUUUAAUAAAUUUGGGUGGGUGGGCGGUUUUGAAUCCGAAUCCUGACCCAAUCUGAGACCCAGGGGCAAAGAAGCUUCCGAGCUUAACGGCUCGGGUUCCGGGACGUUCCCAAUUUCUUCGGCACGCCGCCCGAUUCUGAACUCGGGGCUUGGGUCAUGUCCUCCCAUGAACGGGUGUCCAGCUCGGAGAGCUCGGAAACCCAGACAUAGUUCGUCCUCAAAAUAGAGGGAGAAUUCGUAUGAUGCUCUUCCACUACCGCUAUCUCAUGGGUGACCGGAGGAGAAUAAAUCUCCCUUUGGUCGGGUUUAAGCCCGAUCCAGCCAUAGUCCGUAGCGACGCCCAGGGCGGCGAUGCGAUCCAAGAGCUCAUUAAGGGAGGAGAGAUCCAUUGGGUCCAUCUGUUCGGCGAGUUCCGAAUCGACGUGGAGGCUGUUUUUGAUGACCUGAGAAGUCAUCGUCGGCGCGACAGCCGAUAGGGCGGUCAUGAUGAAGCCACCCAGCUGGAGAGUUUGGCCUAGGGCCAGGGCUCCCUCAGAGGUGAUGUUGUCCUUGACAACGAGACGAGCCAUCAAGCCUUAUCACAACGACACAGUGGAACUCUCAAUGAAAGCACCAAUGUCGGUGUCAAAACCGACGGAUCUCUGGUAGGGGGUCCGAACUGUGCGUCUAAGGCUAAUGGUAACAGGAGACUGGGGACACGAUGUUUACCCAGGUUCGGGCCCUCUCGAUGGAGGUAAUACCCUACUUCCUGCUUCAUUGAUCUUGAUGAUAUGAGUAUUACAAGAGUUGAUCUACCAUGAGAUCGUAGAGGCUAAACCCUAGAAGCUAGCCUAUGAUUAUGAUUGUUGUUGUCCUAUGGACUAAACCCUCCGGUUAUAUACACACCAGAGGAGGCUAGGGUUACACAAAGUCGAUUACAGAGAAGGAGAUCUAUCAUCUGAAUCUCCAAGCUUGCCUUCCACGCAAAGGAGAGUCCCAUCCGGACACGGGACGAAGUCUUCAAUCUUGUAUCUUCAUAGUCCAACAGUCCGGCCAAAGUAUAUAGUCCGGCAGGGGCGCGGGGAGUGGCGCGGCGACGGCGUCGGGGUAGGGACGGCGCGCGGCGACAGCGUCGGGCGAGGGCGAGGGCGCGGGCAACGGCAAGGGCGCGGGUGACGACAACGACGGACGCGGGCGACGGCGAUGGUGACGGCGGGGACGGCGGGUGGCGUCGGGGCAGCCUGGCGGCGAUGAUGUGGAGCAGGGGCGUCGGGCGGCGACGACGAGGAGGAGCAGGGGCGUCGGGGGAGAAGAAGUGACGGAUUUGGUCGAAACUGCUAAGUGUUUUCUUAUAUACCCAGUGCAUUGGUACCGGUUCGUGGCACCAACCGGGACCAAUGCACCCUUUCGUCCCGGUUGGUGCCACCAACCGGGACCAAAGGUCACUUUUCAGCAGCCCAAAGGGCGGGAAGUAGAGGCCUUUGGUCCCGGUUGGUGGCACCAACUCGGACUAAAGGGGGGCAUUGGUACUGGUUUGUGCCACCAACCGGGACCAAAGCCACCCUUUAGUACCGGUUGGUGCCACCAACCGGGACCAGUGGCCUUGCACAGCGGGGUGGUGGUGGGAGUUUAGUCCCACCUCGCUAGUUGGAAGCGCCCGACACCUGUUUAUAAGCACCGUCGCCUCUUCCCUCUCGAACUGCAGGCAUAUGGGCCUAAACUAACACUGAUAUGCCUGUGGGCCUGCUGGGCCUUCUGCGGGCCUGAAUCCUGGCCCAUGGAUGGGUUUCUAGUCGUAUUCAGGCCGUGGUGGCCCAGUAGGUGGCAAUUUUUUUAUUUUUUCCCAGUUUUUUUGUUUUCUUUUUUGCUUUAUUUAUUUUGUUUUGUUUCUACUUACAACAAAAUACUUAUUUAUUUUAUUUUACUUUGUUUGUAAUUACUUAUUUAUUUUAUUUUAUGAUAAUUCUUUUUGCUAUUAAAGUUUCUAAAAAAAGUUCUUUAUGAAAAUUCUUUUUGCUUUUAAUGAUUUUGAACAGAGAAUACUUUGAUAAUUUUAGUUUCAUAAAUUUUAUUUAUGGUAUUAAAGUUUAUUUUGUUUCUGUUUAUACAUUUUAUUAAAGUUUAUAUUAUUUUGUUUCAAAUUACUUAUUUAUUUUAUUUUAUGAUAAUUCGUUUUGCUCUUAAAGUUUGUAACAAAAAAUUUAUUUAUGAACUAUGAACCAAAGGGAUUUCAUACGGAAACUCGUGUGUUACAAAGGCAUUUCAUUUUUGUUAUCAGGGUUUCAUAUGAAAACUCGUCUGUUACAAAGGAUUUCAUUUUUUGGAACUUAUUUGAACUCCAUAGUUUUUCUGUGUUCAAAAUGCACCAUUCAAAGCCACAUCAUCAAUUUUCAACCCUUUCUUACUUAAUUUGUUAUUUUUCAUGCAUUUACUGAUUAUUUUGAGCUAUAAGACCAUGAAAUUGAAAAGCAUUUGAAAUGAACUCUGAAAAGGUUGAAAGUUGGUAUGGUAUCAUCAUUUCACCCACAUAGCAUGUGCAAGAAAGUAGAGAGGGUUACGGCAAAAACUGGAUGCACUUCGUGUACAAAACGGACAAUCUCUUUCGAAGUAUCAGGAUUUCAUACGGAAACUCGUCUUUUACAAAGGGAUUUCAUUUUUUGAACUUAUUUGAACUCCAUAGUUUUUCUGUGUUCAAAAUGCACCAUUCAAAGCCACAUCAUCAAUUUUCAUCCCUUUCUGACUUCAUUUGUUAUUUUUCAUGCAUUUACUGAUUAUUUUGAGCUAUAAGACCAUGAAAUUGAAAAGCAUUUGAAAUGAACUCUGAAAAGGUUGAAAGUUGGCAUGGUAUCAUCAUUUCACCCACAUAGCAUGUGCAAGAAAGUAGAGAGGGUUAUGGCAAAAACUGGAUGCACUUCACAAAACGGAUUAUCUCUUUUGAAGUAUCAGGGUUUCAUACGGGAACUCGUCUAUUACAAAGGGAUUUCAUUUUUUGAACUUAUCUGAACUCCAUAGUUUUUCUGUGUUCAAAAUGCACCAUUCAAAGCCACAUCAUCAUUUUUCAACCCUCUCAUGAAUAGAUAAGUGACCAAAUUAAUAGAACUUCAUCAUCACAUUAAAACCAAAGUACAUACAUAGUUCUCACUGAACAACAUAUAGCUCUCCAGAGCAUCUAAUUAAACAAUACAUUGAAAUUAUGUAAAACAUUUCAAUGCAACAAAAAAUGCGAUCAUAAUCGCAACCAAGGUAACAACUGAUCCAACUGCAUAAUGAUACCAAGCCUCGGUAUGAAUGGCAUAUUUUCUAAUCUUUCUAAUCUUCAGCCGCAUUGCAUCCAUCUUGAUCUAGUGAUCAUCGACGACAUCCGCAACAUGCAAUUCCAAUAUCAUCUUCUCCUCCUCAAUUUUUCUUAUUUUUUCCUUCAAUUAAUUGUUUUCUUCUUCAACUAAAUUUAACCUCUCGACAAUAGGGUCGGUUGGAAUUUCCGGUUCAACCACCUCCUAGAUAAAUAAAAUCUACGUCACGUUGGUCGGCAUAAUUGUCAUAAACAACAAAUGAACCAAAUAGUUAUCAAAAGAUAAUAUAUACCACAUCUGAAUCAUAGACAGGACAAGGGCCGACGGGGGCUGAUACCAAAACCAUCGCACUAUAUAAUAACAAGGAAUAAUAAAAGUAAGAAAAUUAGACAAGUAUCUAUCUGAAGUAAGAAUUUUUUUUCUUUCAGAAUGAAGAUAAGAACAAGAGGCUCACCACGGUGGUGCCGGUGACGAGAUCGGCGCGAGCGAUCGACGGUAGUGAAGACGGGCACGGGACGUGACGGACCGCUAAACCUAGACAAAUCUCGGGGAAAGAUUAACUAGUGUGGCUCGGACAUUUCAUAACACCUCAUGUGCAUAGGAGGUGAGCUAGAGCACCCAAAUGCCCUCCCCUCGCCGGACAGAAAAAAUAGAGCACUGUGGAGUGCUCUGCUGUGAUGAUGGGGUAUAUAUAGGCAACUCAUUUGUCACGGUUCAUGGUCGAAACCGAGACUCAAGCCCAGCAUAUUGUCCCGGUUCAAGCCACGAACCGGGACCAAUGGUUGUGGGCCAGGAGCGAGGACCAUUGGUCCCGGUAUGUGCCUGGAACUGGGACAAAUGGGUCCAUACGAACCGGGACUAAUGCCCACGAGACCCCGGCCGCCCCCCUGGGCUCAAGAACCGGCACGAAUUCCCCCAUGGGUCCCGGUUCAUGACUGAACCGGGACUAAUGGGUUGGCCAGGCCCAAACGAAAGCCCUGUUUUCUACUAGUGGACGAGGCCAAGAAGAAAUACUGUCUCGCACGAUGUGAUAUUCUAUGCCGACCCAAGGACCAGAGGGUCUCGGUAUUGAAAACCUGGAAGUUAAGAAUAAAUGUCAUGAGUAAAUGGCUCUACAGGUUAGAAACAGAGCCGGAGGGUAUGUGGGCACAGAUAUUACGCAAUAAAAAUUUACAAUCGAAAACGAUAGCCCAGACCACCGUGAGACCAACUGACUCGCCGUUCUAGAAGCGACUCAUGCGAACGAAAGAUCUUUCUUUCUUAGGGUCAAAUUCUUGGUUGGCAAUGGGAUGUCAACAAGAUUUUGGGACGAUACGUGGUUAGGGGAGACGCCACUAGCCAUACAGUACCCCAUCCUAUAUAACAUUGUGCAACGUAAGAAGGAUUACGUAGGCACCGUAUUUCAAUCGACUCCCUUGAAUAUUCAGUUCAGACGUGCGUUAGUUAGUGAGCGAUGGACUGCCUGGAUGCACUUGGUCCGAAGAUUGAUAGAUGUUCAAUUAUCGGAUCAACCCGAUUCGAUGCACUGGAAUUUAGCUAGAAAUGGGGUGUUUACGGUGAAAUCUUUUUACAUGGAUCUAAUUAAAUCUGGCCCAAUCUCGAGAUCGUUACAUAUUUGGAAGGUUAAGGUUCCCUUGCGUAUUAAAAUUUUUAUGUGGUUUGUUCACAAACAAGUGAUCCUAACCAAAGAUAACUUAAUAAAGAGGCGAUGGGUAGAUAGUUCACAUUGUUGUUUUUGUGAUCAUGAUAAAACAAUACAACACUUAUUCAUAGAGUGCCCACUCGCGAAAUUGCUUUGGAGAAUGAUCCAUAUAGCCUUUAACAUAACUCCUCCAGUUGACAUUGAAUCGUUAUUUGGGACGUGGUUAGCUGGGGCGGAGCGUCUUACUGCGGCUCGUAUUCGGAUUGGAAUUUGUGCGCUUCUCUCGGCUAUAUGGAAUUGCAGGAAUGAUAUGACUUUUAACAGACAACAUAAUCUAACUUUCUUGCAGGUCAUCUUCAGAGCUACUGCUUGGAUCCGUACGUGGUCCUUACUUACUCCUACGGACUCCAGGGAGCCUUUGGUUACUGGGUGCAACCAGUGGGAGAUGGUAUCACGGCUAUAUUCAACCGGUUCGGAUGGCGGUCGCACAACAGGAUAUGAGUCUAGGGAGCUUGUCCUUGUCAUACCGGUUGUAAUAUUGAGCAUUCGCAUUUCUUUUUCUUUUUUCGCUCCGUUUGCGAGCUGUAAUACUUUUAUGACUUUGUGCUACUUCGAAACUUCUUAACAAAAUGGCUGCAUGCAUCGUUUCGAUGCAGAGGCCGGGGCUGAGCCUCCAUUUCCAGAAAAAAAAAUCAUCUGUUUGGUCGUGCUUGCAAUUGGUUAGCUUAUCCCGUUGUUGUUGCUGUAUUUUUGUCUGGAAAAUCAAGUAAAAGCAGUGUAGUAGACAGUGGCAGAUGAAUAGAGAAGUAUAAUGGGAAGUGUGUUGGCUUCUUUUGUUUGGAAGCUGACUCUGUAUAUGGUAAUUCAUAUGGUAACAUAGCUUUAAGCAACCUUUAGAUUGUGCCACUUUUGAGCGUCAACACGUCCAUGGCAGUAUGUGUUUUCGCUGUUGUAGUUCUCUUCCACCACGGAGUAGUACGUGUACAUGGCAACAUGCAUGCAUGUGGUAAUCCCCUUUAGUUUCACUCCGACCUGGGCUGGGCUGCGCCCUAUGUCGAUGGGCUCGAUCCCCUUAUACUCCGACUCCCACUGCAAUUGGAUUUCAUCUCGAAUCGAUCUCCACCCAACUCGGUUUGAUCGCGUCAAUCCCACUCCAUAAAUCCAUCCACACACACCCGCCGAGACGAAGCAACGAUUUGUGAUCCAUAUAUCCAGCUUGAACAAGGCAAUCGAUUUGGGAUCGAUUGACGGCAAACUUGAAGACUGGGAGGAUCCGAUGGCCGAUUACGGCUAUCCCGACGGCGGCGGCGAAGAGGAGGACAUGCAGUGGCCACCGGCUCCUCCCGCCUACGGCUACCCUGACGACGACGGCGGCGGCGAGCGGCCGCCCUUCGUCCUCAUCGAUCCACGCGCCUACUUCGCCGACCGUAAGAACGCCACCACCGCCGUCAUCGAUAUGGAGGCCGGGGCCCCCAAUCUCAGGGGCCGACUCCAGGUCACCUUCUGCGCCGUCGCCCCGCCGCUCGUCUCCUACUUCUGCGUCCACGCCUCCCACAUGGACCGCACCGAGUUCCCCGUCGCGCCCUCCAUCCUGGCCACCGAGACCGACGGCGGCCUCGCCCUCCUACGCGUCGCCACCGUCGACCCCGUCUUUCCGCCCGAUCACGUGCGUCCCCAAAAUUGCCAAUACUUCGUCUACGACGCCCUCGCCCGCAAACUUCACCAACUCCCGCAACCCGGCUUCCAACACCGACUCAGCGAGCCCUCGCUCGCCAUCAUGCGCAAGCCCAACAAAAGCUCCCAAAACACCAGCAAGCACGUCAGCCUACGCCCCCAUGUACAUGGAGAGGCCGAGGCCGAGGCCGACUUCGUCGUUGCCGCACAAUCCUACAUUUUCUGGGGUAAAGAAUCUCCUCACAUCUGCAUCUAUGACUCUGCUAUCAAGACCUGGAGCAACAAGCCGGUGGUGAUGGGUUCAUCAUAUCCAGAACGCCACCUCCCAAGCAAGACACUCACCAUCGGAGGAAGCAAUGGCACCGUGGCUUGGGUGGAUCUCUGGUACAACAUCGUCUUGUGUGACGUUCUCGCCAAAUGCCCCAAGCUUCGCUACCUGAAGCUGCCGACCGAACCCUGCGAUGGGGGUAUCAAUCCAAGGUCUCUUCGCGACAUUGCGGUCUUUGGCAACACCAUCAAGUAUGUCGCGAUCCUGCAUCACCCCGACACAAGUCGUUGGGUAGCCACAGCAUGGAGCAUCAAGAAGGGCCGUCGGUCCUGGCCCAAGGAAUGGCACAUGGAAUGCCAGCUCGAUUCCACCCAUAUAAAGGUUGAUGCGGCUGGUCGAGUCGCUACCUUCCCAACCUUGUCGUCUCUUUUCGUUGGCCUCCCCACACUCAGCCUGCAGAAUGAUGCCAUUGUUUACUUCCUCGCCAAGAUUGACUUCAGCCCAAGGCAACGCACAGCGUGGGUGCUUGCUGUUGACAUGAAGAACGAGACUGCUGAGCAAGUGGUGGAGUUCCCUGCUGAGAGGACUUAUUGUGUAGCCAAGGGCUACGACGCAAGUAGGAUCUCUGCAUAUCUCCAACCCGCGCCAGGUAACUCCUGCCUUGCUGUCUGUUACUUCCAACGAUACAUGCUAAACUAGCAGAUUCAUGCAUGUUCUUCUUUUCUUGGUGGAGUGGGUGACGGCAGCAUCAUUUCACACACAUUGACAGUGUGGGGUUUAGGGUGGAUAAACCCACCGAAAUUAGAUACCAUAGGUCAUAAUACUAUCCAUCAAGUCAAAUGCCAGCAAAUUCUUUUAGGGGGAGGGGGUUGCUAACUGUGAAUUUCUCACCACAGCCAUUCACACUUAAUCUUGUGACAUGUAGUAAUUCAUUUAUAGGGCGAGCGUUGCACAUGCUUAUCAAGUUUGGGCUUUUUCAGUAGUCUUUCCGCAUGGAGAGUUUUAUAGAAUAAUUAAUGCUUGUGUUAGCGCUGGUUGUUUGUGGACCAUUUCUUCUUUCCCAAACUAUUACUGAAGACAUGUGGAAUUUGACAUGCCAGGUACACAGCAAAUGCCUAAAUGACGAGGGGUGCCGUUGAUGAAAUGCCCUAGCAAGAAGCAUGCUAAAGAUGUUGAGGAUCCUAAAGAAGACGACGCCAUGAUGAUUGUUUCUUCAUGAGGUUGCAUGGAUGGAAGCUGUAUGACCUGCCUUUGGUGCCGGGUAUCAGUGGAGGGGGUAGUGGAUUAUCAUGUCUGCUGGUCUGACCCUUCCUUUGCCUGUCUUUUAUUUAUUUUAGGAUUAUUAUGGCCCUCUAGACCCUGUUCUGGAGUUCCUUUCUUCAUUGUCUCACCGCCUACUCUACCCGGCUUGUCUAUUAUACAAGCUGUAUUAUUAAAACUCUGUAUGAACUAUAUGUGUUAUGUCGGUUGUAGUACCCACCUUCUGUUUUCUGUUGCUCGCGGUUGUCUUCUGUUAUGAUCAUAACCUGUGGAAAGUUGGGUGAGUAUUACGGACCUCUAGAACCUGUUCUCGAGUUCCUUUCUUCAUUGUCUGGAGACCCUGUUCUAGACAUGCCGGUGACGCAAAAUUUCCAUCUGGGUGGGUGCGGAAUUUAUCAAAAUUUUGA
RNAcentral lists this long non-coding RNA (311064 nucleotides) under Triticum aestivum (bread wheat). RNAcentral describes it as "long non-coding RNA (TAES_LNC002653)". Lineage: Eukaryota; Viridiplantae; Streptophyta; Magnoliopsida; Poales; Poaceae. The record is from RNAcentral.